RNAcentral lists this long non-coding RNA (273761 nucleotides) under Capsicum annuum. RNAcentral's name for it is "long non-coding RNA (CANN_LNC013458)". The record is from RNAcentral. Lineage: Eukaryota; Viridiplantae; Streptophyta; Magnoliopsida; Solanales; Solanaceae.
GGACAAUAAUCAAUUUCAUCACCAGUCACGCGUUUAAAGGGCUGCAUUUUUUGCAUACUGAGAUAUCGACAUUCUGAAUCUGAUUCGCCAAGAACAAUUUCAUUCAUGAUAAAAAUGUUCUCCCUUUGAAUUUCUCUCACGCACAGGUCAUAUAUUAGAUCAUGAACGUUACAUGAUCUAAUUUUUGUUCCAUCUAGAUUUUUCUUGCAGACAAGAACUAACAUCUAUCGACAAGCUCUUGCAAACACUUCUCAGCUUCUCCUUCCAAAUCAUUUUCCAACUUCAGGAACCCCUCAGCAAUCCAUGAUCUCACCAAUCUCUUCACUGGAAUCUCACUGUCUUCUGGAAAAAUUCUGAAAUGCAGAAGACAAGUCUUUAGAUCGCUAGUCAAGUGAUUGUAACUCAACCCAAGCACACGUGAACAUCGUUCAUCAGGAUCAUUUGUGACAAAUGACUUGACAUCUUUAGCAACAAUUUCCCAGUUUUCUAUUGCCCUUUUAGAUUUGAGAAGCCCAGCAACCACCGCUAUAGUUAGAGGUAACCCGUGACAUUUCUCUGCAAUUUGCUUCCCAAUAGUCUCGAACCCAGAUGGUAAUGCUUCAUUUGCAAAUGCUACGAUUUUAAAAAGGUUCCAACUCUCAUCCGGACCCAUUAAAUUCAUCUGCAAAGAGAAUCAUCUCUGUACCAGCAUCACGAGCUACUUCAGUAUUACGGGUCGUCAAUAAUAUUCCACUCCCCUUGUUUUCACUUGGAAAACAUAGUCUCACGACAUCCCAUGCUUCCCUUUUCCAGAUAUCAUCCAAUGCAAUUAAAUAUCUCUUACCCUUUAAACUCUUUUGUAGCAUGUUUGCAAGCUCUUCUUCAUUGUUCAUGUCAAAUGUGUCACUCUUAGUAGAACACAGAAGGCUCAAUAAGAUUUCCUUUACAUUGUACUGUUGCGAAAUAGUAGCCCAAGCACAAACAUCAAAAUUAGAACAAAUGCACGCAUCAUUAUAAACUUCAUUCGCUAAGAUUGUUUUACCUAUGCCUCCCAUCCUGAAUCGGGAUGACUUUGGGUUCACCAGAGUAGCUUCUAGUAAGAUGCUCUACCAACCGUUCCCUUUGAUCAUCACGUCCAACCAUAUUGUUCUUAACCUUCAGAAUAUCUUUCGAUGAUCUUGGAAACUCUUGAACCGUUGAUUCCUUUGAUGAUUGUUUGCCUUUAUCUUGAAUCUUUAUCGACUCUUUCCAAAUACGAUCAAUCUCCUCUACUACUUGUUGCAGGCUUUGACAAAACCUUCGGCGCGCCUUUUUUUUCUGGCUUUUAUUUUCUCCCAGUACAGUUCCUGUUAGUCUCAGUUGAAUUGUGUAUUCAACAGCAAUUGCAACUUCUUUUACCUCUACUUCAAAAUCUGUCAUUUCUCCAGAAACAUUGUUUUUCUCAAAGUUCUUGAGAAAUACUUCCAGGGAACUAACUUUUUCUUGAGGAGUGCAAAAUUCUUCUCUGUGAUCACAGGAUAGAGACCGCAUCGGCGAAUUGGAUGUCAAGAGCGAUUCUAUUGUUCUCAUAAGAGAAGCCACACUUGCAUGAGCCAUAUCUAAUGUAUUCUCAUUUUUGUCCCUUGUGACUAUGACCUAAAAGCUGCAGGGUUGCAAGAGCCAAGAGGUCAAUGGUUUACAAAUAACGAGAUGCACAGAUUUGCAGAAAAGGCACGCAUAGACUAAAUAAGAUCAGGUAAUGUAUUUGCCUUAAUCAUAGCUAUAAAAGGGUAACAGUGAGUUUAGUCCCAAAAUCAGUAGCUUUAGCUAAUUUAACUCCCAGUAUGCAAAAUAGAUUGUGGUUCAAAACUCCGCUUUGCUUACCUAGGUAGUGUUUUCAACGUUGCUGGAACUCUUUUAAGAAGUUUUCAUACCCGUGUCAGAUCCUUAAAAAAAUGCACAACUUUUGAAGGAUCCAACAUGUAAUCAACGUUAUUUUUGAGGAGUUCGAGCGACAUAACUAUAUAUAUAGUACAAAGAGCUAAGUUAUAUAUUUGAUAAACCACUACAAGUGUUGUUUUGCUCUGAAACUUUAACCAAAUGAGAGAGUAAUUAAGGGAAACUAACCUUUCAAUGGCAGAUCAUACAACUUCAAAUAUCUCUUUCAAAUAUCACUGAAAGAGAUAUUUGAGAAAAGGAUAGAAGAAAUGCAAUAUUAUAAGUAACAAUAAACAAAUGUGUAAAGAACAACAGAUAGAGUACUGAGUACCUAACCAAGAUAAAAUUUGAGUGGCUGAAAUGAUCUGCAGAAUUUAUCAGCCCAAACAGUCCCUUAACUUUACAUAGUAUGUUCACUUAGGUCCCUGUAAUAAAAUGUUGAACAUAAAUCGUCCUUUAUCUCUGCUAAAAGGGUGCACUUUGAAAAAAAUGUAGUGCUUUAUACACGUAGUGGGAUCUGGAGAAAGUAGAGUAUACGCAACCUUACUGCUAUCUUAGAGAUAAAGAAGAUGUUUCUAAUAGACCCUUGGCAAAAGAUAAACAGUCGAGAAAUAGAUGCCCCUUUAAUUACAAUAUAGAGAAAUUACAUCUCCUUGAAAGCUAGAGAAUAACGCUAAAACAUAGUAUUAUAACGAUACAAUUUAAAGUUUAAACAGUAAGAACUAUGAUGAAAUCCUUGAACUUCAAUCUUUCUAGCUAUAUUCCGAAAUGAACUUUCAAUAAUUGUUUUUAAUACUAAAACAUACAUUUUGUUAAGGUCAGUGAACCGAGAGGUGUCGACUUAAUUAGUGAGUUAUUCAGUUAAGAGCUAUGUCCUGCUUUCUUUAUUAGUUGUCAUAUUUUUUUCCCUAGCGUUUUCCCCCAUUUUAUAACUAAUCUGAUUGGCAUAAUACAUAAACAUUGCCCUUUUAACUUGACACCAAAUCACAUCUAUAACCUCCAACUUUGGGUACGUACAAAUCAAAACUUAAACUUGUAUAAAGUUGAACAAAUUGACACACACAUCCUAUGUGGAAUAAUACAUGUAGGACGCUGUAUAGGACAAAAAUUGGCCACGUAAGACACCACAUAAGACAUAUGUAGAACAAAAAUUAGCCACAUAAGACCUCCCCAAUUUGUUGUACCAAACACAACUUUUGUGUUAUAUUAGCUGUCAGCCACUAAUAUUUUGUGGACUAGUAAGUCAAUAAAGAAAUAAUAAGAUAAGAGAGGAGGAUCAAAAUAUUGAGGGAAUCACACGAGUGUCACAUGUAAUGGACAGCUGUCAGUUAGCUAUCAUUGAUUACUGGUUUUGUAAGUUAGAAUAGUGGGAGCUUGCUUUAUAUAUACACACACUAAACUGUAUAUUUGUAGUAGCGGUUAUUGAUGAAAUUAAAAAAACUUUCCCAUCUCUCUCUCUUCUGUUACUUUGGCAGAGUUCAUGGUGAAAGCUUAACAUGGUAUCAAAGCCAAGCGAUUAAGCUCUGCAUUUCUUUUUUCUUUCAUUUUUUAGAAGCAAUUGUAGGAUUUCUCUAGGACAAUUGUAGAUCAACAAUGGUGGAAAUCUGUUAGAGUACGCAUCCUAGUAAUUGCCUAUCUGUGGAACAAGUAAGUAAACGUGGUUCACAGAAGUAAACUGAACACAGUCUUUAAGCGUGGAAAACACCCGGCUCAAGAAAGUUGAAAAAAACCACGACUUGUACUUCUAUAGGAUUUAACCCAACUUCACUAAAAUACUUGACCCUCAACAAUCAACAAAAUUACAAGACUUCUUGUAACCUAGGGAUUUAAACUUCUAACUCCUAUCACUACAAAAACACUAAUCUUCCCAAGAUAAGUUUUCCCAAAUCUUCGAGUUCUCAAACUUGAAGACAACAACUCCUAACUCAGUUUAUAGAUUACUGAGACUAGAAUCAAUGACUCAUUACAAUACAAGAACCUAACUACUACACUGUUUAUGACCUGUUAAGUAAGAGACUAGGUUCUUCUUCAAGUAUGUGAACUGACAUGCUGAUUGUUCAUUAACUUUUCAGCGUGUGCGUGAGUGCUGGAUUUGAGUCACGUUUGUUGUAUUUAAGCCAACCUAUUAUAGAAUCCUUUUUUAUGUUCAAUUCUUUCUUCCAGUAGAACUCUAUCAGUUAGCACUUUUCCGUUUUGCUGCCGCCUCACCUCUCCUAGAUUUGAUAGAACUCUUUUACUUCAAAUCCUCUUCUUACUUAACUCCUUAUCAACUUAACUUCUUCAAGACUUCUGGUCUGAUCUGACUCAGCUUCUGAUGUAAUCAAUGUUAUCUAUGCUUGUCUUGAACGCAGAAUCACAUCAUCCAGACUCCUGUGCUAGCUAGACUAUUUCAUCUUGACUGGACCAUCUUCUUCAACACGUUUCAUUCACAUGUCUAUCAUCAAAACUCCUCGUGCCUUAACAAAAUCAAAAUUGACAACACUCAUCCACUGUUCGUGAAUCCAUCCGAUACUCCAGGUUCCGUUAUGGUUCCCUUUCAACUCACAGGAGCUGAGAACUAUGGAUUAUGGAGGAGAUCGAUGUUUAUAUCACUUCAGGAAAAGAGGAAGUUAGGGUUUCUGUCGGGUACAUGUACAAGGGAUUCAUUUGAGAAGGGAUUGUAGGAGCAUUGGGAUACGUGCAACACAAUAGACCUCUCAUGGAUCAUGAACACUGUAUCACCAAGCUUAAUGAGUUGAAUCAUGUAUGUGUCGAAUGCUCACCUGGCUUGGGAGGAUCUGAGAGAACGAUUUGACAAGGUCAAUUGCUUGAGAAUUUUUCAACUACACAGGGAAAUUACAACAACUACUCAAGGUUUGGAUACUGUUUCUGUUUAUUUUACCAAGUUAAAGGAGUUGUGGUCAGAAUUUAAUGCAAUGGCUCCUUUGCCCAAUUGCGGUUGUCCUAAGUCCAAAAAUUAUGUCAAACAUCUUCAGCAACAACGCUUGCUUCAGUUCCUUAGUGCUUUGAAUGAAUCUCACACCCAAUCGAGGAGGCAAAUUCUUAUGCAAUCGACCGAACCCACACUGAAUCAGGCUUAUGCUCUAAUCAUGGAAGAUAAAAGUCAAAGAUCUUUGUACAAUGCAGGAGCACCUUUUGGAGAUGCAAAUGAUAUUUCAGCAAUGUGGAGUGUUGCAGGUCCCCGCCCUCCUCUUUCUUACCAACCAAAUUCCAAGCCUAAAUGCAAUUGGGAUGAGCAAUGCAAUUUUUGCAAAAUGAAAGGACAUAGAGCUGAGAAAUGUUAUCAACUUAUUGGAUAUCCAGGUGACUUUAAAAGAAAAAGGAAGCCUGUGGUGAAUAAUGUGGUUUAUGGUUCUCAACAGCCCCAAUUUUUGGGAUACCAACCUCCUUCAUAUAGGGGAAGUCAACAAUAUACUCAAUCUUCUUAUGGAGAUUUUUCCCCACAACAACCAUAUGGAAAGAUUUUGACAAUUCUCUUGCCGGGCAAAGUUCUACAGUUGUGACAGCAGGACAUGGUUUAGGUGGACAUCUUCCUAUACCUAGAGUCAGUAAUACUAGUGGUGGUGGUAAUUUUUCUCUUGGCCAGCAUUCGGAGGGUGCUGUAGAGUUUUCUGGAACUGGCCAUGCAGCAGGGCUUCCACCAGCAGUGAUCAUAGUGACUUUUACACCGGAACAGUAUACACAGGUGCAAAAGCUCUUUCAAAGCAACACAUCUGGGCCAUCAACAAUAUUGCAGGUAUUAUUUCUGCUUUUGUGGCUAGUAGAUAUACUGAUGAUUUGAUCAUGGACACAGGCGCAACCAACCACAUGAUGUGUAAUCCUCGAGUGUUAACCACCAUUACUAAGAAGAACACAACAUGGGCUGAUAGUAUUCAUUUACCAAAUGGUAGUACUAUACCAAUUUUGCAUGUUGGUAACUUUAGUUUGGGACAAGAAGAGAUUUCCAAUGUCCUGUGUGUUCCCGACUUUAAAGUGAAUUUACUUUCGGUGUCAGCAUUGACUAGAGAGUUAGGAUGCUUCAUGAAGUUCUAUCCUGAUUAUUGCUUAUUGCGGGACCUUCACACUGGGAUGGUGAAGGGGACUGGUAUAGUGGUGAAUGGAUUAUACUAGUGGGAUCAUGAUCCAUGGCAACAAAUGAAGUACUCAGUAGCUCUUAGCACAGUUGAUAUGAAUGAUCUUUGGCAUCAAAGGCUAGGUCACAUACCUCAUAAAGUGCUACAACAGAUGCAUGUAAUAAAUCACAAUAGUAUGAGUAAUACCAAACUAUGUCCGUUUUCUCCAUUAGCUAAACAAACCCGACUUCCAUUUCCUCAAAGCACCACCAGAGCAAGUAAGGUGUUUGAUCUGGUUCAUGGAGAUGUAUAGGGGCAUUAUAAGGUACCUAUCCAUAAUGGAAAUAGAUUUUUUCUUACACUCGUAUAUGAUUGUAGUAGGUUUUUCUGGACCUUCUUGCUGAAAUUUAAGAGUGAUGUUCCGGUUAUCUUACAGAAUUUUAUGCAAUUAGUUCAUACUCAAUUUGAUAGUACUGUUAAGGUGUUUCAAAGUGACAAUGGGUCAGAAUUUUUCAAUUCUUUUUGCAAAGAUUUAUUUACAACAUCAGGUAUUAUCCAUCAGAGUUCUUGUGCUUACAUACCCCAACAAAAUGUGUUGGUGGAAAGGAAGCACCGACAACUCUUGGAAGUGGCCAGGGCCAUCAGGUUCCAAGCAGAUAUUCCCUUGAAGUUCUGGGGUUUGUGUGUCCAAAAUGCUGCAUAUUUGAUUAACAGGAUCCCAUCUACAGCUUUACUGGGCAAAUCUCCAUUUGAAGUUUUUCAUGGGAGAAAGCCUAAUCUACAGCAUCUCAAGGUGCUAGGGAGUUUGUGUUAUUUUACGAAUGUGGUGCACAAGAAUGAUAAGUUUGGUGCUCGAGCUGUGGAGGCUUUUCACAUAGGAUAUUCCACCACACAAAAGGGUUAUAAACGGUAUGAUAUUGCUAAUGAAACUUUCUUUGUCAGCUGAGAUGUCACUUUCAGGGAAGAAGUGUUUCCUUUCAAGUACAACCAUCCGGAUUCAAGACCUCAAUCAUUCCAACCUAUAGAUGUGACUGUUGAUCCUUUUAUUGUGACAACUUAGGUUUCAGCAUCUUUGGAUGCCCCCUCACCUGUUUCUGCAACAGCCUCACCUUAUUUGAGGACUCUACAAUCCCAGAUGUUGGCAUGACUCCUACUCUAGUAGAUACAUGUGAUAUUUGUGUUCCUAAAGCUAUAACAGGGGGAGUUGAUUCUCCUCAGCAGGUUUCCAAAUUUAGACAGUCUGCCAGGCAAUCUAAGCCUCCAGCGUGGUUACAUAACUUUGUCCAUAGCUCUUCCAAAGUUGUUUCUUCCAGUUUUGCUUACCCGAUAUCCAACUAUAUGUCUUAUGCUGCUUUAUCAGACUUUAUGCAAUUUUUCUGCUGUCAAGGAACCUGAUUCUUAUGAAGAAGCUUUACAUCAUCCUGAAUGGGUAGAGGCCAUGAAUCAGGAGCUACAAGCACUUAGUGGCAAUCAAACUUGGGAUUUAGUCCCACUCCCACCUGACAAGAGGGCUAUUGGUUGCAAGUGGGUAUUUAAAACCAAGUUUAAUGCUCAAGGCUUGGUUGAUAGAUACAAGGCAAGGUUGGUGAAGGGUUACACCCAAUAGGAGGGACUUGACUACCAGGAGACCUUUUCUCCUGUAGUCAAGAUGGUAACCGUAAGGGCUGUUCUAUCUAUUGCAGCUAUGAGAACCUGGAAGUUGCACCAAAUGGAUGCCUUCAAUGCUUUCCUCCAAGGGGACUUAGUCGAAGAUGUUUACAUGUCUCCACCCCCUGGUAUUUUCACCAAGGGGGAGCAUUCCUUAGUCUGUAAACUCAAAAAAGCUCUUUAUGGCUUGAAGCAAGCCUCAAGACAAUGGAAUUUAAAGAUUUGUGAGGCUCUUAUCUCUUCCAGUUUUGUUCAAAGUCAUCAUGACUAUUCUCUGUUUGUUAAGAAGUCUGGUAAUGAUUUGGUUCUAAUUUUGGUUUAUGUUGAUGACCUCCUUAUUACUGGUUCUUCUUCUUCUCUUAUUGAAGAAGCUAAGUGUAUGCUUCAACUCCAUUUCAAUAUCAAGGUCUUGGGGGAGAUGAAGUACUUCCUUGGUCUUGCAAUUGCUAGAAGCAAGCAAGGGAUCUUGGUUUGUCAGAUGAAAUUUGAACUAGACAUGAUUGCUGAUGUGGGACUUGCUGGUUCAAAACCUUCCGGUCACCUUUGGAAUAGAAUCGGAGGUUAACUAGUAUAGAAUUUGAUCAUGGUAGUAAGAUUACUUCUCGGGAUGAAUUACUUACAGAUCCCAGAAGUUAUCAGAAGCUAGUUGGGAAGUUAUUAUAUUUGACAAUGACCAGACCUGAUAUCAGCUUUGCUGUUCAAAAUUUAAGUCAAUUCAUGCAUAAUCCAAAGAAGUCACACAUGGAAGCAGCCUUAAGGGUGGUCAGGUACUUCCAUGGUGAAUGCUUAACACAAAACAAAUAGCAUUGGGAACAAGUAGAGUUAAGUGUCAUGUAGAUUCCUUCUAGAAUAAGUUUUAAUUCUAUUCAUGGAGAUUCCGUAACUAUUCUAAACUUGGAAAGUUCAAACACAAUUUGGAUUAUUUUUGAAAAUUAGAAGAAGUUAAUAUUUCAUUAUGUAGCUUGUACCAAACAACAUUGGCAUAAAAGCAGUGCAGACUGAAGUUGCCUAAUUUCUUAGUUUUUAUCUCACCCUUUUUGCAACUUUGUCUAUCAGAAUCUUCCCUCACCAUACCCCACUUUGUAAGAUUACAUUAGUUAUUUUGUUGUUUUGUUCUUUUUGCAACAUUGCGAAUCGUGUUAUUUUAACACAAUUGUCCUCCUACAACUUGCAGUUUUCAAGUCUUAAUUGCAUUUGGAAGCAGCAGAAUAGAUAUGGCCUCUCUUAUAAGAACAAUGGAACUGCUAUUGACAUCCGAUUCGCCAAUGCUGUCAGUAACUUAUGCUGUUGAUGUGUUUGUCUUUGAAGCAUUACGGUCUCAACACCAUAGCCAGUGUAAUCUCACAAGCUGCGCAUUGAGGUCUUUGCAAAAGGAUUUACUAUAAUGUAUGAACAGACUAAAAUUUAUAUUGGAAGGAAGUGAUUCUUGCACAAAGAAUGGUAUUGUAGUCAUACAACUCAUAAGUAAUGUUAAGGAGUUUAUGAAACAAUAUUGUUACAUGUACAUUUAUUUUCAAGAUUCAAUGUUAUAAAACUUUUAUAAGUAUCGACAAUUCCGGUGCACUAGAGCUUCCCUGUUACACCUCACAUUUUUAGUUUAGUUUAAGUCCUAGUUGUAAGUUGAGGUGUUAUGGCUUCAUAAUUGAGCUUGUCGUUAUUCAAAGUUAGUUAAAAACAAAAUUGGAUUGAUUUGUAUAAGAUUAGGAGGUUAUACAGGCGUAAAACAGUACCUUACUUCUGCAACAUAGCAAGAGAAUUAAGAGGUCAGCAAGCAAAGAGCCACUGCUCAUUUAUUUACCAAGUCCCUUUAAGGGAAAUUUUGUCUUUUCCUUUUAAUUUAUUCCAAUUGAUUAAAUCCUCAUUCUUCAGGUUCCAAGCGUUACUUUUUUUUAAUAGCCGAGGCGUUAUUCUGAAAAAUCCCCUCUGUUUCCAUCAGUUUUGUGCGUUAAACAAGUCCUCCUCUUAUCCUCAAGUUCACACCUCAAGUUUACACGAUAAAAAGCUUCACUUUCCAAACAGUUUACAUAGGUUUUCCAUCAGCAAAUAUCCAUAUUCCUCCUAUCAAUUUCAACUCCAAGAAACACAAGGGAAUUGAUCGAGAAUCAAGUACAAAUUUCUUCGUCCGAUGUCAAGUUCUUUCAACAUUUAAGAGGUAUGUAGGACCAUUCCUUACUCUCGUUUCUGGAUGUUUUACUGUUAACCAAUUCAAAUUGCUCUAAAACUAUUUAGGUAUUAAAGGAAUUUCUACAAUCUUAUCAAUGAAAUUAAAUGGUUUAAUAGUUGUUGGAUGUGUAAAGAUAACUCUUUGUAUCAUGUUCUUCCUUUCUGAAUAAUGUGAGUUCCAACGACCCUCGUGAUUUGAUGUUCGAAUCAUAGAUGUUUUUGGCAAUAACUGUGAAAGAUUUACAAUCUACAAAGUCAAGAGAUUACACCUAGAGAGCACCCCAUUAUUUAAAAGAAGUGGGAGAAAACUAAUUACAUAAUCUGUUGAUCAAAGAUGACCUCUCCCAGUUAUUUUUUAAUUUCCAAGCAUAUCUACUCUUUCUUUGAAGUGUCGCAGCCUUGUAGCUGCAAUAUGAUUCUUUACUUUCUUUCCCAAUUNNNNNNNNNNNNNNNNNNNNNNNNNNNNNNNCUGCUGAAACGUUCAGACAACAAAAAGAUAACAAACUGUUACAUCGCUAAUUCAAAUAUAUCCUACUCCAUUAUUAAGUAAAUAAAUUACACAGUAUGUAAGAGCAGCAUCCUCUUCAAGGUAUUUCUCUUAAGCCGUUCAAGGAAGCCUGCCGUUUUGCCACUACUCUGUCUCUUUAAACACAAAUAACAAUUUCUAGGCAGACUCUGGAAAUGACCAGCCUGUAAAAUGAUCUUGUUCCUCACCAUAUGACGACAUACGUCACCAAUCUUCCAUGUCAAAAUCUCAGUCAAGCCAUUAAGCCACGUGGAAGCAUUACAUAUUGACACAUGUCAGUUUAGUUAAUUAGUUAGGAAAUAGUUGUUAAGUCAGUUGGUUUAAAAAUUUUGAAUUCAAACUUUCAGUUAAUUUUAUAUUCAUUUGUUGUUUUUAAAAUAUCAAAUUCAAAUUAUUAGUUAAUUUGUGAAUUUUAAUUUUUUGUCUUGAAUUUGGUAUAUUAGUUGGUUAUAAUUGCUACCCUUUACACUAUACAAGGAAUUAGUUAGGUUAGUUAUGACAUAUUACUUAUACUUUUUAAAAUAUUGUUAAUUUUAAAAACUGUCAUAACAGCUUUCUCAUAAGUAGCAUAUCCCGUAUUAAUUUAAAGUUCAAAUUCAAAUAUUGGAUAACAUGACAGCAUCUCAGCAGAUGCACAUUUCCCUCAAUAUUGGGUUACUUUUUUUUUUUUUAAAAAAAAAAAAACAUUUUUAACUUUCUUUUUUAUAAAAAAUAUUAUCACAAUAUAUCGUCAGCAGUUUAACAUAUGUGUUAGUACACAACUACUCUUCCAUCUUAUCCAUAACUUCCCCUAUUAUAUCUCAUCAUCCAAAACCUAUACUACUUCCAUAUAACUCCUUAUAUAGGGUAAAAUACUUCAAUUAUGCAAAUCUCUUUCAACAUUCUCCAAAUACUGACGUCCUUUAAAAAAAUUGUCAGAGUUCAUCAGCAAUAUCACAAUUCAAAAAAUGCGAUGGAAAACACUUAUCUUUGCAUUAACCAGACGUUUGAAUUUGACAAAGAUCGCCUUAAUCGUCGCAGUUAUUCUAUUAUUCAGGUACGUAUGUUUGAAUUUUCUCUUUGUGUAGAUUAUAUACUUUCUAAGUUAGAAAUUGUUGUCUGUAGGCAUGCGUUGUUGUACUUUAUAAUAUUGACUUUGAUGUUAUGAUUCAUCAAUGUUGUUGGUUAUUUUUUUUUAGUUAAAUUAUUUUUCUCAGAGAAUCAUUUGUACAUUGUGAAUGGUUGGAUGUGCCAUUGGAUUUCAAAGUCAUACUCUGUGUGUUUGAUUUCUCCCAAGUGGAACUACAAUCAUUCGAUGAAAUAAGUGGAAACAUUCUUUGAUUGAUUCUGUGUAUCAGGACGGUUCAAAGCUUUGAAUUUUGUGUUUUGGCAAUUCAUUUUUGGUGUUGCUUUUGGAGUUUGGAACUAAGAUCGAAAUUGGUUGAUUUUCAGAAGCAACAGGGCAAUGUAGUGGCUGUUGCUCUGUAUUAUCACUCGGGAAAUUCCAGCCCGACUGGUAAUGGGGAGGUUCUGUCAUGGUGCAAUGACUUCUGUCAGCCUAAUUUAAUCAUUUUCCCUCUAAGACACAUUUUUUCUCUGUUAACUCUUUUCAUCUCUUGACUAUCUCAUUAGAUUAUGAAGUUAAUAAAACACAUUAAUGGAGUAGAUUUUCAUAAAUUCAUCAAAUAUGUGAUACUAGAAAGGGAAGUAAGCAAGAAACUACUGAUUUCCUCUCCCAAAUAUAUUUAGUUUGUACUAUGUUAUGUAUAUUACCUUGUCUAUUAUCAAGUUUACAUGGUUAUAUGCUGCUAUUUCUGCGUCAAAUUUAAGUCUGAUGUAAAUUUAUCAAGUUUUGCUCUUAAAUUUUGAAGGUUCUUUAGUAGUAUGUUACUAAUUGAGGGAGGAAUCUACAAAUUGAUUUUAAAAUAAUAAGUCUUCCAGUAUAAAUCAAGUAUAUUGCUGCAGUUUGAAGGUAGAUUCUUUCUCUUAUUUUGUCGGUUGAACUUACUAUAUAGUAAUAGAAACGAAAACUUUAUUAUUUUACGUGUUGAAGAAGAAGCAGAUAAGUGUUGCUUAAUGAUGCCUCAAAAAUCAAACUUAUUAUAUAGUAAUAGACAUCAAAACUUUAUUAUUGUACAUGUUGAAGAAGACGCAGAUAAGUUUUGUUUAAUUAUGCCACAAAAAUCGAAUAGGUAAUAGAUUUUAUACCCAAUUGUGGAUAGCAGAAGCAUUCGAAAGAAGAAGUUCAACAAACAAACAAACAAAAAGAAAUAGUGAGAAUUUUCAGGUAUUGUGCAUUUUAUUUCUUCGCAAGUAUUUUAUCGUUCUUUGUUGAAAUUGUUGUAUUGUAAGCUUGUGGUUUUGUACAUUUUACUUUGGAUUUUGCAAUUCAGUAAUGCGUUUGAUUAUACUCUUUGUUUAUUUGGGAAAUCCCUUUUUUGGGUUCUUGGAAUUUGGAAUGAAUUAGAAGCAAUAUUCCAAUGCAGCAGCUAUAGCUUUGUACAACUACCUGGGCAAUGCCAGCCCUGCUCAUGAUAUGGGCGACAUGCUUUCAUUGCUAUGUUUCUUCAGUCUGCACAUCGGAACAUUUGUCCUCUCAAACUCUAAUUUUGACUACCUUCUUUAUAUAAAAAUUAGUUUUUCAUAAGAGGAAUACAUAUAGUGGAAGAUAGAAAGUCGGAGGCAUUACAACAGAAAAUUGAUCAUGCUUACUUAACUUCAAAGGUUGUUGUAGGAAGGUGCUUAUUUUUCUCCAAUACUCCCUUUUCUCUUAAUACACUACAGUUUUGAAGAUGGUUACAACUUACCUACUUAUCCUUUUUUGUUGCAAUUGAAGGAGUUCUCAAAUACGCAGUAUUGCAUUUCUUAGGUCACCUAAUUUUGAGUAUUUGUAUUUUUCUUAGCUGUUUAUGUAAUCAAUGAUCUACUGAUGAGCCCAUCUUUCAAAGCCUUGGUAUGGGCCUUGCCAUCAAAUUGAAAUAACUGCUACUCUUUUGAGGAAAACGUUGUUCCGAUUAGUCUCAUUCAUGUGAAUAGGUUCCUUCUCUCUUGCACUAUUACUUAUAUAUCAAUUUUGCACAGUUUCUGAUUAAUAGACUUGCCUAUGCUAAUGCUAUCAUUCUAUUUACAGCUUACUAUGUGGUUGUUGAUGAGUCAGUUGGAAGACAAUUUGCAAUAGUCUUUUUGGAGCGUGUUAAGAUGAUUUUGGGUCAAACUAUGGGGAUGAAAAUGUUGUAACAACUCAUCCAAAUAACCUGAACAAGGAAUUCAGGUAAUUUAAAAUUAAAAUUUACUUUAGUAUUAUGUAAGGGCAGAAGGCAGAAUUUUCUAUUAAGUCAUUUAAUUGCAGUAUUCUCUUAAGUAUAUUCCUAAGUUUAUGAAGCAUAUGUAGUAUUGUGCUGUGAAGAAGUAAUUGUUGCGUUCUAUGACUUUUUCAGAGUGGGAAUGAUGCCUCUCAGUGACACUGAAAUUGGUGAAUCGCAUAUUGCUAGCACCAUCUAUGAUACUUUGCCACUGUUUUUUUUUUUUUCACUAACACCUUCAAGAUUGAGCUCUCCAACCCUCCCUCUGUGUUCUUGUGGGUGUUCAAUAAAAUUCCAAGCUCAUUUUAAAAGAAUCACAUGUUUUAUGUCUUUAUAGUGUUGAGGAGGUCAGAAUGGCUGGAAAAAGUUGAUUUUUGGGGUUGGAACUCAGAAAACGGUGGAGCUACAGCAACAAGAUUGCAAUAGCUGCAAAGUACAUGAAAUAUAGGGACUCUAAACAAUCGGUUGGGGUUAGACUUAAAGAUCUUCUUGAUCGAAUGAUCCUUGAAGAAAGCAUAGGCCGAAUAAUUUUGAUUGAUAAGACUGAAUCUAUAAUUAAAAUCAUGAAGCACUACUAUUAUGUCGGAACAUUUUUAAAUCUUUAAAAUACAGCCAUUUCCAUAUUUUUAAUUUAUUUAUGGUACAUUUUGUUUGCAUGUAUUUGUUCUUCUAUGGUUGGUUUUCUUAAUUUUUGGAGAUUCGAUAAUGUUAUUCUAUAUGAAAUAGUAAUCCGUGUUUACUUGGAUUACUACUUAAGUUACAUCUUAUAUCUAUAUAGUUUAUAUAAUUUGCAUAUUUGUUUCCAAUUUUUUUUUGUUUCAUUUUAAUUUCCUUAUUAGUUAUUGUGUGUUACUUUUCUCAUAGUUGUUUUUCGUAUAAUAGUCAUUGCUACUAUGACUUUUGUGUUGAUUAAACUUCAAUCGCCAAUAAAUGAGUUUUCUUUAUUCGAUGUGCAACAGUUUUCGAUCAAAUUAUAUAAGAAAGAUAAUUUUUUGAAAAUUUAUGUCUUUCACCAAUUAAUCAUUUUUUCUUGAUUAAAAAAAAGUUGAGAUAUGAUUUGGGAAGCGAUAUCUACAAGAUAGUUUUGUAUUUAUUUUGUUCGAGACAAAACAUAAUACCUAUGGCAUUUGAAUGUAGAUUAAUUUUAGGAGGUUCAAAUUCUGAGAUUUCAAUAAAUUGUAUGGGGUAUAAAUCAGCCACAAUUAAUAAUGCAAUAUGAAAUAAAACAGUUAUUUUGAUAAUGAUUGUACAUGAUAAAAGUGUUGGUGGAUUUCUUUCUUGGAAGUUAUCCGCGCAUCGCGCCGGUACGUAUACUAGUUUCUAUUAAAGUUAUAAGAUAUAAUUUAUGAAACUCUUAAAAGUAUAAUUCUUGUUCCAUAAUCCAUAAGAAGGUAACCUUCCCAUAACAUUCGUAAAGAUCUUUGCACUGUGAUGAAUACAUUAUGAAUUUGCAAGUCUUAAUAUAAUAAUACCAACUUCCCAGGAAUCCUCAUUGACCUAAUAGAUAAUAAUAUGAACAUGAAUAUUUUUACAAGAAUGGUUCCAAUCAUGUACAUGAAUUAUAUCAUAUCGAACCAUGAAAUUACCUAUCACGACUCUCCAAUAUUGAUAGUAUUAACUCAUGAAUAUGAACCUAUUAUGGUUAACUCUCGGUAUGAGCCUAAAGUGGCUAUACAUAAUUAUGAGCUUAAAAAGGCUAAACCACGAGCAUGAGCCUAAAAAGGCUAAACUAUGAACAUGAACAUAACAAGACGAACAUUUUGAUCAAUAACUAAUCAGAUAAAUAAGACAAUGUCAUGAGCAUAAGGGAGUUAGUUAGCAGACCGUGAAGGCAUAGGUUGACGACAAAUACCCGAAACUAUGUUUACCGACAUAGGAUAGAGAUCAUUCCGCUAGUCGGAUACUCUCUUUUCUUUCAUGUGUCCCGAAAAGGGGAUAACCAUGGAUACUUGCUAGCAAAUUAUGUCAUGUCACGUCCUAUGCCUGGCAAGGUAUAGGAUGGCUUAGCUGAUCCGGCCAAGAUCCGACUCCAUGCACUCACAUGGUGGUUUAUGACGGUUCACUACUUUCUCCCACAAAUAAUAAAAGGAAUUUAGAUCUACUUAGCUUAUUCACUUAUAAAUUUAGUUUACAUUCUUGUUCCUUUCCAGAUUCCUUCUCGUAAAUCUAAAUUUUGUAGUUACUUCUGAUCUCUUGUUUUACUACCCUUCUGCAACGGUUUUACAUACCAAUACAUUCCACAUAUUGACCGUCUUUGGUGCUACAUAGUUUCAUGAUGUAGGUUAUGGCUCUCAAGUCCGUGGUCAGGUGCCUUAUUAGGGUUCCUAACUUCUGCUAUUGGUGAGCCUCUUUCCUACCAGGAGGCUGGAUGAGAUAUGAUGAUUUUUUUUGUAUUUUAUUUCUUUUCAGUAUUAGAACUUAUUAGAGGCUUCACAGGCUGGUAUAGUUGUCAAACAAAAUUUUUAAUUUCUAUUCUUUAUCAUGACUGUUAUUAUUGUAUAAAGUUAAGUGGUGUUAAUAAACCUUGAUGAUAAUAUUUUGCCUUUAAGAAAUCUUAUUUCAAUCUCAUAUUGGUUUAGUUAUACUCUUUCAUGUUGGUUGUAUUCUCAUGUUUUGUGAUAGAAAGUUCGCUCAUACUGGCAGUAGUAUCGGGUGCGUGUAACGUCUUGGGCCUCAGCUUGGGGAGUGACAUUCCCCUAUUCGCGGGAUUUAGAAAAGGAUUGGAUAACAAGUAUCAUCAUGGAUUUUGUUAGUGGUUUGCCUCAUACUUCUCAUAGUUCUGAAGGUAUUUGGGUCAUCGUGGAUCGGUUGACCAAGUCAUCACAUUUCAUUCCUAUUCAAAUGCCCUUCAAUGCCGAGAUGUUUGACCCAUAUAAAUGUGCAUCUAUUGUACAUGAAGGCCCGGAAUGCCCUUCUCUAUCUGGUAAUCAUGCACAACAUUCAUAUAAUAAAGAAGAUGCAGAAACAUAAUCUGCUAUGGAAACAUGGUCAAAUCUAAAUUCAACAUAAGUAUGGAAACUAUAAAUCAACUACAUCUAAAUAACAUCUGACUCAGUCUGUGAAAUCUCUACUACAUGAAAUCUAACAACUGUCUGAAACUGGGACAAGGCUUUAGUAGGCCAAAACUGAAAUAAGUGACAUAAUCAAAGAAGACAGGCCUUCUGGAAUAGAGAAGGCUCACCACUGCAAAAUUUGAUCAGCUGUCUGAAUUAUCUACUGCUUAUCUGGACCUCUAGACUGAGUCUCAGAACUGAGAAAUAUGUAUUACUUUUGCCCUAGGUAGUAUACCCUACAACUAUAAAAAAUUCCAGGGUCUAUAUGAAAACUGCCAUUAACUCAGCAGUGAAGCCCCCAACCCAAGUGUGCCGCAAGAGUCAGAGACUCUGAAUCUACUACACCACACAACCGUCGCCAACGUACAAUAAUAAUCUACCUGUAUCGACAAAUAUGAUUUCAGGCCAAGAGUUGCUUGAACUCGCGCCUUCUUCGGGUAACCACCUAACCCUCUUUAAGCCCUUUUUUAAAAAUCUAUCAAAAUAUACAAUCUCUGAAAAUAUGCUCUAGAAACAUAAUCUAUUAUGAUAUAAAUACAUAUGGUAUCUUCAUACCAUUGACUUGCAAGUCACAUCUCUGAGCCAUUAUUAGUCUAUCAUAAAUCUCUGUAUUUAAAACACAAGUUUUGAGACCAGCAAUUCAAUAAUUCAAUUCAAUGAAUCUUUUUUUUUUCAAACCUCAUGUAAACACAUGCAAUUCUUUCUCAUACACACAAGAACAUAUUGGUAUCAACAAACACCCUCUCAACAAUUCCAAAUCAUGUUCAAAUGCCAGGAUAUUACAAAAACAUCUUUCAAAUCCCAAAACCAUAAUCUUUAAUUCAAUACAAGAGAGGGAGUUCAUAAUUUAUGCUCUCAACAAUCUUAAAUCUCAAAUUCAUACAUAUACAUAUAUAUGUAAAUCAAUUUAGGGAAAAAUACCACAAGGCUAAAGCAAUAGUAGCAUUGAAACUUUCGAAAUGCAUAAUUAAUAAUAUAGUUUUCAAAGCCCCCAUAAAAUACCUGCAUCAAAACCUUUAAAUCAUGCUUUAAAAAUUUCAAGCCAUGUAGUUUUUAGGAUAAAACCCUCAUACCCCAACUACGAAGAAUAAGGGAUGAUCCAUUAAGCCUACGGUUUGAGGAUUCCAAAUCUUCAGUCAAUUUUGAAAAGCCAUGGUUGAAUCUUGAGUUUCUUCGAUAAGAAGUAUAUGAACUAGGGUUUUUGUUUUGAGGAAAAUCUUGAGAAUGUCAUAUAUUCUACUUGUAGAGAUCUUAAUCUACUUUUUGGACAUUUUAAGAUGCUUGGAAAAAUUCCAAAUUAUCCUUGUUAACUUCUGAACGAAGCUGGAAAAAAUUAAACUGGAAACCCGAUUUUAGAGGCCACCGCGAUGCGCCACUAUCGCGGUGGCUCACUGGAAAUUGACGAAUGGGAGUUUGGGAUCCUCCAUGACACUCCAAUAUUGCUAGGUCCCACUGGAAUUUGAGAAUUUCUAAUUAAACCCUCUCUGUGACGCGCUAAACACUAGAAUGACAAUGUUUUACGACUAGCACAAAAAAUAGCCAUAACUUCUUCACCGAGUGUCUGAUUUGGACGAAUCUUAUAUCGACAGAAAGCUUAUUCAAUCAUCUACGAAAUAAAAAGUUUAAAUAUAAGAGAUUCCACCGGGAAAAAUCAUAAAUCAUUCUAGAAGACAAGGCUUGAUCUUUUAGGGAUAGAAUUUAGCUAAGAAAACUUCAGGGCGUUACAAUAUCCUCCCUUUGGGAACAUUCGACCCCUAAUGUUGACGCGGGAUACAAACAAGAAUAAUUUCAAGAAUACUAAGGUAUCAAUAGAAUAAAGCAAGGAUUGUACCUUCCAUUUCUUCAUCCAUUGGAUAAAAAAGUUUUGGGUAUCUAACUCUCAUGUCAACUUCUGAUUCCCAAGUCGCUUCUUUAAUUUUCUAGUUUCUCCAUAACACUUUAACUGAGGCUAUCUGUUUGUUCCUCAAUCUUCUAUAUUGGCAAUCCAAAAUCUCUAUAGGCUCUUCUUCAUAGGAUAAGGAGUCUGUCACUUUGAUUUCUUUGACAGGAAAUACUAAAGAAUGGUCUCCAAUACACUUCUUCAACAUAGAUAUAUGAAAUACCGGAUGAACCGAACCCAAACUAACUGGCUCAUAUGUUAUUCCAACUAUACUUCUCACAAUAUAAUAUGGUCCUAUAUAGCGAGGACUCAGCUUACCUUUCUUCUUGAAUUGCAUGACUCCCUUCAUGGGAGAACCAUGAUAAAUACCUAAUCUCCAACCUCAAACUCUAGAUCUCUUCUCCUAACAUCGGCGUAGGACUUCUGACGACUCUGAGCUUUCUUAAGUCAUUCUCUAAUGACUUUCACAUCCUCUAUUGCCUGAUGAACCGGAUGAGGCCCAAAUAUCUGCGUCUUACCUACUUCAUACCACCCUAUUGGUGACCUACAUCUUCUUCUAUACAAUGCCUAAAAUGGUGUUAUCUUAAUCCUGGAAUGGAAACUAUUAUUAUAUGCGAACUCUAUCAAUAGCAUGUGUUCUACCCAACUACCUUUAAAAUCAAUCACGUAGGCCCUCAGAAUAUCCUCAAGGGUCUAGAUGGUGCGAUCAGCUUGCCCAUCUGUCUGACGGUGGAAAGUCAUGCUCAAAUUCACUGGGGUACCUAAACCCUUUUGAAACAAUCUCCAAAACUAUAAAGAAAACUGUUUACCUUUGUCAGAUAUGAUGGACACAGGUGCCCCAUGCAAAUGAACUAUUUCUGCAAUGAACAAUUUGGCAUAAUCCUCUCCCGAAUAAUUUGUCCUAACAGGUAGAAAGUGAGCUGACUUGGUCAACCUAACUACAAUCAACUAAAUGGAAUCAUACUAGUUUUGGGACCUCAGAAGUCUUGUAAUGAAGUCCAUAUUAAUCAUCUCCCACUUCCACAAAGGCAAAGCUAUCUCUUGAGAAGAACCACCUGGCCUCAAAUGUUCCAAUUUAACUUGUUGAAAAUUCAAACACUUGGCAACAUAGUUAGCCACAUCACGCUUCAUAUUAUUCCACCAAUAAAUGGUUUUCAAAUCCUGAUACAUCUUAGUAGAGCCAGGGUGAACAACAUACCUCGACGUGUGAGCUUCAUCAAGGAUCCUCUUCCUCAAACCAUCUACAUCUAGCACACACAACCUACCCUGGUAUCUCAAAACACCAUCACCACCAAUUUCAAAAGGCAAUACCUUUUGUUAACCCACAUUUUUCUUGAUCUGCAUCGAGAUGGGAUCUUCAACCUGGUUCUCUUUAACUUCGACACAAAGGGAAGAUUUAGCUAUCCCAUGAACAACCACUCCUCCAUCCUCAUAAUACAAAAUUUGCACUCCUAGAUUUGCAAGUCGGUAAAUAUCCUUCACCAUCUCCCUCUUUUCUUUCCCCACAUAAGAAAGAAUGCCUAUAGAUAACUUGCUGAGGGAGUCGGCUACCACAUUCGCCAUGCCCGGAUGAUAGUACAGGCUCAUGUUAUAGUCUUUUAAAAGUUCCAACCAUCCCCUCUGCAUGAGAUUCAAUUAUUUUUGCUAGAAAACAUACUAUAAACUCUUGUGGUAAGUAAAUAUAUCAAUAUGUACCACAUACAAAUAGUGCCGCUAGAUCUUAAGUGCAAAAACUGUAGCUGCUAACCCCAAAUCAUGAGUAGGGUAGUUCCUUACCGUGCUGCAUAAGGACACACCCAAGUCCCACACAGGGCGCAUCACAGUAUACAACAAAACCUUCUGUACCCUCCGAAAGAGUCAGAACAGAAGCAGUAGUCAACUUGUCUUUCAACUUCUCAAAGCUAUUCUCACAAGAGUCAGACCACAAAAACUUCACCUUUUUCUGAGUCAACUUAGUAAUUGGUGCAGCUAUGGAAGAAAAAACUCUCGAUGAAUCUUCUAUAAUAACUUGCCAAACCCAAGAAGCUCCUAAUAUCGGUUGGAUUCGUGGAUCUGGGACAUUUUAUCACAACCUCAAUCUUUUAAGGAUCAACCUUAAUCCCCUCACUAGACACAAUAUAGUGCAAGAAUGCAAUAGCUUUCAACCAAAAUUCACACUUGGAAAAUUUUGGAUACAAUUUAUGAUCUUUAAGGGUCUGAAGGAUGAUUCGGAGGUGAUCGGCAUGGUCCUCCUCACUCUUAGAAUAUACAAAAAUGUCAUCAAUGAAUACAAUGACAAACAGAUCCAAAAACUAAUGGAAAACCCUAUUCAUUAGAUCCAUGAAAGCUGCAGGGGCAUUAGUCAACCUGAAGGACAUGACUAAGAAUUCAUAAUGGCCAUAUCUGGUUUGGAAAGCUGUUUUGGGAAUAUCUGACUCUUUAACUUUCAACUGGUGAUAUCCCGAACAAAGGUCUAUCUUUGAAAAAUAUUUAGCACCCUGAAGUUGAUAAAAAAGAUCAUUAAUACUAGGAAGGGGAUAUUUAUUUUUAAUCAUGACCUUAUUCAACUGGAGGUAAUCUAUGCACAUACGAAGGGAACCAUCUUUCUUUCGCACGAAAGGUACAGGUGCACCCUAGGGAGACAAACUAGGGUGGAUAAAACCUUUAUCUAGAAGAUCUGCUAGUUGUUCUUUCAAUUCUUUUAGCUCUGCAGGAGCCAUCCUAUAUGGCAGAAUAGAAAUAGGAUGGGUAUCUGGUAAUAAAUUAAUACCAAAAUCUAUUUCCCUAUCAGGUGGUAUUCCUAGGAGAUCAUCUGGAAAGACUUUUGGGAAUUUAUUCACUAUGGGGACAGACUGAAGAGGGAGACUUUCAGCACUAGAAUCUUUAACCCGAAUAAGAUGAUACAAGAAAACUUUGGAAAUAAGUUUACGGGCCCUGAGAUAAGAUAUGAAAUGCCCUCUAGGUGAUAGAGAAUGUCUCUUCUAUUCUAUCACCGACUCAUUCAGAAAAGAAAAAUGACUCUUUGGGUCCUACAAUUCAAGGUGGCAUAGCACGAAUGGAGCCACUCCAUCCCAAAGAAGGCAUCCAAAUCAACCAUAUCAAGUUCUAUGAGAUCUGCCUCAGUAUCCCAGCCAAAAAUAGACAUAACACAAUUUCUAUACACCCUACUAGACACUACAAAAUCUCCCACCGGGGUGGAAACUGAAAAAGUUCAGCAAUCACCUCAGGCUUAAACCCAAAACCAACAGCCACGUAUGAGGUCACAUAAGACAAGGUAGAGCUGGGAUCAAGUAAUACAUACAUAGCACGGGAAAAGAUUUGCAACAUGCCGGUGACUAAAUCUGGUGAGGAAUCUACCUCCUGGCGGUUGGUCAAAGCAUAAAACCGAUUUUGACCAUUUCCGGCAGCUAAAGUGGAACCCUUCUGAGGUGGUGGCGCAGAUGAAUUCGCUUGCGGCUUGGCUCCUCCAACAUUAAUCUUUGCUGCCGGACAGUCUCUCUGGAUAUGGCCUGGCUGGCAGCAUGAAUAACACACCAAAGCGCCAAACUAACAUCUCCCUGGAUGAUUCCUCCCGCAUCUCCCACAGUGAGGAUAGGACCGAGAGGUCUGGGCUACACUUCCUUGCGACUGCAUACCUUACAUCCUCGACCCCUGACUAGACUGAAAAUUUUGGGUGUGCUGCUCAGCUGUGGGUCUGGACACUGGAGCACUACUACCGACUGUGCAUUACCCCAAUUCUUUUUCUUUAGCCAUUUGCCGCCGCAAUUACUGCUCUGCUAUUGUGUAUGACCCUGGUCUAUACUUUGGCUCUCUUUGCCUGCCUGUCCUUUUCCUUAGAUUCGGAUAUCUUCUUUUUCUUCUGCUCAACUUGCUGUAUGUAGACUGACAGUCUAGCAAAGUCCAUAUCCCUGUUCAGCAUAACUCCCUGACACUUAAGCACCAGAACAUCUGAAAGGCCGGAAAUAAACUUCCUCAUUUGGGCCCUCAUACUACUCGUCAUCUCAGGAGCAUAAUGGGCCAUCUGGUUAAAAUUUAAAGUAUCUUCUUGAACACUCAUCUUACCCUAUUUAAGGUUCAUGAAUUCCUCAGCUUUAGCUUCCCUCAGCUCCAGAGGAAAGAAUCGGUCAAGCAAAGCUUCUACAAACUCGUCCCAAACUGUGGGCUUAGCACUGUCACCCUUUGUAUCAUACCACUCGUUGUACAAUUGGUUCGCUACAUCCUUUAGCCGGUAUGCUGCUAGCUCAACAACCUCUACCUGAUCAACAUGCAUUACUUUGAAAAUCUUCUCCAUUUCGUCUAUGAACUCCUGCGGGUCCUUUUCUACCUUAGCGCCAGAUAACUUGGGCGGGUUCAUUCUUAUGAACUAGCCCACUCUAGUAACUUCAGAAGUAAUAGACGCAGACCAAGUAUCCUCUAACCUCUGAGUCUGUGCAGCUCCUAGCUAUGCAAGCAUGUGAAUAGAUUGUCUGAAUUCAGCAUUAGAAACCUCUUCUUCAUGAGGCUGAGAGCGACUGGACCCCAUCCGAGGAGCUCUAGGAGGACUAGUUGGUAUAGGAGGUACUCCCAGAGUAGGAACAGGUUCUUGGGUAUGAGCUCUAUUACGGGUCCGCAUCCCAUGGGUAGGAUGGACUUCAUCAUCCUGAGCAUUAACGUUCGUACGACGCGGAGGCAUCACUGGGUUUUUGAAAAGCAAGUGGUUAUUGAUUAGGGGAGAGAUUAGACUUUGAUGCACGAACUAAAUAAUGAACAAGAGGAAUAUUCUUAAAUACCUAGUAGCCUUCUGCUUGUAAGUGUGGCGCACUACACACCCAUAAACAAAACUCUACCCGACGCGAUUUCGCAGAUACCUUGGGACCAUAAACUGUGCUUUGAUACCAAGUUUGUCUCAACCCAAACUAAGGCCUGGCCGUGAAAGACAUACCGAGCCUCUAUCUGGUAAUCAUGUACAACAUUCAUAUAAUAAAGAAGAUGUCGAAACUUAAUCUGCUACGGAAAUAUGGUCAACUCAGUCUGCGAAAUCUCUACUACAUGAAAUCUGACAACUGUCUGAAACUGGGACAAGGCACCAGUAGACCAAAACUAAAAUAAGUGGCAUAAUCUGAGAAGACAGGCCUUCUGGAAUAGAUAAGGCUAACCACUGCACAUUCUGAUCAGCUGUCUAAAUUACUUAUCUGGACCUCUAGACUGAGUCUCAGAACUUGAGAGGUAGGGGGGAGGUAGUCAAUACAGAUGUACUGGUACGCAAAGCAUAUCCAAAAUAAUCAUUUAUAAAUCAACAUAUAUGAGAGCAAUUUAAAACAGUUCAUAAGUAUAUCAUGUAGUAAGAAUUCACAUGGGCAUUUUAAAGACUCUGUAAAAAUAAUCUCCGUUCUGAGAAAUCUAUGUUACUUCUGCACUAGGUGGUAUACCCUACAAAUCUAAAAAAUUCCAUGGGCUAUAUGGAAACUAUCAAUAACUCGGCCGCGAAGUCCCCAACCCAAGUGUGCCACAAGUAUCGGAGUCUCCGAAUCUACUACGCCACAUGGCCGUCGCCAGCAUACAAUAAUAAUCUACCCGUAUCGGCAAAUAUGGUUUCAGGCUAAGAGUUUAUUGAACUUGCGCCUUCUCCGGGUAACCACCUAACCCUCUUUAAGACCCUUUUUAAAACACUAUCAAAACAUACAGUCUCUGAAAACCUAAUAUUUUAUGGCAUAAAUACAUAUUCUGUUAUGGAAUAAAUAUAUAUGGUAUCGUCAUACAAUUGACUUGCAAGUCACAUAUCUGAGCCACUAUUAGUCUAUCAUAAAUCUCUGUAUUCAAAACACACAUUUUGAGACCAGCAUUUCAAUAAUUCAAUUCAAUGAAUCUUUCUUUUUUCAAACCUCAUGUUAACACAUGCAAUUCUUUCUCAUACACACAAGAACAUAUUGAUAUCAAGAAACACCCUCUCAACAAUUCCAAAUCAUGUUCAAAUGCCAAGAUAUUGCAAAAGCAUCUUUCAAAUCACAAAACCAUAAUCUUUAAUCCAAUACAAGAGAGGGAGUUUAUAAUAUAUGCUCUCAACAAUCUUAAAUCUCAAAUUAAUACAUAUACAUAUAUAUGUAAAUCAAUUUAAGGGAAAAGAACACAAGGCCAAAGCAAUAGUAGCAUUGAAACUUUUGAAAUGCAUGAUCAAUAAUAUAGUUUUCAAAACCCCCAUAAAAUACAUGCAUCAAAUCCUUUAAAUCAUGCUUUAACAAUUUUAAGCCCAUGUAGUUUUUAGGAUAAACCCAACGUACCUCGACUAUGAAGAAUAAGGGAUGAUCCUUUAAGCCCACGGUUUGAGGAUUCCAAAUCUUCAGUCAAUUUUGAAAAUUCACGGCUGAAUCUUUAGUUUCUUGGAGGAGAAGUAUAUGAACUAGGGUUUUUGUUUUGAGGAAAAUCUUGAGAAUGUCAUAUAUUCUGCUUGUAGAGGUCAUAAUCUACUGUUUGGACGUUUUAAGAGGAUUGAAAAAAGUCCAAAUUACCCUUGUUAACUUCUGAAUGAAGCUGGAAAAAAUUAAACUGGGAACCCGAUUUUAUGAGGCACCGCGAUGCGCCACUAUCGCGGUGGCUCACUGGAAAUUGACGAAUGGGAAUUUGGGAUCCUCCACAAUGCGCCACUAUCGUGAUUUCCAACUGGAAUUUGACAAUUGCUAAUUAAACCCUCUACGCGACGCGCUAAACACCCGAAUGACAAUGUUUUAUGACUAGCACAUAAAAUAGCCAUAACUUGUUCACUAGUUGUCCAAUUUGGACUAAUCUUAUAUCGACAGAAAGCUUAUUCAGUAAUCUGCGAAAUGAAAAGUUGAAAUCUAAGAGAUUCCACUGGGAAAAAAGUAUAAAUCAUUCAAGAAGUGAAGUCUUGAUAUUUUAGGGACAAAAUUUAGCUAUGAAAAACUUUGGGGCCUUACUAUAGCCUUACCUAGCUUUUUUCUCAGUGAUUCUUUAGCCAUGAUUCAUUUUGGCUAAGCUACGCAAAAAGUUUAGUUUAACUAUGACCCUUGCCAGCUCUGCGCCAAUUUUGAGAAGCUCUUUAGUAAACAAUUCCUUCUUUUUUACACGACUCGAGCAACAUAUAUAGGUUAGAAAAGAAGUGGAUCGGGUUUGAUCCAAGCCGAUCCACUUGCUGGGUUACUUCACCACCUUGGGAGAAGAUGAUUAUAAAUAUUUAAAUUGCUACAAAAAUUCCUUUUCCUUUUAUAUUUCAAGUUUAAUCAAUGGCAAGAAGAAGUUGCAGAUCAAAAGCGCAAUCUACCGAUUCACGUGAACUCAAUAGCUUUUGCUCAAACCCACUAAUACUUGGUUAAACCUAAAAAGUGCUUGCAGAAACAGCCUCUCUAUCUCUAUAGAGUAAGGUCUGCAUACGCUCUAACUUCCUUUCCUAGACCCCUUACGUGUGAGAUUUUGCUGUAGAUGUUGUUGUUGUUGUUUUCAAUUGUUGAGUGUCUAGUGACUAAACUUCAUUGAUUUACAGGAGAUUAUUAUUGUGUUUGCAGAUAUUGACUGACUACAACUGGUUUCCUUGAUGCUUGUUUUCCUUUAUCUUGAAUCUUUGGUGACUCGUUCUGGACACGGUCAAUAUCCUCUGCUGCUUGUUGUCGGCUAUCAGUAAGCCUCUCAUGUGCUCUUACCCUCUGGAUAUCCUCAUUUGCCAUUACAACUUCUGUUACGCUUAGUUGAAUUGUACGUGCAACAACAUUUACAACUUCUUUUAUCUGCACUUCCAAAUCUGUCAUUUCUCUAGAAACAUUGCUUUUCUCAAAGUUCUUGAGAAAUACUUCCAGGGAACAAACUUUUUCACGAAGAGCAAGAAAUUCUUCUCUGUGUUCACUAAUUAGAGAUUGCACUGGCAAAUUGGAUGUCACGACCAAUUCCAUUGUUCUCUUAAACCAUAUCUUUACUCUACAGUUUUAACAAAGAUUCCAUGUAUCUACAGUUUGUGAAACUAGUGCAACACAUUUUUUAACAACGCUCAAGAAGUUAAAGCUGGUUGGAACUCGUCUAGCAUGGGAGGACUUGAAUAUCAUAGGCCAAUAGCCUAACCUCGAGGUGCUGAAGCUGAAACCAAAUGCUUGUCGUGGCCUAGAAUGGCGUCCAAUUGAAGGAGGAUUUCGUAGGUUGAAGUUUUUGCUAAUUGAAAGUACAAAUCUGAAAUGUUGGCAAGAUUUCCUUUGCAUCGUGUUAUUGAGAUACAGUAGCCCAAGCAUGGACAUCAAAGCAAUGUAGAACGGAUACGUCAUCGUAAACUUCUUUCGCUAAAGUUGAAUUGCCAAUGCCUCCCAUACCGAUGAUUGGGAUGACCCUGAGUUCACCAGAGAAGCCUCUAGUCAAUUCUUGUAGCAACCUUUCCUUUUCAUUAUCACGCCCCACCAUAACAUUCCUAAUAUCUUUUGUUGAACUUGAAUCUUGAAUUUCAUUGUUGAAUUGUAUGUUCAACAACAUUUGCAACAUCUUUUAUCUGUGCUCCGAAAUCUAUCAUUGCCCCAGAAACAUUGCUUUUCUCAAAGUUCUUGAGAAAUACUUCCAGGAAGCUAACUUUUACACCAAGAGCGAGAAAUUCUUCUCUGUGUUCACUAAUUAGCGAUUGCACUGGCAAAUUGGAUGUAACAACCAAUUCCAUUGUUCUCUUAAGCCAUAUCUUGACUCUCAUGUUCCUUGUGCAGUUUUUACCAGAAAACUGCAAGUUUCAAGACCUCAGUGGUGUUACUACAUAUAAUACCAGUUUCAAACUGUAUUAACUCAAAAAAUAACUCUAACAACACAAAGUAAUAAACAAUUCAAUAACUGAAACCAUAAUGAAGAACAUGGCCGGAGUCAUAAGAACAUUUAUUAAGAGUUCAAGUUGGGAUGUGGCUAGAAAUAAUGGAAUCAGAACAAUAACAUGAAGACUCCUAGACACCACAAAACUAAGUGAUUGUCUCAUCGUAUAAAAUAAUCAUCAAACUCGAUCACAAUCAACCACGUGGUCUGCUAGUACUUGAAGGUGAAUUUGUAAAGUUACAUAAAAAGAGAAGGGAAGAAGGGAAUUAGUACAACAAAUCCUGUAAGUCUCAUAGACCAUGUGGCAAGGCUUUAUGCAUUACAGAAAAUUAAUGGAAACCAGUAUAAUACAAUACAGGGAUCAUUAGUCACAUAAGAAAGAUAUGUUACAAUACAAAAGUUAUGACAUCUCCUUGGAAACCACACAUUGCUUGUAACCGAUAAUUUUGUGGUAAUUUGCGACAGAGGAACCGAAAUGAAAUACCAAGAGUUCAAUCCUUCUGACCUUGAACUCCUUUACUAAUAUUCUUCUAAAUCAGAAUCACUCUCCCCGACUGAGAAGAAACAAAAAGGGUCAGUAGAAGUUUGACUAGUCACAUUGUUCAGAUGCAGAUUUAGAGCGUGUUCAACCAAACUCACAUCUUUCAACUCAACUUCAUCUGAGAGCUAAAAUACUUAUAUUACAUCUCAACUAACAAUUAUUUACUAAUUCAAGAAAUGAGCUGCAAAUAUUGAUGCAUAGUUUUAUAGAUUCUAUAAUCGAAACAUUCUUUAUCUCAAUUACCUUGAUAAUAUAUCAAAAAAUGAUUAUUCAAAAGUUUAAUUUUUAUAUUUUUUCUAUGAUAUAAUAUGUGUUCUUUAAAAAUAAUUAAUUUUUAUAUGGGGUAUAUGCACAACACAUUUCAUAGACUCUAUAAAACCGAAGAACGUAAUACAUUUACAUUUAUGAAAAACAUUGUGUGAUGAACUAACAUCAACAGUCUAUAACUCAUCAGUUCUGCAGCAUCAGCAUCUGAAUCUUCAUUAUCAUCAUGUUCUGCAGCAUUAGCAUCUGAUAUUUAUUCUUCUUCAUCAUCAUCAUCAUCGUCGUCAUCAUCUUCAUCAUCAGUAACUAAAUAAAGUCACGGAGGCAAAUUAUCCAAGGACCUUGUAACAACUGUAUGACAUGACUUGUGGAAAUGAGAAACAGAGUGUAACCUUAAUAAAUACUAUAUACUUACAUGGAUCGGAGAUACAAACAUCCACAGGGUUGUUUCUGAGGUCUUCUGGUUCUUUCUGAAUUCGUGCAGCAGAUUUUCCAAGUUCGGGAAGACACCAUUUUAACUGAAUCAGUUGUAGCGUGUUAAUAUCUGCAAACUCAAUCGGUAUCUCUUUCAAAUGAUGGCAACUUCUAAUCAUGAGGCGCUCAAGGACAGGAAAAUUGUCAUUUGUGGCUUUCCAGUACAUUAGAUCAUUAAAUUCAAUUAGCGAAAGUUUCAAUUUAUUAAAUCCCCUAACACUUGGAUACCAUUCUGGAUCAACACAAGCAUUACACAUCAGUUUCAGCCCCUCAAGGUUAGGCAACUCGGCUAUGAUGUCCAAGUACGACCAGCUUAGAAAAGUUCUUUCCAACUUAAACUUCUUGAGCGUUGUUUCCGAUGGGAGAUACGAACAUCCACAGGGUUGUUUCCGAGGUCUUCUUGUUCUUUUUGAAUUCGUGUAGAAGAUUCCUCAAGUUCGGGAAGACAGUCUCUUAACUCAAUCAGUUGUAGUGUAUUAAUAUCUGCAAACUCAAUGGGUAUCUCUUUCAAAUAAUAGCAACUUCUAAUCCUGAGGCGCUCAAGGAUAGGAAAGUUGUCAUCUGUGGCUUUCCAGUUCUUGAGACGAUUAUCUUCAAUUAAAAAAAGAUUCAAUCGAGUAAAUCCCUUAACAUUUGGAUGCCAUUCUUCGCCAAGACAAGCAUCAUCGAUCAGCUUCAGCAACUCAAGGUUAGGCAAUUCAGCUAUGAUGUCCAAAUACGACCAACUUAGAUAAGUACUGUUUAACUUCAUCUUCUUGGUCGUUGCUGGAAAAGCUUUUGCACUUGAUGGCAAAAGGUUACAACAAAUUAUAACACUCAAUGUUUCAAGUUGCUGUAGAUGGACAAGAUUGUUGAGAAGCCCAUUAAAGUCAGUCACAUUUCCAUAUCUACAGAUUCCUAAUUCUUUGACAUUUUGAAUCCCCAUAAUAACCUCCGUCGUGAAACAACGUGGAGACAAGUAAGAAAUAGUUUGUAACUUUGAAAAAUCCAAGUGCCUUCCUUUGUCAACAGAUCCACUUGGGCAAUCUGGCAAAUAAAAUGUGGGCUGUUUGAGAUACCUUAAUUGCAUUAGUCCCCAAAUUUGCAUUGGACAAGUUACAAAUGAUCGAUUAGGCCCUUUAACAUUGAAUGUCUGCAGAUUCCAUAACUUGGAAAUUUCUGGAGGUAUGUCAAACAUUUCCCUGCGGAAGAGCAAUGCUAGGUACCUCAACCAGAUGAGGCUUAGUAUCUAGGAAAAUUAUCAAUCUCUAUGUGUCUUAGCUCCAAGACUUAGAGUAAUUUGAAAUAAAUAAGCUCUGAGUUGAGAAUAAAAGAUGAAAAAUAACCACCGAAAGAGAAAAUAGAACGGGUUCGUUUCAAAAGAUUGCUGUUGUCAUGAUAUCUCAACUGACGAUGUACAGGGGUAAGAAGAGCCCUAUAAAGACCACAGGGUGAAGAAUCAAUUUCAUCACCAGUCACGCGCUUAAAGGGCUGCAUUUGCAUGAGAGAUUGGCAUUCUGAAGGAACAUGAUUUGCAUCUGAGUUACCAAACACAAUGUCGUUCAUGAUAAAAAUGUUCUCCCUUUGAAUUUCACUCAUGCACAGGUCAUAUAUUAGAUCAUGAACCUUACAUGAUCUAAUUUUUGUUCCAUCUAGACUUUUCUUGCAGAUGAGGACUAAACAUCUAUCGACAAGCUCUUGCAAACACUUCUCAGCCUCUCCUUCCAAAUCAUUUUCCAACUUCAGGAACCCCUCAGCCAUCCAUGAUCUCAUCAAUUUCUUCACUGCUAUACCACUGUCUUCUGGAAAAAUUCCGAAAUGCAGUAGGCAAGUUUUUAGAUCGCUAGUCAAGUGAAUGUAACUCAACCCAAGAACACGUGAACAUCGUUCAUCAGGAUCAUUUGUGACAAGUGACUUGACAUCUUCGCAACACUUCUCCAAUCUUCUAUUGACCAUUUGUAUUUGAGAAGUCCAGCAACCACGACAAUAGUUAGUGGUAACCCGUGACAUUCAUCUGCAAUUUGCUUCCCAACAGUCUCAAACUCAUAUGGUAAUGCUUCACUUGAGAAUGCAGAGCCUUUAAAAAGGUUCCAACUCUCAUCUUGAUCCAUGAAGUCCAUCUGCAUAGAAAGAUUCUCUGUACCAGCGUAACAGGGUACUUAAUUGUUACGGGUAGUCAACAGUAUUCGACUCCCUGCAUUGUUUUCAGUUGGAAAGCAUCGUCUCACGCCAUGUCACGACCCGAACCAGGGCCCUGGCCGUGACAAGCAUUCCAAAGCAUGAAGGCCCGAAACACCCCUAUCUAUCUGGUAAUCAUGCACAUAAUUCAUAUGAUAAUAAGAUAUGCGGAAGAUACACAAUAUUACGGAAAACAUGGUCAUAAAUCAAAUGAAAUCAGCAUAGGGGAAAUAAUGUCCCACAACAUCUAUCGACAUCUGAACAACCGUCUGCGAAAUCUCUAAUACAUGACUGAUACAAAUUACUGUCUGAAAACUGGGACAAGGCCCCCAGUAGACCCAAAACUACUAAAUGAUAAAUGAACUGACAGAUAUCAGGCCUUCCGAAAUAUAGAAGGCUCACCACUUGAUUCCGCAAAUCUGUCGGAAGAGAUCUACUGGUUAUCUGGACACCUAAACUGUGCCUCUAAACUUGGGAGGGAAGGGGGUCAAUACAAAAGUACCGGUACACAGAGAAAUCAAACACAAAAUAUAAUAUUUUUUCCAAAUAUAGGUGAGAGCCAUUAUAAAGCAGUUUCAUAGCAAAUCAUUUGAAAACACAUGGGCAUAAUGUAAUAGUUUUCAACAACAAUGUAAUGCAGUUGAGCUAGAUGGAAUACCCUAUAUAUAACAUUUACACCAACUGUCAAAUCUAGGUUGCCGUCGAGAUUAGAGUAUAAGUGAGGGGAAGACACACAAGAUCACACAGCAGGGUGUCUCGACCCAAUAAAGUAUAGUAGUGCCCAAGAUCACUUAGCCUGGGCUCUUAACUGUAGUCCAAAUUUGGGAAUGACAUAAAGUCUAGUGCACAAGAUCACUUAGCCUGGUACCAAAUCCCCAUGUUUGCAAACAUGGUUUCCAGCGAUGAGCCCUUACACUUAAACGCCUUCUUCGGGCAUCCACCUAUCUCAUGUAAAAUCAAUGCAUCAAACUCCAUUUAAUUCAAUCACAUAUCUUAUUCUGUAGGUCAUCAUCAUACCCGACUUGUAAGCCAUCAAUAUCAGAUCAUUCUUUCAGGCAACCAUUCUAUUCAUCAUAUUUCAACAUAACAACCCUCUCAUUACAAGUCAAAACCAUGACCAAUUUCAAAAUAUUUCAUGUCACGCUUGUUAAGAUGAUUACAAACAUUUCACAUCAUAUGAGAAUUUAAAACGAGAACAUAUAAAGAGAGGGAUUUCAUAUAAUUCAUGCUCUUAAGUUAACAUCUUUUUUGAAUACAUGCAUAGACAUAUAUACUAUAUCAAACCACUCCGGGAAUAGGCCUAAACGCCAAAUCUAUAUCAUAAAACGUUUAAAACGGGAUUAUAUUCAUAAUUUCAAAACCUCCACUUUUAAAACAUGAAUUUUUAAGCCCAUGAGAUUUUUGAGAUAACCCCACGUACCUCUAUAUGCGAAGAUGAUAGGUGCUUCUUGAAGCCUACGUUCUGGGGAUUUCAAAUAUUCAAUUAGUUUCAAAAACCCACGGUUGAAUCUUGAGUUUCUUAGUUUUUUAUUUUGAAACCCUAAGGAGAGUUCUUGAGCAAUUUUGAUGAAUGAAGGUGUAUUUUGGGGUAUUUGGGAACUAAAUUUCGUGUAUAUGGCUAAAUAAGGGUGGGAGAAGGACCAUUUUACCCAAAAACGGAGUGUUUAAGUCACUCUUUAUUUCACACAUUAGGUUGUGUGUCGCACACCUUAUGGCAUAAGUUAGGGUGUGCGUCGUACACCUUAUGUUGCUCGACACACUCCACUUUGUGAAGCCAUAACUUCUUCCUCGGGUGUCGAAUUUUUACAAAAUUGGUAUCGUUCGAAAGAUAAAUCGAAUACCUUUCAUUUAAUAUAUAGUAGGCACUCUAAUUCAAUAUAUACAAGGAGUAAUGGUCGAUUGAAGUUGAGCUAAGUUUCAACGCUCACUAAAAUUCGAACGAUAGGAAAACUUUCAACUUCUUCUUGAGCUUGGGGACCUCUAUGAUCUCAAUUCAUUCUCAAAUAGGUUUCCACGCUACAUAAUUUAUUAACACACUAAAUAUGGAUUGGAUUUCUGGCUUUUGGAACCUUUACGUGAAGGAAAUGACGAUUUUUGUUCUCGUCCGAAAUGCGGGGUGUUACAUUAUCUCCCCCUUGGGAUCAUUUGUCCCCGAAUGAUUGGUAGGAAUUUUUUCAAGCUUAAAGGUAUGGAGUAACGCGGACAUGAUUUGUCUUCUAAGAAAGGACAUAACGGAUCUGAAAUAUUUAAACUUCUAUUAUGAAACUGAAUUCUGAGCUGACUUGACUUUUCUUGCUUCAAGAAGCUGAUUCGUGCUGAAAAUUUAGGAUUCCCUUGAAAUAUUCAUGAUCCAAUCAUACAUAUUGAAAUUAGGAAGUGAUAACUUAUGAAAGUACGAAUCAUAAGACAUCAAGACUUAGAUCGUACAAGGGUAUUACACUAUCUGAGCUGAAAUACUUGAAAAAUUUUGAGAUUAAACGCUGAACUCGUAUGCACCGAGUCAUGAAUAGAUAGCUGAAUCAGAAACAUGAUACUUGGAAUGAACUGAACUCACAAUUUAUAUGGAUGGAAUAGAUUAUCUCUUGGGAAUGGCCAUACGCAUGAGACAUCGGAUAGUAGGCCUAGGUGAAAAGGUGGAAAAACCAUAGUAACUUGUCUGCCCGACUGUUAAAUUGAAUUACAGAAUUAUACUAGCCACUUAACUGGAGUAUCUCUUCAACACUCUCUCUAAAGAAGUUCUAGCAGUAAUAGGAAGCCACGAAUCAUGGGUAUGGACUACAUAAGACAUCCAACUGAAGGAAAUCACGACAUUUACACUACUCUGCGGUCUGGAAUAUAGAUAUAUAACUCAUAAAUUAGGAUAGAAUUUCCAGGCCUUAGUCAAUGCGACUUCUUACUUUAAAGAUUAGAACACUCCUCGAAUACUCCCUUAACUGUACUAUUACCCGUAGAUACCACAUUCAUACGAUCCAACAUAUUUGUUCUCAUAUUUACAUUUAUAAAUCUUUUUACUAAUGUCUAUAGUAACUUAAAUACUCUUUACCAUGAUUAGGCCUAAAUCCAACUCGCAAAAUACUACAUGCCCCUCCACAAUACAAGUCUCAACCAUAAGAUUCCACCUUCUAUAUCUCUUAAAAGAUCACACCCUAAGCCUAUCAUGUCUUACCACUUCAAUGGCUAACUCUGAACUAUUACUACGAAGUCACUAGCGCAUAUAGCGUUCCUUAACAAAAAUUCCAACAUGUCAUUCAAGCCUAUCUCUAUAACCAAAUAUGAACUUCAAAGUAAACACUCAUAAAGACACACUUCACAUAUUCUACUAACCAUCUAUUGAUAUAGCUCCCACACUCUACCCCAAGAACAUACACACACACCCCUUUCAGCUAACCAUCACAUGCAUCAAAGACUUGGCCCCAACCUUACUUCGCACUUAUGGUCUUAUCUAAAAUAAGAAUACUAUGAUAUUCCACCAACUAGAAACAUUUACUCAUCACCACUACCAUCACAUAAAGAGGAGUCACUAAAGAUUAGAACAUAAGAUCUUGAAGCAUGGAAGGAUGUUAUAUGAAACUUAACACUUAACUGAGGCCUGGAGAAUAGCAAAUCAAAAUCCAGGAUUUAUCAAGGAAAAAAAAAUCUGAAUUGGGGCAUACAUGGCUAUGAACUAUAUUCCACCUAUCGUAAUGAGUAUACCAUGAAUUAUGGGAACUGAGCACACUAUAAAGCAUGAAUACAUGAGUCAUGAGCUGUAUGACCUCAAUUUAGAGUUCAUAACAUAUGGAAUGUGAUUCCGACGGCUGAAUGNNNNNNNNNNNNNNNNNNNNNNNNNNNNNNNNNNNNNNNNNNNNNNNNNNNNNNNNNNNNNNNNNNNNNNNNNNNNNNNNNNNNNNNNNNNNNNNNNNNNNNNNNNNNNNNNNNNNNNNNNNNNNNNNNNNNNNNNNNNNNNNNNNNNNNNNNNNNNNNNNNNNNNNNNNNNNNNNNNNNNNNNNNNNNNNNNNNNNNNNNNNNNNNNNNNNNNNNNNNNNNNNNNNNNNNNNNNNNNNNNNNNNNNNNNNNNNNNNNNNNNNNNNNNNNNNNNNNNNNNNNNNNNNNNNNNNNNNNNNNNNNNNNNNNNNNNNNNNNNNNNNNNNNNNNNNNNNNNNNNNNNNNNNNNNNNNNNNNNNNNNNNNNNNNNNNNNNNNNNNNNNNCCACUGUUAAUACUACCUUCUGAGAUACACUUUAUCAUUCUAUAGACCCAGUAGUCAUCAUAUAAUACUUGCACACUUACUAACUUCGAGUCUUCAUAGAUAUCCCCAUAGUGGGAGUGCACACCCUCUAGUGCUUUAACUCUUAUUUCUAUUAGUUCAACCUUUAAAACUCAAACUUAGAAUCUAGCACUCAACAUGGAUAUCACCAAGCCUUCAAUGAAUCAUACUACUUCCAACAUAGCCUACUAAUAUCGCGACUCCAAACUUACAUUUCUCUACUAUGAGAAUCAAGAUCAUAUAAAAAGGCUCAACACUAUCAAUCAAAACUCCUUAACUUGGCUAUUUAAAACACCAUAUACCAUCUAACUAGUCUUUCUCCACCUAGCAACUCAACGGUACCACUCGUCACACAANNNNNNNNNNNNNNNNNNNNNNNNNNNNNNNNNNNNNNNNNNNNNNNNNNNNNNNNNNNNNNNNNNNNNNNNNNNNNNNNNNNNNNNNNNNNNNNNNNNNNNNNNNNNNNNNNNNNNNNNNNNNNNNNNNNNNNNNNNNNNNNNNNNNNNNNNNNNNNNNNNNNNNNNNNNNNNNNNNNNNNNNNNNNNNNNNNNNNNNNNNNNNNNNNNNNNNNNNNNNNNNNNNNNNNNNNNNNNNNNNNNNNNNNNNNNNNNNNNNNNNNNNNNNNNNNNNNNNNNNNNNNNNNNNNNNNNNNNNNNNNNNNNNNNNNNNNNNNNNNNNNNNNNNNNNNNNNNNNNNNNNNNNNNNNNNNNNNNNNNNNNNNNNNNNNNNNNNNNNNNNNNNNNNNNNNNNNNNNNNNNNNNNNNNNNNNNNNNNNNNNNNNNNNNNNNNNNNNNNNNNNNNNNNNNNNNNNNNNNNNNNNNNNNNNNNNNNNNNNNNNNNNNNNNNNNNNNNNNNNNNNNNNNNNNNNNNNNNNNNNNNNNNNNNNNNNNNNNNNNNNNNNNNNNNNNNNNNNNNNNNNNNNNNNNNNNNNNNNNNNNNNNNNNNNNNNNNNNNNNNNNNNNNNNNNNNNNNNNNNNNNNNNNNNNNNNNNNNNNNNNNNNNNNNNNNNNNNNNNNNNNNNNNNNNNNNNNNNNNNNNNNNNNNNNNNNNNNNNNNNNNNNNNNNNNNNNNNNNNNNNNNNNNNNNNNNNNNNNNNNNNNNNNNNNNNNNNNNNNNNNNNNNNNNNNNNNNNNNNNNNNNNNNNNNNNNNNNNNNNNNNNNNNNNNNNNNNNNNNNNNNNNNNNNNNNNNNNNNNNNNNNNNNNNNNNNNNNNNNNNNNNNNNNNNNNNNNNNNNNNNNNNNNNNNNNNNNNNNNNNNNNNNNNNNNNNNNNNNNNNNNNNNNNNNNNNNNNNNNNNNNNNNNNNNNNNNNNNNNNNNNNNNNNNNNNNNNNNNNNNNNNNNNNNNNNNNNNNNNNNNNNNNNNNNNNNNNNNNNNNNNNNNNNNNNNNNNNNNNNNNNNNNNNNNNNNNNNNNNNNNNNNNNNNNNNNNNNNNNNNNNNNNNNNNNNNNNNNNNNNNNNNNNNNNNNNNNNNNNNNNNNNNNNNNNNNNNNNNNNNNNNNNNNNNNNNNNNNNNNNNNNNNNNNNNNNNNNNNNNNNNNNNNNNNNNNNNNNNNNNNNNNNNNNNNNNNNNNNNNNNNNNNNNNNNNNNNNNNAAAUUUAAUACGCAAUAUCCAAUGAACUAAGAAUACACAUCUUACUCUGUAUAAAUAAAAUCGGAGUCAAACACUUCCUCCAUGGACUACCAUACCAUCCACACAUGCUACAAGUUACCACAUUAGUCUAUCACCAUAAGGGGGUAAAUCAUUCUCGAACAUCGAUUAUUCAACUAAAAUAUUCAUUUACAUAAAAGUCACCUUCGCUCUGACUUCUUACAUUGUGACUUCAUAUCACCAACUUCUUGGUCUAAUUUCACUACCAAUAGGUCAUGAAAACAACACUUUAACGCAUACUACUAUUCGGGUGGAAAUACUGUUCCAACAUUCUACUACACAUCAUUCCCCCUUAAGCAUGACAUUUGCAACAUAAAUUUGAAGGGGACUAAAUGCAAUUAAUACCUCAAGAUGAAAAGCAUGAUUCCAUCAGGAACAAUGUUUACAUCGGAAUUAAUACACAUUGAACCACUAAUAGACUCUUCUCAAGUCCUUGCACAAAUUUUAACUCUUAUAUGGUUCAAUCAGAAAGGACCAUAUCGUUUAAAUUCUAAACUUUUGCAUUUGAAUCACCUCAAUAAUGAGACAUAUCUGAGGACAUUUGAGUAAGGAAAGAAUUGGGGAUGACAUUUUUUUACUUUCGUAAGGGCGACACGAUAGCACGAAUUAGAGUAUGAAAGAGGAACAUUCUGACUCUAUUGCACGAACUAGAACAUGAAGAAAGAGAGAUAUUACUAAACGCCUAGUAGUAUCCUGCUUAUAAGUGUAGCGCGCUAUACACCCAUAAACAAGAUUCUACCCGAUGCGAUUUUUCAGACACCCUAGGACCAUGAACCGUGCUCUGAUACCAAGUUUUUCACAACCCAAACUAGGGCCCUAGCUGUGACAAGAAUUCCGAACCAUGAAGGCCCGAAACACCCCUAUCUAUCUGGUAAUCAUGUACAUAAUUCAUAUGAUAAUAAGAUAUGCGGAAGAUACACAAUAUUACAGAAAAGAUGGUCAUAAAUCAAAUCAAAUCAACAAUGGGGAAAUAAUGUCCCAUAACAUCUAUCAACAUCUGAACAACCGUCUGCGAAAUCUCUAAUACAUGACUGAAAUAAAUUACUAUCUGAAAACUGGGACAAGGCCCCCAGAAGACCCAAAACUACUAAAUGGUAAAUGAACUGACAGACAUCAGGCCUUCCAAAAUAUAAAAGAAUCACCACUUGAUUCUACAAAUCUAUCGGAAGNNNNNNNNNNNNNNNNNNNNNNNNNNNNNNNNNNNCUCGGGAGGGAAGGGGGCCAAUACAAAAGUACUGGUACGCACAGAAAUCAAAAACAAGAUAUAACAUUUUUUCCAAAUAUAGGUGAGAGACAUUAUAAAGCAGUUUCAUAUCAAAUCAUUUGAAAACACAUGGGCAUAAUGUAAUAGUUUUGAACAACAAUGUAAUGUAGCUGAGUUAGGUGGAAUACCCUACAUAUAACAUUUACAUCAACUGUCAAAUCUCGAUUGCCGCCGACAUUAGAGUAUAAGUGAGGGAAAGACACACAAGAUCACACAAAAGGGUGUCUCAACCCAAUAAAGUAUAGUAGUGCCCACGAUCACUAAGCCUGGGCUCCUAACCAUAGUCCCAAUUUGGGAAUGACAUAAAGUCAAGUACACAAGAUCACUUAGCCUGGUACCAAAUCCCCAUGUUGGCAAACAUGGUUUCCAGAGAUGAGCCCUUACACUCAAAUGCCUUCUUCUGGCAUCCACCUAUCUCAUGUAAAAUCAAUGCAUCAAACUCCAUUUAAUUCAAUCACAUAUCUUAUUCUGUAGGGUAUCGUCAUACCCGACUUGCAAGCUAUCAAUAUCACAUCAUUCUUUCAUGCAACCAUUAUAUUCAUCAUAUUUCAACAUAACAACCCUCUCAUUGCAAGUCAAAACCAUGACCAUUUUCAAAAUAUUUCAUGUCACGCUUGUCAAGAUGAUUUCAAAUAUUUCACAUCAUAUGAGAAUUUAAAAUGAGAUCAUAUAAAGAGAGGGCUUUCAUAUUAUUCAUGCUCUCAAGUUAACAUCUUUUUGGAAUACAUGCAUAUACAUAUAUCAUAUAUCCAACCACUUAAGGAAUAGGCCUAAAGACCAAAUCAAUAUCAUAAAACGUUUAAAACGGGAUUAUAUUCAUAAUUUCAAAACCCCCAUUUUUAAAACAUGAAUUUUUAAACCCAUAAGAUUUUUGAGAUAAUCCCACGUACCUCUAUAUGCGAAGAUGAUAGGUGCUUCUUGAAGCCUACGUUCUAAGGAUUCCAAAUAUGCAAUUAGUUUCAAAAACCCACGGUAGAAUCUUGAGUUGCUUGGGUUUUUAUUUUGAAAUCCUAAGGAGAGUUCUUGAGCAAUUUUGAUGAAUGAAGUUGUAUUUUGGGGUAUUUGGGAACUGAAUUUCGUGUAUAUGGCUAAAUAAGGGUAGGAAAAGGACCAUUUUGCCCAAAAAACAGAGUGUUUAAGUCACUUGAGUAAUAAUAUAUGCGGCGCACACCUUAUCGCAUAAUAUAGGUUGUGCUUCGCACACCUUAGGUUGUGCGUCGCACACCUUAUGGCAUAAGUAAGGGUGUACGUCGUACACCUUAUGCUGCACGUCACACUCCACUUUGUAAAGCCCUAACUUCUUCCUCGGAUGUCGGAUUUUUGCAAAAUUGGUAUCGUUCGAAAGAUAAUUCAAAUACCUUUCAUUUAAUAUAUAGUAGGCACUCUAAUUCAAUAUAUACAAAGAGUAAUGGUUGAUUGAAGUUGACCUAAGUUUCAACGCUCACUAAAAUUCGAAUGAUAGGUAAACUUUUAACUUGUCCUUGAGCUUGGGGACCUCUAUGAUCUCAAUUCAUGCUCAAAUAGGUUUCCACACUACUUAAUUUAUUAACACACUAAACUUGCAUUGGAUUUAUGGAUCUUGGACCCUUUACGUGAAGGAAAUGACGAUUUUCGUUCUCGUCCGAAAUGUGGGGUAUUACACGCCAUCCCACACUUCGCAACUCCAGAUAUCAUCCAAGACAAUAAAGUACCUCUUUCUUUUUAAACUUUUCUGCAGCAUGUACGCUAGCUCUGCUUCACCUUUCAUCUUAACCCUGUCAUCCAUUUUGGUCGUCGAUUGCAGAAGGCUCAACAAAAUUUUCUUUAUGGUUUGCUGUUAAGAUACAGUAGCCCAUGCACGAACAUCAAAAUGGCGUAGAAUUGAUUCAUUAUUGUAAACUUCGUUCACUAAGGUUGUUUUACCUAUGCCUCCCAUCUCGACAAUCGGGAUGACUUUGGGUUCACUAGAGUAGCUUCUCGUAAGAUCUUCUACCAACUGUUUCCUUUGAUCGUCAUGUCCAACCAUACUGUUUCCUCUGAUCGUCAUGACUCCCAAAUCAGCCCCUUGUUUCUUGAUAAACAAUGAGUGAUCAUUGGCACUCUGAGAAUAACUAGCUUUUAGAAGAGCUUCAGUAAGCUUGAUGUUCCAUUGUCUGGAUGCCUGCUUUAAUCCAUACUAAGACUUUCUAAGUUUGCAAACCUUAGAGUUAGAUGUUCCAUCUUGUUGAAAACCAAGAGGGAGAUCAAUGUAAAUGUCUUCAUGCAAAUCUCCUUGCAAAAAAGCAUUAUUUACAUCCAUUUGAUAAAGAUCCCAUCCAUUAGAGACUGCUAGGUUGAGGACUAUUCUGAUAGUAACCAUCUUUGCAACUGGGGAGAAGGUCUCAUGGUAAUCCAAACCUUCUCUUUAAGUGUAACAUUUUGCAACCAGUCUAGCUUUAUAUCUAUCCACCUUACUAUUAGCUUUGUACUUAAUUUUGUAUACCCAUCUUAAGCCAAUUGCAUUUUCUCCUGGAGGCAGAUCUACAAUAGUUCAUGUGUUGUUGUCUUCUAAAGCUUGUAUCUCCUGCUACAUAGCAUCAAUCCAAAGUUUGUCUUAAAAGGCUUCAUGAAAUGAGGUGGGUUCCACAGUAACUGAGAAAGCUUGCAAAUAAGCUUUAUAACCUGUAGUAAUAUUAUCAUAACAUACAUGGUUAGUAAUGGAAUAAGGACUAGAUUUUUUGGGCACAACAUAAUCCUUGAUCCAUAUAGCAGGUUUGCUAGUUCUAUGCAUUUUUCUAACACCCCCCAGUGGUCUAUUAAAUCUAAACAAGAUCUGCAUGUAUUGGUGGCACUAAAAUUGCCUCAUCAUAUGGAAGUACUGAAGGUUCCUCACCAGAUGGAACAUCAGUCUCUACAUGUUCCUAAUGUGAAUCAUUCCAUGAGAUUCUUUUUCAGCAAGAGAAUCAGGCUCUAAGGCACCAUUAUGAAGUAAAGAUGUAACAGCUCCUGUAGAGUGUGUCUGAGGGUUGCAGCACUGGCUGUUGAAUAGACAAAGCAUGGUCUUUCAAAUGUGAAAGGUCCAAAAAUGGAGCCAUUAGUGGAGAAGCAUCCCCAGUUGAUUGCAAAACUUUGAAGGGAAACAUUUCUUCUUGAAAAGUAGUAUCUCUUCUAAUGAAACAACUUUUGUUGUCCAAAUCAUACAGUUUAGAUCCUUUUUGUGUAGUAGAAAAUUCUAGUAACAUAUCCUUCCUUGCUCUAUACUCAAAUUUGCUACCUCUAGGUAAUACACUAGCAAACCACAAGCAACUAAACUGUCACGACCCGAACCAGGGCCUGGCCAUGAUGAGCAUUUCGAACCAUGGCGGCCCGAAACACCCCUAUCUGUCUGGUAAUCAUGCAUCUAAUUCAUAUGAUCAAAGUAAUACGGAAGAAACCCAAUAUAACGGAAACAUGGUCAAGAAUCAUAUGAAAAUGAAAAUGGAGAAUAGUGUCCCACAAUCUAAAUUAACAUCUCUAAAACUGUCUGCGAAAUCUCUACUACUUGGUUGAAACAAUGUCUAUCUGAAAACUGGGACAAGGCCCCCAGUAGACCAUAAAACUGAAUAUAAGGUAAAAAGACUGCAGGACAAAAGACCUUCCGAAACAUAGUAGGCUCACCACUUGUCUUUGCAACUCUGUCUGAAUGAUCUACUGAUUCUCUUGACCCCUAGACUGGGCCUCUGAACCUGAGAGGUUGGAGAGGGGAGGGGGUCAGCACAAAAGUACUGGCACGCAAAGUUAUCAAAGAAAAACAUAAUAUUUUUACAAAAUAUAGUUGAGAGCCAUUAUAAAGCAAUUUCGUAUCAAAUCAUUUGAAAGAACAUGAGUGUAAUGCAAUAGUUUUUCUCUACAAUAAUGAAUGCAACUGAGCUAGGUGGAAUACCCUACAUAAUUUACACCAACUGUCAAACCUCGUUUGCCACCGAGAUUAGAGUAUAAGUGAGGGAGAGACACACAAGAUCACACAGCAUGGAGUCUCGACCCGAUGGUAGUGCCCAAGAUCACUUGGCUCGGGCUCCUACCUAUAGUCCUAAUUUGGGAAUGACAUGAAGUCAAGUACACAAGAUCAGUUAGCCUAGUUCCAAUAUUCCGUGUCGGCAAACACGUUUUUCCAGCGAUGAGCCUUUGUGUCCCAAACGCCUUCUUCGGGCAUCCACCUUUCUCAUGUAAAAUCAAUGCAUUCAAAUUUCAUCUUAUUCAAUCACAUGUAGUAUUCUGUAGGGUAUCGUCAUACCCAACUUGUAAGUCAUCAAUAUCACAUCCACAUAUGCAUAAUCAUGUAAAAACCAAGGUGCUUCGUCAUUUACAAGUGGUGAACAAUAUUUAUUUCAAAUUCAUGUUCUCUUUUGUUGAUCACAAUAUAAUAUGGAGUAUCGAAACAUUAUCAUGGGAAUUGGAAAACAAUUUAUCAGUCAUAUUUAUCAAACUUUCAUGGAAAAUCUCAAAUCACAUAUGCAUGGUUUCAACCAUUGAAGUGAAUAGGCAAACAAUUCCCAUGACAUAAAGAAAAUGACUUAGACAUCAUGUUGAAAGCAAGAUAUUAGCAUUUGAUUGAAACACCCCAUUUAAAAGCAUGCAUGUUUUCAAAAACUACACCCAUGAGAUUUUUGGAUAACCCCACGUACCUCUAUUUCCAAGGAUAAUAAAUAUGUCUUGAAGCUUGGGGAUUGUUGAUUCCAAAUAUGCAAUUAUCUUUGAAAACUUAUGGUCAAAUCUUGAACUAUUUGGGUUUUUAUUUUGAAACCCUAAGGAGAAUCUUGAGCACUUUUGAUGAAAGAAUAUGUAUUUUGGGGUCCUUGGAACAAAAUCUCGUGUUUUAGGGCUAAGUAACGGUGGAAAAGGACCACUUUUUCCUCAACACGGAGUGUUUAAAUCACUAGAAUUCCUCCCAUAGGCACCGCCCAUCCCGUGGUCUAUGUUCACAUAGGCGCCGCCUAGGCCAUUGCCAAUGUUUACAUAGAUGCCGCCUAGGCUAUCGUCUAUGUUUACAUAGGCGCUGCCUAGGCUAUUGCCUAUGCUUUCCAGUGGCCAUGGGCGAGUGGUUUGGCGACGCUUCUUACUUUGAAGGGCCAUAACUUCUUGCUCGGGUGUCAGAUUUUAACCAAAUUGGUAUCGUUGGAAAUCUAACUUGAAUACCUAUCAUUUGACACUUAGUAAGCUUCCUAAUUCGACAUAUGUGGAGAGUUAUUGUCAAUGGAAGCUGACACAGUUUACAACGUCCAGUAAAACUUAGUCGAUCGAAAUAGUUUUAACUCAUCCUUGAGUUGAAGGACCUCUAUGGUCUAAAUUCAAGCUUGAGUGGAAUCACAUGCUACACAAUAAUUAAUAUGCCAUAUUGGCAUGGGAUUUUAUGGCUUCGGGAUUAGCAACACAUCAAAAUCAUAGUCUAUAUUGUAGCCCGAAUUGCGAGGAAUUACAUUAUCCUCCCCUUAGGAUCAUUUGUCGCCGAAUGAUGGUACAGGAAACAAACAGGCACGAUUUCAAGCAUAAUAAAGGACUAGGAAAGAUGAGAUAGGAAUAGUAACUUUUGUCUCCUCCUCCGUCGAAGCAAACAAAUUGGGAUAUCUAAUUCUCAUGUCAUCUUCUAACUCCCAAGUUGCUUCUUUGACUUUCUGAUUCCUCGAUAGUACCUUUACUGAGGCUAUCUCUUUGCUUCUCAGCUUUUGAACUUGGCGAUCUAAAAUUUCAACGGGCUCUUCUUCGUAAGAUAAGGAGUCUAUAACUUUCAUACCCUCUACUGGCAAUACCGUAGAAUGAUCUCCAAUGCAUUUAUUCAACAUGGAUACAUGGAAUACCAGAUGAACGAAACCCAAAAUUGCAGGAAAUUCUAACUCAUAUGCAAUUGGACCAAUAUUCUUUAAAAUCUGAUAUGGACCUACAUAACGAGGGCUCAAUUUACUUCUUUUUCCAAACCACAUAACUCCAAUCGUAGGAGAAACCUUGAGAAACACCCAAUCACUAAUUUCAAACUCUAGUUCUCUUCUUCGAACAUCAGCAUAGGACUUUCGACGACUCUGAGCAGUCUUGAGUCAUUCUCUAAUGAUUUUCACUUUCUCUAUCGCUUGAUGAACAAGAUCAGGCCUAUACAACUGAGUCUCACCCACUUCAUACCAUCCGAUCGGAGACCUACAUCUCCUCCCAUAGAAAACCUCAAAAGAAUCCAUCCUGAUGCUAGCAUGGUAGCUAUUAUUGUAAGCGAAUUCAACCAGUGGCAGGUGAUGUACCCAACUACCUUUGAAAUCAAUGACGCAUGCCCUCAACAUAUCUUCGAGGGUAUGAAUAGUACGCUCAGCUUGCCCAUCCAUCUUAGGGUGGAAAGUUAUGCUCAAAUUCACUUGUGUACCUAAACCCUUCUGAAAGGAUCUCCGAAACUAAUAUGAAAACUGCAUACCUCUAUCGAAUAUAAUAGACACGGGUGCCCCAUGCAAUUGACCUAUCUCCUCAAUGUAAAUCUUAGCAUAAACCUCUCCUGAAUAAUUAGUCCUCACAGGCAAAAAGUGGGCUGACUUGGUCAACCGAUCUACAAUCACCCAUAUAGAAUCAUACAGGUUUCGGAAUCUCAGAAGUCCUGUAAUGAAGUCAAUGUUUAUCAUCUCCCAUUACCAUAAAGGCAGGGCUAUCUCUUGGAAAGUACCACCUGGCCUCAUGUGUUCUACCUUAACUUAUUGACAGUUCAAACACUUGGACACAAAAUCAGCUACAUCACAUCUUAUGUUAUUCCACCAAUAAAAGGUUUUCAGAUCAUGGUACAUCUUAGUAGAGCCUGGGUGAAUAACAUACCUCGAAGUGUGCGCCUCAUUAAGGAUUCUUUCCCGUAGCCCAUCGACAUUCGGAAUGCACAACGAACCCUGAAAUCUCAGAAUACCACGCCACCAAUUUUAAAUGACAUAACCUUUUGUUGACCCACAUCUUUCUUGAUUUGCAUCAAGAUGGGAUCUUCAACCUGCUUCUCCUUAACUUCAGCACAAAGAGAUGACUUAUCUAACUCAUGAACAAUCACCCCUCCAUCUUCGAAAUCUAAGAGUCACACUCCCAGAUUUCGAAGGCGAUGAAUAUCCUUCACCAUCUCUUUCUUUCCUUUUUCUACAUGAUAAAGGUUUCCCAUAGACAACCCGCUGAGGGCGUCGGCUACAACAUUUGCCUUGCCCAGAUGGUAAUGCAGACUAAUAGAAUAGUCUUUCAAAAACUCCAUCCAACGCCUCUGCCUGAGGUUCAAUUUUUUAUGUGAUAAAACAUACUGUAAACUCUUAUGGUCAGUAUAAAUAUCAACAUGCACUCCAUAGAGAUAGUGCCUCUAGAUUCUAAGUGCAAACAUCACGGCUGCUAACUCCAAGUCAUGAGUAGGGUAAUUGCGCUCAUGCACCUUUAACUACCUAGAUGCAUAAGCUAUCACCUUACCACGCUGCAUCAAUACACAACCAAGUCCCACAUGGGACGCAUCACAGUAAACCACAAAAUCAUCUACACCCUCGGGAAGGGUCAAAAAAAGAGAAGUAGUCAGCUUGUCUUUCAAUUUCUCAAAACUAUUUUCACACAAGUCAGACCACACAAACUUCAUCUUUUUCUGAGUCAAUUUAGUAAGUGGAGCAGCUAUGGAAGAAAAACUAUCUACGAACCUUCUAGAAUACCCCACCAAACCCAAGAAGCUUCAAAUAUCAGUUGGAGUCGUGGGUCUUGGCCAUUUUCUCACUACUUUAACUUUAUGGGGAUCCACUCUUAUCCCGGCGCUGGACACAAUAUGCCACAGGAAGGCAAUAGCUUCUAACUAGAAUUCACACUUAGAAAAUUUGGCAUACAGCUGAUGAUCCUUAAGGGUCUGAAGGAUAAUUCGGAGGUGAUUGGCGUGAUCCUCUUUACUCUUAGGAUAGAUCAGAAUAUCAUCAAUAAAUACAAUGACGAACAAGUCAAGAAACUGACGGAACACUCUAUUCAUAAGAUCCAUGAAGGUUGCAGGGGCAUUAGUCAACCCAAAGGACAUGACUAGAAAUUUGUAGUGACCAUAUCGGGUUCGGAAGGCUGUCUUGGGUAUGUCUGACUCCCUAACUUUCAACUGAUGAUAACCCGAACGAAGGCCUAUUUUUGAAAAACACUUGGCACCCUAAAGCUGGUAAAAAAGGUCAUAAAUUCUAGGAAGAGGAUAUUUAUUUUUAAUCAUGACCUUAUUCAACUGAUGGUAGUCUAUGCACAUCUGAAGGGACCCAUCCUUCUUUCGCACGAAGAGCAUGGGUGCACCCCAUGGGUAAACACUAGGAUGAAUAAAACCUUUGUCUAGGAGGUCUGCAAGUUGUUUCUUUAACUCCUUUUGUUCCGCAAGAGCCAUUCUAUAUGGAGUAAUAGAAAUAGGACGAGUACCUGGCAACACAUCAAUGCCAAAAUCCAUCUCCCUAUCAGGGGGUAUCCCUGGGAGAUCUUUAGGAAAGACUUCUGGGAAUUCAUUCACUACAUGGACUGACUGCAGAGGAAGGUUUCCAACUUUUGAAUCAUUUACUCAGAUUAGAUGAUACAUACAACCUUUGGAGAUAAGAUUUUGAGCUCUAAGAUAAGAGAUAAAGUGACCUCUAGAUUCCACAGAACUCCCUACCCAUACAACUGGUGUCUCAUUCGGGAAAGAAAAAGUGACCUUUUGGGUUCUGCAAUCAAGGAUGGCAUAACACGAAUGGAGCCAGUCCAUCCCAAGGAUGGCAUCAAAAUCUAUCAUACCCAGUUCUAUAAGGUCUGCCACAGUUUCACUACUAUGAAUAGACACGGCACAAUUUCUAUAUACCCUUCUAGGAACAACAAAAUCACCUACAGGAGUAGAAACAGAAAAGGGUUCUACAAUAACUUCGGGCUCAAACCCGAAACCAACAGCCACAUAAGGGGUCAAAUAAGAUAAAGUAGACCCGGGACCAAGCAAUACAUAAACAUCACGAGAAAAGAUUUGCAACAUAACAAAGACAACAUCUGGUGAAGCUUCCGCCUCCUGGCAGUUAGUCAAAGAAUAUAACCGGUUGCGACCGAUUCCGGCAGCUGAAGGGGCACCCUUAGGAAAAGGAGCUGUGGAGGCGGCUUGGGACUUAGCCCGACCCCCGCAUUUACUUCAGCAGAUGGACAAUCUUUUUGAAAGUGACCUACUUUGCCACAUUUAUAGCAGUUUCUCCCCUUAAACCAGCACUUCCCUAGAUGAUUCCUUCCGCAAACCUCACACUGUGGACGAGUACGAUGCUGCUGGGCCACACUGCCCUAAGACUAUGUACCUAGAGCUUUGGACCCAUAAGGAGUCUGAAAACUCUGAGUUUGUCUGUCUGUCGGUGGUUUGGGUGCUGGGGCGCUGGCUGUUGACUGUGCAUUUCCAAAACUUCUCCCUCUUCGACCACUUAUUACCCCAGUUACCACUCCACGGCUGACUCUGGUGCUGGUCCACAGAUCUAGCUCUCUUAGCCUGUUUGUCUUUCUCUCUAGAUUCAACAAUCUUUUUCUUCUUCUCUUCUACUUGAUGUAUAUGAACGGUCAGUCGAGUAAAGUCUAACUCCUUAUUCAACAUAGCCCCCUGGCACUCAAGUACCAGGUCAUCAGCAAGGCCAGAUGCGAAUUUUCUUAUACGAGCCCUUAUAUUACUAGUCAACUCUGGUGUAUAGCGGGCUAGUUUAUUAAAGUUCAAAGUGUACUCCUAGACACUCAUACUGCCCUGCUUCAGAUUCAUAAAAUCUUCCAAUUUGGCCUCCCUUAACUCUAGAGGAAAGAAUCAAUCAAGGAAAGCUUCCACAAAUUUUCCCCAAACUGUAGGCUAAGCACUUUCACCUUUUUCAUCUUCCCAGUCGGCCUACCACUAACUCACAACGUCCUUGAGCUGAUAGGUUGGUAGCUCCACCACUUCAACCUCAUCCACAUGCAUCACCUAUAAGAUUGUUUCCAUCUCAUCCACUAACUCCUGUGGAUCUUCCUCCACCUUAGUGCCAGUGAACUUAGGUGGGUUCAUCUUUAUUAGAUGUCUGACUCUAGUAGCCUCAGAUGUAAUAGAUGCAGACACAACAUCUUCUGAUUGUUGAACCUGGUUAGCUACCAACUGUGUUAGAAUAUGAAUAGAACAUCUGAAUUCUGCAUUUGAAAUAUCUCACUGAGCAGUUGGGGGACGGUUGGCAUUAGUCCAAGGAGCCCGAAGUUGACUGGUCAAGACUGGAGGGACUCUCGGAGUAGGGCCAAAUUCUGGAGUGUGAGCCCUGUUAUAGGUCCGCAUCCCAUGGGUGGGACGGACCUUAUCUUCCUGAGCAUUCUGAUCAACCAUAUGACGUGGAGGCAUAACUAUGUUUCUGAAACACAAGUGAUCAUUGAUUAGGGGACAGUUCAGACUCUGAACCACGAACUAAAUUGCAAAUAAGGGAAACAUUUCCUAAACGCCUAGUAGCCCCAUGCUUAUAAGUGUGGCGCGCUACACACCUAUAAACAAAACUCUACCUGACGCAAUUUUGCGGACACCCUGGGACCAUGAACUGUGCUUUGAUACCAAGUUUGUCACGACCCAAAACAGGGCCUUUCCGUGAUGAGCAUUUCGAACCAUGGAGGCCCAAAACACCUCUAUCUGUCUGGUUAUCAUGCACCUAAUUCAUAUGAUCAAAGUAAUGUGGAAGAAACACAAUAUAGCGGAAACAUGGUAAAGAAUCAUAUGAAAAUAAAACUGGGGAAUAGUGUCUGACAAUCUAAAUUAACAUCUCUAAAAUCGUCUGCGAUAUCUCUACUACUUGACUGAAACAAUGUCUAUCUGAAAAUUGGGACAAGGCCCCCAACAGACCAUAAAAUUGAAUAUAAGAUAAAAGGACUGCAGGACAUAAGACCUUCCGAAACAUAAAAGGCUCACCACUUGUCUUUGCAACUCUGUCUAAAUGAUCUACUGGUCCUCUUAACCCCUAGACUGGGCCUCUGAACCAGAGAGGUUAGAGAGGGGAGGGGGUCAGCACAAAAUUACUUACAUGUAGAGAUAUCAAAGAAAAAUAUAAUAUUUUUACAAAAUAUAGUUGAGAGUCAUUAUAAAGCAAUUUCGUAUCAAAUCAUUUGAAAGCACGUGGGUGUAAUGCAAUAAUUUUUCUCAACAGUAAUGAAAUGCAACUGAGCUAGGUGGAAUAUCCUACAUAAUUUACACCAACUGUCAAACCUUGAUUGAUGCCGAGAUUAGAGUAUAAGUGAGGGAGAGAAACGCAAGAUCACAUAACAUGGAGUCUCGACCCAUUGGUAGUGCCCAAGAUCACUUGGCUCGGGCUCCUACCUAUAGUCCCAAUUUGGGAAUGACAUGAAGUGAAGUACACAAGAUCACUUAGCCUAAUACCAAUAUUCUGUGUCGGCAAACACUUUUUUCCAGCGAUGAGCCCUUGUGUCCCAAAUGCCUUCUUCGGGCAUCCACCUUUCUCUUGUCAAAUCAAUGCAUUCAAAUUUCAUCUUAUUCAAUCAUAUGUCGUAUUCUGUAGGGUAUUGUCAUACCCGACUUGCAAGUCAUCAAUAUCACAUCCACAUAUGCAUAAUCAUAUAAAAACCAAGGUGCUUCAUUAUUUACAAGUGGUGAACAAUAUUUAUUUCAAAUUCAUGCUCUCUUUUGUUGAUCACAAUAUAAUAUGGAGUAUCAAAACAUUAUCAUGGGAAUUGGAAAACAAUUUAUCAUUCAUAUUUAUCAAACUUUCAUGGAAAAUCUCAAAUCACAUAUGCAUGGUUUCAACCAUUGAAGUAUGUAGGCAAACAAUUCCCAUGACAUAAAGAAAAUGACUUAGAAAUAAUGUUGUAAGCAAGAUAUUAGCAUUUGAUUGAAAACCCCCAUUUAAAAGCAUGCAUCUUUAUAAAAACUACACCUAUGAGAUUUUUGGAUAACCCCACGUACCUCUAUUUCCAAGGAUAAUAGAUGUUUCUUGAAGCUUGCAGAUUGUUGAUUCAAAAUAUGUAAUUAUCUUUGAAAACCUACGGUCAAAUCUUGAACUAUUUGGGUUUUUAUUUUGAAACCCUAAGGAGAAUCUUGAGCACUUUUGAUUAAAGAAUAUGUAUUUUGGGGUCCUUGGAACUAAAUGUCAUGUUUUAGGGCUAUGUAAGGGUGGAAAAGGACCACUUUGUCCUCAACACGGAGUGUUUAAAUCACCAGAAUUCCUUACAUAGGCGCCGCCCAUCCCGUUGCCUAUGUUCACAUAGGCGCCACCUAGGCUAUCGCCUAUGUUUACAUAGGUACCGCCAAGGCUAUUUCCAGUGCUUUCUAGUGGCCAUAGGCGAUUGGUUAGGCGACGCUUAUAACUUUGAAGGGCCAUAACUUCUUGCUCGGGUGUUGAAUUUUAGUCAAAUUGGUAUCGUUGGAAAGCUAACUUGAAUACCUAUCAUUUGAAACUUAGUAGGCUUCCUAAUUCGACAUAUACUGAGAGUUAUGGUCGAUGGAAGCUGACACACUUUACAGCGUCCACUAAAACUUAGUCGAUAGAAAUAAUUUCAACUCGUCCUUGAGUUGAAGAACCUCUAUGGUCUAAAUUCAUGCUUGAGUGGAUUCACAUGCUACACAAUAAUUAACAUGCCAUAUUGUCAUGAGAUUUUAUGGAUUCGGGAUUAGCAACGCAUCGAAAUCAUGGUCUAUAUUGUAGCCCGAAUUGCGGGGCAUUAUAUUAUCCCCCCUUAGGAUCAUUCAUCCCUGAAUGAUGAUGCGGGACACAGAAAGAGACGAUUUCAAGCAUAAUAAAAGAUUAGGAAAGAUAAGAUUGGAAUAGUACCUUCUGUCUCCUCCUCCAUCGAAGCAAACAACUUGGGAUAUCUAAUUCUCAUGUCAUCUUUUUACUCCCAAGUUGCUUCUUCGACUUUCUCAUUCCUCCACAGUACCUUUACUGAGGCUAUCUCUUUGCUCCUCAGCUUUCUAACUUGGGGAUCUAAAAUUUCAACGGGCUCUUCUUCGUUAGACAAGGAGUUUGUCACUUUGAUACCCUCUACUGGCAAUAACGUAGAAUGAUCUCUAAUGUAUUUCUUCAACAUGGAUACAUGGAAUACUGGAUGAGCGGAACCCAAACUUGCAGGCAAUUCUAAUUCAUAUGCAACUGUACCAAUCUUCUUCAAAAUCUGAUAUGGCCCUACAUAACGAGGGCUCAAUUUACCCCUUUUUCCAAACCGCAUAACUCCAAUCAUAGGAGAAAUCCUGAGAAACACUCAAUCACCAAUUUCAAAUUCUAGUUCUCUUCUCCAAACAUCAGCAUAGGACUUCUGACGACUCUGAGCUGUCUUGAGUCAUUCUCUAAUGAUUUUCACUUUCUCCAUCGCCUGACGAACAAGAUCAGGACCAUACAACUGAGUCUCUUCCACUUCAUACCAUACUAUCGGAGACCUACAUCUCCUCUCAUACAAAGCCUCAAAAGGAGCCAUCCUGAUGCUGGAAUGGUAGCUGUUAUUGUAAGCGAAUUCAACCAGUGGCAGGUGAUCUACCCAACUACCUUUGAAAUUAAUGACGCAUGCCCUCAACAUAUCUUCGAGGGUCUGAAUGGUAUGCUCAGCUUUCCCAUCCAUCUAAGGGUGGAAAGUUGUGCUCAAAUUCACUUGUGUACCUAAACCCUUCUAAAAAGAUCUCCAAAACUGAGAUGAAAACUGUGUACCUCUAUUGAAUAUAAUAGACACUGGUGCCCCAUGCAAUCAAACUAUCUCCUCAAUAUAAAUCUUAGAAUAAACCUCUCUCAAAUAAUUAGUCCUCACAGGUUAAAAGUGGGCUGACUUGGUCAACCGAUCUACAAUCACCCAUAUAGAAUCAUACUGGUUUCGAGAUCUCGGAAGUCCUUUAAUGAAGUCCAUGUUUAUCAUCUCCCACUUCCAUAAAGGCAGGGCUAUCUCUUGGGAAGUACCACCUGGCCUCAUGUGUUCUACCUUCACUUGUUGACAGUUCAAACACUUGGACACAAAAUCAACUACAUCAUAUUUCAGUUAUUCCACCAAUACAAGGUUUUCAGAUCAUGGUACAUCUUAGUAGAGCCUGGGUGAAUACAUACCUUGAAGUGUGCGCCUCAUUAAGGAUUAGUUCCUAUAGCCCAUCGACAUUCGGAAUGCACAACCUACCCUGAAAUCUCAGAAUACCAUCGCCACCAAUUUCAAAUGACAUAACCUUUUGUUGACCCACAUCUUUCUUGAUUUGCAUCAAGAUGGGAUCUUCAACCUGCUUUUCCUUAACUUUAGCACAAAGAGAUGACUUAGCUAACUCAUAAACAAUCACCCCUCCAUCUUUGGAAUAUAAUAGUUGCACUCCCAGAUAUGCAAGGCAGUGAAUAUCCUUCACUAUCUCUUUAUUUCCUUCUUCUACAUGAUAAAGGCUGCCCAUAGACAACCUACUGAGGGCAUCGGCUACAAUAUUUGCCUUGCCCGAAUGGUAAUGCAGACUCAUAUCAUAGUCUUUCAAAAUCUCCAUCCAACGCCUCUGCCUGAGGUUCAAUUCUUUCUGUGAGAAAACAUACUCUAAACUCUUAUGGUCAGUAUAAAUAUCAACAUGCACUCCAUAGAGAUAGUGCCUCAAGACUCUAAGUGUAAACACCACAGCUGCGAACUCCAAGUCAUGAGUGGGGUACUUGUGCUCCUUUAACUGUCUAGAUGAAUAAGCUAUCACCUUACCACGCUGCAUCAAUAGACAACCAAGUCCCACAUGGGAUGCAUCACAAUAAACCACAAAAUCAUCUACACCCACGGGAAGGGUCAAAAUAGGAGAAGUAGUCAGCUUGGCCUUCAAUUUCUCAAAACUGUUUUCACACAAGUCAGACCACACAAACUUCAUCUUUUUCUAAGUCAGUUUAGAAAGCAGAGCAGCUAUGGAAGAAAAACUCUCUACGAACCUUCUGUAAUACCCCGCCAAAUCCAAGAAGCUCCAAAUAUCGGUUGGAGUCGUGGGUCUGGGCCAUUUUCUCACUGCUUUAACUUUCUGGGGAUCCACUCUUAUCCCGUCACUGGACACAAUAUUCCCCAGAAAGGCAAUAGCGUCUAACCUAAAUUCACACUUAGAAAAUUUGGCAUACAGCUGAUGAUCCUUAAGGGUCUGAAGGAUAAUUCAGAGGUGAUUGACGGGAUCCUCUUUACUCUUAGAAUAGAUCAGAAUAUCAUUGAACACUCUAUUCAUAAGAUCCAUGAAAGCUACAGGGGCGUUAGUCAACCCAAAGGACAUGACUAGAAAUUUGUAGUGACCAUACAGGUUCGGAAGGCUGUCUUGGGUAUGUCUGACUCCCUAACUUUCAACUGAUGAUAACCCGAACGAAGUUCUAUUUUUCAAAAGCACUGGGCACUCUGAAGCUGGUCAAAAAGGUCUUCAAUCCUAGAAAGAGGAUAUUUAUUUUUAAUCGUGACCUUAUACAACUAACGGUAGUCUAUGCACAUCCGAAGGGACCCAUCCUUCUUUAGCACGAAGAGCACGGGUGUACCUCAAUGGGAAACAUUAGGACGAAUAAAACCUUUGUUUAGGAGGUCCACAAGAUGUUCCUUUAACUCCUUUAGUUCUGCGGGAGCCAUUCUAUAUGGCGGAAUAAAAAUAGGAUGAGUGUCUGGCAACACAUCAAUACCAAAAUCUAUCUCCCUAUCAGGAGGUAUCCCUGGGAGAUCUUCGGGAAAGACUUCUGGGAAUUCAUUCACUACAGGGACUGACAGCAGAGGAAGAUUUCUAACUUUUGAAUGUUUUACUCGGAUUAGAUGAUACAUAUAGUCUUUGGAGAUAAGCUUUCGGGCUCUAAGAUAAGAGAUAAAGUGACCUCUAGGUUCCAUAGAACUCCCUGCCCAUACAACUGGUGUCUCAUUCGGGAAAGAAAAAGUGACCUUUCGGGUUCUGCAAUCAAGGGUGGCAUAACAUAAAUAGAGCCAGUCCAUCCAAGGGAUGGUAUCAAAAUCUAUCAUAUCCAGUUCUAUAAGGUCUGGCACAGUUUCCCUACUAUAAAUAGACAUGACACAAUUUCUAUAGACCCUUCAAGUAACAACAGAAUCACCUACAGGAGUAGAAACAAAGAAAGGUUCUAUAAUAACUUCGGGCUCACACCCGAAACCAACAGCCAGAUAAGGGGACACAUAAGAUAAAGUAAACCGGGGAUCAAGCAAUACAUAAAUAUCACGAGAAAAGAUUUGUAACAUACCGGUGACAACAUCUAGUGAAGCUUUCGCCUCCUGGCAGUUAGUCAAAGAAUAUAACCGGUUGUGACCGAUUCUGGCAGCUGAAGAGGCACCCUAAGUAAAAGGAGCUAUGCAGGCGGCUUAGGACUUAGCUCCCUUCCCUCCCCCCUCCCCGCAUUUACUCCAGCAGAUGGAUAAUCUCUGUGGAGGUGACCCACUUUGCCACAAGUAUAGCAGUUUCUCCCCUUAAACCAGCACUUCCCUAAAUGAUUCCUUCAGCAAACCUCACACCGCGGAUGAGUAUGAUGCUUCUGAGCCACACUUACCUGAGAGUUUGUACCUAAAGCUUUGGACCCAUGAGGAGUCUGAAAAGUCUGAGUUUGUCUGUCUGUCGGUGGUCUGGGUGCUGUGGCAUUGGGUGUUGACUGUUCAUUAUUCCAAAACUUCUUUUUCUUUGACCACUUAUUACCCCAGUUACCACUCCACGGCUGACUCUGGUGCUGGUCCGCAGAUCUAGCUCUCUUAGCCUGUCUAUUUUUUGCUCUAGAUUCAACAAUCUUUUUCUUCUUCUCUUCCACGUGAUGCAUAUGAACAGUGAGUCGAGCAAAGUCUAACUCUUUGUUCAACAUAGCCCCCUGGAACUCAAGUACCAGGUCAUCAGCAAGGCCAGAUGCAAAUUUCCUCAUCCGGGCCCUCAUAUUACUAGUCAACUCUGGUGUAUAGCAGGCUAGUUUAUUAAACUUCAAAGUGUACUCCUGGACACUCAUAUUGCCCUGCUUUAGAUUCAUAAACUCUUCCAAUUUGGCCUCCCUCAACUCCAGAGGAAAGAAUCGAUCAAGGAAAGCUUCCACAAAUUCACCCCAAACUAUGGGCUCAGCACUUUUACCUUUUUCAUCUUCCCAGUCGGCAUACCACUGACUUGCAACGUCCUUGAGUUGAUAGGUUUCUAGCUCCACCCCUUCAACCUCAUCCACAUGGAUCACCUUAAAGAUCUUUUCCAUCUCAUCCACAAACUCCUGUGGAUCUUCCUCCACCAUGGUGCCAGUGAACUUAGGUGGGUUCAUCUUCAUAAAAUAUCCGACUCUAGUAGCCUCAGAUGUAACAGAUGCAAACCCAACAUCUUCCAAUCCGAUCCUUGAGCCUGGUUAGCUACCAACUGUUUCAGCAUAUGAAUAGACCAUCUGAAUUCUACAUAUGAAAUAUCUCCCUGAGCAGUUGAGGGACGGUUGGCAUUAGUCCGCGGAGCCCGAGGUGGACUGGUCGGGACUGGAAGGACUCCCGGAGUAGGGAAAAAUUUUAGAGUGUGAGCCCUAUUAUGGGUCCACAUCCUAUGGGUGGGACGACCCUCAUCUGCCUGAGCAUUCUGAUUGACAAUAUGAUGUGGAGGCAUAACUGUGUUUCUGGAACACAAGUGAUCAUUGAUUAAGGGAUAGUUCAGACUCUGAAGCAUGAACUAACUCACAAAGAAGGAAUACAUUUCCUAAAACCCUAGCAACCUCUUGCUUAUAAGUGUGGAGCACUACACACCCAUAAACAAGACUCUACCUAACGCGAUUUUGCAGACACCCUGGGACCAUAAACCGUGUUUUGUUACCAAGUUUGUCACGACCCGAACUAGGGCCUGGCCGAGACGAGCAUUUCGAACCAUGGAGGCCCGAAACACCCCUAUCUAAUUCAUAUGAUAAAAGUAAUGCGGAAGAAACAUAAUAUAGCAGAAAUAUGGUCAAGAAUCAUAUGAAAACGAAAAUGGGGAAUAGUGUCCCACAAUCUAAAUUAACAUCUCUAAAAUCGUCUGUGAAAACUCUACUACUUGACUGAAACAGUGUCUAUCUAAAAACUAGGGCAAGGCCCCCAGCACACCCUAAAAAUAAAUAUAAGAUAAAAGGACUACAGGACAUAAGACCUUCCGAAAAUAAAAGGCUCACCACUUGCAUCUGCAACUCCGUCUGAAUGAUAUACUGGUUCUCUUAACCCCUAGACUGGGCCUCUAAUCCUGAGAGGUUAGAGAGGGGAGGGGGCCAUCACAAAAGUACUGGCAUGCAGAGAUAUCAAAGCAAAACAUAAUAUUCUUACAAAAUAUAGUUGAGAGCCAUUAUAAAGCAAUUUCGUAUCAAAUCAUUUGAAAGCACAUGGGUGUAAUGCAAUAAUUUUUCUCAAUAGUAAUGAAAUGCAACUGAGCUAGGUGGAAUAUCCGACAUAAUUUACACCAACUUUCAAACCUCAGUUGUCACCGAGAUUAGAGUAUAAGUGAGGGAGAGACACACAAGAUCACACAGCAUGAAGUCUCGACCCAAUGGUAGUGCCCAAGAUCACUUGGCUCGGGCUCCUACCUAUAUUCCCAAUUUGGGAAUGACAUGAAGUCAAGUACACAAGAUCACUUAGCCUGGUACCAAUAUUCUGUGUCGGCAAACACAUUUUUCCAGCGAUGAGCCCUUGUGUCUCAAACGCCUUCUUCGGGCAUCCACCUUUCUCUUGUAAAAUCAAUGCAUUCAAAUUUCAUCNNNNNNNNNNNNNNNNNNNNNNNNNNNNNNNNNNNNNNNNNNNNNNNNNNNNNNNNNNNNNNNNNNNNNNNNNNNNNNNNNNNNNNNNNNNNNNNNNNNNNNNNNNNNNNNNNNNNNNNNNNNNNNNNNNNNNNNNNNNNNNNNNNNNNNNNNNNNNNNNNNNNNNNNNUUGAAGUAUGUAGGCAAACAAUUCCCAUGACAUAAAGAAAAUGACUUAGAAAUCAUGUUGAAAGCAAGAUAUUAGCAUUUGAUUGAUAACCCCCAUUUAAAAGCAUGCAUGUUCAUAAAAACUACACCCAUGUGAUUUUUGGAUAACCCCACGUACCUCUAUUUCAAAGGAUAAUAGAUGUUUCUUGAAGCUUGCGGAUUGUUAAUUCCAAAUAUGUAAUUAUCUUUGAAAACCUACGGUCAAAUCUUGAACUAUUUGGGUUUUUAUUUUGAAACCCUAAAGAGAAUCUUGAGCACUUUUGAUGAAAGAAUAUGUAUUUUGGGGUCCUUGGAACUAAAUCUAGUGUUUUAGGGAUAAGUAAGGGUGGAAAACGACCACUUUGUCCUCAACACGGAGUGUUAAAUCACCAGAAUUCCUUACAUAGGCACCGCCCAUCCCGUUGCCUAUGUUCACAUAGGCGCCGCCUAGGCUAUCGCCUAUGUUUACAUAGGCACCGCCUAGGCUAUCGCCUAUGUUUAUAUAGUUGCCGCCUAGGCUAUUGCCUUUGCUUUCCAGUGGCCAUGGGCGAUUGUUUAGGCGACGCUUAUCACUUUGAAAGGCCAUAACUUCUUGCUCGGGAGUCGAAUUUUAGCAAAAUUGGUAUCGUUCGAAAGCUAACUUGAAUACCAAUAAUUUGACACAUAGUAUGCUUCCUAAUUUGACAUAUACAUGAGUUAUGGUCGAUGGAAGCUGACACACUUUACAACAUCCACUAAAAGUUGGUCGAUCGAAAUAGUUUCAACUUAUCCUUGAGUUGAAGGACCUCUAUGGUCUAAAUUCAAGCUUGAGUGGAUUCACAUGCUACGCAAUAAUUAACAUGCCGUAUUGGCAUGGGAUUUUAUGGCUUUGAGAUUAGCAACACAUCAAAAUCAUGGUCUAUAUUGUAGCCCGAAUUGCGGGGCGUUACACAAACACCUUAAGGUGAUCCAAUCUAGGAGUACGUCCAAAUAACAACUCAGAAGGUGAUUUUCCAUUCAACACUACAGUAGGCAAUAUAUGAAUUAGAUAUGCUGCAGUUUGCACACAAUCACCCUAAAAUCUACUUGUAACAUGACAUUGCAACUUCAAUUCUCUUCCCAUCUCUAAAAGAUGUCUAUGUUUCCUUUCAACAACACUAUUUUGUUGUGGUGUAUAUGGGCAACUGCUUUGAUGUAUAAUACCAAAUGAAGAUAUUAGAUAAUUCAUAUGACUAUUAAAAAACUCAGUUCCAUUAUCUGAUCUGAUAACUUUUUUUCCACAAUUAAACUGAUAACCAAUCAUGGUUAUAAAACUAUUCAACAUAACUAUGACUUUUUUCUUAGAUUGUAACAAUGAAAUCCAUGUAAACCUACUAUAGUCAUCAACUAUAGUUAAAAAAUAGUGUUUUCUAUCAUAAGUAGGAUGUUUGUAAGGUCCCCAAACAUCCAAAUGAACAAGCUUAAAUAUACCACUAGACAUAGUAAGACUACAGGGAAACUUGAGUCUACAUUGUUUAGACAGAGGAUAAAUCAUACAGUCUUCUGGAACAUUUAUGUCAACUUGAUUCUUUAAAAAAGAAAUAUGUUUCAUCACUUGCAUAGAUGGAUGCCCCAAUCUAAGAUGCCACAACCGUUGUUCUGUGAAUUUAUUGCCUUGAACAACAUAACCAACAAUUGAUAGUGUUUUAUGCCUUAAGAUGUAAAGCCCUUCUUCUUCCUUACCAAUCCCAAUCACCUCUCCAGUACAGAGAGCCUGCAUCACACACAUGUCAGGAUAAAGAGACACCAUACAAUUCAAAUCUUUAGUCAGUUUAGAAAUUGACAAUAAAUUGAAUCUAAAAUUUGGCACAUGGAAAACAUUAGUCAGCUUGCAGUUUCCCAGAAUUAUUGUAUUUCUAGUGUGUUCUACUUAAAUUUUACUUCCUGUUGGCACUUGCACUUUAUUAUUAUUUUGUAAAGCUGAUAAUUUUCUACAUUCACUCAGCAUAUGUUUACGAUAGGUUAUAUGAUGUGUUGCUCCAAAAUCAAUGAUCCACUUAACUGCAUUACCACUAGCAUUAUCACAGGCAUGCAUACCUGCUGCAGAAUUAGUAUCACAAUCAGCAGUAGGUUUAGGCACCAUCAUUUUGAGAACUUGAUCAUAUUUUUCUUUUGUGAACUAUCCACCAGGAAAGUAGACUUGAGAAUCUGAUCCUGAUCUUUCCUCAUUCCAUUCUAAGCUUGAUGUUUCAGAUGCAGAGGUAUGAGCAUGAGGCAUUACUCCUGCAUCUGUGGACAUUUUCUUCUUACUUUUGAAAUAAGCAGGGAAACCUACAAUUCUAUAAAAAGUCUGUUAGAGUACGAGCCCUACUAAUUGCCUAUUGUGGAACAAGUAAAUGUGUUUCAUAGAAGUAAAGCCUGAACAAGUGUUUUUACAUAGAAAACACCCGGCUCAAGAAAGGUGUAAAAAAACAUGACCUAUACCUCUACAAGAUUUAAACCCAACUUCACUAUAGCACUUAAGCCUCAACAAUCUACAAAAUAACAAGACUUCUUGUAAACUAAGAAUUAAAACUUCUUACUCCUAUCACUACAAAAACACAAAUCUUCCCAAGAUAAGUGUUCCCAAGUCUUCGAUUUCUCUAACUUUAAGAUACAACUCCUAACUCAGUUUAUAAAUCACUGAGACUAGAACAAUGACUCAUUACAACUCAAAGAAUCUACCUACUAUAAACAGUCUAUGACUUGCUAAGUAAAGGACCAAGUUCUUCUUCAAGUAUGUGAACUGUUUUGCUAAUUGUUAUCUUUUCAGUGCGUUGAGUAGGUGCUUUUGAAUUCAUUUCUUGUAUUUAAGCACACACCUCAUAGAUUCCUUCAAUUGAUAUAAUCUUUUAUGUUCAAUAGGACUCUAGAUAGUUUCACUCUUCUUGUUGUUGUCGCCUCUCUCACUUCUUCUUUGAAUAGGAUUCUUCUUUCAAUAGGAUUCUUCUUUUAACUCUGCAAGACCUCUUAUUCAACUCAAAUUAUGUAAGACUUAUUUUCCAACUCAACUCCUGCAAGACUUCUUGUUCAACUCAACUUCUUAUGUGAUAAAUGUUAUCCCCUUCUAUUUGUACGAAGAUUCAUCUUAUCAAUAACUUUUCUGCAGCUGAGCUUUGUUCACUUGGAUGGACCAACUUUCACAACAUGUUUCAUUCACAUGUCUAUCAUCAAAACUCCUAAUUUCUUAACAAAUUCCCACUUUUUGAUGAUGACAAAUAUUGCAUCACAAAAUCCUAACAUAAUAAGGAAUUUAAGUGAAAGAACAAGAAUGAAACAGGUUAAUACAAUUUAAGUUAUAAGCAUUGCAUAGCUUUAUUCUCCCCCCUUUUGACAUCAUCAAAAAGCUGGCUCAACAAGUGAAAAAGUUUAAUAAUUCAUGGCCACUGAGGCUAUCACUAAGAUAAGCAAAAUUCAGAAUAAGAGAACAUAAAAGCAGUAUGAGAAAACAGGGGUAGAAAAUAGUUAAAGCAACUAGGUCCAUUUCAUUCAGUAGAAGAUACGACUACAUUUACCAUAAGCAACCUAAGAGUGAAUCAAGCCAUCAAGGGAAGGAUAAAAAGGGAGAUAGGCCUAAGAUAUCAGUAAAGAGGAUAAGGAGAAGAAGAAGAGGGGAUAAGGGAAGUGAAUUUCCUAAUAACAUCUGCAUUUUUAGCUCUCUCUUUUUCCAACAAGGAAUUAAGGGAAGAAAUCUGAGCUUGAAGGAUCCCUUUUUCUUCUUCAUGAGCAGCCUCAAAAGCUACCUAAGCAACCUCCACCUCAACUAGUUUUUUAGCCAGUGCAUUUCUCAACCUUUGCAUUGACUUAUCAGUACUCCUCAUGGAAAUAGGUAACAUCAUGUGGUUCCUAGGCCUUAUUAUAUCCUUGGUAGUUUGUGAAGAACACACUUGGACAGAAACACCAAAAUUCUCAAAUAUAAGGGUGAUUCAGAACUAAUAAGAGAGGGCAUGUCUAUUUGUUUCCUUGAGGAGAACCCUUUGCAUAUGCUUCUGUAUUAGUCUAGGCAAAUCAAUUCUCACCUUAGUGUCUAGUAGUUCCAUGAGAGUAAGAUCAAGAAAACUAGCCACAGUCCUCCUUUCCUUCCUAGGGAGAAUCAUAUUAUGCACUACAUCAAAGUACAAUAAGUUAAGUGGAGACAUCUCCCUCUUAAAUACUAAGAUUGAACAGUUGAGGAUUCCCAGAGAACUUUCUACAUAUGUCAAGAGUUGAGGCAAGAUUAUCAAGAGGUGGCCUACUACCCUUGACAUAGUGACCCCACCCCCAGAAGGAAUAUAUAAAAUCUUAGCACUAUCAGUAACAUAAAGGUUCAGAGUGACCUUUCUAAUAGUAGUGGAGAACAACUUACCAAUGCCCACCCUAUUCGUAUAGAACUCAUACACUUUAGGUUUAACAAAUUUUCUCUAAAGGUCUCCCUGUAGAAAGAGAUGAGACCAUCUCUGAAACUCCAAUUUUUCCAGUAGAGUUUGCAAAGCAAUACCCCGAAAACCACUAACAACUCUCCCUCAAGCUAAUUUUUGAAUUUGAAAGUGGAGAUAAUGAGCCUCCGAAGUAUCUCGAUGAGAGGAUAGUGCAGGGACCUCAAAAUAAGGAUCAAUCUCAGAAAUGGUGUCCACAUGAAGUCAGAGUAAGACGAGUCAGAAGGAAUAGGUUUGUUGACCUAUUUCCUUUAGCGAGUAGAAGACUGUAGAGGAGAAACUUUGGAGGAUGUGGAAGCUUUGACUAUGGGAGAGGAUUUUGAAGAGGAGAAGGCCUUUGUUUUAGGUUUUGAAGAAGACCUUCGAGACACAGAAGUUUGGGGGGCUUUUUCCAUGAUAGUUUUCUUCUUCCUGAAUGAUCGAAGAAGAAGAUUAGGAGAAGAAGCAGGAAAAAAUACUAGGGGAGGAGUGGGAUAAGAUAUACCCAUAUGUUUCUUUUUGCUGGCUAGAAGUGCUUCACCCAAGGAAGUAUCUUUGCGUUGCUUCUUUCCUUGAGUAUGAGGGGUUUGAGGAGUAGAGACAACUAGAGAGGGUAUCGUAGGAACAGUUACUUCGACAAUGACAGAGAUGGAAGAGGGUUUUUUCCUUAACUGAGAUCACGACCUUCUUGGGAUCAAGUCUAUAAUAGGAAGAUUGUAUUUAUCAUCAAAAAUUUGAAGAUCAUUAUCAAUAAUUUGGAGCGGGAUAGGGGGAGAAAAAAGAGGUUGUGGGAAGGAUGAAGAGGGAGAAGGAAUUUUGGCAAAAGGGUUUGGAAAGUUUCCAAAAGAUGUGAAGUCUGUGAAUUUCUGAGAGAUUUUAGGAGGAUUAAAGGAGGUAAGGUGAUGUUUGGAUGAAAGGUAAAAGUGGUGAAGGGAUUGGUAAUAGAAUCCCGGCUGAAAAUAGACCCAGCAAAAUUUCUAUACACCCUCCUAGUCACUACAGAAUCUCCCACCAGGGUGGAAACCAAAAAAGGUUCAGCAAUCACCUCAAGCUCAAACCCAAAACCAACAGCCAUAUACGGGGUCACAUAAGACAAGGUAGACCCGAGAUCAAGUAAUACAUACACAUCAUGAGAAAAGAUUUGCAACAUAUCGGUUACUACAUCUGGUGAGGCCUCUGCCUGCUGGUGGUUGGUCAAAGCAUACAACCGGUUCCGACCAUUUCUAGUGGCAGAAUUGGAACCCCUCUAAGGUUAUGGUGAAGAUGAAUUCACCUACGACUUGGCUCCUCCAACAUUACUCUUUGCUACCAGACAGUCUCUCUGGAUAUGGCCUGGCUGGCCGCAUAAAUUACACACCAAAGUGUCAAACUUCUGAACGAAGUCCAAAUUACUCUUGUUAACUUCUGAACGAAGCUGGAAAAAAUUAAACUGGGAACCUGAUUUUAUGGUCCACCGCGGCGCGCCACUAUCGCGGUGGCUCAUUGGAAAUUGACGAAUGAUAAUUUGGGAUCCUCCGCCACGCGCCACUAUCGCGAGGUCCCACUGGAAUUUGACAAUUGCUAGUUUAACCCUCUCCGCGACGCGCUAAACACUAGAAUAACGAUGUUUUAUGACUAGCACAUAAAAUAGUCAUAACUUCUUCACCAAUUGUUCGAUUUGGACGAAUCUUAUAUCGACAGAAAGCUUAUUCAGUCAUCUACGAAAUGAAAAGUUGAAAUCUAAGAGAUUCCACUGGUUAAAGAAUAUAAAUCAUUCUAGAAUCCAAGGCUUGAUAUUUUAGGGAUAAAUUUUAGCUACGAAAUACUUUAGGGCGUUACAAUAGCCUUACCCAGCAUUUUUCUCGGUGAUUCUCUUGCCAUGACUCAUUUUGGAUAAGCUACGCAACAAGUUUAGUUUAACUAUGAGCCUUGCUAGUUCUGCCCGAAUUUUGAGAAGCUCUUAAAAAAACAAUUCCUUCUUUUUUAAACGACUCGAGCAACAUAUAUAGGUUAGAAAAGAAGUUGAUUAAGUUUGAUCCAAGCUGAUCCACUUGCCGGGUUACUUGACCACCUUGGGAGAAGAUGAUUAUCAAUAUUUAAAUUGCUAGAAAAAUUCCUUUUCCUUUUAUAUUUCAAGUUUAAUCAAUGGCAAGAAGCAGUUGCAGAUCAAAAGCGCAAUCUACCGAUUCACGUGAACUCAAUAGUUUUUGCUCAAACCCACUAAUAUUUGGUUAAACCUAUAUGUUGCUUGCAGAAACAGCCUCUCUAUCUCUAUAGAGUAAGGUCUGCGUUUGCUCUAACUUCCUUUCCUAGACCCCUUACGUGUGAGAUUUUGCUGUAUAUGUUGUUGUUGUUGUUUUCAAUUGUUGAGCGUCUAGUGACUAAAUUUCAUUGAUUUAACUGGAGAUUAUUAUUGUGUUUGCAGAUAUUGAAUCGCUACAACGGGUUUCCUUGAUGCUUGUUUUCCUUUAUCAUGAAUCUUUGGUGACUCGUUCUGGACACGGUCAAUAUCCUCUGCUGCUUGUUGUCAGCUAUCAGUAAGCCUCUCAUGUGAUUUUACCCUCAGGAUAUCAUCAUUUGUCAUUACAAUUUCUGUUACUCUUAGUUGAAUUGUACGUUCAACAACAUUUACAACUUCUUUUAUCUGCACUUCUAAAUCUGUCAUUUCCCUAAAAACAUUGCUUUUCUCAAAGUUCUUGAGAAAUACUUCCAGGGAACUAACUUUUUCACGAAGAGCAAGAAAUUCUUCUUUUGUUCACUAAUUAGAGAUUGCGCUGGCGAAUUGGAUGUCACGACUAAUUCCAUUGUUCUCUUAAGCCAUAUCUUUACUCUACAGUUUUAACAAAGAUUCCAUAAAUUUAUAGUUUGUGAACCCAGUGCAACACAUUUUUUAACAAAGCUCAAGAAGUUAAAGCUGGUUGGAACUCGUCUAGCAUGGGAGGACUUGAAUAUCAUAGGCUAAUGGCCUAACCUCGAGUUGCUGAAGCUGAAACCAAAUGCUUGUCGUGGCCUAGAAUGGCGUCCAAUUGAAGGAGGAUUUCGUAGGUUGAAGUUUUUGCUAAUUGAAGAUACAAAUCUGAAAUGUUGGCAAGAUUUCCUUUACAUCGUGUUAUUGAGAUACGGUAGCCCAAUCAUGGACAUAAAGGCAAUGUAGAACAGAUACGUCAUUGUAAACUUUUUUCGCUAAAGUUGACUUGCCAAUGCCUUCCAUACCGAUGAUUGGGAUGACCUUGAGUUCACUAGAGAAGCCUCUAGUCAAUUCUUGUAGCAACCUUUCCUUUUCAUCAUCACGCCCCACCAUAACGUUCUUAAUAUCUUUUGUUGAACUUGAAUCUUGAAUUUCAUUGUUGAAUUGUAUGUUCAACAACAUUUGCAACAUCUUUUAUCUGUGCUCCGAAAUCUGUCAUUGCCCCAGAAACAUUGCUUUUCUGAAAGUUCUAGAAAAAUACUUCAAGGAAGCUAACUUUUACACCAAGAGCGAGAAAUUCUUCUCCGUGUUCACUAAUUAGAGAUUGCACUGGUAAAUUGGAUGUAACAACCAAUUCCAUUGUUCUCUUAAGCCAUAUCUUUACUCUCGUGUUCCUUGUGCAGUUUUUACCAGAAAACUGCAAGUUUCAAGACCUCAGGUGUUACUACAUAUAAUACCAGUUUCAAACUCUAUCAACUCAAAAAAUAACUCUAAUAACACAAAAUAUUAACCAAUUCAAUAACUGAAACCAUAAUCAAGUACAUCGCCGGAGUCAUAAGAACAUUUAUUAAGAGUUCAAGUUGGGAUGCGGCUAGAAAUAAUGGAAUCAGAACAAUAACAUAAAGACUCCUAGACACCACAAAACUAAGUGAUUGUCUCGUCGUAUAAAAUAAUCAUCAAACUCGAUCACAAUCAACAACGUGGUCUGCUAGUACUUGAAGGUGAAUUUGUAAACUUACAUAAAAUGAGAAGGGAAGAAGGGAAUUAGUACAACAAAUCCUUUAAGUCUCAUAGACCAUCACCUAAAGGCCGUGGCAAGUCUUUAUGCAUUACAGAAAAUUAAUGGAAACCAGUAUAACACAAUACAGGGAUCAUUAGUCACAUAAGAAAGAUAUGUUACAGUACAAAAGAUAUCACAUCUCCUUGGAAACCACACGUUUCUUGAAACCGAUAAUUUUGUUGUAAUUUGCGACAGAGGAACCGAAAUGAAAUCCCAAGAGUUCAAUCCUUCUGACCUUGAACUCCUUUCCUAAUAUUCUUCUAAAUCAGAAUCACUCUCCCCGACAGAUAAGAAACAAAAAGGGUCAGUAGAAGUUCGACAAGUCACAUUGUUCAGAUGCAGAUUUAGAGCUUGUUCAACAAAACUCACAUCUUUCAACUGAACUUCAUGUGAGAGCUAAAAUGCUUAUAUUACAUCUCAAUUAACAAUUAUUUACUAAUUCAAGAAAUGAGCUGCAAAUAUUGAUGUAUAGUUUUAUAGAUUCUAUAAUCGAAACAUUCUUUAUCUCACAUACCUUGAUAAUAUAUCAAAAAAUGAUUAUUCAAAAGUUUUUUUUCUUAUAUAUUUUUUCAAUGAUAUAAUAUGUGUUCUUUAAAAAUAAUUAAUUUUUAUAUGGGGUAUAUGCACAACACGCUUCAUAGACUCUAUAAAACCGAAUAACACAAUACAUUUACAUUUAUGAAAAACAUUGUGUGAUGAACUAGCAUCAACAAUCUAUUACUCAUCAGUUCGGCAGCCUCAGCAUCUGAAUCUUAAUUAUCAUCAUGUUCUGCUGCAUUAGCAUCUGAAUUUUAUUCUUCUUCAUCAUCAUCAUCAUCAUCAGUAACUGAAUAAAGUCACGGAGGCAAAUUAUCUAAGGAUCUUGUAACAACUGUAUGAGGUGACUUGUGGAAAUGAGAAACAGAUUGUAACCUUGAUAAAUACUAUAUACUUACAUGGAUAGGAGACACAAACAUCCAAAGGGUUGUUUCCGAGGUCUUCUUGUUCUUUCUGAAUUCGUGCAGCAGAUUUUCCAAGUUCGGGAAGACACCAUUUUAACAAGAACUUGCUUCUUUAUACUAACAUAUAACAAAUACAAAUGCAUUGAUCUAACACAAAUUGGGUUCGAUUUUGCACAUUGCUUCAACUUGCAAGCUACGCACCCACAUGUUAAUAUGUAACAGCAUCAUGUGUAAUCUUGCAUUGCUGAUUUUGUUAUUAGUAAUGAGUUAAUUUUUACUGAAGACUUCUGUGUCCUGGAAUGUACCUUGAGCUGUUCUUGUGAUUUCUGGUCUUUGAACCUAUAUAUUCAGACUUCAAUGUUGUUGUAGCAACUUUUUUUAUCCGAACCGAUGAUUAAUAGUGACAGUGUAUUAAAACUAAUUAUUUUUAUCCUACAAAAUAUGCAGCCUCUUAGGUGGAAUGUGAAAGUAAUAAUGCUUUACGUAGACUUGUGCUUCCUAUCUAUUGUAUAGAUGCUACGGUUGAUGUAUAUAUUGCCAUAACCUGCAGAUCAAUCAAUAGCUGAGUCUGUAUGCACGAUUUGGUGUUAUUCCAAGCAAACUUCUUCAAGAGAGGACUAUAGAGGUGCGUGCUUCUUGUUAACUCAUUGAUGCGUGCUUCUUUUUCACUCAUUGAUUUUACUUAUUUAAAUUUGUAUUAUUUGUAUUGAUUUCAUAUAGAUAGUAAGAUUUGCAUUUUGUAAAUAGUUUAGCUACUAUGUAUUAUUUUAGAGUGUGUCAUUAGGUGUAUAGCUAGCUGAUCUGUUUUCGUUGUUGAUGUGAUGUCUCCAGUAUGAAGAUUUGGGACAAAUUUGCAAUGAUCUCAAAAAGUGAAUGUGAGUUAAUUGAUUAAUGGUCAGAACUAUGUCUUAGUGAAACUUGGCCAUAUUUGCUAGAUAUCUCGGAUAUAAUGUGAGUUAUUCGAACUUUGGUUAAUUGACGAUAUCACAUUGAAAUGCAUAUAUUCAUUUGUUAGUUCAGAUGAUGAGUGUGUGUUCAUAAGAUACAUAUGUCUUACCAAAUAUAAAAUGUUAACGCUCUUACAUAAUACAUUGAUAUGUAGCUUUAGCCAGUGAAAGGAUAUAUAUUUAGCCCAUUACUGGAAAAUGAAUUUUAUGUAUUGGGUUUCAAUUAAUUCAGAAUCUGAGAUCAUAUGUGUAUUAUAGUAUGCAAAUUAAAGGAUAAUUGUUUCCUAAUAUUAUGUGUUGCUGUGUCUUAAAUCUUGUAGAUGCUAAUAUCCCAUUUGCACAAUUAGUGAAUGGGUUUAAACAUGUUGAAUGUAAAUAUGACUUCAAGGAUAACCUGGACAAAUGUUCGAUCACAUUGUCUAUUAUUUCAAUUUGAUUUUGAGGUCACGUUUCCUGUUUAAUGUAAACACUGGUUAUCUAGUUAAAUAUUCUAAUGUAAUAUGAAAGUAUUUGUGUAUUUUCUUAGAACUCACUCGUGGUCUGAAAACUUACAGAUGCCAUUUUUGUUACAUGUCCAGCUUGAAGUGCAUCACUUCUUGCCUACUAAUUGCUAUUCUUUCUUUUUUUUACAAUUGAUUAUAUAUUAUAUGAUAUUGUUAUCUUUCCAGACAACAAUUAAAAAUGGGUCUGAAAUUUUGGAGUUUUCACAUUUUCAUCAAGUAUAGUCAACUACUUGAAGGAAGCAUCUCUUGUCAUUAGUUACGCAGGUAAAUUACAGUUCGAUUAAUUUAACUUGUGUCGGUUUAGUUUCGGGUAUCAUUCAUAAGAUUAUAUCUUGCACGAUGGCAGAAACACAUGUUUCUCUGUAUUCUAGAUGCCCUUUCUAGUUUGAUAUGUAAAAAGAAAGAAAACCUCAUAAAUAUUCAAUCACCUGUAUCUUAUACUUUUGUUUUAAGCCGAGGUUCUAGGAAGCAGCAUCUGUACCUUACAAAGAUAGGUAAGUUUUGCGUAUAUACAUCCUACCCUCCCUAGACACCAUUUGUGGAAUUACUUCAAAAGUCUAUAAUUUAAUUAGAUGUUGAAAUAAUCUCUAAUUCUAUAAAAAAUUUAUUAUAAUACUUGAAUAAAACGUACAAACAGAAUAAGCAAAAAGGCUAAACAGUCAUAAAAACUUACAUAACUAACUUCUGCUAUAUACUUACUAUAGCAAAAAAUAACUUUUAUUAUCUAUUUGACUGAAAAAAAAAAAAAGCUAAGUACAACAAAUUGAUGAUAUUUGUUGAGCCCUGAUUUGCAAUUUGGAUCAGAUUAGCUUAAUUUACACUCAAAUUAUGAUAAACUUCUUUAAAAACUACAUUAAUUGCUUCAUUUGAAACUUCUCCUUCAUCAUCAUAUGUCAAAAUCUUUAAUCCUUGUCUUCUUGUUACCCGUGAUAGUGCAACAUAUAGCUGGCCAUGUGUGAAAACUGCUUUCUUCAAAUAUAACCUAACAUGAGAUAAAGAUUGUCCUUGACUUUUAUUGAUAGUCAUGGCAAAUGAUACCACUAUUGGAAACUGUCUUCUCUGAAACUUAAAGGGUAUUCUCAAAUCUGACGGAGUCAGUGACAUUCUUGGUAUAAAAACCUUUUGUCCAAUCAUAUUUUUUGAUAAGACUUUCGCCUCGGCAACCCAAUUUCCAAUUCUAGUGAUGAUUAAUCUUGUUCCAUUACAAAGCCCUGAAGAUUGAUCUAUAUUUCUCAAUAACAUCACGGGUACACCAACUUUUAAAGUGAUGGCAUGAUUUGGAAUUCCAGACCAUUUUAUAGUAUUUAGGAAUUCAGGAGUAUGUAAUUAUUCCAAACCUGUACAUGUGUCUUGUGUAAUACAUAUUGUAUCAGAACUGAAGAACGUUGUACCUUCACUUUGAUUGAGCGAUACCAUAUGCCCAUUGAUUGAUUCUACCAUGUCAAGAGUGGGAGCUAGAAUUCCUCUUUUCUGUAGGUAUGUUAAAUUACUACAAUAUGAAAAAAAAAAAUCAGGGUAUGUACUGUUCACAAUGGCAGUAAUUGGAUCUUCACAAUCACUGAUAAGAAGAUCAUCAGGAAUAGAAACUUUUCCAAUUCCAUCAACUGAAUUACCAAUUAUACCAUCUCCUACUGCUAAAAUCAAAUCUGCAAAUUCUUUUCGAUCAUUCAAAUCUGAUUCUACAUGAUUACCUUCUAACCUCAUAUUAUUUGUUUGCUUUAGCAAAUGACAGUUAGCCCACAAAUAUGAAGAAUUAAGGCUAGCAUUUACAAUAUCCUGUCUGUUACCUUUUGUAAUGACUGGUAGAAUUUGUCUAAAGUCCCCACCAAGUACAACUGUUUUACCUCCAAAUGGCCGAUCUAAAUUAGAUAAUCUUCAAACUCGGCUAUUGUCUUCAAAUUAGAUAUAUCCACCAAGUACACCAUUUUAACUGAAUCAGUUGUAGUGUGUUAAUAUCUGCAAACUCAAUCGGUAUCUCUUUGAAAUGAUGGCAACUUCAAAUCAUGAGGCGCUUAAGGACAGGAAAAUUGUCAUUUGUGGCUUUCCAGUACAUGAGAUCAUUAAAGUCAAUUAGAAAAAGCUUCAAUUUAUUAAAUCCUGUAACACUUGGAUACCAUUCUGGAUCAACACAAGCAUUAAACAUCAGUUUCAGUACCUCAAGGUUAGGCAACUUGGCUAUGAUGUCAAAGUAUGACCAGCUUAGAAAAGUUCUUUCCAACUUCAACUUCUUGAGCGUUGUUUCCGAUGGAAGAUACGAACAUCCACAGGGUUGUUUCCGAGGUCUUGUUGCUCUUAUUGAAUUCGUGCAGAAGAUUCCUCAAGUUCGGGAAGACAGUCUCUUAACUCAAUCAGUGUAGUGUGUUAAUAUCUGCAAACUCAAUGUGUAUCUCUUUCAAAUAAUAGCAACUUCUAAUCCUGAUGAGCUCAAGGAUAGGAAAGUUGCCAUCUGUGGCUUUCCAGUACUUGAGAUGACUAUCUUCAAUUAACAAAAGCUUCAAUCGAGUAAAUCCCUUAACAUUUGGAUGCCAUUCUUCGCCAAGACAAGCAUCGUCGAUCAACUUCAGCAACUCAAGGUUAGGAAAUUCAGCUAUGAUGUCCAAAUACGACCAACUUAGAUAAGUACUGUUUAAAUUCAGCUUCUUGAUAGUUGCUGGAAAAGCUUUUGCACUUGAUGGCAAAAGGUUACAACAAAUUGUAACACUCAAUGUUUCAAGUUGCUGCAGAUAGACAAGAUUAUUGAGAAGCCCAGUAAAGUCAGUCACAUUUCCAUAUCUACUGAUUCCUAAUUCUUUGACAUUCUGAAUCCCCAUAAUAACCUCCUUCGUGAAACAACGUGAAGACAAUUAAGAAAUAGUUUUUGAAAAAUCCAAGUUCCUUCCUUUGUCAACAGAUCCACUUGGGCAAUCUGGCAAAUAAAAUGUGGGCAGUUUGAGAUGCCUUAAUUGCAUUAGUCCCCAAAUUUGCAUUAGACAAGUUACAAAUGAUCGAUUAGACCCUUUAACAUUGAAUGUCUGCAGAUUCCAUAACCUGGAAAUCUCUGGAGGUAUGUCAAACAUUUCCCCGCGGAAGAGCAAUUCUAGGUACCUCAACCAGAUGAGGCUUAGUAUCUGUACAGGAAAAUUAUCAAUCUCUAUGUGUCUUAGCUCCAAGACUUUGAGUAAUUUGAAAUGAAUAAGCUCUGAGUUGAGAAUAAAAUAUGAAAAAUAACCACCGAAAGAGAAGAUAGAACGGGUUCGUUUCAAAAGAUUGUUGUUGUCAUGAUAUCUCAACUGAUGAUGCACAGGGGUAAGAAGAGCCCUAUAAAGAUCACAGGGUGAAGAAUCAAUUUCAUCACCAAUCAAGCGCUUAAAGGGCUGCAUUUGCAUGAGAGAUUGGCAUUCUGAAGGAACGUGAUUCGCAUCUGAGUUCCAAACACAAUUUCUUUCAUAAUAAAAAUGUUCUCCCUUUGAAUUUCUCUCACGCACAGGUCAUAUAUUAGAUCAUGAACCUUACAUGAUCUAAUUUUUGUUCCAUCUAGACUUUUCUUGCAGACGAGGACUAAACAUCUGUCGACAAGCUCUUGCAAACACUUCUCAGCCUCUCCUUCCAAAUCAUUUUCCAACUGAACCCCUCAGCCAUCCUUGAUCUCAUCAAUUUCUUCACUGCUAUACCACUGUCUUCUGGAAAAAUUCCGAAAUGCAGUAGACAAGUCUUUAGAUCGCUAGUCAAGUGAUUGUAACUCAACCCAAGCACACGUGAACAUCGUUCAUCAGGAUCAUUUGUGACAAGUGACUUGACAUCUUUCACAACAGUUCUCCAAUCUUCUAUUGCCCUUUUAGAUUUGAGAACUCCAGCAACCACGACAAUAGUUAGUGGUAACCCGUGACAUUCAUCUGCGAUUUGCUUCCCAACAGUCUCGAACUCAUAUGGUAAUGCUUCACUUGAGAAUGCGGCACUUUUAAAAAGGCUCCAACUCUCAUCUUGAUCCAUGAAAUCCAUUUGCAUAGAAAGAUUCUCUGUACCAGCAUAAUAGGCUACUUCAUUGUUACGGGUAGUCAACAAUAUUCUAUUCCCUGCAUUGUCUUCAUUUGGAAAGCAUUGCCUCACGCCAUCCCACACUUCACAACUCCAGAUAUCAUCCAAGACAAUAAAGUACCUCUUUCUCUUUAAACUUUUCUGUAGCAUGUCCGCUAGCUCUGCUUCACCUUUCGUCUUAACCGUGUCAUCCAUUUUGAUCGUCGAUUGCAGAAGGCUCAGCAAAAUUUGCUUUAUGUUGUGCUGUUGAGAUACAGUAGCCCAGGCACGAACAUCAAAAUGGCGUAGAAUUGAUUCAUGAUUGUAAACUUUGUUCGCUAAGGUUGUUUUACCUAUGCCUCCCAUCCCGUCAAUCGGGAUGACUUUGGGUUCACCAGAGUAGAUUCUCGUAAGAUCUUCUACCAACCGUUUCCUUUGAUCGUCAUGUCCAACCAUACUGUUCUCAACAUUUGUGUAUUCCUCUGAUGUUUUGUUGAACCAUUGAAAAAUAUUGAACCAUUGAAAAAUCAUGAAGCAUUGAAAAAUCUUGAACCAUUGAAAAUUCAUCACGUUCCCUUUAUCUUGAAUAUUUGUUGACUCUUUCCAGAUACGAUCGAUGUCCUCUGCUACUUGUUGCAGGCUAUCAGAAAGCAUCUCUUGUGCCUUUUCUCUCAGAUUUUCAUCAUUUGCCAAUACAGCUUCAGUCACUCCUAGUUGAAUUGUUUGUUCAACAAUAUUUGCAACUUCUUUUAUCUGCACUUCCAAAUCUGUCAGUUCCCCAGAAACAUUGCUUUUCUCAAAGUUCUUGACAAAUACUUCCAACGAACUAACUUUUUCAUGAAGAGUGAAAAAUUCUUCUCUGUGAUCAAAGGAUAGAGAUUGCAUCGGCGAAUUGGAUGUCAAGCGCGAUUCUACUGUUCUCGUAAGAGAAUCCACACUUGCAUGAGCCAUAUCUACUGUAUUCUCAUUUUUGUCCUGUGUGACUAUGACCUGAAAGCUGCAGGUUGCAAGAUGUCAAUGCUAUUAGAGAUACCGUGAUACACAGAUUGGCAAAAAACGCAAGCAUAAACUAAACAAGAUCAGGCGAUUUAAUAGUCUGUUUCAUGUUCAGGUCAGUUAUGUUAGUACAGAUGAUUUUGCACUUUGAUAGUUUAAUCUAUUAAUCUCUAACUCUUUGAAUUUGGUUAAAGAUUGGGGAAAUAAUUAAUAAAGGAAAUAACAUAUAAUUACCGGUUAAUAAUAGACACGCACAAAAAGUUCUGCAAAAAUCUCUUAACUAUUUCAUCCAACUCUCAGAUAGUCUCAAUCAAUCACAAAAGUAAAAUGGUUUUCUUGCACGAGGGUUUAUCAAAAAUAAUCACUCGUGUAAUUGCAAAGGUAGGGGUAAGGUUUGUAUAUAUCUCACCCUCCUGAUACCCCACUUGUGGGAUUUUCUAACUUUUCUAGAAAGUCAGAUGAUAAAAUUAAAGGACAUUUUAGUCUAAGACUACAAGAUUCAAAAAUCUUCUUUAAUUUCUUCAACUUCGUGUCAUGUCAAAUUCAGACAAACAAAUUCAAAUGGACCUUGGUUUUCCACCGUAUACUUGGAGGAAACAGAUAUUUCCUUUGCUUGACAAAGAAUGGCGUACUUUAGUUUUUUACUCUAUUUCAAAAAUGAGUUAUUAACAGUUAUUAACUCAGAAAAAUGAGUAAUUAAGGGAAACUAACCUUUCAAUGAUUAUUUGGGAAUACAGAAAGAGAGUUGGGAAGAAGGAACUGAUCACUGCAACAAAAUACUAUAAAGAACACAAAUAUGAGUAUAUAAAAACAAAAAGAUAUAGUAGCAAGUAAUCAAGAUUAAAAUCAAGAGAAAAAUGGCAUACCUCUCUGAGUGUCUAACGAAGUGUUUGCCUUCUGAUAAAUUGGGAUGAGAACUUCAAUUAUUGUUGCAUGUGGUGUAAGUGCUUUUAUAUAUUUAAAUGGAACAACACAUCAACUGUUUUUUAAGAUUAAAAGUUAUUAAAUGAUGAUUAUGCAGAUACAUACCUUUAUUAUAUUUUAAAAAUAAAGAACACUAUUUUUGUUGUCAUGUUCUUCUUCUGAAUUGCAUUUGAGCGAGGUUCCAUCGAAAACAACCUCUCUACCUCCAUGAGGCACUAGCAAAGGUCUGCAUAACACAUCCUAGAUGUCACUUAUGCAAUUAUGUAAAGAUAUAUUAAAAAAAAAGACCGUGGCCAAUUUGUUGUACCAAUCACCAAUUUUUUAAUACAUAUUAGCGGCCUGACACUUAUAUUUUGUGACCUAAUAAAUCAAUAAAAAAAUAAUAAGAUAAGGGUGGAGGAUCAAAAAAAAUCCCCAGCUUUAGGAGCACAAUGGAACAUGACUCAAUUAUCAAGACUACAUUUGAUUUGCAAAAAGUAUUGAGUUACCAUUCAGAAUAAGGUUUGGUUCUAUCCAUAGAGAUUCCAUAACUAGUCAAAACUGGCAAGUUCAAACAUAAUUGGGAUUACUAUUUCAUGACCUAUGUAACACCCUGCAUUUCGGGGCAUUAUAGAAACCAUGAUUUCGAUGCGUUGAUAAUCCCGAAGCCAUAACUCCUAUGCCAAUAUGGCAUGUUAAUUAUUUUCAUAGUAUGUGAAUACAUUCAUGCUUGAAUUUAGACCAUAGAGGUCCUUCAACUCAAGGAUGAGUUGAAACUAUUUCGAUCGAUUAAGUUUUAGUGGACAUUGUAAUUUGUGUCAGAUUCCAUUCACCAUAACUCUCUUCAUAUGUCUAAUUAGAGGGCCUACUAUUUGUCAAAUAAUAGGUCUUUGAGUUAGCUUUCCAACGAUACCAAUUUUGCUAAAAUCCAACACCCGAGCAAGAAGUUAUGGCCUUUCAAAGUAGUAGGCAGCGCCUAUGUAAACAUAGGCGAUAGCAUAGGCAGCGCCUAUGGAAAGAUUUCAGGUGACUUAAACACUCCGUUUUUCGGGCAAAAUGGUCUUUUUCCACCCUUACUUAGCCCUAAACACGAAAUUCAGUUCCCAAAGACCCUAAAAUACACCUUCAUUCAUCAAAAUUGUUUAAGAAUUCUGUCUAGGGUUUCAAAAUAAAAACCCAAGAAACUCAAGAUUCAACUGUGGGUUUUAGAAACUAAUUACAUAUUUGGAAUCCUAUCAACAUAGGCUUCAAGAAGCAUCUAAUAUUCGUAGUAAUCGAGGUAUGUGGGGUUAUCUCAAAAAUAUAAUGGGUUUUAAAAAUUCAUGUUUUCAAAUGGGAGUUUUGAAAUUACGAAUAUGAUUAUGUUUUUAAACAUUUUAUGAUAUUGAUUUGGCCCUUAGGCCUACUCCCAAAGUGAUUUGCUAUAUGAUAUAUGUAUAUGCAUGUAUUCUGAAAAGAUAUUAACUUGAGAGCAUGAAUGAUAUGAAAUUUCCUCUCUUGAUGUGAAUUUGUUUUAAAUGUUCAUAUGAUGUAAAUUAUUUGAAAACAUCUUGAAGAGCAUGACAUGAAAUGUUUUGAGAAUUGAUAUGAUUUUGACUUGAAAAUGAGAAGGUUAUUCAUGUUGAAUACAACGGUUGAAUGAGAAGAAUGGUGUGAUAUUGAUUUCUUGCAAUUCGGGUAUGACAAUACCCUACAGAGUAUGACAUAUGAUAGAUUUGAACAAAAUUUGAAUGCAUUGAUUUUACAUGAGAUAGGUGGAUGCCCGAAGAAUGCGUUUGAGUGUAAGGGCUCAUCGUUGAAAAUCGUGUUUGCCGACACGGGAAUUUGGUACAAGGCUAAGUGAUGUUGAGUACUUGACUUUAUGUCAUUCCCAAAUUGGGAUUAUAGGUAGGAGCCCAGGCUAAGUGAUCUUGGGCACCACCAUUGGGUCGAGACACCAUGCUUCAUAGUCUUAUGUGUCUCUCCCUCACUUAUACUCUAAUCUCGGUGGCAAUCGAGGAUUGAUAGUUGGUGUAAAUUAUGUAGGGUAUUCCACCUAGCUCAGUUGCAUUUCAUUGUUAUUGAAAACAAUUACACUAUGCCCAUGUGUUUUCAAAUGAUUUGAUAUGAAACUACUUUAUAAUGGCCCUCACCUAUAAUAUGUAAAAAUAUUAUACUUCUGUUUUGAUUUCUCUUCAUACCAGUACGUUUGUAUUGACCCCCUUCCCUCCCUGGUUCGGAGGCACAGUCUAGGGGUCCAGAUAACCAGUAAAUUUCUUCUGACAGAUCGCAGAAUCAAGUGGUAAGCCUUCUAUAUUUCGGAAGGCCUGAUGUCUGCUAUUUCAUUUAUCAUUUAUUAGUUUUGGGUCUGCUAGGGGCCUUGUCACAGUUUUCAACUAGACAUUGUUUUAGUCACGUAGUAGAGAUUUCCUAGACGGUUUUAGAGAUGUUGAUUUAGAUUGUGGGACACUAUUCCCUAUUUUCGUUUUCAUAUGAUUCUUGACCAUGUUUUCGUUAUAUUAUGUUUCUUCCACAUUUCUUUUGUCAUGAAUUAUGUGCAUGAUUAUCAGACAGAUAGGGGUGUUUUGAGCCUUUAUGGUUCGGAAUGCUCAUCGGCCAGGGCCCCGGUUCGGGUCGUGACAAACGUAGUAUCAAAGCACGGUUCAUGGUCCUAGGGUGUCUGCUAAAUCAUGUCGGGUAAAGUCUUGUCUAUGGGUGUGUAGCACGCCACACUUAUAAGCAGGAGGCUACUAGGCGUUUAGGAAUGUAUCUUUUUCUUCAUGUUCUAGUCCAUGCAAUAGAGUCAGAAUAUUCCUCUUUCAUACUCAAAUUAAUGCUAUGGUAUCGCCCAUAUGAAAGUAAAAGUCAUCCCAAUUCUUUCCUUACUCGGACAUUCUCAGACAUGUCUCAUCAUUGGUUCCAUUCAAGUAUAGCAGUUUAGAGUCUAAAUGGUAUGGUUUGUUCUGAUCGAAUCAUAUAAGAUUUUUGCAAGGACUUGAGUAGAGUCCGUUAGUGCUUCAGAGUGAGGACGAUUUACCUCUUUAUAGUGAUAAACUAAUUUGGUAGCUAGCAGCAUGUUUGGAUAGUAUGGUAGUCUAUGGAGGAAGUGUUUUACUCCGAUUCUAUUUCUACAUAGUAAGAUGUGUAUUCUUAGUUCAUUGAAUAUUGCGUAUUAAACUCUAUCUCAUGAAAUAUUGUCAUCAAAGUGUUGUUGAAACAUAAAGUCUAGUGAAGCCGUGAGGGGCUCUUUCGAUUCACUAGAAUAGUUGACUUGUCAUUCAUCCCAUUUUCUUGUUCAAAAUACAAAAUCAAAGUCUAGUGAAGCCGUGUGAGGCCUAUUUUGAUUCACUAGCAACUUUUUGUCCAACUUGUUGUUCUUGUGUAGGUUUAAUGUAUGUAUAGCUGAAUCUGGUUGUAUGAGAUUGAGCCGGUAAAGAGAUGAUUUGUCCUUGUGAGUUAGUUUAGUAUAAGGUAGAGAAGGAGUUGUUUGUCAGGGUGAUUUGUUAGUUGCUUGAAUGUGAAAAUGGCUAUAUUAGCGAGUAAUUUAUGAUUAUAGACUCAUGGUUGUUUGAGAAAUUUGAAGGCAGUCUAAAUGUAUGAUUGAGUGAGUAAGUAUGAGGGGAGAAAUUCAUAUAAGUAAAAAAAAAUUGUAUGGGGUUAUAAUAUAAGAUUAAGGUUGAUCAUGUCUAUUAUGUGACCUUACCCCAUGACCUUCUUUUGUUGGUAGUUGUAAACUAGUACUACUUAUGAGAAGGUAUAUAGCAGAUUUUGAAGUAUUUGGGAUUGAAUGCUCCAAUUUGAUGGAUUAGUAUAUUAUGUUGCACUCGUCAUUAGUGGUAGAUGAUUGAUGCUAGACCAUUGGCUUGAAUUUAAUGUAGGGUAUGGAUGUAAGAAUAGUGGCAUGAGAUUAAUGAUGUAUGUUUGUGGGAAUAAAUAUUAGUAGGCUUGAUGUGUUGAAAUAGUACGUUCUAAUGAGUUAUCAUAAGGAAGACCGUAAGGUCAAGGUCGAUUAUUGUUGUUAUGAAGUUUUAGUGUACUAGUGUUUCUUGAUGUUUAUUUCAUGGUUUCCAAAUGAGAAUCAUGCGUAAGGUUGGGUUGUAAAAUCAUGUUUAGCACUAGACAUUAAGUUUGAACAGUUGAAGUUCAUAAAGGUGGAUGUGAUGAUUUCUUGAUCAAUGAUGUUAGUUAUAUGAAAGUGAUCUAAUAGGCUUGAACGGUGUAUGCAAUUACUUAAGUUUAAAUAAAUUUGUAAUAAAGUAUAAUGUUGUAGGUAUGGUGUAGAAGUAUGCCAAGGUGAUAUGAGGUUGCGCCAUAUUUUUCUAAGACUAUUACAUAAUUUGUGUGGCUAGUAGUACCAUUGAAUUAUUAAGUGGAUAAAGACUAGUUAGAUGGUAUAUGGUGAUCUAAAUAGCCAUGUUAAGUGUUACAAUCUAAGUUUGAGUUUUGAAGGUUGAACCGAUAGAAAUAAGUGUGCAAGCAUUAUACUAUGACUAUUGGUGGCUAUGGAAAGAUUGAGUGUGUCCCAGAAGGUAGUCAUUCGGGUUAAGUUUAUGAUAUGCAUGUAUUGUCAUUUUUUUUCUUUCAGACCCUAAAGUGCAGUAAGUGUAGUUCAGUUAGAAUCUAGUAAGGGAUCUCACAAACUCUAGAUGAUGACUUGAAUCUAAGGGAGAGAUGAUAGAACGAAUGACCAAGUAAGUCUCUUAGAUUCUAGUAGUGAUAUAGUAUGAUUUAGAACGUCAGAAAGUGAGGGUGAAUCUCAACCCAUUCCUACCUCAGUAUUUUUUUUUAGUUAUUCGGAUACUUGCUCAUGCCUUACGAUCCAGUUCCCUGAUUGUAGUUCAUGAUUCCUGUAUAUGAUAGAGAGUCACGUACUCUUCCAGUUCCAAGAUAAUGAGUUAUAAUUCAUUCAAGUAGUCGGAAUCACAUUCCUUGUGUUAGGAACUCUAGUUGAGGUCAUGCAACUCAUGACGCAUGUACUCACUCUUUAUAGUGUGCUCAGUCCCGUAUAAAAAUCUUGUCAUGCUUCAGGGUCUUAUGUUUUAACUUCUUAGUGACCCUCCCUAUGCAAUGAUAGUGGUAAUGAUGUAAAUGUUCUUGUUGAUGGAAGAUCAUAGUACGUUUGUUUAGAUAAGGCCAUAAGUAUAAAAGUAAGAUUUGGGGCCAAUCUUUGAUACAUGUGAUGGUUAGUGGAAAAGUUUGUGUGUAUGUUUAGAAACUAUGUGAAGUAUGUAUUUAUGGGUGGUUUCCUUGAAGUAAACAUGUGGUUAUAAAAUAGGCUUGAAUGACGUUUUGGGAUUGUAGUGGGAGGUCGCAAUAUGCAUUAGCGACUUCAUAUUAAGAGUUCAGAGUAGUCAUUGAAGUGGUAAGUUCUAACAGUAAUUGGGAGCCACAAUUAUCAGCACUUCAAGAUUUUCUUUGAGUUAUAGUUUGUUCAGACCAAGUAUUUCAUUCAUAUUUCUCAUUUUAUGAUGUCACAGUGUUGAGUUCAUGCAUUUUAUCUCUAAGUAAGCUAGUAUAUGAAGUAGAAGGCUCAAAGGAUUAGCUUGGGGCUACUUGUAGCGUUAAGCACUGUGUGACGUUCCGAGACCCGGUUGCAGGGCGUUACACAAAUAUCCUACAUAAUCAGCAUCAAAAUAUCCUACCAAAUUCAAAUUACUACCUUUGGGAUACCAUAAUCCAAGAUCACUUGUUCCCUUCAAGUAUCUGAAGAUUCUUUUCACUGAUUUUAGAUGUGAUUCUUUGGGAUUUGCUUGAAACCUAGCACAUAGCCCUACACUAAACACAAUGUCAGGCCUUCUAGUUGUGAGGUAUAGUAAUGAGCCUAUUAUGCCUUUCUACAAUUUUUGCUCUACAUCAGGACCUGUUUUAUCUAGAUUAAUCUUUGUGGCAGUGAUAAUAAGAGUGUUGAUUUCCUUAGCCUUUUCCAUGACGAAUCUUUUGAGAAGCUCUUUGACAUACUUCUGUUGGUGUAUCAUUGUUUCUGAUGCUGACUAUUUUAUUUGAAAUCCUAAGAAGUAAUUUAGUUCUCCCAUCAUGCUUAUCUCAAAUUCACAACUCAUGAGUUUGGUAAACUCAUAAGUCAUAUUCCUGUUGGUUGAUCUAAAAAUAAUGUCAUCCACAUAUACCUGCACAGCUAACAAAUCCUUUCCAUUAUUUUUAAGAAAAGGGUAUUGUCAAUUUUACCACUGGAAUGAGGAUUCUCGAGUAGAAACUUUGACAACCUCUCAUACCAAGCUCUACAUGUUUGUUUCAGCCUAUACAAGGUUUUAUCUAGUUUAUACACAUGAUCAGGAAACUCCUUGCUUUCAAAUCCUGGAGGUUGCUUGACAUACACCUCCUCUUUGAGAGUGCCAUUCAUAAAUUCACUCUUCACAUUUAUCUGGUAGAGUAUAAACUCCUUGUAGACAGCAAAAGCAACAAGUAAUCUUAUAGCUUCAAGUGUUGCUACAGGAGCAAAGGUCUCAUCAAAGUUGAUUCCUUCCUCUUUAUUGUAUCCUUGGACCACUAACCUUGCCUUGUUUCUUGUGACUGUUCCAUGCUUAUCAACUUUAUUCUUAUACACCCAGUUGGUUCCAAUCACUGAUCUAUUUUUUGGAAGAGGAACUAAGUGUCAUUCUUUGCGUCCUUUAAACUAUUCAACUCUUCUUGCAUGGGUAUGAUCCAAUCAACAUCAAGCAAUGCUUCAGUUAUUUUCUUUGGCUCUAUUUCUGACAAAAAUGCCUUGAUGGCUCACAUACUUCUCAGUCUAGAUAUGUUAGUAAUCCCAGAGGUGAGCUUAAUGAGAACAUUCUCUAUAGGAUGUGAUCCUUGAUACUUGUAUCCCUUUGGAAUCAAGCCUAGUGAGCUACUAGGAUCACUAAUGAUAUUCUAAUCUGGGGUAGUUGGUAGAUCAUUUUCCCCUGUCACUGUUCCUUCAGCUUUAGUUCCCCCUGUUGAGGUGCCUACAGGUUUGGUAGUUCCAGUCAAUGAAUCGGGUUGUGUAACCUGUUCCUCAGUAUCAUUUCUUUCCUGCAGGUUAUUCUUAACAUAGGAUUCAUCAAAGAUCACAUGCAUGCUUUCUUUAACAUAGUUAGUUCUGUUGUUUAAAACCCUAUAGGCUUUACUAUGAAGUGAAUAACCUAAGAAGAUUCCCUCAUAACUUUUAGCAUCAAAUUUCCCAAAUUAUCCUUUCCAUUAUUAUGUAUGAAACAUUUUCUUCCAAAGGUUCUAAAGUGAGAGGUGUUAGGCUUUCUUCCUUUAAGUAAUUCAUAGGGAGUCUUCUCUAACAUAGGUCUGAUCAUGCAUCUAUUUAUGAUAUAUGCUGCAAUACUUAUUGCCUCAGCCCAAAGGUUUUUAGCAAUAUUUGCUACGAGCAUCAUUGUUCUAGCCAUAUCCUCUAAGAUUCUAUUUUUCCUUUCCACCACUCUAUUUCAUUGUGGUGUUCUAGGAGCUAAGAAGUUAUGAUCUAUACCAUUUGCUGAACAAAAUUCCAAGAAUUUUACAUUCUCAAAUUAUGUACCAUGGCCAGAACUUAUGGAGACUAAGGAAGUACCUAGUUUUUUUUCAAUUUUCUUAAUGAAAAUUUUUAAGACAUCAAAGGCAUCUUCUUUAGAGGCUAGAAACAAUGUUCAGGUGAACCUAGAAUAAUCAUCAACAAUUACAAAAAUAUACCUCUUUUCACCUCUGCUUUAAAUUCUCAUUGGUCCACACAAGUCCACAUUAACCAGUUCAAGGCACUUAGAUGUGCUUACAUGUGGAAUCCCAAACCUGCCUUUUCAUUGUAAUUUCUUUCACUCAAUUUGUGAACAAUUCUUGAGGAGUUUGUCCACCUAUUUUCGCUUUCAAGAUCCAGUUUUAGUUUAGAAACUUCUUGACUAAACUUAUUCAUUUUUUUAGUUAAAUCAUGGCAUUCUUGUUUUUAUUUAACUAGCUCAAGUUCAGCAUUUUCUUGUUCUUUACUCAUGGUUUUUUUCCCAUUUUUAGUGAGAAUUAAUUUGAGAUCUUCAGACUUAAGAUCAUUGUUUGAAAUCUCAAGUUCUGCAACCUGUUUCUUGAGAGUGCAAGUUUCCUUAUCAACUAUACUUGAGCAAGCCUUUAGAUCAGUGAGAUCAAAUUUUAGGUUUACAAGACUGUUGAACAAUUCAUCACUAUCAGAGGUUAACUCUUGGAAAUCAUCAAUCAAUGCACUUAUCAAGGAAACAAGUUUUGGUUUUGAAAACAAUUGCAAGUUUUCUUUGAGUUCAAGUAUACUUACCUCAGAACCCUCAUCUUCCUCAUUUAAGUCUGAAUCUCCAAGAGCCAUGAAUGCAGUUUCAUCAACUUCAUCUUCAUCUGAAUCGAAUCCCCAGGAUUCUAUCAUUGCAUGCUCCUCCUUUUUUUUUUGCCUUCAGUUCCUUUUCAUCCCUUUCCUUCUUCCAUUCUAUUUCCCAGCUAGAUAGUCUCUGAUUUGAUGAUCAGUUUUGCCACAUUUUUAGAGCCCAUUUGGAUUGUCAUUGGAACAUUUCUUAGUACCUAUUCUCUUUUUCUUCUUAAAGAAUUUGCUGAAGUUCUUAUUUAUGAAGGCAACUUGCUCCUUGUCAAGUUGAAAUUCCUCAUCAUUAUCAGAAGCUUUAAAUGCCAAUAUUUUCUCAGGAUCUGCUUGUUCUUUGGUUCAAUCUAUUUCCAUUACAUAAGUCCUUAAGUUCCUUACUAGUUCAUCCAGGGUCAUGCCUUCAAGAUCCUUAUUUUUCUCCCUGAUUGCAGUCACCUUAACAUCCAUUUUGAUUUCGGUAAUACCCUCAGUACCUAUUCAACUUAUUCCUCCUCAAAGAUGACAUUUCCUAAGAAAGUCAACUCAUUUAUUAAAGUGGUAAGUCUUUUCAUCAUCUCAUGCAGGGUUUCAUUUUCCUUUAUUUUGAAUGUCACAUACUCAGUGAAAAGGAGAGAGAUCCUAAAUUUUCUUACUUGAGAGGUACCUUCAUGAGCAUUGACCAGGGCAUCCCAAAUUUGCUUAGCAGUAGUGCAGGUUGAUACCCUAUUGUAUUUAGCAGGUCCUAAUCCACAAACCAAGAUGUUCUUGGACUUUGCAUUCUUAUUCAAAGCCAACAAGUCAUCAGGAGUAAAUUCACUCCUUACUUUCUUAACUUGUUCACCAUCAACCAACUUUAUUGGAAUAGUGGGCCCAUUUGUAAUCCUGUCCCAUAAUCAUAGUAUUCACCUUGGAUGAACAUGUCAAUCCUUGCCUUCCACCAGAUAAAGUGAGAGCCAUCAAGAAGUGGAGGUCUAGUAGUUGACUGACCUACACUGUGACCAGUAGGAGGUGUGGAAUUCAUCAUGUUGAUAUUAUCUUAGGUGCUAGCCUUAUUUAAGACAACCUCACUCUGAUACCACUUGUUAAAGUAUGAGCCCUACUAAUUGUCUAUCUAUUGAACAAGUAAGUAAACGUGGUUCACAGAAGUAACAGCUGAACACAGUGUUUUUACGUGGAAAACACGCAGCUCAAGAAAGGUGUAAAAAAACAUGAUUUGUACCUCUACAGGAUUUAACCCCAACUUCACUAUAACACUUGAGCCUCAACAAUCAACAAACUUACAAGACUUCUUUUUUGAAUAGGAUUCUUCUUUUAUCUCUGCAAGACCUCUUAUUCAAUUCAAAUUCUGUAAGACUUCUUGUUCAACUCAACUCCUGCAAGACUUCUUGUUCAACUCAACUUCUGAUGUGAUAAAUGUUAUCCACUUCUGUUUGAAUGAAGAGUCAUCUUAUCAAUAACUUGUCUGCAGCUGAGCUUUGUUCACUUGGACAAACCAGCUUUCAGAACAUGUUUCAUUCACAUGUCUAUCAUCAAAACUCCUACUUUCUUAACAAAUUCUCUUUUGUAUGACCUUUAUACCCACAAUGUUCACAAAUGAUGCCAGAUCUCUUCCCUUGGAAGCUUUGUCCUUGUAAAUUUAUUCCCUGGAAAGUAUGAUCUUGUGGUUGAAAACUGUGUAGCUGACUAGAGUUGUUCUGGUUUCUGCCAGCCAACAUUGUUAGAGGUUAAUUUUUUUCCUCAACCAGACCUAGUUUUUGUUGGCUUUCUUCCUGAAUUGCCAUUGAAUAAGCUUGGUUUACACUAGGAACUGUUGGACUAAGCAAAAUGGAACUCCUUACUUGAGCAUAACUCUCAUUCAACCCUACUAAGAACUGCAACAAUAUCUGUUGUUUCACAUGUUCAAUAUAUGAGCUUAACUCUACACAUUCACAACUAGGAGAAGGCACCAUAACAUCUAUCUCAUCCCACAAAUCUCUCAUUUUGGAGCAAUAUGCUAUGACAGAACCAGUUCCUUGAGUCAUCACACUGAUCUCUUUCCAUAGGUGAAAAUUUCUGGUUAGACUGGACUUAUCAAACCUUUAUUUGGAAUCACUCCAGACCAUCUUUGAUCUUGAUGCAUACACGAUGCUUGUUAUUGAUUCUGGUGUUAGAGCUACACUAAUCCAAGACAACAGAACUGCAUCACAUCUCUCCUAUCUAAUCACUAAGUUCCCUUUAUACAAACUCGUUGCACCUGUACCAUCAACAAAUCCAAGUUUGUUUUUGACUAGCAGUGCCAAUCGCAUCGAUCUGCUCCAUAUUCCAUAAUUCUCUGGACCUGUGAGCUUUAUCAGAAUCAAGGCAACACUAGAAGUAUCAGAAGCCUGUAGAUGCAGAGGAUGAUUGUGAUCCAUCUGCAGAUCAAAUGCAAUUUCUUCUCUUUGAUCACUCGCCAUUGUUGAAGCUCAAAAAGUAUCAAUGAAAAUCCCAAUUGACUACUAGCACUUCGUCACUCGAUCGCCUGCUCUGAUACCAUGAUAACUUCUACACAAUCACUAAAUUGAAAAGAAGCUGAAGCUAAAACUCCAUUAAGAAACUCAUGAGUUUACAUGUUCCUAUACUGUGUCUUCUCUCUUAACUUGAAAACUGAACUAGUGCACCUCUUAUCUCUUCUAUAGCACCAACUUAACCCAUCUCAACUGCUACACGUGAUUAACACAUGACCACUCUAACAAACUCUAGCAAACUCUAACAACCUACUAGUUGCAAGCUAAUUGUACAGCUCAACAGUAGCAGCUCAAUACUUACCCUGCAUUUUUGUCGGUGAUUCUUUAGCCAUGACUCAUUUUGGCUAAGCUACGUGACAAGUUAAUGUAGUGAUAUAAUUAUUUAGGAAUUAAUUAGUAUAUAUGAUUGGAAAAAGGUUCAGAUUUACAUCAUAGUUUAAGAGUUUAGUUUAGCUAUGCCCCUUGCUCGCUCUGCCCCUCAAUCUCUUAAAAAACAAUUCCUUCUUUUUAGGUAAUUGUGGUGUUCAAGCCAGCUUGUGCACACCUCGACUAGUUCCCAUGGAUCUCAUACCUCGAGGAUAAUGGCUCACCAACAGUUAAUGUUGGUCUGUAAUAGCUCCAAUGUUCAUUCCCUGUACACAUUCAGAUAAACUUCAAAUCAAAAGUCUGAAGUCUUCAAUCCUUAGCUAACACCAGUCUGAAUCAGAAUCACUUCCACUUACUUCACAUUUAGCUAUUGCAAAAAGAAGAUAAAAGGUUAACUAUAAGUUUGAUAUAAGCAUGGCUGAAUCGAUUUUGGUUCAAGUAUGAACUUCGUCAUUGUUCAAGUUUCAAACGCAAUUGGUGUACUCACCUGGAUCAUUGUAAGCACGAACACCCACAGCUUUGCCUCGUAAGGAUUCUUGCUCUUCUUGAACUCGUCCAGCCCACAAGAGGAACGGUUUCUGUUUUAUCAUUUCCGAUCAACAAAAAGUUUUGGCGUUGUGCUUCUCUCCAGCAUAACUCGUGGACCAGAUCAUGAACCCUUCAUGUCUUGAUUUUUCUUCCAUCCGCACUUUUUUGGCUAGCUAAGACUAGACAUCUAUUGACAAGAUCCUGCAAAUGGUUUUCAGCCUCUUCUUCCAGGUCACCAUCCAGCUUCAAGAACCCAUCAGCGAUCCAUAAUCUCACCAAUAUCUACACUGAAAUUUCGCUGUCUUCAUGAAAUAUUCUGAGAUACAGAAGACAUGCUUGUAAGUCAUUAGGCAAGUAGUGGUAACUCGAUGCGACAGCGCGUAGACAUUGCUCAGCAGGAUCUUUUGUUACACGCGACUUCAUAUUCUCAGCAACAUUCUUCCAUUUUUCUUCUGUGCUUUUAGAUUUGGACAGAAGCCGAGCAACCACGACAAUUGUUAGUGGUAACCCUUGACAUUUGUUUGCAAUUUGCUCCCCGAUAGGAACUAAUUCACGCGAGAAUCUUUCAUUUACAAACGCCUUGCUCUUAAAGAAGAUUACUUGAGCUCGUAUAAAGAGCUACCUGUCGACUCCCAUUAUCAUCAAUUGGAAAACAUUCUCUCGUGUCAUCCCACGAUUUAUAGCUCCAUAUGUCAUCCAUGAAAAUAAGAUACCCAUUACACUUCAAAUGUCUCUGUAGAAGGUCCGCUAGCUCUGCCUCAUCUCUGCUGUAGACUUUGUCAUCGAUUUUGAUUAUAGAUUGAAGAAGACUUAGCAGGGUUUCUUUCACAAUGUAUUCUUUAGUUAUAGUAGCCCAAGCGUGAACGUCAAAAUGGGACUGAAUCAAAGGAUGGUUGAAAACUUGUUUUGCUAAAGUUGUCUUGCCAAUGCCUCCCAUCCUGACAAUUGGGAUGACUUUUAUUUCAUCGGAGGAACCUCCUCUCAUUUCUUGAAGAAUCCUUUUCUUUUCCUUGUCACGUCCCACCAUAUUGUUCGAAACUUCCAGAUUAGGUAAUUUUUCUGAACUCCUAUCUCGUGCCAAGGACCACGUCGAUGCUUGUCUACCUUUAUGAUCUUGAAUCUUUUUUGACUCUUCUUGGACAAGAUCAAUGUCCUUCACUACUUGUUGCAAGCUCUCACAAAGUUCCUCAUGUGCUUUUCUUCUCUGUGUUUCAUCUUCUGCUAUCAUAGCUUCUCAUAGUCCAAAUUCAAUUUUGUCUUCAGCAGCAUUCGCAAAACCUUUUAUCCACUCCUCCAAAUCUGCCAUUGCCCCAUAACUACUGAUUUGUUUCUCCGAGUUCUUGAGAAAUGUUUCUAUAGAGCUCACUUUAUUAAGAAUAGCUACAAUUUCUUCUCCGUGUUAACAAGCAACGGAUAGCAUUGGCGAAUCAGAAGUCAACAGCAGUUCCAUUGUUCUCAUAAGAGAUGCUAUACUCGCAUAGGCCAUAUCUAUUCUCCGGUUUCCAAAAUGCAAUUACAACUUGAAAUCUGCAAGUUGUAGGAGCUCGAUAAUGUUAAAAUAACACGGCUCACAGCGUUGCAGAAACAGUGAGGUAAAAAUUAAGAAAUCAGGCAACUUCAUUCUGCACUCUUCACUAUCGUAUCUGUUACAUACUUUAUGUCUGCUUCAUAUUCAUGUCAGUAUCAUAUACUUUAUUACACUUGAUUUGACACUUCAGAAAUAUGCAGAAUCCACUUUACCGGUCAAAGAAAACGUUGCACAGAUGGUGGAAGAGGAGCUGUAUGAUGUUCAUAGGUUUUGUAUUAGCUAGUUGCGAGCGACAAUACGACAAAGACUUGUUUGAAUUGUGGCUAGACAAGAGGCACAGAUGUAGACCAAGUCGCGGAGAACUCCUGGCGUUCUAUGAGUCGAUAGAUCGCAUACGCUGGACAGCCCUAGUGUCCAGUCUAGCUUGCACACACCUUGACUAGUUCCACUAACUACCUGCAACCUCCCACCAACACAGGUACUAGAUAACUCUGUCCCCAAAGGCUUUGGCAUAUAGGAAGAAGUCGCCUAGCGUUCUUUGCCUCUCACUGGGAUUUAAAACAAGACCUCAUGGUUCUCGACUCACUUCAUUGACCACUGAGCCACACCCUCGAGUGUGUGCCAAUGCUAAGUCAAUGGACUUAGCUUGAUGUGAUUGACCAAGAUGUGACAUUUGGAUCUGUUGACAUUAAUAGGUACUCCAUAUUUUUAAAGGAUACGAGCAACAUAGGUUAUAAAAGAAGUGAAUUUACGGAUUCAUGGGAAACCACUAGCGUUUGCCCAAAUCCUAAAGAAAAUCAACCAAGUAUCUAUAAAUAUUUGACUAGGAUCCCAACUAUGUUGCUUGGACUAAAAGGACAGCCUGGUGUACUAAAACUCCCGCUAUGCGCAAGGUCUGAGCAAGGGCUCCACCAUAAGGGUACAUUGUACGAAGCCUUACCUUGCAUUUUUGCCGAGGCUAUUUCCAAGGCUUGAACCCGUGACCUCCUAGUCACAUGGCAGCAACUUUACCAGUUGCUCGGAAUCUUUCAAAAAGACCAACUUACUACAACAAAUACUUUCAAGCAGAAAAAUAUACUAAAGGCACAUGAAUAUGAGUUUCAAACAACAAAUUAAUGAAGUAAAAAGGAAAAUUGCAUUACCUCUAAUGGAGAUUGAAAAGUGAAAUUGUGUCUGCUAUCAAGUUAUAACAAAUAUGUUUUAUAUAUGAAAAAAAAUAGAAAGGAAAAAAAGAGUUGACUUUAUAGAAAUGGGAUGACAAUUCCAAUAAGUUGACCUUGGGAUUUGUGUCUAUCAAAGAAAAUAUAAUAUUAUAGUACAUCGAUAUAAGCAUCCAAUAUCCCCUUGAACUAUGCCCAAAGUUGCUACGACACAUUCCAACUUCACAGAGGUCCUAUUAUCCUCGAACUCAAUUUUAGCGUAUUUUUGUUACUCUUUUGUGUUGAUGUAAUACCAUUAUUAUAUAAAAUAGGGCUCAUGGAAAAAGUGCCACGUCAGUUAAAAAGGUUGACAAAAAGUGUCACGUCAGCUAAAAAGAUUGACAAAAAUACGCUAAAAUUUAGUUCAUGGGGUAGUAGGACCUCCGUGAAGAUGCAGUGUGUCAUUGCUUAGUUUAGGAGGGUACAAGACGCUUUUCUCUAGCACAUCUGUUUUUAACUUUACCAAGUAAAGUGAGUGUGCAGUCAUUUUAACCAUUGUGAUAUCUAAUUGAGUGUCAUAUAUUAUUUUAGAGAUAAUCGUCCUGUACUCCCUCGAACUAUGAUCAAAGUUGCUACGACACACUCUAACUUUACAGGAGUACUAUUAGCCCUUGAACUCAAUUUUAGCGUAUUUUUAUCACCCUUUUGUGCUGACAUGACACCUUUAUUACAUAAAAAUGGGAUCCACAUCAAAGGUGCCACGUCAGCUAAAAAGGUGUCAUGUCAGCUAAAAAGGGUGACAAAAAUACAUUAAAACUGAAUUCAGGGGGAUCCCCGUGAAGUUGGAGUAUGUCGUAGCAACUUUGGCCAUAAUUCGAGGGAGCACUAGAUGUUUUACUCAUUAUUAUAGCACAUCUGCUUUUAACCCCACCGUUUUGUAUUACUUUUCAUGUAUAUAUAGUAAAUGUCGAACCUCCUUCGAUUAGUUUGUAUGUUUAUAACAUACUCAUAUUUUGAACCCCCUUAGGAAUAAUCCUGGCUCCGCCACUGCAUUUCUAAUAUUCUAAUAAAUAACUUUACCAACUAAAGUGAGUGUGCAAUCAUGUUAACCAUUGUGAUCUAUAAUUGAGGGUCAUAUAUUAUGUGUAAUAAUUAAGCUUUUCUACUAUCCCAUGGAUAUGUAUGUACAUGCAAAUUAGUAAUGCCCAAAUGAGUAAUGUUACUAACAAUUCUAUUAACUCAAAAAUAUGUUACAAUACAAAUCCAGAGACAAUAUUAAAAUUUAGAGAAAUCACAUCUCCUUGGAAGCCACAAUAACUGGUAAAGCUGUUGCUAUGUGACUCGGAGUUCAGUAGUUCAAGACGUGGAAAUAGCCUCUUGCAGAAAUGCAGGGUAAGACUACGUCUAAUAGGUCCUUAUGGUCUGGCCCUUCUAUGUCUUAUAGAUGAACCGAAAUGAAAUCGAGGGACUUCAAUCGUUUUGCUCUUGAUCUUCAUUACUAAUGUCCUUCGAAACCAAAAUUAAUCCUCCCUUGAAAGAAACAUAAAGGGUCAGUAGAAGUUCAACGAGUCACAUUAUUCAGAUGCAGAUAUAGGGCGUGUUCAACCGAACUCACAUCUUUCAACUCUAACUUCAUGUGAACAGACACAGACGUAGGAGUUUAUGCAAUCUGAUAAAUAAUAUUGAACUCGUCACCUGGUUAACGCGUCCUGCCACAUCUUUGCCCUAACCAAGUGAGACACGAUAUUUAAUGCUAACUCAAAAUCAACACCACCACCAUCAUCAUCGUCGUCGUCGUCGUCAUCAUAGUCUUCAUCAUCCUCAUCCUCAUCAUCUACAUCUUCUCCUGUAUGAAGUCACAGAAGUGAAGUAUAUUGGAAUAUUUUCCUUUUAUACUUACUAAGUACAACGUAAGCAGAUAAGGAAGUUCAUGUAAUGUUAUACUAAUCUGAAUACGGUUUUAAGAUAAGAACAUGCACUGGUUCUGCUCCAAGAUCUUCCUGGUCUUGUUGAAUAUGUGCAGUACAAGUCUCGAGCGCGGGCUUACAGCCUUCUAACUCAAUCAGGUGUAGUGUGUCGAUUUCUACAAAUUCAAUGGGUAUCUCUUCCAAAUUAUAGCAAUUGCUAAGCAUGAGGCGCUCAAGGACAGAAAAAUUGUCAUUUGGGGCUUUCCAGUACUUGAGAGAAUUAGUUUCAAUUAGCAAAACCUUCAAUCGAGUAAAUCCCCCAACAAUUGGAUGUCUUUCUUUGCCACAACAAGCAGAUGAACGAGAAUGUUGAGAGGUCCAGAUUCCCGAAAAUUUUCAUUGUCAUCGUUAUUUCCACCGAUUCCUAAUUUUUUAACAUUCUGAAUCCUAGAAAUAACCUCUUUCAUGCAUCAACAUGGAGACAAGUGAGAAAUAGUUCGUCAACAGAUACGCUUGGGCGAUUUGGCAUAUCAAAUUUUUCCAGUUUGAGAUGCCUUUAUUGCAUUAGUCCCCAAAUUUUCUCAGGAAAGAGAACUAUACUCUUGCCACAAAAAAUAAAAUUUGUGUCCUUUGAAUUUCGGUCAUAGGUUGCGGAAACUUAUGCCUUCUCGUCAAAUUCUUGUAUCAAAUAAAUAGAUCAUAGGAAUGAAUUAAACAACACGACCUACUCUAUUACUUCUCUCGAAUAUCAUUGAGUUGAUCCCACAGAAUAUAUUGUCAAACAUACACAAUAUAAAUUGCUCCAUGAAGGAGAAAAAGUAUACAACAACAAGAAUUAACAAGCUAGAAGACAUUACAACAUAAAUGUAAUGAAUCAAACUCCCUAUAUUGGAUAGAAACCGAUUGGAUACUCUUGUUGCUCGUCCUCUCCGUGUCUUCUGUUUUCCAAAAGCUGCUCGAAGAAUCCACUAUACUUAGACGAGAUCAAAACUUCUUAAAGAUGUGUCUUGCUAUGACAAAGCAAUAUAAAUUAAAAAUAUAAAAUCUCCCAUUUACAAUCAAAUCAUGUCAAUUAAAGUAUAGAAAUAUCAAGUGGAAUUGUUUAAGUGUACAUUUUUACAUUAGUUAUAUAUAUGUUAGAGUAAUUGUUACCAAGAAAUCAAUGUUAUGAAGCGAAACAAGAUACAUCAAAUUAUGCAAUAAACUAGAAAAUAAAAAUGCAAAAAGAACACCUUGAAGUGUGAGUUCAUAUUAAAUUUUCUUUUUCACAAUUUUGUAAAAUUUACUCCACUAUAUCAAAAAUAAAUGUCAAUAAUACUUGUCCAUUUUGAAACCAAUGGAUAACUUACCCAUUUUACCCUUAGCAUUAAAUACGAUUCAUUAUCCAAUGUAUCUUCCAAAGCAUUAGAUUUAUUAGAUUUAAAGGGUAAUAUGGUAAAACUAGCCCUAUCAUUUACUAUUUCUUAAUUUAUGUGUCAAUUUAAUAGUGGAUAACUAUUAAUAGACGGAAAAGUAACAAUUAGACCAAAUGUGCUCACAUUUAGCAAGCUUAAACUAAAGUACCAAAAUUGCUCAAAAAUAUAUUUAAGGGGACAUUUUGAACUGCCCUCAAAUAUAAGGGAUAUUCUUGUUAAUUUCUUCUAUAUUUUAACCAAAUUUUGUCGAAGGUUAUUUUUGUGAAAGAAUAUGGGGCAAAGUUAAAUAACUUUUGUGUACGACUUGACUUGUGGAAAUGAGAAACACAGUGUGACCCCUGAUAAAUACUAUAUACUUACAUAAAUCAGAGAUACUAACAUCCACGGGGUUGUUUCCAAGCUCUUCUUGUUCUUGUUGAAUUCUUGCAGCAGAUUCCCCAAGUUCGGGAAGACACCUUGAUAACUCAAUCAGUUGUAGUGUGUGGAUUUCUACAAACUCAAUGGGUAUGUCUUUUAAACUAUUUGAGAAAACAAUCUUCAAUUAACAAAAUCUUCAAUCGAGUAAAUCCCCUGACAUUUGGAUGCCAUUCUUCGCCACAACAAGGAGCAUUCAUCAGCUUCAGCACCUCAAGGUUAGGCAACUCAGCUAUGAUGUCCAAGUAUGACCAACUUAUAUAAGUGUCUCCCAACUUCAGAUUCUUGAGCAUUGCUGGAAAAGCUUUUGCACUUGCUGGAAAACGAAAUAUAAAACUCAAUGUUUCAAGUUGCUGCAGAUCGACAAGAUUGUUGAGAAGCCCAGAGUCCCGAAUACUCAUAGAGUCAGUCUCAUAUCCACGGAUUCCUAAUUCUUUGACAUUCUGAAUCCCCAAAAUAACCUCGUUCGUGCAACAAUCCAAAGACAAGUAAGAAAUAGUUUGUAUGUUUGAAAAACCCAUGUGACUCCCUUUGUCAGCAGAUACGCUUGGGGGAUUUGGCAGAUAAAAUUCGGGAAGUUUGAGAGUCCUUAAUUGCAUUAGUCCCCAAAUUUCCUCAGGAAAAGUUAUUUUAACUGAUUGCAUAGGCCCUCGAACAAUGAAUGUCUGCAGAUUCCAUAACCUACAAAUUUCUGGAGGUAUGUAUAAAUUCUCAAGGCAGAACAAUGAUAGGUACCUCAACCAGAUGAGGCUUAGUAUCUGUCUGUAGAGGGAAAUUAUCAAUCUCUUCGUGUCUCAACUCCAAAACUUUCUAGUGAAUCUAUUAUACCUAUUAAAUCCACACACCCCCUACAAAUGGUAUCAGAGCACAGCAAACUAAAAAGUACGAAAGAGAUAUAUAUUAGAGUUAGAGUUAGAAUAUACAUGUUAGAAUUAAAAUUAGAUUUAGAGUUAAAAAAUUUACCUACAAAAAUAUUAAAUUAAUUAUGCGAAGACCAUUUAAAAAUAGAGAAGCUUUUAGAAAAAUUAAAGAAUCCUUAAUUAGUAAUUAUCUAGAAUAUAUAAGUCUAAAUAAAACAAAAGAAAAUCCACAAAAACUAGCCUACUUAAUUACCUUAAUAUCUAGUAUUGAAUCAAAAUUAAUAACACAUUUAAAAUCUAGAAGAAUGAAACAUAUACCACUUAAUUAUGAUAAAAUUAGAUUUAGGUAUCCACCGAGAUAUUAUAAAUAUAAUUUAAAAUGAAUAAAAUACAACGAUAUAAAGAAUUAAAACAAAUUAUCUCUGAAAAACGUAAAGAAUUAAAAAUAAGAAUAGAAAGACUACAUUAUAAUAUAUUUGCCGGAGUUAGUAAAAAUUCAAUAGAUACACAAAAAGAUGAAAUAUCAAAAUUAGAAUCACAAAUAGAUAGUUUAGAAUAUGUAUAUCAACAUGACCUAUUCACAAUAAAAUGAAUAAAGAAGAAUUUAUAAUAGAUGAAAAAAUAUAUGAAAACUACGAAGGAUCAAAAAUAAAAAUAGUAUUUUCUAAUCUAGGACGAAGAUAUAAGAAAAUAGGUGAACAUUUAUAUCUAAUGUUAGAAAAAGAAGAAUUAAAAUUAGAAGAUAAAUUAACAGCAAUGGUAAGAAUAGAAAAAGAAAAUGAAGAGAUAGAUAGGAAAAAAGAAAUAGAAAAAAUAAAACAACAAACUACGGAAGAAAUACGAAAAAUAGAAGAAACCAAAAAUAGUAGAAUUGCUGAAUUAGAAAAAGAAUUACAAAUGUUAAAAGAACUGUAUGAACAAAGACAAAAAGAAAAAGAAGAAAAAGAUAGAGAACAGAAAUUACUAAAUGAGAUAAAUCAAUUUAAGGAAAAAUUAGAAAUAAAAAAUGAAGAAUUAGAAAUAAAUAAUAUAGAUAUUGAAGAGACAGAUAAUUAUGAGUCCGAAGAUAGUGAAACAUACACAGAAAUAUUAACAAAUACAAAAAAUUUAGAAAUCAAUGAAGAACAAAAAAUUAAUGAGGAAAACUUAGAAAAUACCCACACAGAAAUAAAUACUCUUGAUAAAAAAGAAAAUGAAAAUAUAAUACCUAAAACAACAGAAAUAAGAAAACCUAUAUACCAUAAGAAUAAGUUUAAAAAAUAUAAUGAAUAUGAUAAAUGGAAACCAAAACAAAUAGUGAAUAAAAAUUAUAACUUUUUAGAUCUAGACUGUGUAAUAGAUACAGAAAAAACAAUACAAUUAUGGAUAGGAUAUAUGACAAAACAAUUAUUAGAUAAUAAUAUAAAUAUAACAGAUGCACCGGAAUAUAUAGAAAAAACACUAAUAGGAUCAGUAAAACUAUGGUUUGCAAAUCUAACCGAAAAUAGCAAAAAAGUAUUAAGAACUAAUAAACCUAUAGAAGGAACAUCAUCGACAACAACUAAACUAACACCUAUAGAAUUAUUAAAAAAAUAUGAAACAGCUAUAAAAGAUGAAUUUGGUAGUACGACAACAAUCGAAGAAGAACAAAAUGAAGAAAAAGAUACAAAUAGAAAUUUAAUGUUAAAAUUAGCAAUAUGUAAUAUGUGUUAUAUAGAUGAAUAUACUUGCGCAUUUAAAGAAUAUUAUUACAAAGGAGCAUAUAGUAUAGAAGAAAGUAAAGAAAUAAGAAAAUUAUAUUUUAAUAAAUUACCCGAGCCAUUUAGUUCGAAAAUAAUAAAAAGUUGGGAAGAAGCAAAAAUAGUAGAUACGUUAGGAGCAAGAAUAAAAUAUUUACAACAAUGGUAUAGAAACUUAUGUGAAAAAUAUAGAGAAGAAUUAAAAAUGGAAAAAACAUUAAUAAGAAAUUUAGCUUGUUGCAAAAAUAAAAUAGCACCCCAAUUUGGAUGCGAAGAAAGAUAUUAUAAGAAAAGAAAAAGACAUAAGAAAUAUAAGAAAUAUAAAAAAUCAAAAUAUAAAUAUAAAAAACCAAGAAAAAGAUACUAUGUAAAAAAUUAUAAACAUAAAAGACCAUAUAGAAAAAAGAAAUCUAUAAAAGAAUGUACUUGUUAUAAUUGUGGAAAGUUAGGACAUUUAGCUAGAGAUUGUAAAUUACCUAAAAAUCCAAAAAAUAAACAAAUAUCAGAAAUAAAAAUAGAAAAUACCGAAUACAUGCAGAUAGAUUAUAUAGAUUAUGAAUUAGAAAGUGAAGAUAGUAUAUAUGAAAUUUCAGAAAACGAAACAGAUAAUGAAAUAGAUAGCGAAAUAGAUGAAUCAAAUGACUGAAGAAGAUAUAAAAAUAAUAACAAAGGAAGAAUAUUUAAAUGAUGAAGGAACGGAACAAAAAAUAAUAUUUGACAGUAAUAUAUUUGAUGAAAUAAAAGGAAAAGAAUUAGAUUUAAGUGUAGACAAAAUAUUUAAAAUACCAACAAUAAAAAAUAUUUUUACUAGGAAAAAAGAUGAAUAUUAUGUAGUAUGCCAAAAAGAACAUGUAAUAGAUUGCAGAUAUGCAAAAGGAAAAGCUAGUAUACCACUAGUAACAAAAAGAAUAAUUAAUAAAGAAAUAAAUGAUAUAAAAAGUAAAGGAGAUCCAAUAAAAUAUGUACACCUUGGAGGUACAGAGAUAUUAAUAAAAGCAUGUUUUAGAGAAGGAAUAGAUACACCAAUAGAAUUAUAUUUAGCAGACGAUAGAAUUAUAAAACCUAUAGAAAAAAGCAUAAUAACUGCCGUAAAAGGAAAUCUAAUAUACCAAAAAUUUAAAUUUAUAAUAAGUGCAAAUUAUUCAGUAGCAGUAACAGAUAGGAAUAUAGAUAAAUCAUUAGUAUUAUAUUGGAAAAUAUCAGGAAUAGAGUUAACCCCAGGAAGUAAAAUAUUUACAGCAAGAUGUAAAAACCUAUAUGUAUUAACAACAAAACAUAAAAUAACAGGAAAAAAUAAGAUUAACAAAAUACAAAUAGAAAGCCCAUUCGAACAAAUAGUAAAAACAAUAGAUUAUAAUGAUUAUACCUAUAGAGACAUAGAUACAGAAGAAAAUUUAGAAAUAGUAAAUGAUAGAAUAAGUACAACGAAAAGAAUAGCUAAUGAAAAGCCAGAAUCAUCAAGCUCAUCAAAAAGAACAAGUUAUGAAACAAACUCAAUAAGUAAUUUAAACCAAUAUUACAUAACGGGAAAAAUAAAUGAAAAAGAAUAUUUAAUACUUUUGAACACAGGACAAGAAGAAAAUUAUAUAGCAAAAUAUCUAGUAAAAAAUGAAGAAAUAAAAACCGACAAUAAUAUAUGCCCAGACUUACCAAGAAGUUUAAUAAAUAAUAAAAAUCUAGCAGAAAAAGAAAUAAUAUUAGGAGUUAGAAAAAUAAAAAUAGAAUUCGAAGUAAAAGAAGAAAUGCAAAAAGCAGAUAUAAUAUUAGGAAUAAAAUGGUUAGAACAAGUAAAACCAUAUAAUAUAGAACAUACACAAUUAACCUUAACAUAUAACCAAGAAAAGUUAUUCUUAAAAAGAGCCUUAACAUGAAAUGAAGAUACAUGUAUUAAUGAAGAUAGUAGUAGAAGGAUAUUACAGUAGAUAUUAUACGCCUAUGAUAGAUACAGGAGCAGAAGCUAAUUUAUGUAGAUAUAAUUGCUUACCAGAAAGCAAAUGGGAUAAACUAAAAACACCAAUAAUAGUUAAAGGAUUUAAUAAUGAAGGAAGCUUAAUUACUUAUAAAGCUAGGAAUGUAAAAAUACAAGUAUGGGAUAAGAUAUUAACAAUAGAAGAAAUUUAUAACUAUGAAUUAACAUCAAAAGAUAUACUUUUAGGAAUGCCAUUUUUAGAUAAAUUAUACCCACAUAUAAUAACUAAAACAGACUGGUGGUUUACAACACCAUGCAAACAAAAAGUAAGAGCAAAAAGAGUUAAUAAUAAAAUAAGAAAGAAAACUGAUUGGAUAAAAGGAAGUGAAAAAAUUACACAAAAGUUAGAAAAUAUAAACAAUACUGAAGAUACAGUAGAACUAGUAGUAUUUUCGAUAAAUAAAACAGAAAUAACUAUAUUUUCAAUAAAUAAAAUAGAAAUAAUUCAGAAAAAAUUAGAACAAUUAUAUAGUGAAGAUCCAUUAAAAGGAUGGGAAAAACACAAAACUACUAUAAAAAUUGAAUUAAUAGAUAAGAAUAGCAUAAUAACACAAAAACCAUUAACAUAUAAUUUUGAUGAUUUAAAAGAAUUUAAAAUGCACAUAGAUGAAUUAUUAGAAAAACAAUAUAUACAAAAAAGUAAUAGUAAACAUAAUAGUCCAGCAUUUAUAGUAAAUAAACAUAGUGAACAAAAAAGAGGAAAAAGUAGGAUGGUUAUUGACUAUAGAAAUUUAAAUGCAAAAACUAUAACAUAUAAUUAUCCGAUACCAAAUAAGAUAUUAAAAAUAAGACAAAUCCAAGGAUAUAAUUAUUUUAGCAAAUUUGAUUGUAAAUCAGGAUUUUACCACCUAAAGCUAGAAGAAGAAUCUAAAGAAUUAACCGCAUUUACGGUACCACAAGGAUUUUAUGAAUGGAACGUGUUACCAUUUGGAUAUAAAAAUGCACCAGGUAGAUAUCAACAUUUUAUGGAUAAUUAUUUUAAACAAUUAUCUAAUUGUAUAGUAUACAUAGAUGAUAUAUUAUUAUACACCAAAACCAAAGAAGAACAUUUAAAAUUAUUAGAACAAUUCACAGAUAUAAUAGAAAAAUCAGGAAUAAGUCUAAGCAAAAAGAAAGCUGAAAUUAUGAAAAACCAGAUAGAAUUUUUAGGAAUACAAAUAGAUAAAAGUGGAGUAAAAAUGCAACAACAUAUAGUACAAAAAAUAAUAAAUUCGAAAGAAGAAUUAGAUACAAAAAAGAAAUUACAAUCAUUUUUAGGAUUAGUAAACCAAGUAAGAGAAUAUAUUCCAAAAUUAGCAGAAACCUUAAAACCACUGCAGAAAAAAUUAAAAAAGGAUAUAGAAUAUAAUUAUGAUGAAAAAGAUAAAAAACAAGUUCAAAAAAUAAAAUUACUUUGUAGAGAAUUACCAAAAUUGCAAUUUCCAGAUGAAAAUAGAAAAUUUAUAUAUAUAGUAGAAGCAGAUGCAAGUGAAUAUAGUUACGGAGGAGUACUUAAAUAUCGAUAUGAAGCAGAAAAAAUAGAACACCAUUGUAGAUACUACUCAGGUACGUUCAACGAGACAGAAAUAAAAUGGGAAAUAAAUAGGAAAGAAUUAUGUUCAUUAUAUAAAUGUUUAUUAGCAUUUGAGCCAUAUAUUGUAUAUAACAAAUUUAUUGUACGAACAGAUAAUACACAGGUACGCUGGUGGUUAACAAAGAAAAUACAAAAUUCAGUUACAACAAAAGAGAUUCGAAGACUAGUUUUAAAUAUAUUAAAUUUCACAUUUACAAUUGAAGUGAUCAGUACUAACAAAAAUGUUAUUGCAGAUUACAUAUCAAGACAAAGCUACACAGACUGAAAUAGUAGAGGAAGAUACUCUAGAAAAAAUACUUAACACCCUAACUACGCUUUCAAUGAAAGUGGACAGUAUGGGUAAUGAGAUAGAAAAGCUAAAGACUAAUGAAGAUAAACUGAAGUCUAUAGCUACAAAUCAGCUAACUCAGCAAUGUGCAGAGCUAUGUCGAUCGAAAGACAUUAAAAAUCCAGAGCUAGAAGGAGACGUUGGGACACUCCAUAAAACCCAUAACAUUUAUCAAUCUACUUCUGCAGGUACAAGCAAAGGAGUUAAUAGACCAAGAUACCAGAAUGUAAAUAUGAACAAAAUAUUUGAAAAACCAUUUACCCCAAAAGCACAAAAAGACCAUUUAUUCAUACCCCCACAAGUUAACACAUACCGAGACAGCCUAAACCAAGACAAGAAAAUAUACAACUACACAGCCCAAAAAUACAUAGAAAAUAUAUAUAGAGUCCAAACCUUUCUAAACCAUAACCCCAGAGCUACAAAUAUCCAAGAACCAAAUACCAAUUAUAUAACCCAAAAACUACAAGGAUACAAUAAACUGAUAGCACUACCCAAAACUAACCCAAGCCUAGUUAAAACUUGUUUUGACUAUGGACUACUAAAUACCAUAUACACCCAAGACGGAGAAGAGCUAACAGCUAUGGAGGAAUUAUACAAGAUAUUCACUACCUACAAAAGAAUAACAAAAGGAAAUUUAUUUUAUAUAAAGUGUUAUACUGCACCAGCAGAGAUAUUAUAUGACGAAAUAAAACCAGUUAUACAAGUUGUAAAGAUAGGAUUAACAAGAGAUAUGAUUAUACCAGAAGAUAUUUCGCAACAACCGGAGAUACCUAGAAUCGAGAUACCAGAUUUUUAUGCAAAUAAAAGACUUAUUGGACUAGCUACGAUCAUUCAAGAACUAGCAAAUAACUAUGCUAACGGAAACCCAAUAUGGAGCUACUAUUCAAGAGAUCACCAAAUGAUAUAUUCAAAUUCAAAAGAGCUACGACAAGCAGAUAUGGAAGACGUAAGACAAUGGAUACUGACGCUACUUAACCCAGAAAAAAAAAUCUACCGCGCGAGCAAUGAAAAAGGGAUUUAUUUCAGACGGACUGCUAACAAGAUACUGUAAGAUAAUCGGACAUAAAUAUCCAGACCACCAAUGUUCAAGGUGCAAUGGAGAAGAUAAUAUUAUUCCAGAGGUACAUCUAGAAUAAAGAAGAUAAAAUGCCAGCUGGAAGGAUAAAGAUAAAAGAGCAAUAAUGGAGCCGACACAGGGCAAUAAUGGAGCAGAUACAGAGCAAUAAUAGAGCAGAUAAGGAGCAAUAAUAGAGCAGAGACGACAAAAAUCAACGGAGACAAGAUACUGUACAUUAAUUAAUUUGUUAGACUUUUUAUAUAUGUAGCCACUAUAGUUGACUAUUUUUUCUUAAGUUUUAGAAAUUGUAUGUAAGUUAGAUACCUUAGGCUUUACUUUACGUAACUUAGAAAUUUAGGAUAAAGUAGAUGGGGAUAGGCCCCACUGUUUUAAUUUUCAUUACUUUUUAGCAACAGCAGACAUGUAAAUUCAUUCUAUAAAUACAAAGGACGAGGGUAUUGCGAAGGGCAAGCCUUCUAAGCCUUCUUUUGAAACAAAUCUCUCUCUCCAUUCCACAAACAAAAAAUCUACUCAGUUAAUUAGAAAAAUAUACUCCAAUGGAAAAAGCUAUGGAACAACAGGAACAACAAAACUCAGAAACAUCAAAGCUACCGGAACAGGUAUAUCUAUUUAUAAUUAUGAAUAGCUAAUUUCAUAAUUCCCAACAAUCAUGAUAUGAUAAAAUAAAUUCAUAUUAGUUACUUUAUAGUAGAAUUAUUCGAAGAAUAAUAUGUUAAGAAGUUUAUUAACAAAGAGGAAACGGAGAAAUAUCCCUAAGGACUAUGCCAUCCUAAAGGUGAAACCAUUGAGGCAAGAAGCCGUGGCGGGGAGUAACCAGAGUAGAGGCGCUGUUUAAGGGAAAAAGUAUCCGGAUUACCAUGUUAAUAGUGACGGAAGAACAUAUUAUUUAAGAAUACUCUAGUAUAUAGUAAGCCAAUAUGACCAUAUUUUGUUGUGUACGUGAUUGAAGGGAAUAUUUUGAAAAAAGCAAAUUUAUGAAAAAUGAAUGAUAAUAUAUCUGAUGUGAUGGUAGAUAAAUUCAAGAUACUUAUUUUGUAUGCACUUAGAAAUAUAAAAGUAGCAGAUAUAAGAAAAAUCAUAUUAGAAAAAGCUUUUGGUGAAUAUUAUAUGACUAGAGUAAGUUAUAUACCAUAUCUACCUAACUACUCUUACAAAUAUUUACGAUGAUAAGUUACAUAAGAUUUUUAGAAAAAGAUAUAAAAAAUAUGCAGUUACUAGAAAAACAUAUAAAAAUAAAUAUAGAUAAAUACAUGGAAAACAAAGAUAUAAAAUUUCUUAAUAAAAAUAUGCAAAAACUGCUAAGACUAAAACAAACAGCUACAAAACAAUUUUAAAAAUAGAUCAUUUAGAUUAUCUUAAAGUUUUAAUCUUAUAUAUACUUAAAAACAUAGAAAUUAUAGAUAUUAAGAAAAUAAUAUUAGAAAAAGUAAUAGAUUACGAAACUGAAACUAUAAAUUACCUAGAACAGUUAUACGAAGAAAUUUACCCAGAAGGAUAUUAUUCAGAUUAAGAUAUGUUAGAAUAUAUUAGACAAACUAGAGAAAAUCAAGAAAAUCUAAAUAAUGAAAUUAAUUAUAGAAACCGAAUUAGACAAAUAAUGAAAGACCUAAAAGAAAAAUUAAUAUGGAUAGAAAAAACCUUAGAAAAUUUAGAUAAAAGUACAUGUGAUAGUUUAUAUAAUUUAAAAAACUCACUACGAGAAGAACAACACAAGAUAAUAAAUAACAUUGAAAAUCUAGAAUUAGAUAUACAUUAUAGUACAGAUAGGAUAAAUUAUUAUACAAGAAUUUGUAACUCUGCAAUUACUACAGGAUAAAAUAAUUAAUGAAUAUAUCUUACGAAAAAAGUAAAUUAUUAAAAGAUAAUAUCCACGCACUAAUAAAAAUAGAUUCACUAGAAACCUACUAAAUCUAUUAUACCUAUUAAAUCCGCGCACCCCCCUACAAAUUAAUUAUAUGUUAUAGUCACGCAUUUAAAAGGCUGCAUUUUUUGCAUAGUGAGAUAUCGACAUUCUGAAUAUGAGUAAACAAGCACAAUGUCGUUCAUGAUAAAAAUGUUCUCCCUUUGAAUUUCUCUCAAGCACAGGUCAUAUAUUAGAUCAUGAACCUUACAUGAUCUAAUUUUUGUUCCAUCUAAACUUUUCUUGCAGACGAGGACUAGACAUCUAUCGACAAGCUCUUGCAAACACUUCUCAGCCUCUCCUUCCAAAUCAUUUUCCAACUUCAGGAACCCCUCAGCCAUCCAUGAUCUCAUCAAUUUCUUCACUGGAAUAUCACUGUCUUCUGGAAAAAUCCCGAAAUGCAGAAGACAUGCUUUUAGAUCGCUAUUCAAGUGAUUGUAACUCAACCCAAGCACACGUGAACAUCGUUCAUCAGAUCAUUUGUGACAAAUGACUUGACAUCUUUGGCAACACUUCUCCAAUCUUCUAUUGCCCUUUUAGAUUUGAGAAGUCCAGCAACCACGACAAUAGUUAGUGGUAACCUGUGACAUUCGGCUGUGAUUUGCUUUCCAACAGUCUCGAACUCAUAUGGUAAUUCUGCACUUUUGAAAAGACUCCAACUCUCAUAUUGAUCCAAGAAGCUCAUCCGCAAAUAAAGAUUCUCUAUACCAGCAUAACAAGCUACUUCAUCGUUACGGGUAGUCAACAAUAUUCGAAUCCCUGCAUUGUCUUCAGUUGGAAAGCAUCGUCUCACGCCAUCCCACACUUCACAACUCCAGAUAUCAUCAAAGUCAAUAAAGUACUUCUUUCUCUUAAAACUUUUCUGCAGCAUGUCUGCUAGCUCUGCUUCACCUUUCGUCUUAACUGUGUCAUCCAUAGUCGAUUGCAGAAGGCUCAGCAAAAUCUCCUUUAUGUUGUGCUGCUGAGAUACCUUAGCCCAGGAACGAACAUCAAAACAGCGUAGAAUUGAUUCAUGAUUGUAAACUUCUUUCGCUAUGGUUUUUUUACCUAUGCCUCCCAUCCCGACAAUCGGGAUAACUUUGGGUUCACCAGAGUAGCUUCCUUUCAGAUCUUCUAACAAGCGUUCCUUUUGAUCAUCACGUCCAACCAUAUUAUUGUUAACAUUCACAAUAUCAUUUGUUGAACUUGAAAAAUCAUGAACCAAUGAUUCCUUUGAUACUUGUUUGCCUUUAUCUUGAAUCUUUGUUGACUCUUUCCAGACAUGAUCAAUGUCCUUUGCUAAUUGUUGAAGGCUUUUACGAAACUUUCGGCGUGUCCAUAUAUUCGAGAUUCCUUUGAAAAAUCCUGAGACAAUGAUUCCUAUGAUUCUUUUCUCUUCUCCCUGUACAGUUUCUGUUAGUCUCAGUUGAAUUGUGUAUUGAACACCACUUGCAACUUCUUUUACAUCUACUUCAAAAUCCUUCAUUUCUCCAAAAACAUUGUUUUUCUCAAAGUUCUUGACAAAUACUUCCAGGGAACUAACUUUUUCAUGAAGAGCACAAAGUUCUUCUCUGUUAUAACAUAUUAGAGAUUGCAUCGGCGAAUUGGAUGUCAAGACUGAUUCUAUUGUUCUCAUAAGAGAAGCCACACUUGCAUGAGCCAUAUCUACUGUAUUCUCAUUUCUUUCCUUUGUGCUUAUGACCUGAAAGCUGAAGGUUGCAAGAGGUCAACGGUAUUACAAAUAACGAGAUACGCAGAUUUUUUGAAAAGGCACGCAUAAGAUCAGGUAAUGUAUUUGCCUUAAUCAUAUCAAGCACAGGGGAACAAUAACUCCCAGUACGCAAAUGUGUAAAGAACAAAAGAUAGAGUGUAACAACCCGCAUUUCGGGCUAGAAUGUAAACUGUCAUUCCAACGCAUAAUAGUUCCAAAAGACAUUAAAUCCUAUGAAAAUUUAGUGUGUUAAUCAAUUAUGUAGUGUGGUAAUCUAGUUGGUGAUGAAUUCAGGUCAUAGAGUCCCUUAACUCAAAGGCGUUGAAAGUCUUCCUCUCGAUUGAGUUUUAGUGAGCAUUUAAACUUGGGUCAACUUCCAUCGACCAUAUAUUUUUUGUAUAUAUCAAAUUAGGGGUAUAACUACAUAUCAAAUGAAAGGUAUUUGAGUCCUCUUUCCAACUCCACUGGUUUCAUCUUAAUCCAAUAUCGAAGUAGAAAGUUAUGCACAUUUUACUUCGAAGUGUCUGUCUGCCAAAAUGUGACGACGAGGCUGACGACCUAUCAACUAGGUGACGACCCAUCAGCCCUAGUCGUCAGCCUAGGGAAGAAAGUGGUAAAAUCCAUCCCAAAAUUGAAGACCCGGGUGACGGCCUAUCACCUGAGUGACGGCCCGUCAACCUUGGUCGUCAACUGAUGAAAUUCUGUGACUUUUUUCGGGUUCCUAGGGGGUAUUGUGGUCUUUUCCUCACUUGGAAAACCUUUCCCAUGAAUUUAAUUACACUCUAAAUGUUAUUAAUCAAUCAUUAUCAGUUAAACAAUAUCAAAAUUCUUUAUUCACACUCAAAUACAAGAUCAAACUAGGUUUCCUCCAAGAACAAGAAAUCAAGAAAAAUCAAUCCUUAAGUCACGGAUUUUCAAGGAACAAAUCAAGAUUCGAGUUCCACUCUUUAAACUAAGUAAUCUAAGGUACGUGGGGUUUUCCUAAACUACAUGGUCUUAUUGAAAACCUUUUGAAUAAGGUUUAAAGUUGUGAAAUCAUGUAUUUACAAAGGGUUUUGAAUUUAUAUUAACAAUUAUGCAUUGUGAACCCUUUUGAUGAUAAUGUUUUGGUCUUGAGGUCUUACCCCUUAAACUAGAUUUUGUUUAUAUAUAUAUAUAUAUAUAUAUAUAUAUAUAUAUAUGUAUGCAUGUCAUUUGAUGUUUGGGGUUUGAAUUGAGAGCAAGAACCUUGUUUUUAUAUGUUAAGAAUUAUUCAAUAUCACACUGAUAAGCAUGUUGAAAAUGUCGUUACAGUUGUUUAAGACUUGAUAUUAAUUAUGAACGGAAGAGAGGGUGUCUCUUUUUUAUAUAAAGGAGAAGUGAUGAUUUUAAAGAGUUGCUCGUUUGUCACAAAAUACUUGACCACUACAUGUUUUAUGAAAUGUUGAAAAGAGAGAAUCUCUGCAUAGUUUGAAAUAUGUUUUGAAAACAAGAAUUCUCUUGAAUUGUUUGAUUGAUUUGGUGGUUUGAACAUUGUUUUUCUUGAAACGAGUUGUAAUUUGACAAUAUAUGGCUGAGAAUUAUGACUUUCAAGUCUUCAUAUAAUGAUACCAAAAUAGAUAAUGCCAUCACAGACUCAAAACGAAUAGAAGUUAGAUUUCAUUCAGAUUUUCAGAAUUUGAGUUCUUAAAUAUGCAUGUUCAGAAAAGGUUAAAAUGGGCUUAAGAGAUGUUAGGUGGUUACCAAAAGAAGGCACGAGUUCAGAUAACUCAUUUACCAAAAUCGUGUUUUGCCUAUACGGGUUAUUUGGUUCCCAAGAGGGAUUAUAUGUUGGCCUAGUGCCCUGUGACAUAUUAGACUCAGAAACUCCAACUCUUGUGCAAACUUGGGUUGGGGACUUACCCGCCGAGUCAAUGGCGGAUUCCAUAUAGCCCGUGGAAUAUCAUACUUGUAGGGUAUACCACCUAGCUCAGAACUAAGACAAAGAUGUUGAGUUGAUUUACAGAACUAUUUUUAAAGGCCUAUUUACUAUGCCCAUGUAUUUUCAAAUGGUUUUAUGAUGAUGUAUUUUUUUUAUGAAAUUCUCUCACUUACUUUAUGUAUCAGCAUUUUAUUUUUGGAUAGUCCUGCAUACCAUUACAUAUGUAUUGACCCCCUUUAUCUCAGGAUCUGAGGCACAGUCCCAGGGUCCCAUCCAGCAAUAGGCUUGUUUGUGUCAGCAGUUGCAGUUGGUAAGCCUUCUCUAUUCCGGAAGGCCUGAUUUUUAGAUUUUGUUGUUUUCUUCUGUUAUGAUCUACUGGGGGCCUAGUCCCAGUUUUAGAUAAGAUAUUGGCCCCUAUGUAUUAGAGAUUUCGCAGACUGUUGAUAGAUGUUUUUAGAAGUUAUGGAAUUUCAUUUUGAAUUGUUCCUUUGAAUUAUAUUAUUUGACCAUGAUUCCGUAUCGAUAUGUAUUUCUGCAUAGUCUUUUAUAGCAUGUGAACAUGUGUAUGAUGUCCAGAAAGUGAAGGCCGCUCCGGCCUUCAUCGCUCGGGAGGCUCAUCAUGGCCAGGGUCUCAGCUCGGGUCGUGACAUAGAGUACCUAACCAACAUAAAAUUUGAGUGGCUGAGAAAUGAUAUCUGCAGUGUUUAUCAUCCCAAAUAGUCCCUUAAAUUUAAAUAGUUGGUUCACUUAGGUCCCUACAAUGUAAUGUUGAACAUAAAUGGUCCUUUAUCUCUGGGGAUCUGGGGAGGUUAAAGCGUACACAAACCUUACAGCUAUCCUAGAGGUAGAAAGGAUGUUUCUGAUAAACCCUUGGCAAAAGAUAAAUAGUUCAAAGCAAUCGGAAAAAAGAUACCCCUUAUUUAAAAAAUAGAGAAAUUACAUCUCCUUGGAAGCAAGAGGAUAAUACUAAAACAUAUUAUUGUAACAGUAAAAUUUAAAGUUUAAAUAGUAAGAACUAUGAUGAAAUCUUGAACUUCAAUUCUUGUAGCUAUAUUCUGAAAUGAAAUUUCAGUAAUUGCUUUUAAAACUAAAAUAAGAGAAUCACUGGCUCAAAGUUGAGUUGAGAACUUUCCUACCAAUUGAGUUCUAGUGGACGUUCUUACUUGGGUCAACUUCCAACAAUUAUUAAUCCUAAUAUAUAAUGAGUUAGGAGUCUUACUACCUACCAAAGUAAAGGUUUUUGAGUCUUCUUUCCAAGCAAAAAGUUAUGGACAUUUUAGUGAGGCAUCUCAACUACACGUUGGGUAGCGCAGGGCGGAGCUCAAGUCAGUAGAUCACUGGUUUGCCUCCACGUUGGGAUGCGCAGCACGGAGCAUACCUCUCCACUGUAAAAGUUCAUUUUUCUCUUAUCAAAUUAGGGGUAAACUUGUCUUUUCACUCCAUGUAACUAUCCCAACCCGUUUUAUAACCCUAAAGUCGUCCUAAACUAGCAGAAAUCUUUAAAAUCCCUCAUACAAGGCAUUUAUUUCAAGUUAUUCGUAUUUUCUCAAUGAUGGAUUGAGACUAAGGUUGAAUGUUCAUGAAAUCAUGUUAUUGAAUCCUCUCUUUUACAAAUUGUUUUCUAAAUUUAUGUGUUCACUCAACUAAUAGUUAUUAGAUUAGAAAUAUGAGUAAUUAAGGAAAACUAACCUUUCAAUGGUAGAAAUUUGGGAAGAAGCAACUGAUCACUGCAAUAUUAUACACUAUGAGAAAAGAACAUAAAUAUGAGUAUAUGAAAACAAGAUAGAAAUAUUAACAAGUAAUCAAGAUUAAAAUCAAUAGAAAUAUGUCAUACCUGAUCUCUGAGUGACUAAAAUGGUAUUAAAUUUUAUAGAUAACAAAGUGUUGGCUUCUGAUAAAUUGGGAUGAUAACUUCAAUUAUUGUUGAAUGAGGGGAAAGUGAAUUUAUCUAUUUAAAUGGAACAACACUUCACUUAUAUUUUAAAAAGGAGUAAAGCAUCUAAGUGCCCUGAACUAUCAUCAAAUUUGCUACACGGCACUCUAAUUUUACGGGGCUCCUAUUACUUAACUAAAUUUUAACAUAUUUUUAUCAACCUUUUUACCUAACAUGACAUCUAAAACAUGGGCCCCAUUUUUAUGAAAUAAAUGUGCUAUGUCAGUGUAACGCCCCGCAUUUCGGGCUACAAUAAAGACCAUGAUUUCGAUGCGUUGAUAAUCCGAAAGCCAUAAAAUCCUAUGUCAAUAUGGCAUUUUAAUUUGUGUAGCAUGUGAAUCCAUUCAAGCUUAAAUUUAGACCAUAGAGGUCCUUCAACUCAUGGACGAGUUGAAACUAUUUUGAUAGACUAAGUUUUAGUGAACGUUGUAAAGUGUGUCAGCUUCCAUCAAUCAUAACUCUCUGUAUAUGUCAAAUUAGGAAGCCUACUAUGUUUCAAAUGAUAGGUAUUCGAGUUAGCUUUCCAACGAUACAAUUUUGGCUAAAAUCCAACACCCGAGCAAGAAGUUAUGGCCUUUCAAAGUGAUAUGCGUCGCCUAACCAAUCGCCCAUGGCCACUGGAAAGCAUAGGCAAUAACCUAGGCGGCACCUACGUAAACAUAGGCGAUAGCUUAGGCGGCUCCUAUGUGAACAUAGGCAAUGGGAUGGGCGGCGCCUAUGUAAAGAAUUCUAGUGACUUAAACACUCCGUUUUGGGGACAAAGUGGUCCUUUUCCACCCUUACUUAGCCCUAAAACACAAAAUUCAGUUCCAAGGACCCCAAAAUACCCCUUCAUUUAUCAAAAGUGCUCAAAGAUUCUCCUUAGGGUUUCAAAAUAAAAACCCAAAUAGUUCAAGAUUCGAUCGUAGGUUUUCAAAGAUAAUUACAUAUUUGGAAUCACCAAUCCGCAAGCUUCAAGAAACAUCUACUAUCCUUGGAAAUAGAGGUACGUGGGGUUACCCUAAAAUAUCAUGGGUGUAUUUUUUUUUGAGCAUGCAUGCUUUUAAUUGGAGGUUUUCAAUGAAAUGCUAAUAACUUGCUUUCACUAUGAUUUCUAAGUCAUCUUUCUUUAUGUCGUGCGAAUUGGUUGCUUAUGUACUUCAAUUGUUGAAACCAUGCAUAUGUGAUUUGAGAUUUUCCAUGGAAGUUUGAUGAAUAUGAAUGAUAAAUUGCUUUCAAAUUCCCAUGAUAAUGUCUUGAUACCCCACCAUAUCAUAUUGUGAUCAACAAAAGAGAGCAUGAAUUUGAAAUAAAUAUUGUUCACCACUUGUAAAUGAUGAAGCACCUUGGUUUUUACAUGGUUAUGCAUAUGUGAAAGUGAUAUUGAGGACUUGCAAUUCGGGUAUGACGAUACCCUACAGAACAUGAUAUGUGAUUGAAUCAGAUGAAAUUUGAAUGCAUUGAUUUUACAUGAGAAAGGUGGAUGCCCGAAGAAGGCGUUUGAGAGUAAGGGUUCAUCGCAGGAAAACGUGUUUGCCGACAUGGAAUUGUGGUACCAGGGUAAGUGAUCUUGUGUACUUUACUUCAUGUCAUUCCCAAAUUGGGACUAUAGGUAGGAUCCCGAGCUAAGUUAUCUUGGGCACUACCAGUGGGUUGAGACACCAUGCUUUGUGGUCUUGAGUGUCUCUCCCUCACUUAUACUCUAAUCUUGACGGCAACCGAGGUUAGAAAAUUGGUGUAAAUUAUGUAGGGUAUUCCACCUAGCUCAGUUGCAUUUCAUNNNNNNNNNNNNNNNNNNNNNNNNNNNNNNNNNNNNNNNNNNNNNNNNNNNNNNNNNNCUUUAUAAUGGCUCUCAACUAUAUUUUGUAAAAAUAUUAUGUUUUGUUUUGAUAUCUAUGUGUGCCAAUACUUUUGUACUGACCCCCUCCCCUCUCCAACCUCUCAGGUUCAGAGGCCCAGUCUAGGGGUCAAGAGAAUCAUAGAGUUGCAGAAAAAAGUGGUGAGCCUUCUAUGUUUCAGAAAUUCUUAUGUCCUGUAGUCCUUUUACCUUAUAUUCAGUUUUUAGGUCUACUGGGGGCCUUGUCCUAGUUUAUAUACGGUUACUUGACUCAGUCAUUUGUUAGAGAUUUUCGCAGACAGUUGUUUAGGGGUUAAUUGAUGUUGAGGGAACCUUAUCUCCCCGUUAUUGUUUCUUUUCAUAUUUAUGACCAUGUUUCCGAAUUAUUGUGUUUCUUCUGCAUUACUUUGAUCAUAUGAAUUAGGUGCAUGAUUACCAGACAGAUAGGGUGUUUCGGGCCUCCAUGGUUCGAAAUGCUCGUCACGGCCGGGCCCUGGUUCGGGUCGUGACAGUCAGCUCAAAAGAAUAACAAAAAUACGCUAAAAUUGAAUUCAGGGGUAAUAGGACCCCUAUGAAGUUGGACUGUAUUGUAGUAAUUUUGGUCAUAAUUAGAGAGGGUACUGAAUUCUUAUCUCUUUUAAAAAUAAAGUUAAAGAUGAUUAUAUUGUGUUUCAAUUAUCUAUAAUACUAUUUUUGUUGUCACACAAUUUUUCUGAAUGCUAUGUCCUGCUUUCUUUAUUACUUGUCAGGUUUUUGUCUAUUUUUAUAACGAAUUUCAUUUAUUGCAUUUAUGCGAGGGUCCUUCAAAAACGAUCUCUCUUCUUCUACGAGAUAGGGGCAAUAUCUGCUUACACUUACUCUUCUUCGGAUCUUAUUAGAUAUAGCUCAUUGAUGUAUUAAAGAAAGAACUUGGCCAAUUUGUUGUACCGAUCACAAAUUUUUUAUUUAUAUUAGCUGUCUGCAACUUGUACUUUGUGGACUAAUCAAUAAACAAAUACUGUAAUAAAUCACCAGCUUAGGAGCCAAAUAGUGGAGUAUUUUUUUUCUUAAAAAAAGAAAACUUUUUGACUAAUAUGAGUAAUGCUAUGACUCAAUUAUCAAGACUAUCUUUAACUUGCUAAACAAAAAUAUUUUAAUUUUUUAUUCAGUGGGACAUAUAACAACUUAAUAAGUACUCCCUCAGUUUCCAAAAAAUGAUUUACGUUCAUUUUUAGUAUGUUCAAAAAAGAAUGAUUAUUUUUUUUUGGCAACACUAUUUCAACUUUUCACAUGAUUUGUUUAAGAUCACAAGAUUAAAAGACAUUUUAGUACAUUUGAUAUAAUUUUAAUUUAAAAUCACAAGACUUAAAAUUCUUUUUAUUUUGUUAAAUUUCAUACUAAAUCCAAAUAAGUGAUUCUUUUUAAAAUGAAAGAGUAUUAUGCAAGUGAUUAAUAAUAAAAUAGGAAUGCAAAAUUUGCAGAAAGGUCGAGAAAGGCCUUUGUACUUUGCAAAAAGGUCGAACAUUGCCCCUGCUAGAAGUUUGGCUCACUAUGUGUUACGACCCGAACUGAGGCCUGGCCGUGAUGGAUAUCCCCAACCAUGAAGGCCCGGAACGCCCUUCUCUAUCUGAUAAUCAUGCACAACAUACAUAUAAUAAAAGAAAAUGUGGAAAUAUAAUCGAAUAGGGAAACAUGGUCAUAAUCUGAAUUUAAUUUAACAAUGAAGGAUGAAACCCCAAUAUCAACAAAACAACAUCUGAACUAGUAUGCGAAAUCUCUACUACAUCUGAAAAUAACAACAAUCUGAAAACUAGGACAAGGCCCCAGUAGACCAAAACCAUAAUAAGUAACAUAAUCUGAAAGACAUAGGCCUUCUAAAAUAAAGAAGGCUCACCAAUUGAACACAUCACUAUUGUCUGGAAACUCUAUGGCUUAGCAGAACCUCUAAACUGAACUUUACACCCUGGGAGGUAGGGGUCAAUACAAAUGUACUGGUACGCAGAGCAAAUCCAAAAUAAUAAUUUGUAUUCAACAUAUAUGAGAGAAAUUUAAAACAGUUCAUAAAUAUAUCAUAUAGUAAGAAACCUCAUGGGCAUUUUCGAAAGACUUUUGAAAAUCAUCUGAACUCUGUGACAUUCUUUUUUUACUUCUGUGCUACAUGGUAUACCCUACAAUUCUGUAAUUCCACAGGCUAUAUGGAAUCUGCCAUUGACUUGGUAGUCAAGACCCCAACCCAAGUGUGUCGCAAGGGUCGAGUCUCUGAAUCUACUACGCCACAUGGCCAUCGCCAGCGUACAAUAAUAAUCUUCCCGUAUCGACAAAUACGGUUUUAGGCUAAGAGUUACUUGAACUCAAGACUUCUUUGGGUAACCACCUAACACUCUUUAUGCCCAUUUUUAACUCUUUAAAACAUGCAUUCUCUAAAAUAUAUUCUGAAAACAUUCUCUGAAGACAUACUCUGAAAACAUACUCUAAAAAACAUACUCUAAAAACAUACUCUGUUAUGGCAUACAUACUUAUGGUAUCGUCAUACCAUUGAUUUGUCAGGCACAUCUCUGAGCCAUUAUUAACAUAUUAGAAUCUCUAUUUCCAAAACAUAAAUUUGGGACCAUAUCAAUAAAUCAGUUCGAAGCACCCUUUACUUAAAUACUCAUGUAAAAACAUGUAUGCAACUCUCUUUGACAACAUUUCAAAUGAUACAAGGUGGUCAUAUCAAAAUUCUUAAUCUAUUGCAAAUCUUUCUCUCUUUAACAAAACACAUUUAUAUGAAGAAACUCCAUCUCAAAAUCUCUAAAUCAUGCUCAAAAUACUAUGGUAUUGAGUAAACUAUUUUCAAACCAUGAAUCAUGCAUAUCAAAUCAUUCACAAUAAGAUCACAAAUUUAAAGUCAUCACAAGAGAGGGAUGUCACAUUUAUGCUCUCAAACAAUCUUCAAAUCUGAAUUUUUCAUACAUAUACAUAUACAUGUAAAUUAAUUUAAGGGAAAAGGCCUAAGGGCCAAAUCAAUGAUGCAUUUGAACAUUUAUAUUGCAUAAUAAAAUCAUGUAUUUCAAAACCCUUUUCUAAAUUCAUGCUUGAAAAUCUUUAAAUCAUGUUCUAGUGUUUUCAAGCACAUGUAGUUUUUAGGAUAAACCCCACGUACCUUAAAUUACAAGAUCUGAAAGAUGGAACCUAGAUCUUGAUAGAUGAAACCUGGAUCUUGAUUUGUUUCUUGGAGAUCUUGAACUUGAGGCUUGUUUUUCUUGGAUUUCUUGUUCUUGGAGAAAACCCUAAUUUGAUUUAUUUUAAGAAUGAAAAGGAAAUUUUGAUGUUAUAAAACUGAUAAUGAUUGAUUAAUAACACUUAAGGGAUAAUUUAAUUCAUGUGAAAGAUUUUUGGAGUGAGGGAAAGACCAAAAUACCCCUACGAAAUCACUUCCCAGCUGCUGAAAUUCUUAGCUGACGAUCAAGGCUGAUAAGCCGUCAGAUCUGUGAUAGCCCGUCAGCCCAGGUCAUCUCCUAGGACCUAAAAUUGAUGGGUUCGCCUAAGGCUGACGACAUAUUCUGACAAGUCAUCAGAUUUGUGACAAGCCGUCAGAAUUGUCGUCACUCAGUUGCCAGGUUGAUAUGCUGGAGUAAAAUGGACAUAACUUUUUGCUCCAAUAUCGAAUUUUUACAAAAUUGUUGGCAUUGGAAAGAUGACUCAAAGAAAUUUCAUUUGAUGUAUAGUAGGCCCCUCAGUUCAUCAUAUACAAGUAUUUAUGGUCGAUUGAAGUUGUUCCAAGUUUUGACGCUCACUAAAACUUGAACGAUAAGAAAACUUUCAACUAGUCCUUAAGGGACCUCUAUGAUCUGGACUCAUGCCCAUAUAGAUUCAUACACUACAUAAAUAAUUAACACACUAUAUUUGCAUUGGAUUUAUGGCUUUUGGAACAUCUACACAUAGAAAUGACGGUCUUCAUUCUAGCCCGAAAUACGGGGUGUUACAUUAUCUCCCCCUUGGGAUUAUUCGGCCCCGAGUGAUGGGUAGGAACUUGUUGAAGCUUAAAGGUAUGGAAUAACGCGAACAUGAUGUACCUUCUAAGAAAGGACAUAAAUGAUCUGAAACAUUUAAACUUCUAUCAUGAAACUGAAUUCUGAGCUGACUUCACUUCUCUUGCUUCAAGAAGCUGAUUCAUGCUGAAAGUUUAGGAUUCCCUUCAAAUGUUCAUGAUCCAAUCAUACAUAUUGAAUUUUUAAGUGAUAACUUAUGCAAUUACGAAUCAUAAGACAGCAAGACUUAGAUCGUACAAGGGUAUUACAUUGUCUGAGCUAAAAUAUUUGGAAAAUUUGAGAUUAUGCACUGAACUCUUAUGAACAGAGUCAUGACUAAAUAGAUGAAUCUGAAACAUAAUGCUUGGAUUGAACUGAAUUCUCAAUUUACAUGGAUGGAAUAGAUUAUCUCUUGGGAUGGUCAUAUGCAUGAGACUUCGGAUAGUAGGGCCAGGUGAAAAGGUGGAAAACCACAACAACUUGUCUGCCUGACUGUUAAACUGAAUUUCUGGCUAUUCAGAUUGAACUAUACUAGAAACUUAUAUGUAACUGGAGUAUCUCCUCCACACCCUCUCUAAAGAAGUUCUAGUACCAUUAGGGAGCAAAGAAUCUUGAGCAUGAGUUACACAAUGCAUCCAACUACGGAAUUACAACAAUGACAUCACUCUAUAGCAUGGAAUAUAAACAUAUAGGUCAUAAACUAGGAUAGAAUUACCAGGCCUUAGAAAAUACAACUUCUUACUUUCAAGCUUAGCACACUUCUUGAAUAUCCCUUAACUCUACUAUUCUCCUUAAAUACCAUAUACAUUCGAUUCAACUUAUUACUCUCAUGUGGGCAUUUAUAAAUCUUUCUACUAAUGUCUAUAGUAGCUUAAAUCCUCUCACGGUGAUCAAGCCUAACUCCAAUUCACAAACUACAACAAGCCACACUAUGAUACUAGUCUAAACCAUAUGAUUCAACCUUCUAUAUCCUUUUAAAGUUCACCCUACGCAUAUCGUGCCUUACCACUUAAUGACUAACUCUGAUCUCUUACUAUGGAUUCACUAGCACAUAUUACGUUCCUCUACCUAAAUCCCAACAGGUCAUUCAAUCCUAUCUUUAUAACCACAUAUGAACUUUAAGAUAAACACUCAUAAAGACAUACUUCACAUAUUCUCUAAACCACUAUCAAUAUAACUCCCACGUGCUACCCCAAGAACAUACACACACCAAUUUCCACUAAACAUCACAUGUAUUCAAGACUUGGCUCCAGAUCUUACUUUACACUUAUGGCCUUAUCUAAAACAAGCAUACAAUGAUCUUCUAUCAACAAGAAAACAUCCACUUAUCACCACAAUUAUUACAUAAGGAUGAGUCACUAACAGGUUAAAACAUAAGACUUUGAAGUAUGGAAGGAUACUAUACGAAACUCGACACUUAACUGAGGCCAGAGGAACAGCGAAUCAACAUCAGGGAUUCAUCAGAGUGAUUUAAAUUUAGGGCAUACCUGGCUAUAAGCUGAAUCUCGCCAAUCAUUUGGCGUGUAGCUUGAGUUAUGGGAACUGAGCACACUAUAAAGCAUUAGUACAUGAGUCAUAAGCUGCAUGACCUCAAUUUGGAGUUCAUAACAUAUGGAAUGUGAUUCUGACUAAUGAUUGAACUGGAACUCCUUAUUUUGGAACUGGAAGAGUACGUAAAUUUCUAUCAUAUGCAUGAACAUGAACCAUGAUCUGGAACUGAAACGUAAGGCAUGAGUAGGUAUUGGGAUAACUGAAAAAUACUGAGAUAAGAAUGGGUUGAGCCUCACCCUCAUUUUUUGAUGUUCUAUAUCAUACUGGCAUCACUACUAGAAUCUGAGAGCCUAACUUGGUUAUUCGUCCUCUCAUCUCCCCCUUAGCUUCAAGUCAUCAUCUUAAGUUUGAGCGAUAUCUUUCUAGACUUUAAACUGAACUACACUUACUGCACUUUAGGUUCUGAAAAAUGACCAUACACACACAUCAUAGAACUUAACCCGAAUGACUACACCUAAAAGUGGAAAACCCACUGUUAAUACUACCUUUUGAGGUACACUCUAUCUUUUUAUAGCCAUCAAUGGUCAUCAUAUAGUACUUGAACACUUACUAAUUUCGAAUCUUCAUGAAUAUCCCCCUAGUUGAAGUGCACAUCCUCUAGUGUUUCUACUUUUAUUUCUAUUAGUGCAACCCUCAACUCAAACUUAGAUUCCAACACUUAACAUGGACAUCACCAAGACUUUGAUCAACCAUGCUUCUUUCGCCAUAGCCUACCAAUAUCGCGACACCAAACUUAUAUCACUCUACCAUGAGGAUCAAGAUCAUAUCAAAAGGCUCCACACUAUCAGUCAAAACCCCUUAACUUGGCCAUUUAGAACACCAUGUACCAUCUAACUAGUCUUUCUCCACCUAGCAACUCAAUGGUACCACUAGCCACAUACAACAUGAAAUAGCCUUAGAGAAAAUACCGCAACCACAUAUCACCUUGGGCAUACGUUUUACCUCAUACAUACAAUAUCAAACUUCAUUAUUAAUCAAAUAAACUUAAUCUAUUGCAUACACUGUUCAAGCCUAUUAGAUCACUUCCAUAAAACUAGCAUCAUUAACCAAGAAAUCAUCGCAUCCACCUUCAUGGACACCAACUAAUCAAACUUAAUGUCUAGUGCUAAACAUGAUUUACACCCCAACCUAACAUGUAAUUCUCACAAACAUUCAUCAUUAAUCUUAAGCCACAAUUCUUACAUCCACAUUCUACAUUAAAUUCAAGCCUAUAGUCUAACGUCAACCAUUUACCACCAAUGAAGAAUGCAACAUAAUAUACUAGUCCAUCAAAUUGGGACAUUCUAUCUAAAUACCUCGAAAAAGCUACUAGUUUACAACUAUCAACGAAAAAAAGGUCGUAAUCUCAUAUCAUAACCCCAUACAAUCUUAUCUACUUAUACGGAUUUCUCACAUCACACUUACUUACCAAAGCAUACAUUUAGACUAUCUUCAAAUUCCACAACAACCAUGAGUCUAUAAUUAUAACCUACUGGCUCAUCUAGCCAUUUUCAUAAUUCAAGCAUACAACAAUUCACCUUAACUAAUAACUCCUCCUCUACCUUCUACUAAACUAACACACAAGGACGUAUCACUUCAUUACCAACUCAAUAUCAUGUGAAAAGAUUCGGCUAUACAUAUAUUCAACCAACACAAGAACAACAAGUUGCUAGUGAAUCGAAAAAGGCCUCACACGGUUUUACUAGACUUUGAUUUUUUUGUGUUUUGAACAAGAAAAUAAGAUGAAUGACAAAGAAACUAUGCUAGUGAAUCGAAAGAGCACCACAUGGCUUCACUAGACUUUGAGUUUCAAUAACACAAUGAGAACAAGAUUUCAAGAGAUCAAAACUUGACACACAAUAAUCAAGGAUCUAAGAAUACAUAUCUUACUCUAUAUGAAUAAAAAAAAUUUGAGUCAAACACUCCCCCCACAGACUACCAUACAAUCCACACAUGCUACUAGCUACCACAUUAGUCUAUUACUAUAAAGGGGUAGAUCAUCCUCAAAUAUUGGUUAUUCAACUAAAAUAUUUAUUUACACAAAAGUCACCCUCACUCUAACUUCUAAAUUUGUGACUUCACAUCACCAACUUCUUGGUCCAGCAUUACUACCAACAGGUCAUGACACCGACACUUAACUUAUACUACUACUCGGGCAGUUCGAACAUUAUGCUACACAUCAUCCCCCUGAAGCGUGACAUCUGUAACAUAAAUUCUGAAAAGGACUGAAUACACUUAAUACUGUAUGCUGAAAAGCACGAUCUCAUCAGAAUCAAAGUUCACGCUAGAAUCGAUACACUCUGAAUUACUAACGGACUCUUCUUAAGCCCUUGCACAAUUUUAAAAUCUUAUAUGGCUCAAUUAGAAAGGACCAGACCAUUUAGACUCUAAACUUCUGAACUUGAAUCGCCCCAAUAAUGAGACAUAUCUAAGAACAUUAAAGUAAGGAAAGAAUUAGGAUAACUUCACUUUCGUAUGGGAGACACCAUAGCAUGAAUUAUAGUAUGAAAGAGGAACAUUCUGACUCUAUAGCAUGAACUCAAACAUGAAGAAAGGGAGACAUUCCUAAAUUCCUAUAGCCUCCUUCUUAUAAGUGUGGCACGCUACGCACCCAUAAAUAAUAUCCUAGCCAACAUGAUUUUGCAGACACCCUGGGACCAUGAACCUGUCUCUGAUACCAAGUUUGUCACGACCCAAACUAGGGCCUGGCCAUGACAGAUAUCCCAAACCAUGAAGGCUCGGAACGCCCUUCUCUAUCUGGUAAUCAUGCACAACAUUCAUAUAAUAAAAGAAAAUGUAGAAAUAUAAUCGAAUAUGAAAACAUGGUCAUACUCUGAAUUUAAUUUAACAAUGAAGGAUGAAACCCCAAUAUCAAUAAAAUAAUAUAUGAACCAGUCUGCGAAAUCUCUACUAUAUCUGAAAAACAACUAUCUAAAAAUUGGGACAAGGCCCCAGUAGAUCAAAACCAUAAUAAGUAACAUAAUCUGAAAGACAUAGGCCUUCUGAAAUAAAGAAGGUUCACCAACUGCACACAUCACUACUGUAUGGAAACUCUAUGGCUUAGCAGGACCUUAGAAAUGAACUUUAGAUCCUGGGAGGUAGGGGGUCAAUACAAAUAUACUGGUAUGCUGAGCAAAUUUAAAAUAAUAAUUUUUAUUCAACAUAUAUGAGAGCAAUUUAAAAUAGUUCAUAAAUAUAUCAUAUAGUAAGAAAUCUCAUGGGCAUUUUCAAAAGACUCAGUAAAAUCAUCUGAACUCUGCGACACUCUUUGUUUUACUUCUGCGCUAAGUGGUAUACCUUACAAUUCUGUAAUUUCAUGGGCUAUAUGGAAUUUACUAUUAACAUAGCAGCCAAACCCCCAACCCAAAUGUGCCGCAAGGGUUGGAGUCUCUGAAUCUACUAUACCACACGGUCGUCGUCAGCGUACCACAAUAAUCUGCCUGUAUCGGCAAAUACAGUUUUAGGCUAAGAGUUACUUGAACUCAAGCAUUCUUUGGGUAACCACCUAACCCUCUUUAUGCCUCUUUGUAAUUCUUUAAAAUAUGCAUUCUCUCAAAACAUAUUCUGAAAACACUCUCUGAAGACAUACUCUGAAAACAUACUAUGAAAACAUACUCUGUUAUGGCAUACAUACUUAUGGUAUCGUCAUACCAUUGACUUGCAAGUCACAUCUAUUAGCCAUUAUUAGCAUAUUAGAAUCUAUGUUUCCAAAAUAUAAAUUUGAGGCCACCAUAUCAAUAAAUUAGUUCGAAGCACCCUUUCCUUAAAUACUCAUGUAAACAUAUGUAUGCAACUCUCUUUGACAACAUUUCAAAUGAUACAAGGUGGUCAUGUUAAAAUUCUUCAUCUUGUGCAAAUUUUUCUCUCUUUAACAAAAAACAUUUAUAUCAAGAAACUCCCUCUCAAAAUCUCUAAAUCAUGCUCAAAAUACUAUGGUAUUUCAGUAAACAAUUUUCAAGCUAUGAAUCAUGCAUAUCAAAUCAUUCCCAAUAAGAUCACAAAUUUAAAGUCAUCACAAGAGAGGGAUGUCAUAAUUUAUGCUCUCAAACAAUCUUCAAAUCUGAAUUUUUCAUACAUAUACACAUACAUGUAAGUCAAUUUAAGGGGAAAGGCCUAAGGGCCAAAUCAAUAAUGCAUUUGAACAUUUAUAUUGCAUAAUAAAAUCAUGUAUUUCAAAACCCCUUUCUAAAUUUAUGCUUGAAAAUCUUUAAAUCAUGUUCUAGUGUUUUCAAGCCCAUGUAGUUUUUAGGAUAAACCCCAAGUAUCUUAAAUUAUAAGAUCUGAAAGAUGGAACCUAGAUCUUGAUAGAUGAAACCUAGAUCUUGAUUUGUUUCUUGGAGAUCUUGAACUUAAGGCUUGAUUUUCUGGAAUUUCUUGUUCUUGGAGAAAACCCUAAUUUGAUCUAAUUUUGAGAGUGAAAGGGAAGUUUUUGAUGUUGUAAAACCAAUAAUGAUUGAUUAAUAACAUUUAAGGGAUGAUUUAAUUCGUGUGAAAGGUUUUAGUAGUGAGGGAAAGACCAAAAUACCCCUACGAAAUCACUUCCAAGUUGCUGAAAUUCUCAGCUGACGACCAAGGCUGAUAAGCCGUCAGAUCUGUGAUAACCCGUCAGCCCAGGUCAUCACCUAGGACCUGAAAUUGAUGGGUUUCUUCCUAAGGCUGAUGACAUAUUCUGACAAGUCGUCAGAUUUCUGAUAAGCCAUCAGAAUUAUCGUCGCUCAGUUGCCAGGCUGAUAUGCUGGAGUAAAAUGGACAAAACUUUUUGUUCCGAUUUUGAAUUUUUACAAAAUUAUUGGCGUUGGAAAGAAAACUCAAUGAAAUUUCAUUUGAUAUAUAGUAGGCCCCUCAGUUCGUCAUAUACGAUGAGUUAUGGUUGAUUGAAUUUGAUCAAAGUUUUGACUCUCACUAAAACUUGAACGAUAGGAAAGCUUUCAACUAGUCCUUAAGUUAAGGGACCUCUAUGAUUUGGACUCAUGCCAAACUAGAUUCACACACUACAUAAAAUAAUACCACACUAUAUUUGCAUUAUAUUUAUGGCUUUUGGAACAUCUACGCGUAGAAAUGAUGGUUUUCAUUCUAGCCCGAAAUGCGGGGUAUUACACUAUGUUAUUGUCGUUACAAUAUUGGCUUGAAAAUUGCUCAUAGUCAAUAUCGGCAGGGCCAUAGCUGAACUAAAUUUAUAUUUAUAUUAGCACAUAAACUUGCCUCAUGGCUAUGCCGCCAGAGAGACACAACGCAAACUAUACCCUCAAAAAAAUAGAAGCUGACGGGUUCAAGUCAUUAAAACAACCUUUAACAGCAAAUGUAGGUAAGACCGUAUAUAGUAGUCCAUUAUGGUUCAACCCUUUUUCCCAGAAUUUCCCUGUGCUUAUAAAGUUUCCUAACACUGAAUCUUGAUAAUAAAUGUUCACAUAACAAUUUUGUUUUCAUAAACAGCUGAAUUUUUUUAAAAAUCAAGUGCGAGCCUCGAAAACAUAACUAAUGAAUUAUGCAUAAAUGGGACCUUUAACUUAGCACCAGCUGGAAUCUAUAUUAUCCAAGACAUACUGUAAUAUGUUCAUAGACAAGAUCACUAGUAGGAUAAGGACUGUAACACUCAAUUCUGUAUUGUUUUUGUUGGAAAUUGCUUAAGUUACUGCACUAGUUUUUUAGCAAAAUAAGUUAGUUAAUUUGGGACGAAUUUGAAUUUUGAAUUUAAGUUAGGUUGUUUGAUUUGUUGAGACAUUUUAGUUAGUUUAAAUUUAGAAUAUUGCUGAUUUUUCUAUUGUAAGGUGGCUAUUUAAAGCCCCUUGAUGUUCAAUAAAAUUAUUGAAUACUAUUGAAUGCUAUUGAAAGUUAUUCAAUUCUUUGAGAGCCAUUUUAACCCUAUUUUUGUUGCCCCACCUUCUUUUAAAAAAACCAACAGUGGUAUCAAGAGCCUCAUUGAUCUUACGGGAUUUGUGCGUUCUUCCAAAGUGCUACCAUACCAUUUUUAACCCUCAAGGGCUAUCUUUUAAACCGGCAAGGCUACCUUUUUAACCCGUAAGGGCUCCAUUUUAAUCCAUCAGGGCUACCUUUUUCAACCCGUGCUUAUUUUCAAAGCAUAGGGCUAUUUUAAGCCAAAAAGUUGUCAAGCAGUAGUCUAUCUUUGAAUGCCCUAAAAAUUUUCACAGACAAAAAUGAUCAAAUUUGUUCUGCAAAGAAAUUAUAUUUUGAAACCUAUGCUUUAUGUGAUGUUUUGAUGAAUGAAAAAUCCUUACAACAUUUUGCAAAGUCUAUGAAAGUAUUUUCAAACAACAUAAGAUUGUUGAUGGUUUUUCAGCAAAGAAUGAAAAGAAAAAAGAGAAAGAUGAACAUCAAAAAGAUGUGCAAGUUCAAAAAAAAUUGAAAAAUUCAGCAUCCAUUGCCAGAGCAAAAAUUGAGGAGGAGUAGCUUUUAAAUCACAGUAACUAAAGCAAAGGAGGCGUGUUGGAAAUUGCUUAAGUUGCUGCACUAGUUUUUUAGCAACAUAAGUUAGUUAAUUUAGGAUGAAUUUGAAUUUUGAAUUUAAGUUAGGUUGUUUUAUCUGUUGAAACAUUUUAGUUAGUUUAAAUUUUGAAUGUUGCUGAUUUUUCUAUUGUAAGGUGGGUAUUUAAAGCCCCUUGAUGUUCAAUAAAAUAAUUGAAUACUAUUGAAUGCUAUUGAAAGUUAUUCAAUCCUUUGAGAGCCAUUUUAACCCCCUUUUCGCUGCCCCAUCUUCUUUUAAAAAAAACAACAGUUUUCUAUCUAUAAUUUUUGAGCUGUAGUAUUUGUUCAAACAAAAUGAAUCCCAUGCCACUAGAUUGAUCUUUCUCUUCUCCUCAUUACCUUAAGAGUGUAUUGAAGGAGGUAGCUAACAGGUGCAAAUGAUUCUAAUCGGGGAGGUAAUGAGGAGAAGAGAAAGAUCAAUCUAGUGGCAUGGGAUUCAUUUUGUUUGCCUAAAUGUAAUGGUGGUUUAAGUAUCAAGGAUAGCAGGCUUUGGAAUUUGUCUGUUGUUGGUGAACCGUUGUGGCAAAUUGUGGUGGAUAAAACUUCUUUGAGGGUGAAAUGGGUGCGUCGCAUUUAUAUAAAAAACGCACAAUAUGGCGUCAACUCACAUCUAUGACCUCCAACUUUGGAUGUGCACAAGUAGACACUUAAACCUUUAUAAAGUUAAACAAGUAGACACAUACUUCCUAUGUGGCAUCCUACUCAGCCAAUUCUUGUCCUAUAUGGCGUCCUACAUGUAUUAUGCCACAUAGGACGUGUGUGUGUGUCAUUCAACUUUAUAGAAGUUUAAGUGUCUACUUAUUUACACAAAAUUUGAGGUCAUAGUUGUGAUUUGAGGCCAAGUUAAAGGGCAUGUUUAUGUAUUAUGCCUAUAAAAAAUGACCCUACUUUCUGGGAACAUAGACGACCUCAAGAUUGCAGUUGGUACUGGAAGAAACUGAAUUCGUUGAAGGGUGAAAUGUCAUCUUUGUAUACACAAGGACAGUACAAUCUUACUAGUAUGGGGGAGAUAUUCUAUAACGAGUAGCUACAUGGCUCUGCUGGGAACUCAAAGGAGAUCGAUUGGGUUCUGCUAACUUGAUAUGGAACUCGGUAUCUCAACCAAAGCUUAGGUUUAUUGCAUGAUUAGAAGCUAAAGAGAGAUUACUCAACUAAAAGUAGACUAAUCAGACUCAAACAUUCAGGUACAUGAUGUGACGACAUGAUGUUUGCUCAGGACAGAAAACUCAAAUCAAAUCAAAUUCGUCCAGUUUGAGAUGCCUUAAUUGCAUUAGUACCCAAAUUUUCUCAAGACAGAAAACUAUACUCAUGCCACCAAAAACAAAAUGUGUGUCCUUGGAACUUCAAUCAUAUGUUGAGGGAACUUAUGCCUUUCUGUUAAAUUCUUCUUUCGAAUAAAUAGAUCGCAGAAAUCAAUUCAAGAAUAUGAGUUACUCCAUUACUUCUUCCGAAUAUCAUUGGGAUCCCCAAGAAUAUACCAUCAAACAUACACAAUAAAUAUUAAACCAAGAAACUAAAGUAUAAACUAAAUCAUCAUCCAUUUCCCAAAACAUAAAUUUCUCCAUGAAGGAGGAAAAGUACAUCACAGUAAGAAUUAAGAAGCUAGAAGUCAUUACAACAUAGAAAUUUAUCGAAUAAAACUACCACUAUUGAAUAGAAACCGAUUGAAUGCUCUUGUUGCUCCUCCUCUCCUUGUCUUCUUUCUUCCAAAGGCUGCUCCAAGAGUCCACGAUACUUAGUUGAGAUAAACCCUUCUUCUUAUGUUGUAAAAUUUCCCACUUUUUACUUUGUGUCUUAGUAUAACAAAGCAACAUAAAUUAGAAAUCUAAAAUCUUCCAAUUACAAUCAAAUCAUGUCAAUUAAAGUCUAGAAACAUCAAGAAUAUUUAGUGAUACGGGAAUUCCUAGGUCGAGACCUUUCACAUGAAACCAAGCACGUGAGUUGCAACGACUCCAAGCCUUGUUCACAUUCUUGGCCAUGUGUGAGGCCCUUGUGAGCCCAUCUAAGGGCCUAUAUUUAAUAAAAUGUGAAGAGGCCCACCAAGACACCCCAAAACCACCCACUUAAAUGCCAAGGGUAUUUUGGUCUUUGUCCCUCCUUUCUAAGUGACUAUAUAAGCCAUGUAAUAGGGCUAGUCUUGCUUUAGUUCAUUCCUAUUAUUCAAGAAACAAAAGACUUGUAAAUUUUUUACUUCUCUUUCUCAUUUAGAGAGGCCAAAACCGAAUUCUCACUAGUAGAGUGAUACUAGUGCUGUAUCUUGGAUAGAAACUAGGUUCUUCGGGUUCUUUGAGUUCCUCUUGGUCCAAGUAAGAACUUUGUAUUGAUAUUUAUUAGUCUUAGGGUCCUUUCUCUUGUUAGAGUUCUUAGAUUAGUGAAUAUUGUGUGUCAAGUUUCUAUCUCUUUCUUUGUAAAUCUUGUUAACAUUGUGUUAUUGAAUAUAAAAGUCUAGUGAAGCCGUGUGGGGCUCUUUUGAUUCACUAGCAAUAUUGUCUUUGUUGUUCUUGUUGUCAAACUCACUUUUCUAGUUCACACAAGUGUUGCAAGCCUAGUGAAGCCGUGUGUGGCCAUUUUCGAUUCACUAGAACUUUGUUGUUCAUCUUGUUGUUCUUGUGUUGGUUGGAAUCUCUUGAUACACACUUAGCAUUGUAUCAUUUAGCUCAUGAGUACAUCAUUAUAUAUAUUUUUAAAAUGACAUUAAAAGACGAUUUCUAACACUGAAUCUUGGAAGUAACAUAUAUUUUUUUUUCAUAAACAAUCUUUUUUUUUUAAACUCAAGAGGAAGCCUCCAAAACAACACAAUUGUUGGUGCACAUAUCCUUGCACCUAUAAUUUUAGUCUGUUCAGACAUUAUAAUAAAUCAUUUUGCACAAGACCGUAAUGCUUCAAAUGCAAAAAAAUGAGCUACCAAUCCAAAUAAGGAAAUGAGAAACGGAGUGUAACCUUGAUAAUUAUAUACUUACGUGGAUUGUAGAUACGAACAUCCACUGGGUUGUUUCCGAGGUCUUCUUGUUCUUUUUGAAUUCGUGCAGCAGAUUCGCCAAGUUCUGGAACAAAACUUGUUAACUCAAUCAAUUGUAGUGAGUGGAUAUAUGCAAACUCAAUGGGUAUCUCCUUCAAAUUAUGGAAUUCGCUGAUGAUACAAGUCAAAUGGCUGCCUUAGCUUUCAAUGACAUCAUUCAAAGUUACUACAUGAAGAAUCAAGCUUUGGUCGCAUGGAGGGAAUGGUAUCAUACUUGGAGGGGUCUUCUUGAGCAUGCCAUUAAACAAACCCGAGUGUGGAAGAUUGCUUGGAGCCUUGAUAACUUGAGGACCCUCGGGUUUGGGCCAUACUUGGUGGUUCACGGUUUUGGUCAUUUAGACUUGUCUAAAUGACACCCCAUGGCCACCCCACCUCAUUAAGGGCAUUGGAGUUAUUUUAUCUUUCUUUUGUAAGAUACUAUAUAUAGUUUUGAAUGAUGAAUGUAUGAAACACUUGAAAAUCCUCUCUCUUGAGCGUAGACCACCUUAGUAUAGUCUUAGUUAGGGCUUGGAAAAGUCAUCCUUAGUAUAGGGCUUGGAAAAGCCAAUAUUGACCUUUGCUUGGAAAUGGUGGAUCUUGAGGUGAGUUGAUUCCCUUGGCGGUCACUGUAAGAGUGUGGUUUUGAUUAUUACAUUCAUUAGGGGUUAGUGUUGAAAUACACUUGGUUCUUAAUCUUAUAAUAAUCUUGGUCUCACUAUCUAUCUUUAUUUUCUAUGCAUUUUCUCUUGUGUUUGUGUUGAAUCUGUGUCUUGUUUCAUCUUGUGUCAUUGUUAUCAUCUUCAUCUCCUUUCUUUAGUUAUAGUUUCAGUUUCUAGCUUUGUUUUCCACAUCAGCUAAGCAUGAGGCGCUCAAGGUCAGGAAAAUUGUCAUCUGUCGCUUUCCAGUACUUGACAUCAUUAUCUUCAAUUAACAAAAGCUUCAAUCGUGUAAAUCCCUGAACAUUUGGAUGCCAUUCUUUGCCUUCACAAGCAUUAUACAUCAGCUUCAGCACCUCAAGGUUAGGUAACUCAGCUAUGAUGUCCAAGUAUGACCAAUCUAAAUAAGUUCUUUCCAACUUCAACUUCUUGAGCGUGGCUGGAAAAGCUUUUGCACUGGUCACUGACAAAAGGAGACAAGUACAUCCUAUAAAACUCAAUAUUUCAAGUUGCUGCAGAUAGAUAAGAUUGUUGAGAAGCGCUAAGUCCCAAAGAUUGUCUCCACUGAAUCCUAAUUUUUUAACAGUCUGAAUCCCCGAAAUAACCUCCUUUGUGCAACAACUGGAAGACAAGUAAGGAAUAGUUUGUAUGUUUGGAAACCCCAUGUGACUGCCUUUGUCAACACAUACGGUUGGGCGAUUUGGCAGAUAAAUUAUGCCCGCUUUGAGAUGCCGUAAUUGCUUUAGUCCCCAAAUUUCCUCAGGAAAAGUUGUUUUAACUGAUCCACUAGGUCCUUGAACGAUGAAUGUCUGCAGAUUCCAUAACCUACAAAUUUCUGGAGGUAUGUCUAAAUUCUCACGGCAGCUCAAUGAUAGGUACCUCAACCAGAUGAGGCUUAGUAUCUGUACAGGGAAAACUCGAAAAAUCACGCUGUCUCUCAAAUCCAUGACUUUGAGUAAUUUGGAAGGAGUAAGCCAUGAUUGGCGAAUAAAAAUUGGAAAAUAACGACAAGAAAUACUAACAGGUUCUGAACAAACAUUUCCCCUUUGAACUUCUCUCAAGCACAGGUCAUAUAUUAGAUCCUGAACCUUACAUGAUCUAAUUUUUUAUUAUUAUUAUUAUUGACAAUAUUUUAUUAAAAUAUUUUACUAAUAACGUUAUUAACAAUAUUUUAAUAAUAUUAUUUGAACCUUUAAUUGCUUCUAUCAAUAUACCACUACUACUACGACUAAUUAUUAUUAUUAUUAUUAUUAUUAUUAUUAUUAUUAUUANNNNNNNNNNNNNNNNNNNNNNNNNNNNNNNNNNNNNNNNNNAAUAUUUUAAUAAAAUUUUCAUCUUAACAACGUUUUAUUAACGUUAAUUUAAUAUACUUCUAUUACUGCCCUUAAUAACGUUUUAUUAAUAACGUUUUAAUAACGUUAAUUUAAUAUAUUACUACCACUAUCCUUAAUAAUGUUUUAUUAAUAACGUUUUAGUAACGUUAAUUUAAUAAUAUUUUAAUAACGUUAAUUUAAUAACUUUAAUUUAAUAACGUUUUAUUAAAACUAUAAUUUUUUUAUUUAUUAUUAGUAUAGUUUCACCUUUGAGAUGAAAAUAAUGAGAAAAUAAUAGUGAAAAGUCACUUAAAUAUAUAAAAAGUAAUUAUUAAGGGCAUAAUAGUCAUUUUACCCUUUUUUUACGGUUGGAACGCUCAAAUUUUUAGCCUGACGUGCCUAGUUUUGCGUGCACAACACGCGUUUCACAUAGGAUCAGAGAUCAUAUUUGUAAAGUUUAGAAUAGUUAAAGGUCAUAUUUGUGCACUAUCAAAGUUUAAUAUCAAAGUUAUAAUUUGGUCGGGUCAUAUUUAUGUACUAUGCCUUUCUAAAUUAGUUCCGAUCUUGUAAGUAGGUGAUGAUAUAAUAUACAGGUUUCCAUAUAUAUACUUAUGUGACUAACGAUGCCGGUAACAUGUUAUAAGUGAGUUCUUCAAGCAUUCUUUUCUUUUCCUUGUCACGCCCAACCAUAUUGUUCGAAACUUCCAGAUUAGAUAAUUUUUCCAAGCUCCUAUCUCGUGCCAAGGACCAUGUCGAUGCUUGUCUACCUUUAUUAUCUUGAAUCUUUUUCGACUCUUCUUGGGCACGGUCAAUGUCCUUCGCUACUUGUUGCAAUAUCUUUUAUCUGCUCAUCCAAAUCUGUCAUUGCCCCAUAACUACUGAUUUGUUUCUCGGAGUUCUUGAGAAAUGCUUCUAUAUAAGUCACUUUCUUAUGAAGAGCUACAAUGUCUUCUCUGUGAUAAAAAGCAACUGAUAUUAUUGGCGAAUCAGACGUCAACAGCAGUUCCAUUGUUCUUAUAAGAGAUGCUAUACUCGCGUAGGCCAUCGAUUCUCCUGCUUCCAAAAUGCGAUAACGACUUGAAAGCUGCAAGUUAUACGAGCCCGAUAGUGUUAAAAUAACAUGAUUCACAAAGUUGCAAAAACAGUGAGGUAAGAAAUUAAGAAAUCAGGCAACUUCAGUCUGCACUCUUCACUAUCGUAUCUGUUACAGACUUUAUGUCUACUUCAUAUUCAUGUCUGCAUCACCUAAUUCACUACACUUGAUUCGACACUUCAGAAAUAUGAAGAACCAACUUCAUCGGUCCAAGAAAACGUUGCACAGAUAGUGGAAGAGGAGCUGUAUGAUGUUCAUAGGUCUCUAUUAGCCAGUUGCGAGGGCCAAUACGACAAGGACUUGGUUGAAUGAUAGAUGGCCAAAAAAAAGAGGCUGAUACCAAACUCCUCAAGAACACAACAACACAAACACCAAAAUCAGUCCACUAGUUCAAGAACUAUGGACCCUUUUGAUGACCUCUCUCGGAUUCACAAGAAGAACAAGAAGGGAAGUGAUAUCAAGAGUAAAACACACUAAAACAGCAACAACACUUGAUGAACAAGAUGCAAUAACAACAACACACGGUUACAAGACAAGAACACAAAUGGAUUACAAAGAUAUAGACAAACGAUUACAAGAAAGUAAAGAUAGAUAGAUAGACAAAGGGAUGGUAUAAUAUAAACAACCCAAAAGCUUAUUCCACUUUUGGACCUUUAAUAUCACACACAACCUAAACCUAUCUCUUACGUGACCUCAAGGGAACCGGAAUUCCCAAGAAAUCUCCGUUUCUAAGCAAAUGAUCAACACAAGGAUUCCACCUUGUCCAAGGAUUCCACCUUGCUAAAGACUCUCAAAGAGGCUACAAAAUAUAUUCUCCAAAAAUCUCCCAAAAAUGACCUAAUGAGGUUCUAUUUAUACCUAGGUUAACUUAUUACAAAUGACUAAAAAACCCUUGCAAAGGUUGGAUGAAUAGUGAACGCGGAAGCAUUGUGAAACAGUUUUGGAGCUUGUGGGACUUGUUCUCUACACUUCAAAGCUUGUUCCUUGGAUGGGAAGCCCCUCGAGCUCGAGUCUUGACGCAUUGGACCCCGAUCAUGAUCAUACCCGUAUCAUCCUCCCCUCCUUAGAAAGGAUUGGUCCUCGAAUCUGAACCUUUCAAAGCAAUGGAAGGACAAGCAAACAAAAGUUCCGCAAGGUAUGAGGGUUAGGAUUAGUGUAAUCAAUCAUAGCAUCUUGCCAAGGUGGCUCAAACUUCACAUAUACCCAAACAUCCCUCUUACCCGAAUACCCUACCAAGGGAGAAUCAACUAAUUUAUCCACAUAAGUCUAACAAGAAACAAGAAACAAGAAACAAGAAACAAGCGUAGCUUAUCAAGUGAAAAACAUAGACACUUUUUGGAACAACAAUUAGACUUGAAAGCAGAGAGAGGAAAGCCAUACACUCCAUACACAUUCAAGUCAUUCCAAAAGACAUCCUUAUCACCACACUUCAAAUGAUCACCGGAAUCAAAUAGGUAGAGUGUCCAUGGGCACGGGUUGGGAAUACAUUUCCUUACCCCAAUACUACUAUAAUAAUGAUCAAAUGUCCCCUCUAUACUAUCAUGGUCAAUAACAAAAACAACUAGAGGGUCAUCCUUAGUCAUUCGGCCAACAUGUUCAACAUCAUAAUUUUUGCACAAAAGUUGGUCUUCAUGACAUCCAUAAGGCAAUGUACUACAACUUUCCACCAUGGCUUCAACACUAGGUGAAUCAACUAGUGUAUCCACAAUCUCAAGUUGUACAUUAUCAUCAGAAAAUGAAGGCACAUUCGGCUCACUUAAAGACAAAUUAUCAUUCACACUUAGUUAACUAUUAUCCUCAUUCACUAGAGUGCAAAAGUUAGUUUGAUUACCUUGUAGCUCAUGUGGAGCAUGGCCACUCAUGGGAAUUGAUUAGGAAGGCUUGGAUGCUCCAUCAAGUUAUCCAACUUCUUGCACAGAGAGCCUUCCGUCUCUUCUAAUCUUUCUUCCAUUCUGUCCAUUAUUUACCUAUCUAUGGCAUCAAACCUUGCCAUGAUGGAUUUAACCCAACUAGGCAUUUCAUCUUCAUUCGCCACUGUACCCAUCAAGAGCUACUAAGCAAACAACACGAAAACAAUAAACACAUUAAAGAUUAGCAAAAAUCAGUCCACGAUUCGUCACAAAACAGUCCACAAUGUGUCUCAAAAUAGUCUACAAUCCCUAUGCAACACCCCGUAAAAGUCGUGCAUGGAUUAGCCUUUAAUAGAGUGUCCUUAGACUUGAAAAUUUUUCUAAGUGUAAUGAGGACUUAGAGUCAUUUUAGCUGGCAAUCUUCGGGAUACAACUUUUCAACCUUUCCGACAUCCGUUUUUAGAUUUUCAAGUUGCGUUAUGAUCGAGAAAGCUCAUAGUACAUCUCGGAUAAGUUUUGGAAUUUUUUGGAACGCAUAAGGCUGCCUUUGGAUUUCAAAACAGUAGCAAAACGCAUAGCCUAUUGCCCAGUUUUCAGCAUUUCAGGGUCAACUUCAAAUGAUCAUUAACUCCCUGUAUAUAAUGAACUGUGUGAGCUAUAAUAUAUCAAACGAAAGAUAUUUGAGUACUCUUUCAAAUUCAGUUGGUUUCAUCCAAUUUGAGUAUAUGAGUAUAAAGUUAUAAUCUAUUUACUCCAGCCUAUCAAACUGUCAACUGAGGGACAGAUUUGGCCUUAAUUGUUCCUUAGGGGUAUUUUGGUCAUCCUCCACCCCUAUAUAUACCACCAACACGGGAUUUAAUCCCUCAAACAACAUAAUACACAUGAUUUCCCCAAAAUUGCUCAAGAACUCUCCUUAGGAUUUCAAAAUAAAAACCCAAAUAGUUCAAGAUUUGGCCGUAGGUUUUCAGAGAUAAUUACAUAUUUGGAUUCAUCAAUCCGCAAGCUUCAAGAAACACCUAUUAUCCUUGGAAAUAGAGGUACGUGGGGUUAUCCAAAAAUCUCAUGGGUGUAUUCUUUAUGAACAUGCAUGCUUUUAAAUGGGGGUUUUCAAUCAAAUGCUAAUAUCUUNNNNNNNNNNNNNNNNNNNNNNNNNNNNNNNNNNNNNNNNNNNNNNNNNNNNNNNNNNNNNNNNNNNNNNNNNNNNNNNNNNNNNNNNNNNNNNNNNNNNNNNNNNNNNNNNNNNNNNNNNNNNNNNNNNNNNNNNNNNNNNNNNNNNNNNNNNNNNNNNNNNNNNNNNNNNNNNNNNNNNNNNNNNNNNNNNNNNNNNNNNNNNNNAUUGAAUAAGAUGAAAUUUGAAUGCAUUGAUUUUACAUGAGAAAGGGGGAUGCCCGAAUAAGGCGUUUGAGACACAAGUGGCUCAUCGCUGGAAGAACAUGUUUGCCAACACGGAAUAUCGGUACCAUACUUUGUGGUCUUGCGUACCUGAUAUUAUAUUAUCUCAAAUUAGGAUUAUGGUUAGGAGCCAUGCUUUGUGGUCUUGUAUACUACCAUAUUUGAUUUGGGUCGAGACACCAUGCUUUGUGGUCUUGUGUGUCUCUCCCUCACUUAUACUCUAAUCUUGGCGGCAACCGGGGUUUGACAGUUGGUGUAAAUUAUGUAGGGUAUUCCACCUAGCUCAGUUGCAUUUCAUUAUUGUUGAGAAAAAUUAUUGCAUUACACCCAUGUGCUUUCAAAUGAUUUGAUACGAAAUUGAUUUAUAAUGGCUCUCAACUAUAUAUUGUAAAAAUAUUAUGUUUUGUUUUGAUAUCUCUGCGUGCCAGUACUUUUGUGCUGACUCUCUCCCCUCUCCAACCUCUCAGGUUCAGAGGCCCAGUCUAGGGGUCAAGAGAAUCAGUAGAUCAUUCAGACAGAGUUGCAGAGACAAGUGGUGAGCCUUCUGUGUUUCAGAAGGUCUUAUGUCCUACAGUCCUUUUAUCUUAUAUUAGUUUUGGGUCUGCUGGGGGCCUUGGCCCAGUUUUCAGAUAGACAUUGUUUCACUCAUGUAGUAGAGAUUUCGCAGACGGUUUUAGAGAUUUUGAUUUAGAUUGUGGGGCACUAUUCCCCAUUUUCAUUUUCAUAUGAUUCCUGGCCAUGUUUCUGUUAUAUUUUGUUUUUCCGCAUUUCUUUGAUCAUAUGAAUUAGGUGCAUGAUUACUAGAUAGAUAGGGGUGUUUCAGGCCUCAAUGGUUCGAAAUCCUUGUCACGGCCAGGCCCUGGUUUGGGUCAUGACACCCUCUCUUUCACACUUUGGAUUUUUCACUCUAUUGGUCUUACAAGUGUUGAUAACUCGCUUAUACUCCAAUGAGGUUACUUGAUCCCAAUUGUGGCUCGAGUUUCGAGUAGAUUCUUGUUUGAAACGACUCAAAUAAGUAAUGUACGAACUUGAACCAAAAAAGAUACUAUGACUCUAAAAAGAGAAAAGCACACAACAAACAACGUUAACACGAAGAACGUACACAAAACUAACUUACAAUCUAGUAUGGUAUUACUAGGUUGUCAAUUAGUGUCGAGCAAACAAACAAAACUAGGAAACAAUAAAAUGAAACUAAGAAAUAUAAAAUUUAAACUCAAAAAUAUUGCGUGAAUAGUACUUUAGUGAUGUGGCAGUCCACUAUUGGCCUCGAGUCUUAUCAAAAUUUUAUUUUCCAAUUUCAAGUCUUAAUCAAUAUAAAAUUUGGAAUUGGUGGAUUUGGUUAAUGGAGAGAAAAGUGGUCUUGGAACCUUUUUGUACAAAUUUCAAAAGCAAAACUUGACUUUUUUGAACUUUCUCCUUGAAACAAGGUCCUUAAAUCAAGGAAACGUAGAUGAAAAGUCUUUGAAGUGAUAGGGACAAGUCAUUCACUAUCAACUACUACAAGAUUGUCUUUCACCUUUUUAGAUCUAGUUUGUACUUUAAGGAUUAACAAGAUGAUGAAAGGGUGAAGAACCUUAAGAAAACAACAACAACUCCAAGAACAACAACAAUUUCAGUUUGCAACUCCACUACAACAAAACCAUCAAAUCAGACAACGUUUAGCUAACAACAACAUCCAACUCGGCCACUCCUUGUUCACAUCAACAACUUUAACAAGUUCAAGUUCAAUCAUAGAUUUGGACACUUUUUAGUGUUGAUGAGAAGGAGACCAACACUAGAAACACUCUAAAAAAAUAAAAGACUACAAGUUCUAGACACACAACAAACAAAUCUUGGCCAAGAUAACAACAACAUAAUUUUUGGCCAAGAACACAAAAUGGACAGAUUUGCACUUUGAAAUUUCUUUUCAGUUUUUAGCUUCUUUUUUUUUUUGAAUUUUGUCCAAGAGAACCCAAGAUUGGUAGUGUAGGAACAGAACCAGCCUUGCUUUGAUACCAAAUGAUAUCAAACUCCACAAGAAUAUGACAACACAAACACCAAAAUCAGUCCACUAGUUCAAGAACUAUGGACCCUUUUGAUGACCUCUCUCGGAUUCGCAAGAAGAACAAGAAGGGAAGUGAUAUCAAGAGUAAAACACACUAAAACAGCAACAACACUUGAUGAACAAGAUGCAAUAACAAAAACACACGGUUACAAGACAAGAACACAAACGGAUUACAUAGAUAUAGACAAACGAUUACAAGAAAGUAAAGAUAGAUAGAUAGACAAAGGAAUGGUAUAAUAUUAACAACCCAAAAUCUUAUUCCACUUUUGGACCUUUAAUAUCACACACAACCUAAACCAAUCUCUUACGUGACCUCAAGAGAACCAGAAUUCCCAAGAAAUCUCCAUUUCUAAAAAAAUGAUCAACACAAGGAUUCCACCUUGUCCAAGGAUUCCACCUUGCUAAAGACUCUCAAAGAUGCUACAAAAUAUAUUCUCCAAAAAUCUCCCAAAAAUGACCUAAUGAGGUUCUGAUACGAGUACGAUCACGAUAAUGGAAACUUUUUGAGUAUUUUGAAGACCACCUAAAGAGUGAACAAGUAUAAGUGUGAACGAGGCCCAAAACCAUCCCAAGCAUACUCCAUGGGCUAUUUUUGGAGCCCUUUUUAAUAAAGGGCCUUUUAGUCUUUUGUCCUUUAUUUUGUAAUAUAAUAUAAAUUGAACAUUAUAGGGUUUUAGUUGGUAGUUUUUAUGAAUGUUGAAGAAAGAAUACUCCUCUUAAAGAGAGAGAGUCCACAACCGAAACUAGGGCAUAGCAUAAGGGUGAAUUCUCUUGUGUGUUGCAUUUUUCUUGAUACGUUGGUGCUUGGGUAGUGGACGCCUAUUUUAAGUCAAUUGUAAGAGUUAGGUGUUUUUUGUGUGAAGUGUUAAAGUUCCAAGAGUAGAAUAUGCUCUUGGGUUGUUAAGACUACAUCAACACUUGUCUAACUAGCUAUCUUAUAUCUUGUUUUAGUUUCAGCUUCUUGUGUUGUUAAUGUAACCCAUUUGUUCUUGUUGCUAUUGUAAUAUUGUGGAGCUUCAUCUUGUGUUGCUAAACUUGCUGUUGGCUGGCUGUUUUGGUGUAUUAACACCUUGUAUCUUCUUCCUUAUUGUUCUAGAUAGUGAAUCCGAGAGAGGUCCCCAUUUGGUCCAUGAUUUGUUGUGAUUUGUGGACUGUUUUGGGGUGUGAUUUCAUGUUCCCUUGUUUGUUUAGUAUCAUUUGGUAUCAAAGAAAGGCUGGUUUUUGUUUCCACAAAGCCAAUCUUGGGUUUGAUUAUUUAAAAAAAAUUAAUAAAAACUGAAAAAUUCCAGAAAAUAGCAAUCGUCCAUUUUAGUGUUCUUGGUAAAAAAUUGUAUUGUGUUGUUGUCUUGGCCGAGAUUUUCUUAUUUUUCUUGACUAGAUCUUGCAGUUCUUUUGUUAUUCUAGUGUGUUUCUAGUGUUGGUUCUUUCUCACAAACACUAAAAGUGUCUAGAUCUAAAGGUUGAGCUUAUAAUAUUAACAUUGUUGUUGUGAACUUGAAGUGGCCAUGUGUUGAUCCUUAUUAUUGAAGGUUGGUGUUGUUGUUGUUGAGUUCUUGAGCUUCAAAUUGUGUUAUUAUUGUGAAUUGGUGGCUUAAAAACCUCUUGUUGAAGUUGUUGUUGAAAGAUGGAACUUGACAAAGUGUUGAUUGAAAUGUAAGACCAACUUGAACCUUAGACUCCAAGAUUCAAAAGUUUGUGUUCUUGGUGUUCUUCACCAAUCAUCAUCUUUUAUUGAAAAAAAAAGUGGAUGUUAGAUCUAAGAGGGUGAAGGAAGGAGGUGUAGUAUUUGUUAGUCAUCAAAGACUUUUACCACUACUUCCAACCACUCAAAGACUUCAGAACCAUUUUCCAACCAACUUCCACGUUUUGAGGGCCUUAUUUUAAGGGAAAAUACUACAAAAGUCCAAGUCUUCAAACUUGAGUUGAAAAAGAGUUCCAAGACUUAUUCUUUCCCUCCUUACAUAAUACCACCAAUCCAGAUCAAAAAUUGGUCAAGACUUGAACCUUGGACAAUAAAACUUGAUAAAAUCGUGACCAAUUGAGGGUUGCCACGUCAUCACAUAUUAGUGUUCACCAACAAUUUUUAAGCUCAAAUUUUAGAUUUCUUAGUUUUAUUUUAUUGUUUCUUUAGUUUCGUUUGUUGAUUCCAUUACUAACUUACAAGCUAGUACUAGAAUGUAAGUUAGUUUUGAAAUCGUUCUUCGUGUAUACGUUCCUUUGUGUGUCUUAUUCUCUUGACUCGUUGUAAUACUUGGUCCACCUCUCAAUGCCUCAUGGAGUACAAGAAAAGUUAUGAAACUUGUGAGAUCAAAGUGUGAAAAAUCCAACAGACAAAACAAUAGAGAGGGAGUGUGAGGAUCAUUCUUUUACAACUAACUUGUUCGUUGUUUUGUAGGUAACUUUUGGCCAUAAUGGAAACCAUUUUUGCCCUCCUUGAUGCUUUGUCCCGAGAUCUUUCUAUGGCAAAUGUGGGUCUUGAAAAAAUUGACUCGGAUAUGGUAACUAUGAGUGAGAGAUUGGAUCAAAUGGUAAGUCGAUGGAACUCUCAUGAUUUUACUCCCGAAACUUUACUUCCAAUGACCAAUUCUCUAAGACCACCACAUAAUGCCACAAUCCAAGCUCCAAAUAGCCCUCAAAACCGAGAAUAAGAUAGACCACUUCCCCCACAAGUUGAUCUAGUCCGACAAGGAGGACCUGGAAGCAAAUUUUCUCCCAUCCAAACUCCACAACCGAAACCCCACUUAACCAAAGCAAGCUUCUUAACCGAAGCUCCACUACACCAAACCCGACAUAUCCAUAUAGAGAAGAAUGGUAGAAAGGAACAUGAAGGAUAUGGGGUCUUCGACAAUGCUUAUAUGAUGGUAGGAGACUUGUUUUGCAUGAGAUUAAAGACAAGGCUCAAGAUGGAGAGGAAGCCGAUGUUCAAAAUAAAGAUGUUAGCCAAGACUUAUUCUCAUUGUAUCCUCGGGUUCCCUUUGUUUUGUUUUGCGGACUGUUUUGGGUAGUUUCUUUUGGAGGGCCAAUUGCACGAGGUAAAGCCAUGAAUUUGUGGUCAAAUUCCUCUCAAGAUGGAGAGUAUGAUACAAGUACAAUCACGAUCAUGGACACUUUUUGAGUAUUUUGAAGACCACCUAAAGAGUGCACAAGUAUAAUUGUGAAGGAGGCCCAAAACCGUCCCAAACACACUCCAUGGGCUGUUUUUGGAGCCCUUUUCAUUAAAGGGUCUUUUAGUCUUUUUUCUUUUAUUUUGUAAUAUAAUAUAAAUUGAACAUUAUAGGAUUUUAGUUGGUAGAUUUUAUGAAUGUUGAAGAAAGAACACUCCUUUUAGAGAAAGAGAGUCCACAACCAAAACUAGGGCAUAGCAUAAGGGUGGAUUCUCUUGUGUGUUGCAUUUUUCUUGAUACGUUGGUGCUUGGGUAGUGGACGCCUCUUUUAUUUCAGUUGAAAGAGUUAGGUAUUUUUUGUGUGAAGUGUUAAAGUUUCAAGAGUAUAAUAUGCUCUUAGGUUGUUAAGACUACAUCAACACUUGUCUAACUAUCUAUCUUGUAUCCUGUUUUAGUUUCAGCUUCUUGUAUUGUUAAUGUAAUCCAUUAGUUCUUGUUGCUAUUCUAAUAUUGUGGAGCUUCAUCUUGUAUUGCUAAACUUGUUGUUGGUUGGCUGUUUUGGUGUAUUAACACCUUGUAUCUUCUUCCUUAUUGUUCUAGAUAGUGAAUCCGAGAGAGGUCCCCAUUUGGUCCACGAUUUGUUGUGAUUUGUGGACUGUUUUGGGGUGUGAUUUCAUGUUCCCUUGUUUGUUCUGUAUCAUUUGGUAUCAAAUCAAGGAUGGUUUUUGUUUCCACAAAUCCAAUCUUGGGUUUGAUUAUUUAAAAAAAUUUAAUAAAAACUGAAAAAUUCCAGAAAAUAGCAAUCAUCCAUUUUUGUGUUCUUGGUCAAAAAUUGUGUUGUGUUGUUGUCUUGGCCGAGAUUUUCUUAUUUUUAUUGUCUAGAUCUUGUAGUUCUUUUGUUAUUCUAGUGUGUUUCUAGUGUUAGUUCUUUCUCACCAACACUAAAAGUGUCUAGAUCUAAAGGUUGAGCUUAUAAUAUUGACAUUGUUUUUGUGAACUUGAAGUGGCUAUGUGUUGAUCCUUAUUAUUGAAGGUUGGUGUUGUUGUUGUUGAGUUCUUGAUCUUGAACUUGUGUUAUUAUUUUGAAUUGGUGGCUUAAGAACCUCUUGUUGAAGUUGUUGUUGAAAGGUGGAACUUGACAAAGUGUUGAUUGAAAUGUAAGACCAACUUGAACCUUAGACUCCAAGAUUCAAAAGUUUGUGUUCUUGGUGUUCUUCACCAAUCUUCAUCUUUUAUUGAAAGAAAAAAGUGGAUGUUAGAUCUAAGAGGGUGAAGGAAGGAGGUGUAGUAUUUGUUAGUCAUCAAUGACUUUUACCACUACUUCCAACCACUCAAAGACUUCACAACCAUUUUCCAACUAACUUCCAUGUUUUGAGGGCCUUGUUUUAAGGGAAAAUACUACAAAAGUCCAAGUCUUCAAACUUGAGUUGAAAAAGAGUUCCAAGACUUAUUCUUUCCCUCCUUAAACAAUUCCACCAAUCCAGAUCAAAAAUUGGUCAAGACUUGAACCUUGGACAAUAAAACUUGACAAAAUCGUGACCAAUUGAGGGUUGCCACGUCAUCACAUUUUUAGUGUUCACCAACAAUUUUUAAGUUCAAAUUUUAGAUUUCUUAGUUUUAUUUUAUUGUUUCUUUAGUUUCGUUUGUUGAUUCCAUUACUAACUUACAAGAUAGUACUAGAAUGUAAGUUAGUUUUGAAAUCGUUCUUCGUGUAUACAUUCCUUUGUGCGUCUUAUUCUCUUGAAUCGUUGUAAUACUUGGUCCACCUCUCAAGGCCUCAUGGAGUACAAGCAAGGUUAUGAAACUUGUGAGAUCAAAGUGUGAAAAAUCCGACAGACAAAACAAUAGAGAGGGAGUGUGAGGAUCAUUCUUGUACAACUAACUUGUUUGUUGUUUUGUAGGUAACUUUUGGCGAUAAUGGAAACCAUUUUUGCCCUCCUUGAUGCUUUGUCCCGAGAUCUUUCUAUGGCAAAUGUGGGUCUUGAAAAAAUUGACUCGGAUAUGGUAACUAUGAGUGAGAGAUUGGAUCGAAUGGUUAGUCGAAGGAACUCUCAUGAUUUUACUCCCGAAACUUUACUUCCAGUGACCAAUUCUCUAAGACCACCACAUAAUGCCACAAUCCAAGCUCCAAAUAGCCCUCAAAACCGAGAAUAAGAUAGACCACUUCCCCCGCAAGUUGAUCAAGUCCAACAAGGAGGACUUGGAAGCAAAUUUCCUCCCAUCCAAACUCCACAACCGAAACCCCACUUAACCAAAGCAAGCCUCUUAACCGAAGCUCCACUACACCAAACAUGAGAUGUCCAUAUAAAGAAGAAUGGUAGAAAGGAACAUGAAGGAUAUGGGGUCUACAAAAAUGCUUAUAUGAUGGUAGGAGACUUGUUUUGGAUAAGGUUAAAGACAAGGCUCAAGAUGGAGAGGAAGCCGAUGUUCAAAAUGAAGAUGUUAGCCAAGACUUGUUCUCAUUGUAUCCUCGGGUUCCCUUUGUUUUGUUUUGCGGACUGUUUUGGGUGGUUUCUUUUGGAAUGCCAAUUGCACGAGGUGAAUGCAUGAAUUUGUGGUCAAAUUCCUAUCAAGAUGGAGAGGAUGAUACAAGUACGAUCAUGCUCAUGGACACUUUUUGAGUAUUUUGAAGAACACCUAAAGAGUGCACAAGUACAAGUGUGAAGGAGGCCCAAAACCGUCCCAAACAUACUCCAUGAGCUAUUUUUGGAGCCCUUUUCAUUAAAGGGUCUUUUAGUCUUUUGUCUGUUGUUUUGUAAUAUAAUAUAAAUUGAACAUUAUAGGAUUUUAGUUGGUAGUUUUUAUGAAUGUUGAAGAAAGAACACUCCUCUUAGAGAGAGAGAGUCCACAACCGAAACUAGGGCAUAGCAUAAGAGUAGAUUCUCUUAUGUGUUGCAUUUUGCUUGAUUCGUUGGUGCUUGGGUGGUGGACGCCUCUCUUGUGUCAAUUGUAAAAGUUAGCUGUAUGUUGUGUGAAGUGUUAAAGGUCCAAGAGUAGAAUAUGCUCUUGGGUUGUUACGACUACAUCAACACUUGUCUAACUGUCUAUUUUGUAUCUUCUUUUAGUUUCGGCUUCUUGUGUUGUUAAUGUAACCCAUUUGUUCUUGUUGCUAUUGUAAUAUUGUGGAGCUUCAUCUUGUGUUGGUAAACUUGUUGUUGGCUGGCUGUUUUGGUGUAUUAACACCUUGUAUCUUCUUCUUUCUUGUUCUAGAUAAUGAAUCCGAGAGAGGUCCCAUUUGAUCUACGAUUUUUGUGAUUUGUGGACAAUUUUGGGGUGUGAUUUCGUGUUCCCUUGUUUGUUUUGUAUCAGUUUCUAUUUAUAACUAGGUUAACUUAUUACAAAUGACUAAAAAACUCUUGCAAAGGGCGGAUGAACAGUGAACGCGGAUGAACAGUGAAACAGUUUUGGAGCUUGUAGGACUUGUUUCUACACUUCAAAGCUUGUUCCUUGGAUGGGCAGCCCUCCGAGCUCAAGUCUUGACGCAUUGGACCCCGAUCAUUGAUCUUACCCGUAUCAUAGGCACAGAAGUGGACAAAGUCGAGGAGAACUCCUGGCAUUCUAUGAGUGGAUAGAUCGCAUACGCUGGACAGCCCUAGUGUCCAGUCUAGCUUGCACACACCUCGACUAAUUCCACUAAGUUCCUUCAACCUCCCACGAACGCGGGUACCAGAUAACUCUGUCCCCGAAGGCUUUGACAUAUAGGAAGAAAUCUCCUAGUGUUUUUUGCCUCUCACUUGGAUUUAGAACUAUACCUCAUGGUUCUCGACUCAUUUCAUUGACCACUGGGCCAUACCCUCGUAUGGGUGCCAAUGUUAUUUCGAUGGACUUAGAUUGAUGUGAGAGACCAGGAUGUUACAAUUGGAGCUGUUGACACUAACAGGUACUGCAUAUUUUUAAUGGAUCCGAGCAACAUAGGUUAUAAAAGAAGUGAAUCUAUAAGUACCAACCGGUACUACAAUAAAUACUUUCAAGGAGAAAAAUAUACUAAAUACACAUGAAUAUAAGUUUCAAACAACAAAUUAAUGAAGAAAGGGCAGGCCAGAGAACUAAAGCUACCGCUAUGCGCGGUGUCCGGGGAAGGGCCCCACCACAAGGGUGUAUCGUAUGCCGCCUUACCUUGCAUUUCUGCCAGAGGCUGUUUCCAAGGCUAGAAGCCGUGACAUGACAACAACUUUACCUGUUAUUCCAAGGCUCCCCUUCCAUGAAACAUAAAAGAAAUAACAAAUAAGUUCUAUUUAUGAUAAUAUAGAAUGGAAAAAAAGAGUUGACUUUAAAGAAAUGGGAUGACAACUCCAAUAAGUUGACCUUGGAUUUGUGUCUAUCAAGGAAAAUAUAAUAUUAUAACACCUGUUUUUUAACCUCUCCCCCUUGUAUUUUACCACAUAGUUACUGCCACAGGUAGAAAGCAUCUCGAGAGAAUCAUACAGGAAUAUAUGUAGAGGGAUCCUUUAACAAAUAUUAAACCAAUUAAACUAAAUCAUCAUCCAGUUCCCACAAUAAAAAUUGUUUCAUGAAGGAUAAAAAGUACACCACAACUUAGAAGACAUUACAACAUAAAUUCAUCGAAUCAAACUCCCAUAUUGGAUAGAAACCGAUUGAAUACUCUUGUUGCUCGUCCUCUCCUUGUCUUCUUUUUUCCAAAAGCUGCUCGAAGAAUCCAGGAUACUUAGUCGAGAUCAAGCCUUCUCACUCUAGCGUCUUGCUAUAACAAAGAAAUAUAAAUUAGAAAUAUAAAAUCUCCCAUUUACAAUCAAAUCAUGUCAAUUAAAGCAUAGAAAUAUCAAGAGGAAUUGUUUAAGUAUACAUUUUUACAUUAGUGAUAUAUAUGUUAGAGGAAUUGUUACAAAGAAAUCAACAAACUAGAAAAUAAAAUUGCAAAGAGAACACCUCGAAAUGUUAGUUCAUAUUAAAUUUUCUUUUUCACAAUUCAAUAAAAUUUACUCCACUAUAUCAAAAAUAAAUGUUAAUAAUACUUGUCCAUUUUGAAACCGAUGGAUAAUUUACCCAUUUUACCCUUAGCAUUAAAUACGAUUCAUUAUCCAAUGUGUUUUUCAAAGCAUUAGAUUUAGUAGAUUCAAAGGGUAAUAUGGUAAAACUAGCCCUAUCAUUUACUAUUUCUUAGUGGACAACUAUUGAUAGACGAAGGUAGUAACAAUUAGACCAAAUGUGCUCACAUUUAGAAAGCUUAAACUAAAGUACCAAAAUUGCUCAAAAAUAUAUUAAAGGGGACAUUUUGAACUUCCUUCAAAUAUAAGAGAUAUUCUUGUUAAUUUCUGUUACAUUUUAAGUAGAGUAUUAACCAAAUUUUGUCAAGGUUAUUUUUGUGUAAGAAUAUGGGGUAAAGCUAAAUAACUUUUGCGUAUGACUUGACUUGUGGAAAUGAGAAACAGAGUGUGACCCAGAUAAAUACUAUAUACUUACGUGGAUUGGAGAUACGAACAUCCACGGGGUUGUUUCCAAUGUCUUCUUGUUCUUGUUGAAUUCGUGCAGCAGAUUCCCCAAGUUCGGGAAGAUAACUUGUUAACUCAAUCAGUUGUAGUGUGUGUAUUUCUGCAAACUCAACGGGUAUCUCUUUUAAAUUAUGGCAUUUGUUAAGCACAAGGCGCUCAAGGAUAGGAAAAUUGUCAUUUGUGGCUUUCCAGUGUUAGCCCAUAUGUUAUUGGGCCUUUAGUUUAUGGACCUUUAGGUUAUUGGCUAUGUAUAUAUAUAGCCUACUUUUGUUUUAGUUAUUUUUCAUGCUUUUCAGAUUAUAUUGUAAACCUUAGCCUUUCUUUCUUUCAAUAAAGUUCUAUUAACAUGGUAUCAGAGCUAGUUUGAUCCAUGUCCUUUGAUUUGUUGGUUGAAGAUUUUGUAGCAGGCACCUACUGCGCGGAUCGAACUGUCAUUGUUCGUCUUUCGUUCUUUUGCUUGCUGCCAUUGUUGUUCGUUCGGAAUUGUUCAACCUAGGGUUUUGCAUCUUUUUGUUUUUUUGAAUUGUUUGUGUGUUGCUGUGUUUACAAUGACUGGAAAGGAUGAUUCUCUCCAGUCCAUUAGUACUCAAUUAGAUGGUAAGAACUAUGCCUAUUGGAGUUAUGUCAUGAAGAAUUUUCUUCGUGGGAAGAAUAUGUGGGGUUAUAUCACUGGAGUAAAACUAAGACCUAUCGAUGAUAAAACUGAAAAUUUUGAUUUGUUGGUGGACUUAUGGGAAACUAAUAACUCCAAGAUUAUCACUUGGAUCAACAAUUCUGUAACUCAGUCAAUUGGUAUGCAAUUGGCUAAGUAUGACACAGCAAAGGAGGUCUGGGAUCAUUUGGAAAGACUGUACACUCAGUCUAAUUUUGCUAAGCAGUACCAGUUGGAGUAUGAUAUCCGUGCUCUUCAACAGCAUGAUCUCAGUAUUCAAGAUUUUUAUGCUGCCAUGUCGGAUUUGUGGGAUCAAUUGGCACUUACUGAAUCUGCAGAGUUAAAAGGUUUUGGGCCGUACAUUGCUAGACGGGAAGAGCAACGCUUGGUUCAGUUUUUGAUGGCACUACGUUCUGACUUUGAGGGCCUACGUGGAACAAUCCUUCAUCGAUCUCCCCUCCCUACUGUUGAUUCUGUGGUUCAUGAACUGAUUGCAGAGGAGACUCGUAUCAAGUCUCAAGUGGAUAAAGGGUCUAAAGUAACUACUACUCCUGUCGUGUUUGCUGCUUCAACUGAUCAGUCUAGGCCACCACGUACUCAGACUCGACAAUCUCCUAAAGUUGCAUUUGAUGAGUGUGCAUUCUGCAAACAGAAAAAUCAUUGGAAGGCUCAGUGUCCGUUGUUACUUAACAAGGUCAAACAGCCUCAAUCUGGGCAGCAACAGAAAUAUGGGCAGCAAAAGUCUCCGUCACGCUCCUCUGGUGCUCCUCCAUGGUCAUCUCGUCCUCCACAGUUCGCUGCUGCUGCACCAUCUGUAGAUGUUGAGUCUGUUAGCACUAUGCCACCUUCUGCGUUGGAUCCCCAGGUUUUCGAACAGUUCAGACAGUUCUUCGUUUCUAAUCCUACGGCCAUGUCAGCAUCUAUGUCUCAUUCGGGUUCAGUUUCUUCUAGUACCUCAGGUAUUCCUUCCUCCUUGUGGAUAUUGGAUUCUGGUGCGUCUCAUCACAUGUCCCCUCAUUUGUCAUCGUUUGGUUCUUUGUCACCCAUUUCACCAAUCUCUGUUAUGUCCGCGAGUGCUGUACCUAUGUCAGUCGAGGGUGUUGGUUCUGUUACUACCCCUCACAUUGUCCUCUCUGAUGUUUAUUACAUUCCCAAACUUGCUUUAAAUCUUGUUUCGGUCAGUCAGUUGUGUAAGGCUGGUAAUUGGGUGUUUUUUUCUGAUUCUGUUUGUGUUAUACAGGACCAACACACUCAGAGGGUGAUUGGGACCGGCCGUAGGUUGGGGGAACUCUAUGUCUUGGAGAAUCUCAAAGUGUCUGUAGUUGCUGCCUCUAGCAUAGAUUUAUCUUCUUUUCGUUUGAGUCCUUUGUCUUCUCAGUUUUAUCUUUGGCAUUCCAGAUUAGGACAUGUGUCAGUUUCACGUUUACGUUUUUUGGUCUCUAGUGGUGCUUUGGGUCAUGUGAACACUAGUGAUAUUUCAGAUUGUAGUGGUUGUAAACUGGCAAAAUUUUCUGCCUUACCGUUUAAUAAAAGUGUGUCUUAUUCUGUUGCUCCUUUUGAUAUUAUUCAUUCUGAUGUAUGGGGACCAGCGCCAGUAUCCACUAAGGGUGGAUCGACCUAUUAUGUUUCGUUUAUAGAUGACUAUACUCGUUAUACCUGGGUGUAUCUUAUGAAACGCAGAUCUGAUUUCUUUGGCAUUUACAACAACUUUAGAGCCCUUGUUAAAACACAACAUUCGGCUGUGAUAAAGUGUUUCAGGUGUGACUUAGGGGGUGAAUAUACCUCUAAUGACUUCACUCAGUUACUUGCCUCUGAUGGUACCAUACACCAGUCAUCUUGUACCGACACUCCUGAGCAGAACGGUCUGGCAGAAAGAAAACAUCGUCAUAUUGUUGAGACAGCACGCUCUUUACUUUUGUCUGCAGAGGUUCCUAGUAUUUUUUGGGGAGAAGCAGUUCUAACUGCUGUAUAUGUGAUUAAUCGUAUUCCUACUGCAUUGACUUCAGGGAUGUCUCCGUUUGAGAAACUAUAUGGUCACCCGCCGAAUUAUUCUGCAUUACGAGUUUUUGGAUGUACUUGCUUUGUUCUUCGUCCUCAUGUUGAACGAAAUAAGUUAGGGUCAAAAUCAGCUAUAUGUGUGUUUUUGGGGUAUGGUAUUGGACAAAAAGGAUAUCGUUGCUAUGAUCCUGUAAGUCAGAAAUUAUAUGUUUCACGACAUGUCACUUUUUUGGAACAUAUUCCUUUUUAUUCCAUUCCAGCUAAAACCCAUGAUGUGACAAAGUCAGAUAUUCGGCUUAUUGAUCCCUUUGGGAUUGACAUAGAGGUUCCAGUUCCGGAUUCAUCCAUGCCAUCUGGUGUGCCACCUGAUAGUGCUUCAGCCUCGCCUGUGCCUGAGUCUGCUCCUUCGACUGUUGAGACUGGAGACCCACCACCUCUGAGGAGGUCUACUCGACCUUGUAAGUCCACCAAACUGCCAGAUUUUUACUAUUCUACAUAUUCAGCCUCAUUUGCUUCCUUUAUUGCAAACAUACAUCAUUUGUCUGAACCUGAGUCGUAUAGAGAGGCUGUGUCUGAUCCUCUUUGGCAGAAUGCUAUGGCUGAGGAACUUGCUGCUCUUCAUCAUACACAUACAUGGGAUUUGGUUACUCUCCCACCUGGUAAGCAUGCGAUUGGUUGUCGAUGGGUGUAUAAGAUAAAAACAAAAUCUGAUGGGUCUGUUGAGCGAUACAAGGCAAGACUUGUGGCAAAAGGGUACUCACAAAAAUAUGGUAUGGAUUAUGAGGAGACUUUUUCCCCCGUAGCAAAGAUGACGACUGUUCGCACUAUGAUUGCUGUUGCAUCCGUUCGACAGUGGCAGAUAUUUCAGAUGGAUGUCAAGAAUGCUUUUCUGAAUGGUGAUCUCCACGAGGAAGUUUAUAUGACUCCUCCCCCAGGUAUUGACCACCAGCCAGGUGAAGUUUGUCGGCUUCGAAAAGCUUUAUACGGUCUCAAACAAGCCCCUCGUGCUUGGUUUGAGAAAUUCUCCACUGUUAUUACUUCCCUUGGAUUUGUCCCGAGUAACCAUGAUUCAGCAUUGUUUGUUAGAUGUACAAGUGCAGGGCGAAUUCUAUUGUCCUUAUAUGUAGAUGAUAUGAUUAAUACUGGUGAUGAUCAUAGUGGUAUUGAGUUAUUGAAGCAUGAUUUGGCUCAUCGAUUUGCAAUGAAGGACUUGGGCUUGCUGCGUUAUUUUCUGGGUAUUGAGGUGGCUCAGUCUAAGAAAGGGUAUCUUCUUUCUCAGACUAAGUAUAUAUCUGACUUGUUUACACGGGCGCGUCUUUCUGACAACAGGACUGUAGAUACUCCCCUUGAAACCAAUGCACGUUACUCUCCUAGUGUAAGACUCAUGUAGCUUAUAAGUGGAGUCUUUUGUAAAAUGUUGUGAUGAUGAAUGAAUGAAAAGCUACUGCUCAAACCUUCCUUUUUUCUACUCUUAAGCUCCAAAUUAUAACAGUGGUAUCAGAGCCGAUCUUCUUGAGGCAUCUGUGAAGGCUUAAAGAUAAGUUUUUUUCAGAUCUUCUAAAAAAAAGAGACCUGAACAGCAGCAUGGCAUCCAACAGCUUCUUGGGUGCAGGUCCUCUUACGUUUACAGGAUAAAAUUAUCGCAUAUGGGUCAUAAAGAUGAAGGCUUAUCUUAAAGCUCUUAGUCUAUGGGAAGCAGUUGAAAGUGAAAAUGAUCCCCCUCCAUUGGGACCAAAUCCAACUGUUGCACAAAUGAAGAAUUAUGAAGAUGCAAAGUCCAAGAAACCAAAGGCUCUUACUUGUCUUCAUUCAGCACUUUUAGAUGUGAUUUUCACAAAAAUAAUGGCUUGUGAAACACCUAAAGAAGUAUGGGAGAAGCUAAAUGAGGAGUUUGAUGGAAGUGAAAGAGUGAAAUCUGUCAAACUCUUAACUCUCAAAAAAGAAUUUGAGAUGUUAAGGAUGAAAGAAGGAGAUACCGUGAAGGAGUACUCUGCCAAACUUCUGAAAAUUGUAAAAAAAAUAAGAUUAUUUGGUGAAACUUUUCCAGAUUCAAAGGUGGUGGAGAAGAUGAUGAUAAUAUUACCAUCAAGGUUCGAGUCCAAUAUUUCAGCAAUAGAGGAAUCUUGUGAUUUGAAGACUUUGUCUGUCGCAGAGCUGAUUAGCAAAUUGCAAGCCCAAGAACAAAGAACAAGUAUAAGAGAUGAAGAAGUAGAAGAAAUGGCAUUUCAAGCAAAGCACAAAGACAAGCAACCUGUGAAGGACAAUAGGAGAAUGGAAGGAGAUAAAGCGGCAAAGAAAAAGUCAUGGACUAAAUCUUCACAGAAAGGAAAGUUUCCACCUUGCCUCCACUGUAAAAGAACCAAUCAUCAAGAAAAGGAUUGUUGGUUCAAAGGAAAGCCAUCAAUUCAGUGCAGAUUUUGUAGAAAAAUGGGUCAUAUUGAGAAGAAUUCAGGGCAAAGAAGAAUCAGCCACAACAACAUGUUCAUGUUCAGCAGGAAAAUUUCACUGAAGAGUCAGAAAAGGAAGAAAGCUUGUGACGCUCAUGAAGAAAAAAAAUUCAACCAAUCCAAAUGGUUCCUAGAUAGUGGGUGCACGAGUCACAUGUCAUAUAAUGAGCUUAUGUUUCACACACUUGACAAGUCACUUAAAGCUAAAGUUAGGAUGGAAAUGGUGCAACAUUAGAAGCACAUGGAAAGGGUUCAGUUUCCUUUCAAACUAAACAAGGUACAAAGCUUAUACAUAAUGUGUUGUAUGUUUAUUCUUUAGCAUGUAAGCUGUUGAGUGUUGGCCAAAUGAUGUCUAAAGGCUACUCCUUACUUUUUAAGGGAAAGCAUUGUUUGAUCUUUGAUAUUGAUGAUACUUUGAUUGACAAAGUAGAAAUGGUAGAUAGGAUCUUUCCAGUUGAUGGAAAGUUUGAUAGUGCCAAUUUUUGUAAAAUUAGAUGAUUCAUGGCUAUGGCACAGAAGAUAUGGGAAUUUUAACUAUGCUACUUUAAAAUCUAUGUAUGAGAAGGGCUUGACUAAGGAUUUACCUGAGAUCUUAGUUUCUAUAGAAGUAUGUGGGUCAUGUCAGAUAGGAAAGGUUCACAGGAAAUCAUUUCCUAAAAGUGCUUCAUGGAGGGUAACUGAAAAGCUUGAACUUAUUCACACUGUAUGUGGACCUAUGAAGACAUCAUCCCUGGGUCAAAAUAAAUAUUUUCAGUUUUUCAUUGAUGACUUCACAAGGAUGACUUAGGUGUAUUUUGUCAGUAACAAAUCUCAAGUAUUUUCAGUUUUCAAGAAGUUUAAAGCUUCCGCUGAAAGACAGAGUGGCUACAAACUGAAGGCUUUAAGGUCAGACAAUGGAGGUGAAUAUACUUCAAAUGAGUUCAACAAGUAUUGUGAAGAUGCAGGGAUUAAUCACAAGCUGACAGUAAGUUAUUCACCAGAACAAAAUAGAGUCUCGGAGAGGAAAAACAGGACGGUAGUUGAAAUGGCUAGAUAUUUGGUGCUUGAAAAGAAACUACCACAAAAUUUUUGGGCAAAAGUUGUUUCUACUUCAGUUUAUUUGUUGAAUAGGCUUCCAACCAAAGCUAUGGAUGGUAAAACUCCUAUUGAGGUAUGGAAUGGAAAAAGGUCAUCUGCCAAUCACGUAAAAAUCUUUGGUUCAAUAUGCUAUUCUCAUGUUCCUUCAGUGAGAAGAAGCAAGCUUGAACUGAAAGGUGAAUUGGGGAUCUUUAUUGGUUAUUCAUUGCAAGCCAAAGGUUAUAGAGUUUUCAACUUGCAAACAAAAGGCAUUUCCAUCAGAACAGAUGUAGUGGUGGAUGAGUAUGCUUAUUGGAACUAGGAUAAGAAGCAAGUUGAAAAAGAAAAUGCAGAUUAUUUGAACUUGAAUCCGCUGCCUGAAAUACAACCAUUUGGCUCUGAAAAUCUAGAAGAAGCUGAAGAAUCAAACGGUGAAUCCUCACUUGAUUCGCCAAUUGUGAAGACAAGGUCCUUUCUGAGAUAUAUGAAAGAUGCAAUGUUUCAAUCAUGGAACCCAAUAUCUAUCAAGAAGCAUCAAAACAUGAAUUUUGAAUUGAAGCCAUGAAGGAGGAGAUUGGUAUCAUAGAGAAGAAUGACACUUGAAAGCUGGUUGAUAAGCCCAAGACAGAAAUGUAAUAGGUGUGAAAUGGGUUUAUAGAACCAAAAUUAAUCUAGAUGGUUCAGUUAAUAAACACAAAGCAAGGCUUAUUGUGAAAGGUUAUGUGCAAGUUGCAAGUCUGGAUUAUGGAGACACAUUUGAACCUGUUGUAAGACAUGAUACGAUACGACUUCUAUUUACUUUGGCAGCUCAAUCAAAUUGGAAGUUGUACCAUCUGGAUGUGAAGUCGGCAUUCUUAAAUGGACCAUUGCAGGAACAAAUUUAUGUCGACCAACCGGAAGGCUUUCAAGUUGGAGGAAUGGAAGAUAAAUUUUACAGACUACAUAAGGCGUUGUAUGGAUUAAAAUAGGCUCCUCAAGCAUAGUACAGUAUGAUGAUGAUGAUGAAUGAAUGAAAAGCUACUGCUGAAACCUUCCUUUUUUCUUCUCUUAAGCUCCAAAUUAUAACAACAGAUGGGAAAAUUGUGUGAAAGGUGUAAUAUCUAAGUCAUUUCUUUUUUCACGAUGUUAUUUACCAGAGCAUCGUUAGCAUGAUGGACAGCUCACAGAUCAUGAACGAAUAGUGAAUAUUGUAUAAUUAAUGUAACUAUGUAUCGUUGUAUAUAAGUGUAAUUAUAGAUAUUUGAUUUGGUAACCAAAGAGAAUAAAUAUUGUGAUAGAAUAGCUGCGGAUUUAGAGGGAUAGAAUAGUUGAUCUUUAGGGAUAGGAAAGACGGAUCUUUAGGGAUGUAAUCUUUGAAUACUUUCUAUUUAACGACAAGACUCUCAAUAUUGAGAAUCAUUCAGCAAAAAAUUGGCAUAGUUCGUCGACAAUCAGUCCUUAACUCCUAGGACUUUUGAUCUCGAUCAUUCCGGUUUUUUUUUUCAGUCAUAGUAUUUCUAGUUUUCGCAGCUAUUCAAGAAUAUGUCUUCACAUCAAUUUGAAUCAUUCAGUGUUCGUUUCACUGGAAAAAAUUAUUCAUACAGGGAAUUGCGAUUUCAAUUAUUUGGUACCGGAUAAGAACUAUGGCGCCAUAUAGAUGGAAUCGAUCCCUAUCCCGCUGAUCCUAAAAAGUUAGGUGAAUGGAUGAUUAAAGAUGCUCGGGUGAUGACAAAUCUCUCCUUUUCCCCGUGAACCAUCUAUCUUUUUGAAAAAUUAAAAGAAAAAAGAGACCUUUAGUCUUUGUAUUUGUAUUUGUUUAUUUGAGAGAUCAGCAAAGUUGGGUCAGUGGACACUUUUAGGAUGUGAUAAUGACCACUAAUCUCCUUUUGAUAAAGUCGAAAGAAGUCAAGUGGGAACUUCAGUUUAUUCUUUGUGUUCUUUAUCAAAUGCAUCUUUAUGCAUAAUCGAAAACCUUUUGAUGAAAAUCUUGCAGAAAUAAGUGCAACUAUACUUGUCUAACAGCCGGGCUGGCCUGUUUACAGCGCGGCCCAAGACAGCACGUAGACCGGUAAGGAGGCCGGGCCAGUUAUGAUAAAAGGAAGGGGAUUGUGAAACAAGCCAUACAACUUGAGUUGAUUAGUUCAUACAUAAAACUAACUUGAGCUGAUUAGUGGACACUUUUAGGAUUUUGAGAAAUUAAGAGAUAUGGAUUAUGCUGCUAUUACUUGUCUUAAGAGAACCAUACACCAACCAAUGGAAUUGACAGCAUGUGAUUUCCAACCAUUCUACAAAAAGCUUGAAACUUUGAGAGCUAUUCUGGAGAAACCAUGGAAAGCAACAGAUGAUCUCGAGGCAUCAACAAGUUUGGAAGCUGAAAUCACUGAUAUAGCAUACACAGCAGAAGAUAUGGUUGACUCAGAAUCAAGAAAUGUUUUUUUAGCACAAAGGCCACCAUUAAAAAGUAAUGGCAUGAAUGAGCCGAUUUUGUAACGGCAAUGGCAUGAAUGAGCCAAACUCGUAACUGAUCGCAUAAAUGAGCCAUUUUUGAUAGUUCAAUGGCAUAUUUGAGCCCUUUCCCUAUAUUUCCCAAGAAACAUUGCUUUUCUCAAAGUUCUUGAGAAAUAAUUCCAGGGAGUUCUUGAGAAAUAAUUCCAGGGAGCUAUCAUUUUCUUGAAAAGCGAGAAAUUCUUCUCUGUGUUCACUAAUUAGAGAUUUCACUGGCGAAUUGGAUGUCACAACCAAUUCCGUUGUUCUGUUCAGAGAAGUCAUGCUUGCAUGAGUCAUAUCUUUACUCUCGUGUUCCUUGUGCAGUUUUUACCAGAAAACUGCGAGUUUCAAGAACUCAGCAGUAUUGCUACAUAUAAUACCAGUUUCAAAUUCUAUUAACUCAAAAAAUAAAACUAACAACACAAAGUAAUAACCAAAUCAAUAACUGAAACCAUAAUCAAGUACAUCACCAAGUCAUAAGGGCAUUUAUUAAGAGUUCAAGUUGGGAUGUGGCUAGAAAUAAUGGAAUCAGAACAAUAACAUAAAGACUCCUAGACACCACAAAACUAACAGGUUGUCUCAUCGUAUAAAAUAAUCAUCAAACUCGAUCCACGUGGUCUGCUACUACUGGAGUUGAAUUUGUAAAGUUACAUAAAAAGAGAAGGGAAGAAGGGAAUUAGUACAACAUAACCUGUAAGUCUCAUAGACCAUCACCUAAAGGCCGUGGCAAGGCUUUAUGCAUUACAGAAAAUUAAUGUGUGCCACAAAUCCUUGGAAGCCACACGUCGCUUAAAACUGAUAAUUUAGUGGUAAUUUGCGAUAGAGGAACCGAAAUGAAAUCCUAAGAGUUCAAUCCUUCUGGCCUUGAACUCCUUUCCUAAUGUUCUUCUGAAUCAGAAUAACUCUCCCCGACUGAGAAGAAACAAAAAGGGUCAGUAGAAGUUCGACAAGUCACAUUAUUCAGAUGCAGAUUUAGAACAUGUUCAAUCAAACUCACAUCUUUCAACUCAACGUCAUGUGAGCACACACAUACAUUUUUUGGAGAGCUAAAUUGCUUAUAUUACAUCUUAACUAACAAUUAUUUACUAAUUCAAAAAAUGAGCUGCAAAUAUUGAUGUAUAAUUUUAUAGACUCUAUAUAAUAUUAUUUACUCUAUAAUCUUUUUGACAAUAUUAUAUGUGUUUUUUAAAAAAAAAAAAUUAAUUUCUAUAUGGGAUAUAGACACAACACGCUUCAUAGAGACUAUAAAACCAAAGAUAUACAUUUACAUUUAUGAAUAAACAUCGUGUGACGAACUAGCAUCAACAGUCUAUAACAGUAUCAAAUUGUUAAUCCAUUGUUUCCCUUCUCAAUAUAGGUUAGAGUAAAGCAUCUAGUACCCUCCUAAACUAUGACCAAAUUUUCUACAACAUACUCCCACUUCAUGGGGUCUCUAUUACCCCCGAACAAAAUUUUAGCAUAUUUUCACCAACCUUUUUAGCUGAUGUGGCACAUUUGAUCUAACACAUCUGCAUAUUCUUCUUCAUCGUCAUCAUCUGUAUGAUGUGAGUUGUGGAAAUGAGAAACAGUGUGUAACCUUGACAAAUAUAUACUUACCUUGAUAAAAUUAAUACAAAGUAUUUCACUUAUUGAUAUUAAAUUAUUUCAUAAAAGAGUUGAAUCCAAGUAAACCUCAUUUUACUAGAAUUUACACAAUCUAUACCUUAAAUUUUGUGAGCAAGGACAACAAAGAGAGCAAACAUCUACUCUUCAUUUUUCAUUUUAUUUUUAUUGUAAUUUAAUGGCAGGGCUGGACAUUAGCCCAUUUGUUUGUUCAACCCAUCUUAAACCGCCCAACUUCAGCCCAAACAACCCAGCUGCCACCCCUAUGAGUAAAAAUUAGAUCAAAUGUGCUCAAAUUUAUCAAUCUUAAAUGAAAGUACCAAAACUACUCAAAAAUAUAUUUAAGGGGCCGUCUUGAACUACGCUCAAAUAUAAGGGAUAUUCUUGUUAAUUUCUCUUAUUUCUGUGAAAGAAUAUGGGGCAAAGCUAAAUAACUUUUGUGUACGACUUGACUUGUGGAAAUGAAAAACAGAGUGACCUUGAUAAAUACUGUAUAUAUACUUACAUGGAUCAGAGAUACAAACAUCCACAGGGUUGUUUCCGAGGUCUUCUUGUUCUUUCUGAAUUCAUGCAGCAGAUUCCCCAAGUUUGGGAGGACACUUUCUUAACUCAAUCAGCUGUAGUGUGUGUAUUGUUGAGAAUUGAUUCAAAGCCUGUUUUGUUAAGUUACUACAUAGGAUACGUUUUACUGUUAGUUGAAUAAGUCUUUCACUAGAGUUGAAAGAGUCUUUGUUAGGUUGCUAUAUUUUCAGAUUCAGUUGCUACUUUUUCUGAUAUGGUUCCUAGUUUUUAGUCAAGUAGAGUCUUGGAUCUUUUAGAGUUUGUAAGCCUAUAAAAGGCAGAGAUUUCCAGUUAAUAAAAACGCUCUUCUAAAAGAUAUUUCCUUCAUCUUCUUUGCGCAACUCUUACUUUUCUAGUUGAACAACCUCUCUUUUCCUACAUUCUGGUAUCAGAGCUUGCGUUCGGUCUCUGACUGGGCGAUAAAGAGAUUAAGAAACAGUGAGGGAGUGAAAUACAAGAAAAAGAAAAGGAGUUAUGGCAGCAAAUGGUAUGUCCUCUUCUUCACAGCCGCUCAUACCCGUCUUCAAUGGUGAAAAGUAUGAGUUUUGGAGUAUCAAGAUGAAGACUUUGUUUAGGUCUCACGAAUUGUGGGACAUAGUCGAAGAUGGGUUCGUUGAUGUACAAGAGCCGGAUGCAGAAGAAGAAAGGAGAUUAAAUGAAAUCAGAAAGUUGAACGCCAAAGCUUUGUUCUUUAUUCAGCAAGCCGUUCAUGAGACAAUGUUCUCAAGAAUUGCAGCAGCUGCUACCUCAAGAGAUGCUUGGCUGACUUUGAAAACCGAGUUUCAAGGUUCCUCAAAGGUAAUCACUGUGAAACUACAAUCUCUUCGUCGUGAUUUUGAAACAUUGUUCAUGAAAAACAGUGAAUCUGUGCAAGAUUUUUUAUCAAGAGUUAGCGGAAUUGUAAGUCAAAUGAAAUCAUAUGGUGAAGAGGUAGGCGAUGAAAUUGUAGUUUCAAAAGUUUUAAGAAGUUUACCUUCGAAAUUUGAUCAUGUGGUUGCAGCCAUAGAGGAAUCAAAAGACUUAUCUGUGUUUUUAUUUGAUCAAUUAAUGGGUUCUUCGCAAUCUCAUGAAUCACGGAUCAAUAAGUCAACAGAGAGGACUGAAGAACAAGCUUUUCAAGUGAAGGAACAGCCUCAAAUUCAGAAUGAGAAGUCACUAGAACAAGGAGUACAAGGACGUGGCAGAGGAUCUUUUAGAGGCAGAGGGCGUGGUAGAGGUAGAAGCCAAUCCAAGUGGACAAAUAGCCGUAGAAAUGGAGUGCAAUGUUACAAUUGUCACAGGUUUGGCCAUAUAGAAGCUAACUGCUGGUACAAAAAUGAUCAAGCUGGUUAUGUUGAGGAAGAGGAAGAAGAAAGCAUGCUUUUCAUGGCUCGCUCUACCACCAUAGAUCAUAAGACUGAUGUUUGGUUUGUUGAUAGUGGCUGCUCCCAUCACAUGACUGGUGACAGAAAAGGGUUUAAAGAGUUAGAUGAGACCAAAAAGAGGCGAAUUUGGCUUGGAGAUAAUAAGGAAAUUCAAGUCGAAGGUGAAGGUAUUGUUGCUGUCCAAACUAGUCAAGGUAAAGUGAAACUUAUUCAAAAUGUUUUAUUUGCUCCUAGUUUGGCACAUAACUUGCUAAGUGUUGGGCAAUUGUUGAAUAGUGGAUUCUCUGUCUUGUUUGAUGAUAGCUCAUGUGUUAUUAAGAAUAAAAAUUCAGGUCAAAUCUUAGCAAGUAUUCGUAUGACAGAGAAUAAAAUGUUUCCACUUGAAGUUUCAAAAGUCGAACAAGCCCUUGUUGUUAGUGAGAAAAAUCUUGAAGAGUCUAAGUUGUGGCAUUUGCGUUAUGGACACUUGAAUAUGAGUGGAUUGAGAUUGCUUAGUCAAAAUAAGAUGGUUCAUGGUUUGCCAAAUAUAGGACCUGUUGAAAAUGUAUGUGAAGGUUGUAUAUAUGGCAAGCAACAUAGAAAAUCUUUUCCUGUUGGAAGAUCUUUCAGAGCUACUAGUUGUCUUGAAAUUGUUCACGCAGAUUUAUGUGGUCCUAUGAACACAGAAUCACUUGCUGGUUCUCGAUAUUUUCUGUUAUUAACUGAUGAUUACAGUCGGAUGAGUUGGGUAUAUUUUUUGAAACUCAAAUCAGAAACUUUUGCAAGCUUCAAAAAAUUCAAGGCGCUGGUGGAAAACCAAGUCGGUAACAAAGUUAGGGUUCUUCGUACCGACAGAGGAGGUGAAUUCUUGUCCCAAGAAUUUAAGGUGUUUUGUGAAGAAAAUGGCAUUCACAGGGAAUUAACUGCACCUUAUACUCCGGAGCAAAAUGGGAUUGCUGAGCGGAAGAACCGAACUGUAAUGGAGAUGGCUAGGAGCAUGUUGAAGAGUAAGGAUCUUCCAAAUCAGUUUUGGGCUGAAGCUGUUCAUACUGCAGUUUAUCUGCUAAACAUUUCUCCGACAAAAGCAGUUAUGGGUCGAACACCUUUUGAAAUCUGUAAAGGUAGAAAGCCAUGGGUAAGUCAUUUGAGAAUUUUCGGUUGUAUUGCAUAUGCUUUGAUAAAUUCUCAACAUCAUAAAAAGCUUGAUGAAAAAUCUGAAAAAUGCAUUUUCUUUGGAUAUUGCUCUGAAUCCAAAGCUUUUAGAUUGUAUAAUCCCACAAAUGGUAAAGUGAUUAUUAGAAGAGAUGUUGUAUUUGAUGAGAACGCCUGCUGGAAAUGGGAAAGCAACAAUCAAAGCUCACAAGUUGCAGUGGGAAAUGAAGCCGUUCCUGGUGAAGCAGUAAGUCAACCUCUUGCUGAUACACCAAGCCACUCUUCAGGAAAUUCCAGCAACAUCAGUCCAAGUGGUAGCAGCCCAACAUUGAUGGUGCCUGACUCAGAAGAUUCUGAUGAAACUCCUCCACAGAAGUUUAGGUCGCUGUCAGAUAUUUAUGAAACAUGUACCUUUGCUUUAUUUGGUGCAGAUCCAGCUAGUUUUAAGGAAGCUUCAACAAAAAUGGAAUGGAGGUGUGCAAUGGAAGAAGAGCUUAUGGCAAUAAGAAAGAAUGGGACAUGGGACUUGGUGGACCUUCCAGAUGGAAAAAAUGUUAUCGGAUUAAAAUGGGUGUUCAAGACAAAAUACCAUGUUGACGGGACCGUGCAGAAACACAAAGCCAGAUUGGUCGCAAAAGGAUAUUCGCAGCAACAAGGUAUUGACUUUGACGAGACUUUCUCUCCAGUUGCUCGCUUUGAAACAAUAAGAAUCGUUUUAGCUUUGGCUGUACAAUUAAAAUGGAAGGUUUAUCAAUUUGAUGUUAAGUCUGCAUUCCUUAAUGGCGAUUUGGAAGAAGAAGUGUAUGUGACACAACCAGAUGGCUAUGUGGAGAAAGGAAAGGAGAACAAAGUAUACAAGUUGAAGAAAGCACUCUAUGGGCUAAAACAAGCUCCUCGCGCUUGGUAUAGCAAAAUCGACUCACAUUUCAGAGAAAAUGGAUUUGAAAGAAGUAAGAAUGAACCAACUUUAUAUGUGAAAAAAUAUGGAAAAAAUGAUCUUUUGAUGGUGUGUUUGUAUGUUGAUGAUAUGAUCUAUAUGGGCUCAUCUCACUCUCUUGUAUGUGAUUUCAAAUCUUCUAUGAUGAAAAAAUUUGAAAUGACUGAUUUGGGAGUGUUGCACUAUUUUCUUGGACUUGAAGUGAAGCAGGAAGAAGAUGGAAUUUUCAUUUCACAAAGGAAGUAUGCCAUUGAUCUUCUCAAAAGAUUUAAUUUGCUUAAUUGCAAAACAGUGGCUACUCCUAUGAAUGUAAAUGAGAAGCUGCAACUUGAUGAUGAUAUUGAAAAAGCUGAUGGAAGUUAUUUUAGAAGCUUAGUUGGAGGCUUAAUUUAUUUGACGCACACUCGUCCUGAUAUAUCAUUUUCUGUUGGAAUGAUUUCAAGGUUUAUGCAUAGGCCUUCAAAGCAUCAUCUUGGAGCAGCUAAAAGAGUCUUGCGCUAUGUUGCUGGAACUACAGGAUUUGGACUAUGGUACUUUCGAAGUUCCAAUUUUAAUCUCUAUGGUUAUUCAGAUAGUGAUUAUGGGAGAUGUUUGGAUGAUAGAAAGAGUGUUUCCGGGAACCUUUUCACUCUUGGUUCUGCAGCUAUUACUUGGAGCUCAAAGAAACAACCAACAGCAGCGUUGUCUACUUCCGAGGCUGAAUAUGUCGCAGCAGCAUCUUCAACAUGCCAAGCAUUGUGGCUCAGGAAAAUACUUGCUGAUCUUCACCAAGAACAAAAGGGGGCAACAAAAAUUUUCUGUGAUAAUCUAUCAGCAAUUGCAAUGGCUAAAAAUCCUGUUUGUCACGGAAGAUCGAAGCACAUAGAUAUUCGGCACCAUUUCAUCCGUGAACUUGUUGCAGAAGGGCUGAUUGAGUUGAAGAGUUGUAGCACCGAAGAACAAGUGGCAGAUAUUCUUACUAAAGCACUUCCUCCAGCAAAGCACAAUUACUUUAUGUUACGCCUCGGCAUAUGUGAUUUUGAAUCAAGGGGGAGUGUUGAGAAUUGAUUCAAAGCCUGUUUUGUUAAGUUACUGCAUAGGAUACGUUUUACUGUUAGUUGAAUAAGUCUUUCACUAGAGUUGAAAGAGUCUUUGUUAGGUUGCUAUAUUUUUGGAUUCAGUUGCUACUUUUUCUGAUAUGGUUCCUAGUUUUUAGUCAAGUAGAGUCUUGGAUCUUUUAGAGUUUGUAAGCCUAUAAAAGGCAGAGAUUUCCAGUUAAUAAAAACGCUCUUCUAAAAGAUAUUUCCUUCAUCUUCUUUGCGCAACUCUUACUUUUCUAGUUGAACAACCUCUCUUUUCCUACAUGUAUAUCUGCAAACUCAAUGGGUAUCUCUUUCAAGUUUUGGCAACUUCUAAUCAUGAGGCGCUCAAGGCCAGGAAAAUUGUCGUUUGUGGCUUUCUAGUACUUGAGAUAAUUACCUUCAAUUAGCAAAAACUUCAAUUUAUUAAAUCCCCUAACAAUUGGAUGCCAUUCUUUGCCACCACAAGCGUCAUCCAUCAGCUUGAGCACCUCAAGGUUAGGCAAUUCAGCAAUGAUAUCCAAGUACGACCAACUUAGCGAAGUUCUUUCCAACUUCAGCUUCUUGAACGUUGCAGGAAAAGCUCUUGCACUUUCUGGAAAAAGCUUAGAGCACCACAUAAAACUCAAAGUUUCAAGUUGCUGCAGAUGGACAAGAUUAUUGAGAAUCCCAGAGUCCCGAAUACUAUUAAUUUCAGUCUCAUAUCCACUGAUUCCUAAUUCUUUGACAUUCUGAAUCCCCAUAAUAACCUCCUUCUUGCAACAAAGUGGAGACAAGUAAGAAAUAGUUUGUAAGUUUGACAAAUCCAAGUGCCUUCCCUUGUCAACAGAUCGACUUGGGCAAUUUGGAAAAUAUAAUCUGGGCAGUUGAAGAUGCCUUCCUUUGUCAGCAGAUUUUGUUGGGCAAUCUGGCAAAAAAUAUACUCUGGGUCGUUUAGGAUGCCUUCCUUUGUCGGCAGAUCCACUUGGGCAAUCUGGCAAAUAAAAUGCUGGCAGUUUGAGAUGCCUUAAUUGCAUUAGUCCCCAAAUUUCCUCAGGAACAGUUAUUUUAACUAAUGGACUAAGCCCUUGAACAAUGAAUGUCUGCAGAUUCCAUAACCUGCAAAUUUCUCGAGGUCUGUCUAAACACACAUGGCAGAGCAAUGAUAGGUACCUCAACCAGAUGAGGCUUCCUAUCUGUACAGGGAAAUUACCAAUCCCCAAGUGUCUCAACUCCAAGACUUUGAGUAAUUUGAAAUGAAUAAGCUCUGAUUUCAGAAAUGGAGGAAAAAAUGAACCCUUAAGAUGAAAAGAGAAAAUAGAAUGGGUUCGUUUCAAAAGAUCGUUGUUGUCAUGAUCUCUCAACUGACGAUGUACAGGGGUAAGAAGUGCCCUAUAAAGACCAUUGGGACAGUAAAAAAAUUCAUCACCAGUCACCCAUUUAAAGGGCCGCAUUUUUUGCAUACUGAGAGGUCCCCAUACUGAAUCUGAUUGGUCAAGCACAAUGUCGUUCAUGAUAAAAAUGUUCUCCCUUUGAAUUUCUCUUACGCACAGGUCAUAUAUUAGAUCAUGAACCUUACAUGAUCUAAUUUUUGUUCCAUCUAUACUUUUCUUGCAGACGAGAACAAGACAUCUAUCGACAAGCUCUUGCAAACACUUCUCAGCCUCUCCUUCCAAAUCAUUUUCCAACUUUAGGAACCCCUCAGCAAACUAUGAUCUCUUCAAAUUCUUCACUGGUAUCUCACUGUCUUCUGGAAAUAUUCCGAAAUGCAGAAGACAUGCUUUUAGAUCGCUAGUCAAGUGAUUGUAACUCAACCCAAGCACACGUGAACAUCGUUCAUCAGGAUCAUUCAUGACAAAUGACUUCACAUCUUUAGCAACACUUUCCCAAUCUUCUAUUGCCCUUUUAGAUUUGAGAAGUCCAUCAACCACGACAAUAGUUAGUGGUAACCCGUGACAUUCAUCUGCGAUUUGCUUCCCAACAGCCUCAAACCCAUAUGGUAAUGCUUCACUUGAAAAUGCUGCACUUUUUAAAAGACUCCAACUCUCAUCCGGGCCCAUUAAAUCCAUCUGCAAAGAAAGAUUCUCUGUAUCAGCAUAACAGGCUACUUCGUUAUUACGGGUAGUCAACAGUAUUCGACUCCCUACAUUGUCUUCAGUUGGAAAGCAUCGUAUCACGCUAUCCCACACUUCACAACUCCAGAUAUCAUCCAAGACAAUUAAGUACCUCUUUCUCUUCAAACUUUUUUGCAGCAUGUCUGCUAGCUCUGCUUCACCUUUCAUCCUAACUGAGUCAUCCAUUUUGAUCGUCGAUUGCAGCAGGCACAGCAAAAUUUCCUUUCUGUUGUGCUGUUGAGAUACAGUAGCCCAGGAACGAAUAUCAAAACGGCAUAGAACUGAUUUAUUAUCGUAAACUUCUUUUGCUAAGGUUGUUUUACCUAUGCCUCCCAUCCCGACAAUCGGGAUGACUUUGGGUUCAUCAGAGUAGCUUGUAGUCAGAUCAUUUAACAACCGUUCCCUUUGAUCAUCACGUCCAACUGUUAUCUCCUCAACAGUUGUGUAUUCCUUUGAUGUUUUGUUGAACCAUUGAAAAAUAUUGAACCACUGGAAAAUCAUGAAGCACUGAAAAUUCAUCACCUUCCUUUUAUCUUGAAUCUUUGUUGACUUUUUCCAGAUACGAUCAAUAUCCUUUGCUGCUUGUUGAAGGCUAUCAGAAAGCCUCUCACGUGUCUUUUCAUCAUUUGCCAAUACAACUUCAGUUACUCUUAGUUGAAUUGUGUGUUCAGCAAUAUUUGCAACUUCUUUUAUCUCUACUUCCAAAUCUGCAAUUUGCCCAGAAACAUUGUUUUUCUCAAAGUUCUUGACAACUACUUCCAGGGAACUAAUCUUUUCACGAAGAGCACGAAAUUCUUUUCUGUGAUCACAGGUUAGAGAUUGCAUCAGCGAAUUGGAUGUCAAGAGCGAUUCUAUUGUUCUCGUUAGAGAAGCAACACUUGCAUGAGCCAUAUCUACUGUAUCUCGUUUUUGUCCUUUCUGACUAUGACCUGAAACCUACAAGGUAGCAACAGGUCAAUGGUAUUACAAAAAACAAGAUAGGCAAAUUUACUAAGAUUUGGUGAUUUAUUAGUCUUUGCUAUUCGCAAAUUCUAAAUUACUUUUGAUCAUGUAAUUUAUUAUUCUUCGGUUUGAACCUUCCUUCAUAUGUGUAUAGCCCCGAACCCAAUAGUUUAUAUCUAUAUAUUAUUAAUAAGAGAGGACAAAGCCUCCACAUAAAGCCACGUGGCAGCAUGAUAAAUUACCAUGUGGUGUUUUAGGACAACAAGUAGUUAAAUUAGUUAUUAGUUGUGUAUUUUUGAAUUUUACUUUUUAAAUUUUAUUAGAAAACUCAAAUUUUGAUAAUUAGUUAAUUAAUAUUGUAGUUUUUAAAAUAUAUAACUAUACUUAAAUUACUUUGAUACAAAUAUUAUUUAGUUAAGAAACUCCCAUUUAUUUCUUUAUUUUUAUAAUUUUUAAUCUCGAUAAUCCCUUUUAGAUUUUAGUUUUUAUAAAACAAAAUUUAAUAUUUAAUAAUCUAUCUAAUAAGAUUAUUAUAAUUGACUAGUUACCAACUUCAAAAAUAACUCUCUUUAACUUCCUUUUCCACUUUAAUGUUCUCCACAAAAAAGAUGUCUCUAUAUGCACCAUACUACCCAAAUCACUGUUUGGCUUCUGACACUUCCAGAUUCAACCAGAUCAAGUUCUUAGUAGAAAGUGGUUUACUCGAAUUUCAGUGACGACUCACAAUUAGUGGCUUGAUUGUGAUGUAAGAAAUGGAUUUUUGAUGUUCCUAAUUCUCUUCUUUCUCUGUAUUGAUUGCUUUCAGUGAUAAGAAAUGAUCAAAUUUGCAGUAUUAUAUUGUUAAAUAUUUUUCCUACUUUUUUACAUACCGUUCAAAUUUGAUUCCAUUCUUUGUUUUCUUUGGAUUCUGUAGAUUUAAUCAAUUCCAUUGAGCAAUAGAGAAGAGGUAGUGAAGAUGCCUUAUCCCCAAAGACUUCAAGAGUAUUUGUUUAAUUUGAAGAUUUCAAAUAACGAAGACCUUGACUAAUUAAACCCUUAUCCAAUGGAUUUUUUAAAUUAACUACAAAUUAGAUAAGAUGAUGACUGAGGCAAAGAACAAAUAUGUUCAAGUGAAUGGUUUACAUAUCAAAGUGUUUUUGGUAGUCUUCCUUUGUUUGUGUUUAGAUAUGUCUCUGGUGCAAUACCUAAUCUUUUUCGUACAAACGUUUUUUUUUACUCAAUUUUUUUAUAAUGUCUUAAGAAAAAGAUCCCAAAAAGUGCAAACUUAUUUUCGGUGGUAUGAAAUUCUGCUACAAAGAGAUCAAGUUUCAUAUGACCUGAUAGAUUGUUUUUUAUCUAAAUUCUCUGUCAAGUAAUUUAGAUUCUGAUUUUUUCAUAAUUUUGCUUCAAGUCUUAUCGAUUUCUUAAUUGUAUUAUAACUACAUUAAGCAAGUUGUUUAUUGGCCACUUCAUAUGUUAAAUAUUAACUAUUCUCAUGUGAUUCAUAAUAAGUGUUCGCUUAUAGACGAUUGUGUAUUUGUUGUUUCUUAACUUUCUUUUAUUUGUACAUUUUCCAGUGUUAAACAUAAGAGACUUCCAAAAUGCAACUUUUCACUUUUGCAGUCAACAACAACAACAACAUAUCCAUUAUAAAUUCAUCAAGUGGAGUUUGGAACGGGUGGAUUUUAUGCAGAAAUGACGAUUUGAUUAAGAAAAAUUUAACUACUUGGAGAAAUAUCGAAUGCUGUAUAGAGGAGGUAGUAUCAAAAUUGAUUGUUCUAUAAGAACCAUUAACGGUGUCUUUGGCGAUUCGCAAAGGCAAGACACACCGAGUUUAAUCUUCUGGUACAUAUUUCACUAUCUCUUUUAUUUUAUCGAAAUUAUUUACUAAACAACUUUUGACAGUUUAAUUGGUAAUUUUGUAUUCCUUUUAUUUUGAUUAUGUUUGCAUAUCUUAUUCGUUAAUUUUUGGGAAUAAUGUGGUCUUGCUCUGUCAAAUUUUGCAUUUGGGGUUUCUCUGUUUAUCAGUACAUUGAUUUUUCAGUUAAAGUUGUUGUCAUGUGACCGGAAGGUCAAGGAUUUAAGCCUUUGAAAUAUAUUUGGCAGAAAUGCAAGAGAAGGUUGCGUACAUUACACCCUUGUGGUGGGGCUUUUCCCCUGACCAUGCGAAUAGCGGGAACUUUAGUGCACAGGGCUGCCUUUUUUUCCGGUUAGAUGUUGUUAGCAGACCAAUUGUUAAUUUCUGAAAUGUUUGCAGAUCUGCAUGUCCUGAGCCUUAUCGGGAACUAAGCAUAAUUUUGUGAUGAUUCAUCCUAAAAUUUCUCAUGGGUUUCUUCUCUUCCUGCUUCAUGCUCCUAUUUGGAAACCUCAAAAUCGGUGCUUAAAUGUUUUCUUUUAUAAGUUUAAUUUGCAUUUUCUUUUUCUUUUUCAAUUUCAGGGUGGAGAGUCUAGCAAAAUGUGUGGCACUACUGAAUUUUCACAUGCAUUUCACUUAGGUAUUGCCACUCACUUCAUUUAUAGGAUAGGGCACUUUUCAUCUUUUGCCAUCUUUAACUUGGUAUAGGAAGAUUUUUAUGAUUAUUCAUUCUAUUUAAUUCUUAUCUAAGCAAACUUUUCUCUAAGAAAAAAAAUCUUAUGUUGAUAAGUUAGUUGAUUUUCUUACAUAUCUCUCGAACAACACAUGCUACACACUACUGCUAUAAAUAUAUUGUUUUAUCUACUGCAUCGGCAAGUCAAUGAUAUAUGUGAAUUGUCUAGAGCACACAAGUUACAUGGUUAAAUAUUGCAGAUAUAGAAGAUAAUGAGAGAUCUGACAUAAGGAAGAUUGAACAUCAAAUUUAUGUUUCGUCUUUAAGAUUGAAUAAACAUUAGUCCGAAAAAAACUUCUUAUUGCGUGAAAUGAAUUGUGCAGUGUUCUCUGCAACUUAUCUUUAGCAAUGUUGUAUGUGUAUCUUUAUCCUCAAGUAACUUUAUUUCUUGAUAGUUGGAUGUGAGUGAAAUUCAUGAAGCUUAGUUUCUGGAUGACCUUUGUGAUCUCUAUUGCAAUGCUGCUGAUUUUGAUGGCUAUACUAUUAUUCUUGCAGGUCCAUAUGGUGAUUAAUUGAGGUAUUACUUGAUGACCUUUGUGAUCUCUAUUGCAAUUCUGCUGAUCUUGAUGGCUAUACUAUUAUUCUUGCAGGUCCAUAUGGUGAUUAAUUGAGGUAUUACUUGAAUUUUUAAAAAUUAUUUUUCAAGAUUGCAAUUUUUUCCAUUGACAAACUUUACGGUCAAAAAAAUAAUAUAGUAGCCAUGACAUAAAUUGUUAUAAUAAGAAAUGAAUCACCGUCGAGUACCACCAUUCAUUUCCAGUUUCAUUUCAAUAGAGUUUACCCGCAACCAUUGAGAACCACCAGAUCUCCAUCCAUAAGCCUCUAGAGCUUCGCCGAAUCAAAUCGACAAACACCCAUUUGAUAUUGAAUAAAUGAUUAAAUGUUGCAAAUGUGUUUUGGUGCAAGAGUUAAGAUUCUGUUUGAGUUUUUUAGUCCAUUUUCCAGGUACCAGUCGAUACAUUGAGUCCCCUGGUCUUCAAGAAUUACAAAUUAUGAUUGGAAGGUCCAUUUCUUUCUCACUGAUAUCUUGCUUUAAAGAUUUUCUCUAUAGUGUUCUUUUGCUGUUGAUUUGAGUAUGUGAUUUUUGCGGUCUUAUAUAUAAAGCAUAAAAUUGGUGGUUAUGUUGGGUUUCAAUAUGAAUUCUCUAUAUAUGAUAAGAUCAAUUCUGAAUUUUUGUGAUCAAAGAAAAUGGAAAAGUCACAUAGGUUUAUCAUGGGACGUUAUAGAUUUAUCAGCACGAAGAUUCCUUUAGUCGAUUUGGUAAAAUUAUCCAUUAUCGGGUUUGUACUUUUUCAUAAUCCAGUUUUAAUUGCAAUUUAUGCAAAUUCCUUUAAUUUUAAGUACCCAAUAUGUAUGCAUGUAUCAAUGUGUAUUAAAUGCAUCCUUCAAACUUCUGUCACUGAUUAUCAGUGUGAGUUACAUUCUUUCACUUUCAUAUGGACUAAUGGAGAAUCAAGCGGAAGACUUAUCUAAGACGCCAUAAGCCUGAGUAACAGCAGAGCGACGAAGUUUUUUGUUAUAUUUUGUCCUUGAAUUUCUGUUUUAUUCUCAUUCUCGAAAUUGGGAUCUUGCAUUUGUCUUUUUGUAUGUUUGAUUUGCUGUUGCUUUCAAAUUCGAUCUUAUAUCUCAUGAUUGUCAGCUUAAGUGGAAAUUCUAUCUUAAUUUUUUCACCGCAUAUAAUUUGGCAGUAAAUAGUUAAAGCCUUCGAUGGCUCAGUAGGUUGUAUAUUGAAGUCAAAAUAUAGGGACACACUUAGGAAAGUUCACUACACUAGGUAUAUGUGAAAGCAUUACUACUGGAAACCCUGUUUUUGAGAUAGCAUACAUGUGUUCUCUAACAAAAGAUUAAAGAUCUAGGAAAGAUGACAAUUUAAGAAACUUUCUAUUGCAUAUGAAUCAAGUAUCGGAAAAUAGCAGGAAGUUCAAAGGCUACAAGCUAGGUAUGAUGGUUAUGGCGCUCUAUGCUAUGAUCCCAGAUUUGUGGGUGGUGAUGGCUUGAUGUUGUACUUCCAUGGAGCAAAGGAAACUGACUUUGCUAUUUUCUCAGAUGACAACCUCCACAUUAAUGCACAUCUAAUUGGUACACAACCACAGGGAAGGAGGUGCGACUUUACAUGGGUUCAAACAUUUUCAGGCACGUUUGACACCCAUACAUUAGUUCUAGGAGCAAAGUGUUAAACUGGGAUGAAAAUGUUCAUGCUUUUACUGUACAGUGGAAUGGUGAGACAGUUGAUGUCCCGACGGAUGGAGAUACAGAAUAGUGUGUUUAACACUGCUGAGAGAUUAGUAGUGGUCAAGAGGACAGAUGAUCUUAACAUCACGAAGGUCACAGUUUCCACACUAUUGCAAUUGAAUGUAAAGUUUGUCCUCAUUGGUGAGAGAAAACAAAGGUUCACAACUAUCAGUUACCAGCAUAUGUUACUUUUGCUCAUCUAGAGACACAAUUUAAGUUUUUAAAUCUAUUUAAAGAAGAUGGCAAGUUAUGUUUAAUUUGAGUGCAAAGGUUAUAUUGUUAUACUAAAGAUAAGUUGUGACCUCUAAACUAAAAAUAAUAGGAAUUCAAUAUGAUCAAAUAAAGAAGAUUAUAAUUUUUUAAUAUUGUCCGCACAUCGUGCGGGCACACAUACUAGUUUAUUUUAUAAGUGUGAGGAUCAACUCUUUAGUAUGGAACAUCAUUUUAAAUGGAAGAAUACAUAAGUUGUAAUUUUAAGAUAAAAAGUUACUAAAAGAUGAUUACUUAGAUAUAUACCUUUAUUGUACUUCAAAAAAAAGUAAAGAAUCUAGAACCUCCUUGAAUUAUGACCAAAUUUGCUAUUACACCAAUUUCACGUAGGUCCUAUUACCUCUAAACUAAAUUUUAGUGUAUUUUUGUUAUUCAUUUUAGCUAACGUGGCAUCUUUUGUAAACUUUUGUAGCUGACAUGGCACCUUUGACGUGAGCCCCAUUUCAUGUAAUAAAGGUGUCACGUCAAUAGAAAAGGGUGAUAAAAGUAUGCUAAAAUUGAAUUCAGGGAGUAAUAUUGGAGUAUGUCGUAGCAACUUUAUUGUCAUGUUCUUUUUUUGACUGUUAUGUGCUGCUUUCUCUAUUAUUUAUCGUGUUUUAUUCACUAUCAUUUUUCCUUUUUUAAUAACUAAUUUGAUUUAUUGCAUUUGAGGAAAGUCCUUCAAAAACAAUCUCUACCUCCAUGAGGUAGAAAUAAGAUCUCACUUAUGAAAUUAUGUAAAAAUAUACCUCAUUGUAUAUAUUAAAAAAGGACCUUACCAAUUUGUUUUUGAUGCAAGAGAGACCAAGAAGAAAUGGAAACAUACACCAAAAACAGUCCACAAGUCAAGAAACCCGAGGACUCCUUUGAUGACCACACUCGGAUUCGCUACUUGAACAAGAAUGAGAUAAUAUCAAGGUGUUUUUUUGCUUGUUAUUACUUGAAUUAAUUUUUCCAUUUACAAUGAUGUUCAACACAAUAUGGUGAAGAAUAUAACAAUAACAACAAUACACGAUUACAAUGACAAGAACCAAACGGAUUACACUAGAAUAAGAACCAACGAUUACAAAGAAAAGUAAUGAUAGGAAGAUAGACAAAUGAAGAUGUAAUUUUAAGAACCAAAGAAAAUAUUCCACUCUUGGACCCUUAAGCCCACACACUAAAAUCACCUAUAGCUUACAAUGACACAAGAGAGGCGUCCACCACCCAAGCACUAAUGUAUCAAGCAAAAUGCAACACGCAAGUGAUUCCACCCUUGUGCUAUGCCCUAGUUUCGGAUUAGGACUCUUCUUUCUAAGAGAAGUGUUCUCUCAAUAACAAGCAUAAACCAAUGUUAAUAAACCCUACAAUGUUCUAUAUAUACAACAUUACAAAUAAAAGAGAAAUGACAAAAGGGCCCUUUAAUAGAGGGCUCCACUUGGGUUUGUGCACUCUUUAAAUGGUCUUCAAAAUGCUCAAAAAAUGUCCAUGGUCGUGAUGAUACUUGUAUAAUCCUCUCCAACUUGAGAGGAAUAUUACCACAAAUUCAUAGGCUAACCUCUUUUACAAAAGCACUUCACAAUCUCCUUCUUGCGGCCACACAUCUUGUCCAUACUCUUCAUUUUACACUUCAGUUUCUUCAUGCUCUCCAUCUUGCGGUUUGACAUCAUUCUUAACCGAUUCACUGCCCACCUCUACUCCAAGAUAGUACAAUCUAUCCUCCCUUGGGAUUAUAUUUCUCUGAUUUGGGCACUCACUAGCCUUGUGCCCCCACCCUUGACACUUGAAGCAUUGAAACUCCUUGGGAUUGGAAGUAGAAUUCAAUUUACCUUCAUACCUUGAAGAAUAUUUUUGGACAACCUUGGUGGCCUCGGGGCAGCCAUGAAUGAGUUAUCUUUGAGCUCCCUCUCAACCUCUGAAGCUGCAUGGAAAAUUCCAUCCAUGGUGUUGAAUUUGUGAAGCAUCAUGCGAGUGAAGAUGUCCUUGUUCACAAUGUCAUGACUUACUUGCUCGCCUCGGUGGUCAAGUUUCAACAUCAAUUGUUGAAAUUCAUCGUAGUAAGCCAUGACACUUUUGCUCCCUUGCCUUAAAUUGUACAAUUUUUCAAGGAGCUCAUGCCUAUAAGCCUCGGGAAAGUACCUUUGUUGUAUAAGGUUCUUCAACUAAAACCAAGGAAGAGGUUGUCCCCCGUUCAUCUCAUUUCCAAACCAUUUAACAUACUCCCACCACGUAUUAGCAUACCCUUCAAAGUUAGCUAUCUCAUAGCAAUUCUUCUUUUCCUCGAUGAUAUCAUUAAGUUGGAAUAUCUUGUCACACGAUGACUCCAAAGAAAGAUAAGAUUCAGGAUCACUCUCACCCUUGAAUAUUGGAAGGCUAACUUUGAUGGAGUUUAGCCCUACAUCACGAUUUUGGUUCCCUUGUUGAUUCCAAUGACCAACUCUACCUUUUCGGCCAUGAACUUCCCUCGGAUCACAAUGCCUUCCCCUUAUCUCUUCCCCUCCCAUAUAAGCAUCAUCAUACGACCCAUAACCAUCAUGUUGUCCUCCCCUACCAUAGCCCUCAACAUAGAUGGGUCUAUUUGGGUUAAGUGGAGCUUUUAGUAUUGGAUUUGGAUAGUAAGGUCUUUGGUCAAGUGGAGAUUGGAUGGGAGGGUUCGGUUUAGGUGGUGGUAUUUGGGUUCCAAGCCCUUCUUUUUGGACUUGGUGGAGUGGAGGAUGUUAUGGUCUAUCUUGUUCUCGGCUUUGGGAGUAAAGAUUGGUUUGAUUUGUGGAAAUUGGUAUAUAUAGCAUUUGGUGCAAGGUCUCGGGAGUAUUAUUUGGGUAAAUGUUUAGACGGGUGGAAGGUCAACUCCUUUGGAUUUCCACACGUUCUAAUAUCCCACACAUUGAUGCCACAUCCAUAUCUAAUUUCUCAAGACCCACAUUCAACCUAGCCACAUCUCGAGACAUAGUUUCAAGGCGAGCAAAAAUGAGAUUGAUGGAAUUAUUGUCCAUUUUCUGAGCAUUUGAAGCCUCGAGUUCCAUUGUAGUUGUACCGAAAAUAACCCUUCAAGUUAUAGUCCAAUCAAGACACGAAAUCAGUCUGCAACGUCACACACAGCAAUACAAUACAAAACCUACAACACAAACACACAAUAGUUCCAAAAAAACUCACUUCACACUCACACACUUGUGAUCUCACACUUGAUUUCACAAAUGUUUGCAAGCUUGAUUGUAUCCCGUGCUUGAGAUGUUGAGAGGUGAACUAAUUGUUUACAAUGGCUCAAAAGAAUAAAGCACACAAAGGAACAUUAACACGAAGGGCGGUUUCAAGACUAACUUACAAUCUAGGACUAGCUUGUAAGUUAGUAAUGGAAUCAACAAUUGAGACAAAACAGACAACAAAAUGAAAGUAGAAGAUCAAAAUUUUGAGCUUAAAAUUGUUGUGUGAACAGUAAUUUCAUGACGUGUCACUAUCCAAUUGUCUACGGUUUUCCUCAAUUUGGAAUGGAUGAAAUUGUUUUAGAGGGAAAGUGUAAGUCUUAGAGCCUUUUUCCAAUUUCAAUCUUAAAAUAGAUGUGACUUUGAAUUGUAAAAUUUCCACAAAACAAGACCCUUGAAAUAGGGAAAUUGGUUGGAAGUGAUGGGCUCAAGUCCUCUCACCAAUAAGUCUUACAACUUUAUUCUUCACCUUUUUAGAUCUAAAGUUCGCUUUUCUUGUUUUAACAAAAGAUGUAAGGUGAAGAACAACAAGAAGUCACAACAACCUUCAAGAACAAAAACAAUAUCCACAUAUCCAAGACCCAACCCGCCACAACAAACCACAAAUUUUUGGCCUAGGCCUUUGUUCACAAAACAACUUUAACAAGUUUAUGCCCAAAUAUAGAUCUAGAUACCUUUAGUGUUAGUGAAUCAAGAAAAUAACACAAGAAACAACAAUAACAACAAAAUAAACCCUAGGCCUAAACUCCACAAAUUGCGGCCAAGAAUAUAACAACAACAAGCUAAUUUCUCGGCCAAGAACAAACACAAGAAGCACUUCUUUCUCUUUUUUUCAUUUUUUUGAAUUUUCAACUACCAAGCUCAAGAUUGAUUUUAUUGGAACAAAAUCAACCACAAGCUUUGAUACCAAAUGAUGCAAGAGAGACCAAGAAGACACGGAAACAUACACCAAAAAUAGUCCACAAGUCAAAAACUCCGAGGACUCCUUUGAUGACCACACUCGGAUUCGCUACGUGAACAAGAAUGAGAUAAUAUCAAGGUGUUAUUGGCACCAAACUAGCAACCAAACUAAGUUAUCAACACAAUAUGGUGAAUAAUAUAACAAUAACAACAAUACACGAUUACAAUGACAAAAACCAAACGGAUUACAUUAGAAUAAGAACCAACAUAUUCCACUCUUGGACCCUUAACAACACACACUACAAUCACCUAUAUCUUACAAUGACACAAGAGAGGCGUCCACCACCCAAGCACCAGCGUAUCAAGCAAAAGUCAAUACAUAAGUGAUUCCACCCUUGUUGUAAGACCCCACAAAGUUCCCGCAUCGUUAAAGACUUUAAAGUGAACUAGAAGAAGCUUAAAGCUUAGAAUUUUAGCUAAGUGCUCAACACUUGGUUUAUUUUGAGCCUUCAAUCUUCAUUGAAUUAUUUCGCGACCUUUCCAACCUCUAUUUCUUGAAUUUUUUACUAUGUUGCGAUGGGGCAGGGUUGUAGUACAUCUCGGGUGAGUUUUGGAAUUUUUAGACGAGCCUAAGGUCGUGUUUGGAUUGGCAAAACAGUAGCAAAAGGCUGUAAGCCCGCAUCGCCUGGCUUACGCCACUGGUCUAAGCAGGGUGCCGCCUAGGCUAGACCAGAGGUCUAAGAAAGGUGUUGCCCAGGCUAGACCGGGGGUCCAAGCAGGGCGCUGCCCUGGAUAUCGUGCCAGGCCAAAUUUCAGCUUCCUACUCCGACUCAUUAAGGGAAUGUGGUAUUUUUCAACCCCUUAUCAACUCUAACACAGGCUUAAAUCCUUAGAACCCAAAAAUAAUCUUAGGUUCAUCAAAUUUUCUCAAGAACUCUCACUAGGGUUACAACCUAAAAAUCCAUAUAUCUCAAGAUUCAAUCGUGAGUUUUCGAUAAGUCUUCAAAAUUCGGAUUCCCCAUUCCGAGGGCUACAAUAAGCACCCAUUAGUUUCAAGAAUAGCAAACCAAAGUCCAGAGUUCAGUCAAAGCUUCAAGUUUAAGGUAUGUACGAUUUUGAACCAGAACACCCUUUCGUUCUUGUGCCCAAAAGUUUUAGUUUUUCUUAAAGAAUUUCAUAUUUUCAAGAUGAAUUCAUGUCUAUUUUACUAUAUUUCGAAAUUAUAAUAUUAAGACUUGUUCAAUUCUUAAGUUGUGUGAUUAUUUUGUUUAAUUAUAAUAUAAAUUGAGAAGUUCAUGUUAUACAUUGCCAUUCCUAUAUUGAUGUCAUAUUUUCUAUGAUUUUCCAAGAUUUGUUGUCAUGAACUAAGAGUUAAUAACUCAAAUGGUCACUGAACUUACGAUUUUUUUCUCACUCAACUUUGAUUUUCACUUCAAAAGUCACUUAAGUAUGAAUAUUUUACUUAUAAAGUCACUCAACCAUUUAAUUAUUUGUUUUAAUUAUAAUUUGCUAAAUUAAAAUUUUAUUUAAAACCAAAAUUCUAAAAAAACUAAAAAAAUAUUUGAACUAUAUUUAUUACAUAUUCUCAUGUUUACUUUAUAUUUAACCCUCUGAAAUUUUAAAAUAUCCUAAAUAGUUUAUAUCAAUUCACUUAUAAUGUUAAUAUUAAUUUUUAAGAUUUUUUGAAUCAUAUUCAUUUAGUUGAUUAGAUUUAAUUAACUUUCAACGUGAUACUUAUUUACGAAAUUGAUUUUCAAUCACAAUGUAAUUUUUUAUAUUACCACUUGUAUAAUAUACAUAUGCAUCAAAUAAAUACAAUAAAUUCUAUUCCUAAUAAGUUGAUAAAAGGGAUUGUUAUAGAUUUUAAACUAAAAUGAUAUAAUAUAAAACAUUACCAAAUGUUAUUAAACAUUUGUACAGUAUAAUAUAUACACUGCAACAAAGUAAAAUUACCCGCAAAGAUUGUACAAUCAAAUGAGUGUGGUUUUAGGAUAUUAAUUGAUGAUCUGUAUGACCAUAUACACUUUAUAGUAUAGAGUAACCGUUAGACAAGAAAAUAGUAGUAAAAUCAAAAUUCUAAGAAAUAAAAAAGAUAUUCAAUUAAACCAUUUAAAUGAAUUUUGGAUGUGGCCGGAUCACUAAAUUGAUUGUUUAAAUGAAAAUCUUUUUUAUUUCUUAAAAUUUUUGUUUUAAAUAAAAAUGACAUGAUAAAAAAUUUUAAUGAAAAAAUUAAUAAAAUAGCUUGAGUGAUUUUCUGAGAAAAGAAUUCAUACUUGAAUGACUUUUGAAGGAAAAAUUAAAGUUGAAUUACUUUCUGAGAAAAGAACUCAUAGUUGAGUGACUUUUGGAGUAAGAAUCAAAGUUGAUACUUUCUGAGAGAAAAAUCACAAGUUGAGUGACCAUUUGAGUUAUUAACUCCAUGAACUAAGCCUUAUUGUGAAAUUAUGAACCUUUGAGAAUGAGUUAUUGAUACUCUUUAAAGUGUUUCAAGAAGUGUACUUAAAUCCACAUGCUAUUGAGUAUUCAAGUUUAUUCAUGAUAAGUCUAUCGAGAUUUCAAUAAAAACAUUGAGUCUUUAUCCUAAGCUAAGAAAGAAAUCAACAUCAUUUUAAUUUAAGAUAAGGCGAAGCAUAUUGGCUCCCAUUUCAUGUGUUAAGUUGUUUAAGGUGGAUUUUCUUAAAAGUUCUGAGCUAAGUAAGGGAGUAGUAUUUAGCACCGAGUUGGGCUUGAUUCCGAGGUCUCAUGCCCUUGAACUACGUGCGCCCGUAGGUUUCUGAUUUACCCUAAGUGGGUUAAAAUAGUGAUCACUAAAAAGUUAAGGCUCUACUCCGAUGGCAAGGAUAGAAAAACUCUCCCCAACGUGAGUAAGACGUUGGAAUUCAUGUAGCUCACAUGGUUUAUGUCGGUUAGAAGAAAAUCCCGAGUCCCAAAGUUGUAUAAUCCCAAGUCUCCCAAGUUUUCUAGAGUCUCAAGUCGUAAAGUUCUUAAAAGUACCAAAUGCUUGAAUUUUAAAGAUGUUUUACUCUCCCAAGGCUAAAAGCAUGAAUUUUGAAAGUAUAAGUAUUUCAAAAGCUAUUGUUUUAAGAUUUAUAAGAUUUCAAAGUGUCAUGAUGUUUAAGUCCUAAAGAAGUUACUUGUUCUCACAAGAUUAAAGCAUAAGUCCUGAAAGUUGAUAUUUUCAGAUUUUAUUUAGUUUACAAGUUGAGAACAAAUAAAGAAGGCAGAUUUAGAAUAAAGUAAAAUGGCGCACAUGAUUUAUAUUGUAUGUUUCCCAUCCAUGAUUUCUGAGGAUUUUAUUCAAGCUAUGUGAGUCAUCUAUUAUAUCAUGCAUGUUUUCUGUAAAGACUUAUGAUGUUAACUAUUUAACUGCCACACCCCCAUAUACUCAGUACAUUCCCGAGGUACUGUCCACAUACUUGUCUGUGUGCUACAUUUUCUCGUAAUGUAGGUUCGGGUGCUCAGUCCCAGCCUCGUCAGUGAUUCCCGCAUGCCUUUAUCUACAUCUCCACAGUGGUGAGUCCUCAUGAUUCGAGGACCUAUUAUCUUCAGACAUUCAUUUUAUCUAGUAGUUGUGUAUUUCUUUUCAGUUAAGUAUGUAUUAGUUGGGAAUCUGUCCCAAUGGCUCUCUAGUUUCUUGAGUAGUAGAGGUUGUGUUAGACUAGUUAUCAGACUGUUAGUAUGCUACGGUUUUUAGUAUUGUGACUAUUCAGAUAGAGAAUUUUCUUAGUAUCCCUUAUGAUUUGAUAUGACAGUACCAGUGUUUUGUUUAUUUUAUCUAUAAGUAAGGUAUCACAUGAAGUAGCAGGCUCAAAGGGUUAGCUUGGGGCUACUUGUAGCCUUAAGCACCGUGUGACGUCUCCGAUCCCGUUUUCAGGGUGUUACACUUGUUUUAUGCCCUAGUUUCAGAUUAGGACUCUCUCUUUCUAAGAGAAGUGUUCUCUCGAUAACAAGCACAAACCAAUGGAAAUAAACCCCUUAAUAUUCAAUAUAUACAACAUUACAAAUAUAAGAGAAAUGACAAAAGGGCCCUUCACUAGAGGGCUCCAAAGCCUCCCCAUUGAGAGCACCAAAAGGGAGGGUUUGGGCCUCCUCUUCAGUUGGGUUUGUGCACUCUUUAAGUGGUCUUCAAAAUGCUCAAAAAGUGUCCAUGAUUGUGAUCAUACUUGUAUCAGUUGUUCCAAUCACAACUUUUGUGAUUAUAUAGUUGCCUGCCACUAAUAUUUUGUGGACUAAUAAGUCAAUAAAGAAAUAAUAUGAUAAGAGGGAGUAUCAUAGCAAAUCUCCAGCUAAGGAGCCAAAAAGGAAAACUUUUUGACUCAUAAAGUGAAUAUCACCUAAAUUUUUUUACCCUUUUCCAACAGUUUUCAUGACCCUUGGAAGUGCUCGAAUUGUCAGAGGGUUCAAAUGCUACAUAAUUGACUCAUAAAGUGAAUAUAAGAUCAGUGAAGUCACAACAAGAUUUUCAGAGGGUUCAAAUGCUACAUAAUUAUCACAAGUUUUCUUUUAUUGCUCUAAUGAAACCUUUUCAAGAUAGUAGAUUUAUCAACAAAUACAGAAGGAGAUUGCGCAUGCCAAUAGCUACUUCUAACUGUAAUGGAAAAAUAUGGGUCUUUAUAAACCAUGAUUUUGAUAUUAUAGUUAUUAGUAAUACAGAAAAACAGCUUACUAUAAAGCUGAAACAUCAGAUCAUGCAUCAGAGUUUUUACAUCACUAUUGUUUAUGCUAAGUGCAAUGCAGAUCAAAGAUUAGUUUUGUGGAAUGAUAUUUAUCAGGUGGAAUAUUAAAUUGAUGGCCCUUGGUUAGUUGGGGGUGACUUUAAUGUGGUGAUAAAUGCAGAAGAGAAAAUAGGAGGUCUGCCUGUGGUAAAUGCUGAUCAUGAAGACUUUGAAUGUUGUAUCUCAUCUUGUGACUUAACAGAAGUUCCUUUCAAAGAGAGCCCCUUCACAUGGUGGAAUGAUAGAGUUGAUAAUGAUUGUAUUUUUGAGAGGUUGGAUAGAAUUUUUAUUAAUCAAGAUAUGCAAGACUGGUUCAAUCAUACUGAAGUUGAACAUUUACCAAGAACUAGAUCAGACCAUGCUCCAAUGUUGCUUACUUGUGAAGAAAAUGAUUCCAGAUAUAGGAAACCAUUCAGGUUUCUACAAUUUUGGACAGAACAUAAAGUCUUUAAGGAGAUUGUUAGGCAGAAUUGGGUUUCCAAUGAUUCUGGAAAUCCUUUUCUAGCUUUUAAUAAGGAGAACAUAAAGAGGGUUAAGAAUGCUUUGACCAAAUGGAGCAAGGACACUUAUGGGGAUAUUUUCAAGCAAUUGAUCAUUAGAGAAGAUUGUUAGAAUCAAAGAGAAUCUCUUUGAAGAAGUGCCAAAUACUAUGAAUAGAGUUGUGUUGCAGAAGGCUCAAGCUGAAUUUAAAAGAUAUCUCCAUUUUGAAGAGAUUUUUUGGCGACAAAAAGUUAGGUAUGAUUGGUUUGAAAAUGUGGAUAGAAAUACAAGAUUCUUCCACAACAUAGUAAAGGGAAGAAGGAAUAGACUUCAUCUAAAGAGAAUACAAAAAAGUCAGGGGACCUGGUUGGAAGAGGAAGGAGAGAUAGCUGUAGAAGCCAUUGAUUUUUACCAUACACAGUUCUCUAAAGAGAGAGAUGCCACUGAUUUUUCAUUAUUGAGGCACAUCUCUGAAUCUGUGAGUCUUGAAGAGAACCUUUUGUUAUGCAAAACCCCAGAGUUAGAGGAGGUUAAGAAGGUUGGUUUUGCCUUGAAUAGUGAUAGUGCUAGUGUACCUGAUGGUUUAACAGAGAGAUUCUACCAGUGUUGUUGGGAUAUAGUUGGGAAUGAUAUCCUAACAAUAGUUCAUGAUUUUUUUCAAGGUAACUCUUUGCCAAAGUGUAUUACUCAUACUAAAUUGGUGCUUUUACCUAAGAAAGAAAAUGUUCAAUCUUUCUCAGAUUUAAGACCUAUUAGUUUGAAUAAUUUCAUCAAUAAAAUUCUUUCUAGAAUUAUUCAUGAUAGACUUGAGGCUUUGAUACCUAAUUUGAUCUCUUGUAAUCAAUUUGGUUUUAUAAAAGGUAGAAACAUCAUCAAAAAUAUUUUAUUGACUCAAGAGAUUGUUACGGAUAUCAGAAAGAGAGGUAAGCCUGCAAAUGUGAUACUUAAGCUUGAUAUGACUAAAGCCUAUGACAGAGUUUCUUGGUUCUUUCUGAUGAAAGUUUUAAGAAAAAUGGGCUUCUCUCAUAUUUUUGUAGACUUGAUUUGGAGAUUGAUAUCUAACAAUUGGUAUUUUGUGUUGAUUAAUAGGCAAGCUCAGGGUUUCUUUCACUCAACUAGAGGUGUUAAGAAAGGGGAUCCUUUAUCUCCUGCCCUUUUUAUUUUAUCGGCAAAGGUUUUAUCUAGAUCCUUGAAUGCUUUAUUUGAGGAUGUGCAGUUUGUUGGUUAUGGUCUUCCUAAGUGGAGUUCACAAUUGAAUCAUCUUGCAUAUGCAUAUAAUACUAUUAUUUUUGCUUCUGCUGACAAAUAUUUUUGAAAAAGAUUGUGUCAACUUUACAUGAAUAUGAAGUUUAGUCUGGUCAGAAAAUUAAUAAAGAAAAGAGUUCUUUCUUUAUACAUCAGAGUGUUGCUGCAAAUUUAAAAAGAUUAGUGGAAGAAUGCACAGGUUUUUCUAGGGGUCAUUUUCCAUUCAAAUACCUUGGUUGUCCGAUCACUCAUGCUAGGAAAAGAAAAGAGCAUUAUGUUGAGCUUAUUAGAAGAGUGAGAGACACAAUUCAUGCUUGGAAAGGGAACAUAUUGUCCUUCGAGGGCAAGGAAGUGUUAAUCACUAGUGUUUUACAAAGUACUCCAAUUCAUGUGUUAUCUGCAGUUGUUCCUCCUAAUUGUGUGUUGAAAGAGCUUCAUAGAAUUUUUGCAAAAUUCUUUUGGAGUAAUAAAAUUUUAGGUAGGAGCAAGUAUUGGGCUUCUUGGGAUAAGGUUUGCUUACCUAAAUUUGAAGGUGGUUUGGGUUUUAAAUCUAUGGGUGAUAUAUCUCAAGCUAUGUUUGCCAAGCUUUGGUGGAAAUUCAUGACCCAAAAUUUAUUAUGGGCUAAUUUCAUGUGGAACAAAUACUGCAAAAAACAAAUUCCCGCUCUUGUUCAAUGGAAAGGUGGUUCUCAAGUAUGGAAACACAUGCUGCAAAAUAGAGAGAUUGUUGAAUAGAAUUUGUGGUGGGAACCAAGAGGAGGCUCAUCUAGCAUUUGGUUUGAUAAUUUGACUAAUCUUGGUCCAUUAUAUGUUCAACGUAUUGAUGUUCUAGGAUGUCAUUCUGUGACAGAUAUUGAUAUGUUCUUGACAGAAGAUGGUUGGGAUUUUGAACUCAUGCAAGAACAUUUGCCUAGUAAUACUGGUGAGCAUGUUAGGAUGAAUAUGGGCAAUGUUAGCCAGACUAGAGAAAUGGAUAAACCUUGGUGGAUAAAGAAUAGUACUGGAAAAUUCACUGUCAAAUCUAUUUGGGAAAUUUUAAGAAAGAAAUCUGCUCCUAAUAAUGAUUUUAUGAUGUUGUGGGUGAAGGGGCUUCCUUUCAAAAUUUCUUUUUUUUUUGGAUGGAGGGUAUGUACACAUAGGGUUCCUAUAGCUUCUGUCAUGGCUACCUGGAAUCUUACCAUUUCCCAAAUGUGUCAGUGUUGUAGAAUUCCCAUGAGGGAAACCAUAGAGCACCUAUUCUUGACAUGAGAAGAAGCUAUUUUUAUAUGGGAUUAUUAUGCUAGAUGUGCUGGUCUCUUAGGCCCUUGGGUACAGGUUAAACAGACUAUGAAGAAAUGGAGGGUUUUUCAAGGUAAUAUUAGACAGAAAAUAAUCUUUCAGACACUUCCUAACAUCAUCCUAUGGUUUAUAUGGAAGAGGAGGAAUACAAUUCUUCAUGGUGGUUCAUACUCUAGAAAUAAGGUUUUAUGGGACAUUAAUGAUUCUAUCUAUAAAUUUAUUAGGUUAAAGUUCAAUUUCUUUUCCUAAUAAUUGGCCCCAAAUGGUUUCUCUUUUGGAAAAUUAUAGACCUAAUUUUCAUUGUAAAGUUGUUAGGUGGAUGGCUCCACCUUUUGGUUAGUUAAAAUGUAAUACUGAUAGGGCCUCUAAAGGUAACCCAGGUCCAGUGCUGCUGCUUUUUGUUUGAGAAAUCAUGAAGGAGAAUUUGUGGGAGCUAAAGUUUUCAGAUUGCUGAUACAACUAACCUAGUGGCUGAGGCUAGAGCUAUAAGGGAAGGGCUCCAAUACUGUUUAGAUAAUCCGCUCACCAACAUUAUCAUGGAAACUGACUCUUUGGCUAUGGUUAACAUUAUCAAUGGAGAUUGAGAGAUUCCUUGAACUGUUUCUAUGGAGGUCAAGACCAUUAACAGGAUCAGAAAUGGCCUAUUAGUGAGACUACAACACUCCUUAAGGGAGGAAAAUACUCUUGCUGAUUUUUUUGCUAAUUUAAUUUUUAGUUUUGCAGGUACAUAUGAAUUCAGCUCAAUUCAAGAAGUCCCAAGUGCAGGGAGAAAGAUUAUUAAUCUUGAGAAGAUCAACACUCCAAGCAUGAGAAUCAGAAAAAUAAAUAUAUCAAGCAAUUCCAACUGAUAAGUUCAAAUCUUAAGUUUUACUGUACAUGUUUCAUUGUUUGAAAAAAAAUAACUAUUUUAAUACUAAUACUUUAUAGGCUAAUCAAUAAAGAAAUAAUAAAUCUCCAGCUUAGCUUAGGACUCAAAGACAAAUAGUGGAGUAUCUUUUUUCUUAAAAAAAGUAAACUUUUUGACUGUGUGCUAUCACUCAAUUAUGAAGAUUAUCUUUAAUUUGAAAAAAAAAAAUAUUUUAAUACUAAUACUUUAUAGGCUAAUCAAUAAAUAAAUAAUAAAUCUCCAGCUUAGGACUUAGGAGCCAAAUAGUGGAGUAUUUUUUCUCUUAAAGAAAACAAAUUUUUUGACUCAUACAAUGAGCUAUGACUCAAUUUUCAAGACUAUCUUUAAUUUGAAAAAAUAUAAAUAUUUUCAUUUUUUAUUCAACGAAACAUAUAACAAUUUAACAAGUACUUUCUUCAUUUAAAAAAAAAAAUUGAUUUUUUUUUAUUUUUAAUCUAUUUAAAAAAUAUUUUUUUUAAUAAUACUAUUCCAACUUUUCACGUGGUACAUUUAAAACUACAAAAUAAAAUGAUAUUUUAGUAUUAAAAGUUGGGAGUAACAUUAAUAUACAGGUUUACAUUGAAAUUAAAUAUUUUAAUUUUCGAUAUGCCAAUGCACGGAUGUUUAGCAAGGAGGUGAGAGAUAUUGGCUAUGAUAAGGGUAUGAGGAGAAGUAGAGUUACAUGGAAGAAGUAUAGAAAGAGAUAAGUAGACCUGAUAUGAUAUACUUGUAAAUAUGAAGGUUGAGAUUAUGAUAGAAGAGUAAUAGGUAGUUGAAUGUUGUUUACUUUUUCUUUAUUAGUGUUGUUAUUACUAUUCACAUGUUAUUAAUCUGUACUUCGAUUCUAUUAUUACAUAUUUUCUUUGCUUCCAACUAUGUGUUGUUGCAAUCGUUUCUCUUUUUUCAGUUGAACAUAAGUAUUUUCCUAUUAUAUUAUCUUUUUUAUAGGUGAUUUUAUGCUUUACUUACUCUGAAUGUCUAUCAAAAAUAACUUUUUAACUUUACAAGGUAGAAACAAAGUUACAUACAAACUCUCUUUUCAUAGAUAUUCACUUGCGAAAUUAUACCGAUUAUAUUUUUGUUGUAACAUCUAUAUACCCAAAGGCAGAAGCAAAGUCAUUAUACUAAUUAUAAAUUCAACAAAUUCAAUAACUUUAACUUAAAUUUUAUUUUCUGUACUAAAUUAUAAAAAGAAGUAUGAUUCAGACCUUAUAAAGUAAAGAUUUUCGAUUGCUGCUCUAGCCAAAAACGCCUUUGUCCAGGACAAAUGUACUUUUAAAUAUGUUUAUUUAAAAUUAAAGAAUAUCCAAUUUUAAUUAUAACUUUUAGAAUGAGAGAACUUCUUUAUUGUACUUAAAAAUAUAUAAAGUAUUAGAAUGUCAGACAUAUUCCCCCUACCACAACAAGACGUUCUCGUAUAAGUAGUGGCUAGUGGCCGGGCAAAGUGUCCAACACAGUUUGGUUCAACUUUUCAACCAUAGAUAAUAGUGCACAUUCAGUCAAUGUUUUCUGACCUUGUUCUCGUAUAAGGUGUAAAAAAAGUGUUUAUUUUAUUUUGUAACUUGUCUUAUUCUCCAUUGUGUUUUAAUUCAACUGAACACGAAAUUCAUGCAAUCAUCUUUGAAUUUUAUGAUCUUCAACAUAUAACCUAAGUGUGGGAUAAUGCCAAUAGAUAAUGUAAGUGUUGGAUAAUGCCAACACUGUGUUUAACAAUGCCCAAGGUGAGGCUAGGGAUUAGGGUGACAUGGGUGUGAGUUAUGAUCGAACAUGGUGUUUGUCUGAUGAGCUUGAUUAAGAAAUAAAGUUACACCCUUGUUGUCAUCUAUAACUUUUGACAUCACAUAUUGAAAUUAACGAAUUAUAUUUAAUAUACAAAGUAUGAUUACUUUUUAAACAAAAUAGGAAAAAUGCUCCAUUACCACAUUGAACUAGGGCUGUCAAGUGGGCCGGUUCCGGGUUUUAACUGGGUUGAGAGCCGGGCCGGGGCCGGGUUGGGGUCUAAGUGGGCCAGGCCGGUUCGGGCCCAACAGUAAAAAAAUCAAAAACCACCCUAACCCGGCCCACUUAACCCAACCCGGUCAAACCCACCUAAACCUGGUCAAACCCGUUUAAAAAACCGAUCAAAAAUAUUUUAAAAAAAAAAAAUUUCAAUAUACAUUAUAUAUACCCACCUAUAUACAUUAUAAAUACGUUAAACAAUAUAUAUACACUAUAUAUAUAGUAUAUGCUACAUUAGAAUUUAAAAAAUAUAUACACAAUUACACAUAUAUAUGUACCAUCCAAAUAUAUAUGUACUACUUUAAACUUUAAAAUUUAAAUAAAAUAUACUACAAUAUAUAUAUACACAUGUAGAUGUUAAAUAUACACGUCUAUAGAAGAUCUAUUCACAUAUAAACACUCUAAUCUAUGUAUAUGUAAUACUUUAAAUGAAAUAUACUAUAAUAUAUAAACAUUACAAUAUAUAUGUGUAUAGUUAUAUACUAAUUUAUGAAACAUAUACACAUGUAUACGUUAAAUAUACACGUCUAUAGAAGAUNNNNNNNNNNNNNNNNNNNNNNNNNNNNNNNNNNNNNNNNNNNNNNNNNNNNNNNNNNNNNNNNNNNNNNNNNNNNNNNNNNNNNNNNNNNNNNNNNNNNNNNNNNNNNNNNNNNNNNNNNNNNNNNNNNNNNNNNNNNNNNNNNNNNNNNNNNNNNNNNNNNNNNNNNNNNNNNNNNNNNNNNNNNNNNNNNNNNNNNNNNNNNNNNNNNNNNNNNNNNNNNNNNNNNNNNNNNNNNNNNNNNNNNNNNNNNNNNNNNNNNNNNNNNNNNNNNNNNNNNNNNNNNNNNNNNNNNNNNNNNNNNNNNNNNNNNNNNNNNNNNNNNNNNNNNNNNNNNNNNNNNNNNNNNNNNNNNNNNNNNNNNNNNNNNNNNNNNNNNNNNNNNNNNNNNNNNNNNNNNNNNNNNNNNNNNNNNNNNNNNNNNNNNNNNNNNNNNNNNNNNNNNNNNNNNNNNNNNNNNNNNNNNNNNNNNNNNNNNNNNNNNNNNNNNNNNNNNNNNNNNNNNNNNNNNNNNNNNNNNNNNNNNNNNNNNNNNNNNNNNNNNNNNNNNNNNNNNNNNNNNNNNNNNNNNNNNNNNNNNNNNNNNNNNNNNNNNNNNNNNNNNNNNNNNNNNNNNNNNNNNNNNNNNNNNNNNNNNNNNNNNNNNNNNNNNNNNNNNNNNNNNNNNNNNNNNNNNNNNNNNNNNNNNNNNNNNNNNNNNNNNNNNNNNNNNNNNNNNNNNNNNNNNNNNNNNNNNNNNNNNNNNNNNNNNNNNNNNNNNNNNNNNNNNNNNNNNNNNNNNNNNNNNNNNNNNNNNNNNNNNNNNNNNNNNNNNNNNNNNNNNNNNNNNNNNNNNNNNNNNNNNNNNNNNNNNNNNNNNNNNNNNNNNNNNNNNNNNNNNNNNNNUCUAAUCCAAUCUCUGAGGCAAACUAGAACAUUCAUUGCAUUGCUUCCCAAUGAGUGUCGGUUGUCUCCAAGUUGUUGUCGUCCCUGACUAAAGGCGAUCUCUGAUGCAACGGUUGACAUUGGAACAUUCAAGAUAUCUCUAGCUAAUCUUGAAAUUAUAGGAUAUUGUGUUCCAUUACUCCUUCACCAAUCCAACGUGUUGAUCCGUCGUCUGCGAUCCUCUGGUACUGUCCGAAGAUAAUAUUUCAGCUCUUCCCGAUAAGUUGAUAUAUAAGUUCUCUCGUCAACACUGUUCCAACAAUUUAAAUCAUAAAACAAAUCAUAAAAACCACUAUGUGCCGGCCUUUUAGAAGAUGAUGGCUCCUCGGGAGGAUGAGGAGCGACAAUUGGAGUGAUAUUUUUAGGUACGGCUAAAUCAAAUAAAUCAGCAUAGUGAUUAUAUAAUUUUUCUAUGUAAUCCUUUGCAUCAGCCGUAGCCGUCCACAAAUCAGGUUGUACUUGUUCAGAAUCAUGGUUAGCAUUUAUUUCUAAGUUAGUAUAAAUAAGAGUACUAAAGUGACACAUAUUAUUAUACUUCAUGCACAGAUUUAGCAUAGUACCAACCAAGUAAAUAGGGGGAAUUGGAAAAAAAUAUUUUUUAAAUUUUGUAAACAUGGCGCCAACAGCUUCUUUAUAACCUUCUUUAUUUUUAUAUUCUUUGAGCAAACNNNNNNNNNNNNNNNNNNNNNNNNNNNNNNNNNNNNNNNNNNNNNNNNNNNNNNNNNNNNNNNNNNNNNNNNNNNNNNNNNNNNNNNNNNNNNNNNNNNNNNNNNNNNNNNNNNNNNNNNNNNNNNNNNNNNNNNNNNNNNNNNNNNNNNNNNNNNNNNNNNNNNNNNNNNNNNNNNNNNNNNNNNNNNNNNNNNNNNNNNNNNNNNNNNNNNNNNNNNNNNNNNNNNNNNNNNNNNNNNNNNNNNNNNNNNNNNNNNNNNNNNNNNNNNNNNNNNNNNNNNNNNNNNNNNNNNNNNNNNNNNNNNNNNNNNNNNNNNNNNNNNNNNNNNNNNNNNNNNNNNNNNNNNNNNNNNNNNNNNNNNNNNNNNNNNNNNNNNNNNNNNNNNNNNNNNNNNNNNNNNNNNNNNNNNNNNNNNNNNNNNNNNNNNNNNNNNNNNNNNNNNNNNNNNNNNNNNNNNNNNNNNNNNNNNNNNNNNNNNNNNNNNNNNNNNNNNNNNNNNNNNNNNNNNNNNNNNNNNNNNNNNNNNNNNNNNNNNNNNNNNNNNNNNNNNNNNNNNNNNNNNNNNNNNNNNNNNNNNNNNNNNNNNNNNNNNNNNNNNNNNNNNNNNNNNNNNNNNNNNNNNNNNNNNNNNNNNNNNNNNNNNNNNNNNNNNNNNNNNNNNNNNNNNNNNNNNNNNNNNNNNNNNNNNNNNNNNNNNNNNNNNNNNNNNNNNNNNNNNNNNNNNNNNNNNNNNNNNNNNNNNNNNNNNNNNNNNNNNNNNNNNNNNNNNNNNNNNNNNNNNNNNNNNNNNNNNNNNNNNNNNNNNNNNNNNNNNNNNNNNNNNNNNNNNNNNNNNNNNNNNNNNNNNNNNNNNNNNNNNNNNNNNNNNNNNNNNNNNNNNNNNNNNNNNNNNNNNNNNNNNNNNNNNNNNNNNNNNNNNNNNNNNNNNNNNNNNNNNNNNNNNNNNNNNNNNNNNNNNNNNNNNNNNNNNNNNNNNNNNNNNNNNNNNNNNNNNNNNNNNNNNNNNNNNNNNNNNNNNNNNNNNNNNNNNNNNNNNNNNNNNNNNNNNNNNNNNNNNNNNNNNNNNNNNNNNNNNNNNNNNNNNNNNNNNNNNNNNNNNNNNNNNNNNNNNNNNNNNNNNNNNNNNNNNNNNNNNNNNNNNNNNNNNNNNNNNNNNNNNNNNNNNNNNNNNNNNNNNNNNNNNNNNNNNNNNNNNNNNNNNNNNNNNNNNNNNNNNNNNNNNNNNNNNNNNNNNNNNNNNNNNNNNNNNNNNNNNNNNNNNNNNNNNNNNNNNNNNNNNNNNNNNNNNNNNNNNNNNNNNNNNNNNNNNNNNNNNNNNNNNNNNNNNNNNNNNNNNNNNNNNNNNNNNNNNNNNNNNNNNNNNNNNNNNNNNNNNNNNNNNNNNNNNNNNNNNNNNNNNNNNNNNNNNNNNNNNNNNNNNNNNNNNNNNNNNNNNNNNNNNNNNNNNNNNNNNNNNNNNNNNNNNNNNNNNNNNNNNNNNNNNNNNNNNNNNNNNNNNNNNNNNNNNNNNNNNNNNNNNNNNNNNNNNNNNNNNNNNNNNNNNNNNNNNNNNNNNNNNNNNNNNNCUCUACCGCUAGUAAUUCGCUUUUUACUACCACUACCGCUUCCGGGACAAAAAAUUUUAACACCUUUAGUAGCGAGGUUUCUUAAUUUAUCCAUAAUAUAAAUUAAAUUAAACUAAAAAUAUUCAAAAUACACAAAUAUAAUAAAAUUAAAUAUUAAACAAUUAAUACAAUAAAUAAAAAUUAAACGUAAGAGAUGGAACGACAAUACCAAAUUUUGGAAGUAUCCUAAGAUUGCGACUUUAGAAACUUCCGCUCGUACUUUGUAAGCGAAAAAUUAAAAAAUUAAAGUGAAUACUUUAAGAAAUUAAAUAUAUUGAAUAUUUGAGAAUUGAGAAUUGAGCUUGAGAGAGAAUGAGAUUUGAGAGAGUGAAAAAUUGUGUGAAAAAUGAUUUGAGGUUGUAGGGUAUUUAUAGAUUUUUUUUUGGGAUUAAAAAAUAUUUUUUAAAGUUUUUUUUUUUUUUUAAUAAAUGGGCCCAAACUAGCCGUUUGGACCCAAAAACGAUUAUAUAGCCGUUGGCCCUAGUUUGGCCCAAAAGCCAAAAUAUCUUUUUUUUAUUUUUAUUUUUCUGGGCCGGGCUGGGCCGGUUAACCGGCGGGCCUGGACCGGGCUUGGUCCAGAGGCCGGGUUCCGGGCCCAUUUUAACAAAAUAACCGGCCUGGGACCCGGAACCCUAAAGCCCUAGGGCUUACCGGGCCGGGUCAAACCGGGCUGGGUCGGGCCGUCUCAGCCCGGCUUACUUGACACCCCUACCUUGAACUAUACGUGAAAAGGCUGAUACACAACCAAAUUUUAGAAGGGUUCUAUUACCCUUGGACUGAUUAAAAUCAUAUAUUUGACAACCUUAGUGCCUACCGUGUGCCUACGUGGACCCUUCAGUGUGUUGUGAAGUAUAUGUCUAAUUAGUGCAGGGGGUAAUAGGACCCUCCUAAAGUUCGGAUGUGUCUCAACCUUUUCGCGUAUAGUUCAAAGUGAUAAUUGAGUGUUUUCUCAACAAAAUAAAAAGAAAAGGAAAGCACACAAAUUGAAACAAAGGCUGCAUAUUAAUAUUGAGUGUUAUGAAUUCCGAUUACUCAUAUUAGAAAGGAGAUUUAUAAGCUUUGAAACAAUAUUGAGUUUGAUUUAAUAAUCGAAUUAAAAUUUCUUUUUCUUUUCUGCCUGCAACAGUACAACGUUAUGAUUUGAUUGUAUUCAUUGCAUAUUUGCAGGCCAUGGUGUUGUAGAUCACAAUGCCAUUAAAACCUUCACAUUAGAUAGUAUUUUCUCCUUCCGUUUUUACUUGUUUGUGUUUGAUUUGAUGCACUUUUUAAAUAAUCACAAUAAAUAAAAGGAUAAUUUUCUAUAUUGCUCAUGUUAAUUAUAAGUAAUUUAUAAAUGUUAGAAUAAUGUAUAUGCUUUAACAACAAAGGUGAAAUACACACUCAUUGGUAAAUUAUAUCUAGGUUUGCCAAAUUGAACUAGUAAAACUAGACAUCUAAUUUAAUAUAUCGUAUAUGUAGAUAUAAAAAGGGAUAAUAUCCACGAAAAUAUCUGAACUUUAACGACAUUUUCAGUUGAGCAUAUUGAACUUUGCGGGGGUCCUAUUACACACCAAUACUUUUUUAAGUGGAACUAAUUUCCCCGGGACUUUUUUAAAGUGGAAUUAAUUGCCCCCCGCAAAGUUAUACCUAGUUUUGACGUUGGAAAGUGUGGUACACGGGCUGUUUCUUCUUCAUUUUAUCAAUUUUCAACAUUUUUACACCAUUAUAACCCUAUUAAAGAUUCCACAACUCAAAUUCCUCUUACAAAUCAAAUUUCAAAUGAUUCAAGUGCAUUCCAACUCAAAUUUCAAAUUCAAAUUGAAAACUUUCAUUAAUGGAAUCUUCAAAUUUGGAAAUUCAAAAUGAAAACUGAAAAUGAAAAAACAGGAAACUAGAAACUGAUUUGCAGGGUUAAACUCUUCAUGCUGCUCUGUGGUAAACUUGAAUGGAACCAAGCUUCUUUGCGUUCAGUAAUUAGAGGCCACAUGAUACCCCAAGAGAGCACAGCUCCAAGAAGCAAAGAUAUGUUCACAAUGUGGGAACAAAUUAUUCUAGCUCCCACUUAAGUCAUGUUGAAAUCGAAGAAAAAACUAGAAACAUUCAAUGGUAUAAAUUAGUGCUAGUAGUAAUGCAAAAUCAUUUAUGAGCCACUAAAAGUAUAUAGCAAGUACAUACGUUUGCUUCCAAGCUUUCAAAUUUGAGUUCAAUAUGAAAUUGAAUUUGAAUUUGAAAUUAUUCAAAGUAUUAAAUUGAAUUUGGGUGUGUUGAAGAUGACUCAUUUGGGUGCGUAUGUGUGUGAUUUAAUUGUGUUCAAUUUUAAUUCUACAAUGGAGCAACCAUUGUUGAAGACUCCAUUGUUGAAGAGAAAAAAGAGAGAAGAGAGAAGAGAGAAGAGAGAAGAGAAAAGAGAGAAGAGAAAGAAUGAAAAUAUAUAUAUAUAUAUAUAUAUAUAUAUAUAUAUAAAACUUUGAAUAAUUAAAAAAUUUAGGGGUUGUUUGGACAAAAAAAAUGUGUUUAUAACGUUUUUUAACGCCUUCACACACUCAAUGCACGUGUCGAACACACAAUUGUUCAAGUGGUAGAUAAUGCCAUUAAAAUACGAAAAAAAAAGUCUAUGAGGGUAAUAAGACCCCCACAAAAUUCAGUAUGCUCAACUGGUAAUUCGGUGAAAGUUCAGGUAUUUUCGUGGGUAUUAUUCCACAAAAAUGUACAAAGAGAGUGUAGCAACCUAAAUUUUCGUUUGAUCAUAGAUUUUGAAGUUAAAACGGAAUAUUUGAGCUUUUGCCAUUGUAAUUUUUAAAUUUGGAAGUUGUAUUUAAACUUUCUUUCACUUUAGAAAAAAAAAAGAAAUUGUGAGUGAAAAAUUCCGCGUGAAUUUUUCAAAAUCUGAUCAAAUUUCAUGAUCAGACAGACAUUUAUAGAUAACUUUUUAAAACUAAUUCUAAAAUCUAUAAUUAAACGCUAGCUAAAACUUUGAAAAUACAACAAACAUUUGUAAAAUGUUGAUAAAAAAUAUAAUAGCGAAGACUAUGGAACACAUUAGAGUACCAAACUAUCCUUCUGUUUUUUAUUUUUGCAAAUCAAGAACUCAGAAAGAAAAAUAAAACCUAUUAAAUCAUGAACUAUAAUUAUUUAUUUAUUUUUGGGUACAAGGUACAUUUCAAAAACGUCAUAAAAAUGUGAAAGUGCAAGUACAUUUCAUUUAGUGAGAAAACAUUUUUAGAAACAACCAUAAUUUUUCCCCACUAACAAAGCAUAAAACUAUUAAAUGAAGGCAACGUUAAAACUUCACGCUAAUAUAUACUCCCUCCGUCCUAUUUUACUCAUCCCAAAUUGGGAUAAUACAGCUAUUAAGAAAAAUAAUAAAUAACAUGUCUAGUUUACCAUAGUACCCCUAUUAAAUGAUGUUUACAUUUUAAUUUAAAGAAAAAUAUAACUAAUGCAAAAGUUAAAUAUGAAAAAAUAAAUUGUCUUAUCUUGAUAAGUAAAAAAAGAAAAGUAAAAUGAGAUAUAUAUUAGAAAAUUUGGGACCGGUAAAAUGAGAUGGAGGAAGUAUUUAACACUGUUUUUAUGAUGCACUAUUCCCAAUUACAAGACAUUACUCCAUAAAUACGACAAGUAAAAAAGAAAUAAAUAUUUAUUUUUCUAAAAAACAAAAGGUAAAAACAAACUCCAGAAUCGAAGUAAAUUAAAUUGCUAAAAGUAACGCUGCUAGUCCAAUGAAGGCCGUCAAAGGUGAGGAUAAAAUCGUCAUUUUAUGGCUAUGGUUCUGUUGGCUAAGGGCAAGUGGGUGGUAAUACGUGGGUGUUUGGAUGGAGUUAUUUUAAGUUAAAAAUAGGUUUUAAAUUAUUUUUAACUUUUUAAGUGUUUGACAAUUUAAAAUUUGUUUAAAAAACUAAAAUUUGCUUUUAUCUAUUUAAGUGGAAGACCACAUCAAUGGUAGUUUUUAUUCUUCCCUUCUUUGGAGUUUCAUAUUAGAAUUAUUGGGGGUGUGAGAAACACACCUAAAUUAUCACUCAUCAAUUUAAGGAACACACCUCAAAAUUAAUAAAAAUUAAUUAAAAAAUGAAAAAUUAAUGUAUUAGCCAAAAAAAAAAAAUGCGAUGUGGAUUGAUUUUUAAUGGCUAGAUACACCUAAAUGAGUUUGUCAACGAAUAUUUAAUCUAGUCAGUUUUUAGGUGUGUUUCUCAAACUAAUAAAUAAUCAUUUAGAUGUAUUUCUUACAUUUCCAAUAGUUUAGGUGUGAGACUCAAAAAAAGGUGAUAUUUAAAGAGUGUUUUACAUACUAUACUCAAAGUUUUUAAUUUUUUAUUUAGUGGGAUAUAUAACAACUUAAUAAGUAAUAUGUUAGUAAUAAUAAAAUAGAAAUGUAUAAUUCGUGAGACGGUCGAUAAAGACCUCUUGUAUUUUGCAAAAAGGUCCAACUUUGUCCUCUGUUAGACUCAAUAUGUUAUCGCUGCUAUUACCUUUUUUUUAAAUUUUCUUUUUUGGGUGCGGAAAAGUGCAACAAUUAUUUAAAAAAAAUGAAAGGAAAUAUUUUUGACUCAUAAAGUGAAUAUGACUCAAUUAUCAAGACUACUUUAAUUUUCAAAAAGUAUUAAUUUGCUAAAAUUAUCCCUUCUUUUUUUUUUUUGAGUUUCAUACUAAAAUUAUUGUGGGUGUGAUAAGUACAUCUAAAUUAUCACUCAUUAGUUUAAGAAACACACCUUCAAAUUAAUAAAAAUCAAUUAAAAUUAAAAAAAAAAUGAGUUAGCAAAAAAGAAUAAAAAUAUGCCACGUGGACUGAUUUUUAAUGGCUAGACACACCUAAAUGAGUUUGUAAAUGAAUAUUUAGUCUAGUUAGUUUUUACAUGUGAUUCUCAAACUAAUAAGUGAUAGUUUAGAUGUGUUUCUUACACUUCCAAUAUUUUAUGCGUAAGACUUAAAAAAAGGUGAUAUUUUAAGUAUAUUUUACAUACUCUGCUCAAAAGUAUUUUAAUUUUUUAUUCAGUGGGACAUAUAACAACUUAAUACAUAUUAUGUUAGCAAUUAUAAAAUAGAAAUGCAUAAUUCGCGAGAAGGUCAAGAAAGACCCCUAUUGCGAAAAGGUCUAACUUUGCCCCGCUAGAAGUUUGGCUCACUAUGUUAUCGCCGCUAUCACUUUUUGUAUUUUUUUAUUUUUUUUCUUUCUUUUUUUUUUUUUUUUUGUUGCCUAAAAGUGCAACAAAGAAGAAUAAGUCAGGAGCCUUAACAUCAGGAUUUAGUCCAACUAAUGAUUAUACAUUAGUUGAAGGGGUGAAGGGGUCUUCUCGGGCUUUGCUAGUUUGGAUUGCUUGUCACGUCUAGGGCCUCGACUCGGAUAGUGACAUUUUUGGUCAAAAUCCCAUAUCUACGAUGGAAACGUAUGUUGGAAAUACACAUUUUUUUCAAAUCACUGUUACAUGUCAUAAUACCAAAACUAGUUCUAAAAGAAUAUCUUUUGCAAAAUGUAUUAUACUGGCAUGGACAAAUGGUCGAGUACAUUCUCCUAUUCAUAGAGUAACAAUGGCUGGGGAGAGUGAUAGAUUCACCAUUCAGUUGUCAUCACUACCAAAUGGAUAUUACACCAUAAAAUUCCAGCAUCCUUUACUCUUUAAGCCCUAUGAAAGUGUUGAGUAUUUUAAAUAUGUUAUGUCGGAAGCUGGCCAAAAAGCAGGCACUGGUGUUUUCAAGGCUUAUUGUGGUGUUUGAAUGAGGGUCAAUCGGAAAAUAGUCUCUCUAUCUAUCACAAGGAGAGGAUAGAUCUGCAUACGUCCUACCAUUUUCUGUUGUUGUUGUUGUAUCUAUCGCAAGGCGAGGGUAGAUCUGCGUACGUCCUACCAUUUUCUGUUGUUGUUGUUGUAUGUGGUGUUUGAACGAGGAUUUAUAAGAUUUUCGGGUUGUUGUAACUUGGAAUAAAAAGAGAAACUAGCACUUUUAAUUCCUGAAGUAUUGAUAAAUUCUGAUUUUCUCUUUGGAUAACUAACAUUUCAUUUUCUAAUCACCAAAAUUGAAUCACCACAAGCUCCAUAACAUAGCUAUAAAAUGAGAUUGAAUCUUUAUAUAUACAAAAAAUAGUAUAUUCAUUCACUUAAAUUACAAUACAUCUAAAUUUUAUAAUCCAAGUUGAUUGACAACAGAAGAGUAAACUAUAUAACACAAAAAUCAUGGUUGUCAUGCUCCGAGUCUACACCUUGGAUGUGGUUAGCACCCGAUGUCAUUGCUGCCCCGAGAGUACCCUUGAUCUAGCGUACUACUAGAACUGACUCUGAAAGAUAAGCGGAAGCUUUGAAUAACAUAAAGUACGAACUAAGAUAAUGAAAUCAAGUAACAAGAUACUUUCAUAAAGUGAGACAUAACGUCAACAGAAAACCAAAUACAACUAACUGACCAACUGAUUGUCUAAAAAGCCUCUAUGACAUACUGAAUAAUGUUUAUCAGGACAAGACCCAAGAUCUAAACUUAUUAACAAAACUGAACUACUGACUAGCCCUCUGAAAGUAAAAAGACCUCAUCCAUAGCUGAACGGAUAGGGAGCUAUGGAUGGUCGAAACCUGCAAAUAUCUUUGAAUAGUUGUGUUUCUUUUCGCGUUUAAUUCUGUCUAUGGUGUAUAAAAACUUGAUUAUAAUUAAAGUGUUACAUCAUUACUCAAUUCUCAAUGUUGCUGAUACUAUGGGCUGUCCAGCCUCAUAGAAACUUAAUUGAACUUCUGUGUACACCACUGAUUGUGUUGUAACACCCCGCAUUUUGGGCUAGAACAAAACCGUCAUUUCUAGGCUUAGAUGUUCCAAAAGUCAUAAAUCCUAUGAAAAUUUAGCGAGUGAAUCAAUUAUGUAGUGUGGAAUCUAUUUGAUCAUGAAUUCAGAUCAUAGAGGUCCCCUAACUCAAGGACGAGUUGAAAACUUUCCUAUAGUUCGAGUUUUAGUGAUUGUCGAAACUUAGAUCAACUUCAAUUGACCAUAACUACCAAUAUAUAGUAAAUUAGAGGUCUUACUAUAUAUCAAAUGAAAUAUCUUUGAAUUAGCUUUCUAACAAUACUAAUUUUUUCAAAAUCCGAUAAUCGAGUGAAAAGUUAUGCCAUGCAAAGCAGUGAGGGGUCACGGUAGCCCCGCGACACGGGGUCUGCCUGACCCAAAAGGGGGUCACGUCGCAAGGGAUACUUAACCGGAAUAGGGGUCCUGACGCGAUGGCAAUUCCCAUGUUAUUUCAGUUCCAUAAGGGUCAAAGGAGACUUUAGUCCUUUCCCCUCAACCCCAAAUGUCCAACGGAUGAUUUAUAUCACCAAAAAGGGCGAUAUUUGCCCAUCUUCUUCAACACCAACUCACCCAAAAUACUCUCUUCCCCAAGAACAAAAUCCAAAAUCCUUUUCUCCAAGAAUCCAAGGAAUUCAACUCCUUCAUUCCAAGAUCACAAGAAACGAAAUCAGAUCUGGAUUCCAUACUUCAACUAAGUAAUCUAAGGUUAAGAACUCUUACCCAAGAUCAAGAAUUCCAUGAAAAAGAUCAAAAAUACGGGUUCCAUCUAUCAUGAUCUAGGUUUCAUCUUUCAAAUCUCGUAAUCUAAGGUACGUGGGGUUUAUCCUAAAAACUAUAUGGGCUUUUAAACACUAGAACGUGAUUUAAAGAUUAUCAAGCAUGAAUUUUAAAGGGGUUUUGGAACUUAUGCUUUAAAUUUCGCAUUAUGGAUGUUUUGAUAAUAUUAUUGUUUAGGCCUUUAGUCCUUUCCCCCUUAACUUGAUUUACAUCUAUAUGUAUAUGAAUGAUAUUGAAGAUUUGAUUGAGAGUAUUAUCAUUAAAAUUCCUCUCUUUGAUGAUUUAGAGUUUAUGAAACUAUUGAAAAUGAUUUGAGAUUCAUGUUUAAUGGUUUGGAAGUGAUCUUUUCAAUAUUAAAGUAAUUAACAUGAUUUUGAUGAUGAUGAGAAGGAGUUUAUUGAUAUUAUUUCGUUCUUGUAUUAUAGAGAAAGAAUUGCAUGUGAUUGAUAUCUUUGACAUGACCACCUUGUGUGUUUGGAAUGUUGAAAAUGAGAGUUUUCUUGCAUGUGGUUACGUGAGUUUUAAAGAAUGAGUUUCUUGAAAAGAAUUGUUGAUAUAGGGUCCAUAAAUUUCAUAUUUUGAGAACAGAGAUAUAAUUUUCCAUAAAUAGCUCAGGGAAUGUGACUUGCAAGUCAAUGGUAUGACGACACCAUAUAAAUUUAUGCCAUAAUAGAACUAGAGUCUUCAGAGUUUGAUUUCAAGGAUUGCAUAUUAUAAAGAAUUAAAAAUGGGAUUAAAGAGGGUUAGGCGGUUACCCGAAGAGGGCACAAGUCAAUUGACUCAUACACCAAAACUGUGUUUUUUCGAUAUAGGUAUGUUACUAUUGUACGCUGGCGAUGGCCCUGUGGCGUAGUAGAGAUUCAGAGACUCCAACCCUUGCGGAAAACUUGGGUUGGGGGCUUGGCUUCCAAGUUAAUGGCAGAUUCCAUAUGGCCUAUGGAAUUUCAGAGUUAUAGGGUAUACCACCUAGCGCAGAAGUAAAACAAAGAGUGUCACAGAGUUCAGAUGAUUUUAUAGAGUCUUAUAAGAAAUUGCCUAUGUGAUUCUUACCAUAUGACAUAUUUAUGAACAAUUUUUAAAUUGCUCUCAUAUAUGUUGAAUAUAAAUUAUUAUUUUGUAUUUGUUCUGCGUACCAGUACAAAUGUGUUAACCCCCAACCUUCCAGGGUUUAAUACUCAGUCUAAAGAUCCUGCUAAGCCGUAGAGUAUUCAGAUAGAAGUGAAGCGUGCAGUGGUGAGCCUUCUUUAUUCCAGAAAGCCUAUUUCGUUCAAACUUUUGAUAUUUAUUUUGGUUUAGGUUCACUAGGGGCCUUGUCCCAUAUUCAGAUAGUUUUGUUUAUUUUGUAUGUAUUAUAGAUUUCAUAGACAGAAACAGAUGUUGUUUAGAUGUUGAUUAGAUGUUGAUAGUGUUAAUAGAACUUUAUUGAAAGAAAGAAAGGCUAAGGUUUACAAUAUAAUCUGAAAAGCAUAAAAACUAACUAAAACAAAAGUAGGCUAUAUAUAUACAUAGCCAAUAACCUAAAGGUCCAUAAACUAAAGGCCCAAUAACAUAUGGGCUAACAUCCCCCCUCAAACUUACAAUGCAACAGCAAUAAGCAUUGAGAGUUUGUCACACAAAAAACGAAAUCGAGACGCCGAUUGAGCCUUCGUAAAAAGGUCAGCAAUCUGCAAAGACUAUGGAACAAAAGGAAGCGAUAUGGUCCCGAGCUGUAAAUGAUGACGGGUGAAGUGACAAUCAAUCUCAAUGUGCUUCGUACGCUCAUGGAAGACAGAAUUCUUUGCAAUUUGUACCGCACUUUUGUUAUCACAAUGCAGGGGAGUAGGCAUAGAAAUGUGAACCCCCAUAUCUGCAAGAAGCCAACGUAACCAAAUAAUCUCACAUGUAGUCACAGCCAUAGCACGAUACUCAGCCUCCGUGGAAGAUCUAGAGACAACAUCUUGUUUCUUGCUCUUCCACGAGAUUAAAGAGUCUCCAAGAAACACACAAAAACCAGUGGUGGAUUUACGAUCAUUGCGAUCUCCAUCCCAAUCAGCAUCACUAUAGGCUCGCAACUCGAGAGAUGACGUCGAGGGAAACAAGAGAUUCUGAAACUGAGUGCCACGAAGAUACCUUAGAAUACGAAGUACAGCUCCCCAGUGCACAGAAGUAGGAGCAGUAACAAACUGGCUAACAACAUGAACUGCAUGUGCUAUAUCUGGACGAGUAACCGUAAGAUAAACCAAACUACCCACAAUAGUCCGAUAAAGACUCGGAUCUGAUAAUGGAACACCAUCACUAGGAGAGUAACGUGCAUUGGUUUCAAGGGGAGUAUCUACAGUCCUGUUGUCAGAAAGACGCGCCCGUGUAAACAAGUCAGAUAUAUACUUAGUCUGAGAAAGAAGAUACCCUUUCUUAGACUGAGCCACCUCAAUACCCAGAAAAUAACGCAGCAAGCCCAAGUCCUUCAUUGCAAAUCGAUGAGCCAAAUCAUGCUUCAAUAACUCAAUACCACUAUGAUCAUCACCAGUAAUAAUCAUAUCAUCUACAUAUAAGGACAAUAGAAUUCGCCCUGCACUUGUACAUCUAACAAACAAUGCUGAAUCAUGGUUACUCGGGACAAAUCCAAGGGAAGUAAUAACAGUGGAGAAUUUCUCAAACCAAGCACGAGGGGCUUGUUUGAGACCAUAUAAAGCUUUUCGAAGCCGACAAACUUCACCUGGCUGGUGGUCAAUACCUGGGGGAGGAGUCAUAUAAACUUCCGCGUGGAGAUCACCAUUCAGAAAAGCAUUCUUGACAUCCAUCUGAAAUAUCUUCCACUGUCGAACGGAUGCAACAGCAAUCAUAGUGCGAACAGUCGUCAUCUUUGCUACGGGGGAAAAAGUCUCCUCAUAAUCCAUACCAUAUUGUUGUGAAUACCCUUUUGCCACAAGUCUUGCCUUGUAUCGCUCAACAGACCCAUCAGAUUUUGUUUUUAUCUUAUACACCCAUCGACAACCAAUCGCAUGCUUACCAGGUGGGAGAGUAACCAAAUCCCAUGUAUGUGUAUGAUGAAGAGCAGCAAGUUCCUCAGCCAUAGCAUUCUGCCAAAGAGGAUCAGACACAGCCUCUCUAUACGACUCAGGUUCAGACAAAUGAUGUAUGUUUGCAAUAAAGGAAGCAAAUGAGGCUGAAUAUGUAGAAUAGUAAAAAUCUGGCAGUUUGGUGGACUUACAAGGUCGAGUAGACCUCCUCAGAGGUGGUGGGUCUCCAGUCUCAACAGUCGAAGGAGCAGACUCAGGCACAGGCGAGGCUGAAGCACUAUCAGGUGGCACACCAGAUGGCAUGGAUGAAUCCGGAACUGGAACCUCUAUGUCAAUCCCAAAGGGAUCAAUAAGCCGAAUAUCUGACUUUGUCACAUCAUGGGUUUUAGCUGGAAUGGAAUAAAAAGGAAUAUGUUCCAAAAAAGUGACAUGUCGUGAAACAUAUAAUUUCUGACUUACAGGAUCAUAGCAACGAUAUCCUUUUUGUCCAAUACCAUACCCCAAAAACACACAUAUAGCUGAUUUUGACCCUAACUUAUUUCGUUCAACAUGAGGACGAAGAACAAAGCAAGUACAUCCAAAAACUCGUAAUGCAGAAUAAUUCGGCGGGUGACCAUAUAGUUUCUCAAACGGAGACAUCCCUGAAGUCAAUGCAGUAGGAAUACGAUUAAUCACAUAUACAGCAGUUAGAACUGCUUCUCCCCAAAAAAUACUAGGAACCUCUGCAGACAAAAGUAAAGAGCGUGCUGUCUCAACAAUAUGACGAUGUUUUCUUUCUGCCAGACCGUUCUGCUCAGGAGUGUCGGUACAAGAUGACUGGUGUAUGGUACCAUCAGAGGCAAGUAACUGAGUGAAGUCAUUAGAGGUAUAUUCACCCCCUAAGUCACACCUGAAACACUUUAUCACAGCCGAAUGUUGUGUUUUAACAAGGGCUCUAAAGUUGUUGUAAAUGCCAAAGAAAUCAGAUCUGCGUUUCAUAAGAUACACCCAGGUAUAACGAGUAUAGUCAUCUAUAAACGAAACAUAAUAGGUCGAUCCACCCUUAGUGGAUACUGGCGCUGGUCCCCAUACAUCAGAAUGAAUAAUAUCAAAAGGAGCAACAGAAUAAGACACACUUUUAUUAAACGGUAAGGCAGAAAAUUUUGCCAGUUUACAACCACUACAAUCUGAAAUAUCACUAGUGUUCACAUGACCCAAAGCACCACUAGAGACCAAAAAACGUAAACGUGAAACUGACACAUGUCCUAAUCUGGAAUGCCAAAGAUAAAACUGAGAAGACAAAGGACUCAAACGAAAAGAAGAUAAAUCUAUGCUAGAGGCAGCAACUACAGACACUUUGAGAUUCUCCAAGACAUAGAGUUCCCCCAACCUACGGCCGGUCCCAAUCACCCUCUGAGUGUGUUGGUCCUGUAUAACACAAACAGAAUCAGAAAAAAACACCCAAUUACCAGCCUUACACAACUGACUGACCGAAACAAGAUUUAAAGCAAGUUUGGGAAUGUAAUAAACAUCAGAGAGGACAAUGUGAGGGGUAGUAACAGAACCAACACCCUCGACUGACAUAGGUACAGCACUCGCGGACAUAACAGAGAUUGGUGAAAUGGGUGACAAAGAACCAAACGAUGACAAAUGAGGGGACAUGUGAUGAGACGCACCAGAAUCCAAUAUCCACAAGGAGGAAGGAAUACCUGAGGUACUAGAAGAAACUGAACCCGAAUGAGACAUAGAUGCUGACAUGGCCGUAGGAUUAGAAACGAAGAACUGUCUGAACUGUUCGAAAACCUGGGGAUCCAACGCAGAAGGUGGCAUAGUGCUAACAGACUCAACAUCUACAGAUGGUGCAGCAGCAGCGAACUGUGGAGGACGAGAUGACCACGGAGGAGCACCAGAUGGGCGUGACGGAUACUUUUGCUGCCCAUAUUUCUGUUGCUGCCCAGAUUGAGGCUGUUUGACCUUGUUAAGUAACAACGGACACUGAGCCUUCCAAUGAUUUUUCUGUUUGCAGAAUGCACACUCAUCAAAUGCAACUUUAGGAGAUUGUCGAGUCUGAGUACGUGGUGGCCUAGACUGAUCAGUUGAAGCAGCAAACACGACAGGAGUAGUAGUUACUUUAGACCCUUUAUCCACUUGAGACUUGAUACGAGUCUCCUCUGCAAUCAGUUCAUGAACCACAGAAUCAACAGUAGGGAGGGGAGAUCGAUGAAGGAUUGUUCCACGUAGGCCCUCAAAGUCAGAACGUAGUGCCAUCAAAAACUGAACCAAGCGUUGCUCUUCCCGUCUAGCAAUGUACGGCCCAAAACCUUUUAACUCUGCAGAUUCAGUAAGUGCCAAUUGAUCCCACAAAUCCGACAUGGCAGCAUAAAAAUCUUGAAUACUGAGAUCAUGCUGUUGAAGAGCACGGAUAUCAUACUCCAACUGGUACUGCUUAGCAAAAUUAGACUGAGUGUACAGUCUUUCCAAAUGAUCCCAGACCUCCUUUGCUGUGUCAUACUUAGCCAAUUGCAUACCAAUUGACUGAGUUACAGAAUUGUUGAUCCAAGUGAUAAUCUUGGAGUUAUUAGUUUCCCAUAAGUCCACCAACAAAUCAAAAUUUUCAGUUUUAUCAUCGAUAGGUCUUGGUUUUACUCCAGUGAUAUAACCCCACAUAUUCUUCCCACGAAGAAAAUUCUUCAUGACAUAACUCCAAUAUGCAUAGUUCUUACCAUCUAAUUGAGUACUAAUGGACUGGAGAGAAUCAUCCUUUCCAGUCAUUGUAAACACAGCAACACACAAACAAUUCAAAAAAACAAAAAGAUGCAAAACCCUAGGUUGAACAAUUCCGAACGAACAACAAUGGCAGCAAGCAAAAGAACGAAAGACGAACAAUACCAGACAGCAAACAAAUACAGCAGCACCUCAAAAUUCGGGGCUCUGCCCCGAACCCCGGACGGGGGCGCACUGCCCCCCGUACCCCUCAGCGAACUCACCGUGGAGUUCGAUCCGCGCAGUAGGUGCCUGCUACAAAAUCUUCAACCAACAAAUCAAAGGACAUGGAUCAAACUAGCUUUGAUACCAUGUUAAUAGAACUUUAUUGAAAGAAAGAAAGGCUAAGGUUUACAAUAUAAUCUGAAAAGCAUAAAAACUAACUAAAACAAAAGUAUGCUAUAUAUAUACAUAGCCAAUAACCUAAAGGUCCAUAAAAUAAAGGCCCAAUAACAUAUGGGCUAACAGAUAGGUCUUAUUUUUUAUUGAUAAACUUAAUUCAGAGCAUGACCAUGAUUUCGUAUCAUUUUACAUUUUUGUAUUUUUCCUUCAUAUUAUAUAAAAGUGUGUAUGAUUGCCAAAUAAAGAAGGGCACUCAAGCCUUCAUGGUUUGGGAUGCUCGUCACGACCAGGGCCCCAAUUCGGUUCAUGACAAACUUGGUAUCAAAUCCGCUCCUGUGUCAUCUCUGUCGAUGUGGGCCAGAUUUCAAACUGAGUGUAGGCAAAUCCCGAUAAGGUGGGGAAAACCUCAGUCCUGAGUGUAGCCAAAUCCCAUUCGGUGGGGCAAACCUCAGCGAGGACGCUGAGUCUAUAAGGGGGUGUAUAUAACACCUCAACUUAGAAAGGAUUCCUAUAUCGGUAAAACAUAAGAGGGAUAUUGGGUAGAUAAGUAAGAAAGUCUUACUCCCCAGUGACGUGUUUUAAAGCCGUGCGGGCCUGGGCCCAAAGCGGAUAAUAUCAUUAGUGGGUUGGGCAGAGAAAGGGAUCUCUUGGGCCUUGAUGGUUUGGGAUGCCCAUAGCGGCUGGGGCUCCGGCUUGAGUCAUGAUAGAAUGGUAUCAGAGCCAGGUUCGUGCUAUGGAGUCAAAAUAUUCCUCUUUUAUACUCUGGUUCAUGCUAUGGCAUCGUCCAUAUGAAAGUAAAGUUAUCCCAAUUAUUUUCUUACUCUGAUGCUCUUAGACAUGUCUCAUUUUGAGGUGAUUCAAGUGUAGAAGUUUAGGAUCUAAAUGAUAUGGUCAUUUUCUGAUUGGGCAAUAAAAGAUUAUGAGAUUGAACAAGGACUUGAGAGGAGUCUGUUGGUGCUUUAAGGUUUAUUGUUUCUAGCGUAAACUUUGAUUCUGAUGAAAUUGUGCUUUUCAACCUGAGGUAUUAAGUGUAUUCAUUCCUUUUCAAAAUUUAUGUUGCAGAUGUCAUGCAUAAGGGGAAUGAUGUGUAGCAGAAUAUUGGAGCUGUAUUUCCACUAAAGUAGUAGUAUAAGUUAAAGUGUCAGUGUCAUGACAUAUUAGUGGGGAGAUUGGACCAUGAAGUUGGUGAUAUGAAGUCACUAGGUUAGCAGUCAGAGUGAGGGUGACUAUUGCAUAAAUAAGUAGUUUUAGUUGUAUAACCCUUUGAUUUAGGGGGUGGUUCUCUCUCUUUUAUGGUGGUUGGAUAAUAUUGUGACAAGAUUUGUAGAUUGUAUGGUUGUAUGUAAAGAAAGUGGUUGGCUAUGAUUAUUAUCUAUUUGAAUUAGGAAAGGAUCCUAGAGUGAAAAGUUAUGGUGGUUACAGAAAUUCCUUAUAGGCUGUGAAUGAAAAAGGUUAGAUUAACCAAUAAGUUACAAGUAUAGACUCAUUGUAGUAUGUGGAAUUUGAAGGUAGUCUAAAUGUAUGCUUUGGGUAAGUAAGUAUGAUGUGAGAAAGUAGAAUAUCUAGAUAAGAUUGUAUAGGAUUAUAAUAUAAGAUUAAGGUUGGCCAUGUCUAUUAUGUGACUUUACCCCCUUGACCUUCUUUUCUUCAGUAGUUGUAAACUAGUACUACUUGUGAGAAGGUAUGUAGUAGAUUUAGAGGUGUAGUAGUAAUGUCAUGGAGGUGACCUGGUUGAAGGUAGUAUCUAGGUGAAAUGAGGUAUUUGAGUUGAUUUCCCUAUUUGAUGGACUAGUACAUUAUGUUGCAUUCUUCAUUGGUGAAAGAUGAUUGAUGCUAGACUAUAGGCUUGAAUUUUAGAUGUAGAAUGUGGUGGUAAGAAUGGUAGCUUAAGAUUAAUGAGGUAUGUUUUGUGGCAAUGAAUUGGUAGGCUUGAUGUGAUUUGUGAAAAAGCCUAAGUUGAUAGUUUAUGAAAAGUUUAAGUGGUAAGUGUGAGGUAUAUGUGUAUAUGAGGACUAGUAUUAAAGUAAUGAAUUUUGGGUGAAUCAUUAAGUGGAUAGAGUGUAGUAAGUAUAUAAGAAUAAGUUGCACCCCUAGUAGUAUGGAGUUGGGUAAAAUUUUAUGAUAUAAAUUAUGCGAUUAAUGGUCUAAUGUUAGAAGGUUAAGUAGUGGGGACUGGAUUUUUUUUAUGUGAUAAGGAGUAAGGAUGUACAUGCUCAUGAGACUGCGAGUUGUAGGUUAGUGAAAAUAGAGGAUCGUAAAAAAAACUAAGAUUAGCGUUCUUUGAAAGCAAUGCCUUUAGAGUAUUAUUAAGAAGGGAAAGUUUAGUAUUUUUGAGUAUAAAUGUUUUACGCACCUAGUUUGUGUCCUUAAAAUUGUAGUAUAGAGAAGCUUGGUGAGUUGUUGUUCUGUGUUCGUUAGAGUUGAAUUGAGGAAAUACUGGUAGGCAAUAUGAGCCUUGGGUAUGAUUUUACAAAUUUUGUUAAGUGCUAAGUUAUGUGAUUAGAGGUGUAAUGCUAGUAUUCUAAGGAGUUGAAGAAGAAGUGUUGAGUAAUUUGAAGCAUAGAUGCCCAUACCCAUAUUAAUGUUAACCAUAAGUGGUGAUUUUGGGGUUAGAGGAAGUUAUGAUUAGUGUCCCUGAACGGAGGUCCCAGAAAGAAUUUAGUGUCUUUAUAUUAGAAAUAAAUGAGAGGAGUUGUAUUCAUGUAUAUAUUGAUAUCCCUUGGUGAUAAGGAGAGUGAAUGCGUACACUCAUGGAAGUGGGGGUUGUAGAGUAAUGGCUAUAAUGGUUGGCGAAAUUUAAGAGUAAUAUUUACAGAAAAGCAAGCCCUUCGGGGUAUAGAUCAUUAGGGAGAGUUAGAGUUUGAGUAUAUGGUGAUGUCUCUUUUAUGUUAAGAGUUAUGGCUAUAGAAUGGGUAAUGGGAUAUGUCUGUCAGUCUAGGAUUAUGACUUUGAUCUAAGGGGGAGAUGGGGAAUUAAGUUAGUUCCCAAAUUUUUUCCAAUGCGGCAAGUUGCGGGAAGGAGUCAUGAUGAACUUAAUUCUACUCAAGCAUUAUCCUCCAACUUCAAUUUAGAAGAGUAUCCUUAUAAUGUCUUUUGUCAUUCAUUCAUGUAUUGCCUAUGCCUAAAGUUUGAACUCUCGAUGUAACUCAUGUCAUCUUCCGAUAUCCAAACAAGGAGCAAUAGUGUCCCUCAGUGAUCCAAUAUUCCAAAUAUCCAAGCCAUAUGUUAUGUUGAUCAUGAUCCAAACCUAUGUCUCACAACAUGUUUGGUCCUAAGAAAAUAUGUUUCUAUAUGUUGCAGAAUCAUUUUAUGCCGAAAUUUCCCAAGGUGAUAAAGUUUAUGCUAACUCUUGGAAAUGUUCAGCUCUUUAAAUGAGAAGCAAUCACUUUAAGUGAAAUCCUUAUCUUAGUUGUUAACUACAUAAAUCUCAACUUUAUGCCGUAUAGCUCAUGAUAUGUGCAUCCAUGUUCCUCAUUUUGGUCUGUCCUAAAGAAUCAUGUUGUGUUGUGUCUAUUCUAUCACAUCUUCACCUCCUGUGCCUCCUUGAGAAGUGAAACAAGUGGAUUGAUAAAUGUUACUUCUAUUCAUGAUGUUUUUGCUUGGGUCCCUCAAUGACCCUCCGUACAUUAAUGUGAUAGUGGUUGUGGAAGCGUAGUAAUGUGUAGGAAAGGGAGUAGAUGUUCUUGAAGGUGAAAAUCUUGAGGUGAUAUCUUGAGCUGCGGUUUAAAGAUAAGAGGGUAGAAAAGAGAAAUUCUCAUUAUGUGAAAUAGUUAUAAGGGAAGUAUAUGGCGAGAAUCUUUGUGAGAAUGAUUGAAUUUCCUGGUCUUAGUGGAGAGGUCCAUGAAGUGGGGUGUCAUGAUGAUAGGCUUGAAUUUUGUUUUUGGUGAAUAAAUAAACCAAUGUGACAUGUUGUUAGUAUUCCUUGAAUUAAGACUUGAGGUUGUGGAGUUAUAGUGAUGAGGUGAGGUGAUGUAGAGUACUGGGUCCCAUAGUUUAAAUAAACACGUCUUUCCUCCGAGUUUGGCUUCAGCAUAGAAUUAUUAGACUGCAGGACACAAAACUCUUGUGGUUAGAUGUCACGACCCAAACUAGGGCCUAGCCGUGACGAACAUCCCAAACCAUGAAGCCUGAACGUCCUACUCUACCUGUUAGUCAAGCACAACAUUUAUAUAAUAAAAGAAGAUGCGAAAAUAUAAUCUAAUAUGGAAACAUGGUCAUACUCUGGAUUCAGUUUAACAAUAAGGAAUGAAAUCCAAAAUCGACUAAACAACAUCUGGAAUAGUCUAUGAAAUCUCUACUACAUCUGAACAUAACAACUGCCUGAAACUGGGACAAGGACCCCAGUAGACCAAAAUAAAAGGAACAACAUUAUCUGAAAAUAGGCAGGCCUUCUGGAACAAGGAAGGUGUAACGCCUCGAUUUCCUAAACCAAAACGCUACACGGUGCUCAUGACCCUGAAGGACCACAAGCUAACCCAUAACUGAUAUCUGUACCUGUAACUGCACAAUAUACAUAUAAAAUUGUAGAAACAUGAACUAAAAGGCCGAAAGGUUCAAUCUUGAACAAUUUGUUCAAACGUCUGAAUAAAGUGGUAUCACAGUACCAAAACAAAACUGAAAAAAUACUAAAGUCUGAAUCUGAAAACUCUGUAAUCGUCUGAACGCCUCUAAACUGUCUGAAUAAGGAGUUGAAGGAAUAUGUCUCCAACUAACUCCCUAAACUGAAAAUAAACUGAAAUACUGGAAUGAUAAAUGUAAUGAUCAUGUCCUCGAAAGAUGAGGACUCACUGCUAACUGAACUGCUACUGCUGAUCUGGAACCUCCGCCUCAGAACCUAUGGUGUGACAUAAAGAGAAAGUACCAUAGCGCGAAUACGUCAGUACAACUAAAGUAUUGAGUAUACGUGGGGAUAAGCUAAAUGCAUGGGGUUUAUAUGCAUGAACAUGUUGACUAAUAUGAACGUGAGAAUACAUACAUACGUACAUAACUUCUACUGAACUCGUGGAGAUACUGACUAUUGAGUCUGAAUACUGACAUCAUGACUUUACUGAUACUGAGAUACUGAAUAGAUGAAUGACUAUUUCUGACAGUUCGAAUUAUGAAGAACUGGUCUGAUUAAUCGUGUAUAACAGUCCUAAAAACUGAAUACUGAUAAUGUAAGCUAUGAAGACUGAUAUAACUGAUAUAACUGUGAUGAUUGGCCUAACCGAUGUAACUGAUACUGAGUGAUUAUAUCUGACAGUCUAAAUCUUCUAAUAAUGGUUAAGAGUGACAAAGCUUGAGAUUAGGCCUAAAUAAUAGGUGAUCUCUGGGGACUGGUAAUGAGAAUACUCAACUGAAAUCUGAGAUUGAGAUCAAGCCUAUCUGCCGGGUGACCUGUAAUAGCCCACAAAAUUUUUCGUUGAAAUUUUGUGCGUAAACGUGUUGGGUUCUAUCUUCUAGAAUGAAUUAUAAAUUUUCCAUGCUUAAUGUCUUAGAUUAUGACCCACCAUUGCGUAGAGUAUCGAAUAAGAUUUCCAACAAUAUGUGGAUCAUCCAAAACCGACACCCGAGUGACGAGUUAUGAACAUUCCGAUCGAACUGUGAAUAGUAGUGAAUAGUAAAACAUGCAGGAAAAAGUACUGAGGCCUGGCGUGUUUUUGCUCCAAAUUUAAACGAUCAUAAAUCCUUGUACAUAAUGAUCUGGGUGAUCUACUAUAUAUCAACGGAAAUCUCUACGAGUCCUCUUUCCAAUGAAAUUGGUUUCAUCCAAUUUGUCUAUUGGAGAAAAAAGUUAUGGUCGAUCUACUUCAACCUAUGAAAAGCCAAUUUUUGGGUCAACUUCAAAUGAUCAUAACUCCUUGUACAUAAUGAUCUGGGAGAGAUAAUGUAUAUCAACAGAAAUAUAUGAGAUUCCUCUAUCUAAUGAAAUUGGUUUCAUCCAAUUUGGAGAUCGGAUUAAAACGUUAUGGUUGAUCUACUUCAGACUAUCAAAACAGUCCACCAAAGGACAAAUUCGAGAUUUUUUUUAUUUUAAGGGGCGUUUUAGUCAUUCCACCUCACCCAAAAUCCGUCCAAACCCUAUAUUAAAGCCUAUUAGAAGCAUUAUAUGUUAUAUUUCAUCAAAUUCCCUCAAAAAGAAAACCCUAAGCUCCUACAUCCAACUUCAAGAACCUCCAAAGUUCACCAUUAAUUCUGCAAAUUUAUUCAAGAUUCCAAGUUCCUAGUUCAAGAACUCUAAGAACCAUCAGUCAAAGGCAUGAUUAACAUCUCUAAAACAAGUAUCUAUCUAAAGUUCAUCAUUCAAGGUAUGUGGGGUUUUUCAAUAAGAACUCUCUUUCGUUCUUGUGCCCAAAAGUAAUUUUCUUUACAAAGGCAUGAUUUUUAUUUGAUUUUUAUGAAUUUGAAGCAUGAACCCAUAUCUUAUGAUGAUUAUUAUGAAAUCUUGAUGUUUAUGAUUUUGAAAGAUGAAUGUACAUGUGUGGAGAUAUAAAGCAUGAAUCUUGAACGAUAUUUAUCAUGAUUUUGAUAUUUGGGUCAUGAAUCCCNNNNNNNNNNNNNNNNNNNNNNNNNNNNNNNNNNNNNNNNNNNNNNNNNNNNNNNNNNNNNNNNNNNNNNNNNNNNNNNNNNNNNNNNNNNNNNNNNNNNNNNNNNNNNNNNNNNNNNNNNNNNNNNNNNNNNNNNNNNNNNNNNNNNNNNNNNNNNNNNNNNNNNNNNNNNNNNNNNNNNNNNNNNNNNNNNNNNNNNNNNNNNNNNNNNNNNNNNNNNNNNNNNNNNNNNNNNNNNNNNNNNNNNNNNNNNNNNNNNNNNNNNNNNNNNNNNNNNNNNNNNNNNNNNNNNNNNNNNNNNNNNNNNNNNNNNNNNNNNNNNNNNNNNNNNNNNNNNNNNNNNNNNNNNNNNNNNNNNNNNNNNNNNNNNNNNNNNNNNNNNNNNNNNNNNNNNNNNNNNNNNNNNNNNNNNNNNNNNNNNNNNNNNNNNNNNNNNNNNNNNNNNNNNNNNNNNNNNNNNNNNNNNNNNNNNNNNNNNNNNNNNNNNNNNNNNNNNNNNNNNNNNNNNNNNNNNNNNNNNNNNNNNNNNNNNNNNNNNNNNNNNNNNNNNNNNNNNNNNNNNNNNNNNNNNNNNNNNNNNNNNNNNNNNNNNNNNNNNNNNNNNNNNNNNNNNNNNNNNNNNNNNNNNNNNNNNNNNNNNNNNNNNNNNNNNNNNNNNNNNNNNNNNNNNNNNNNNNNNNNNNNNNNNNNNNNNNNNNNNNNNNNNNNNNNNNNNNNNNNNNNNNNNNNNNNNNNNNNNNNNNNNNNNNNNNNNNNNNNNNNNNNNNNNNNNNNNNNNNNNNNNNNNNNNNNNNNNNNNNNNNNNNNNNNNNNNNNNNNNNNNNNNNNNNNNNNNNNNNNNNNNNNNNNNNNNNNNNNNNNNNNNNNNNNNNNNNNNNNNNNNNNNNNNNNNNNNNNNNNNNNNNNNNNNNNNNNNNNNNNNNNNNNNNNNNNNNNNNNNNNNNNNNNNNNNNNNNNNNNNNNNNNNNNNNNNNNNNNNNNNNNNNNNNNNNNNNNNNNNNNNNNNNNNNNNNNNNNNNNNNNNNNNNNNNNNNNNNNNNNNNNNNNNNNNNNNNNNNNNNNNNNNNNNNNNNNNNNNNNNNNNNNNNNNNNNNNNNNNNNNNNNNNNNNNNNNNNNNNNNNNNNNNNNNNNNNNNNNNNNNNNNNNNNNNNNNNNNNNNNNNNNNNNNNNNNNNNNNNNNNNNNNNNNNNNNNNNNNNNNNNNNNNNNNNNNNNNNNNNNNNNNNNNNNNGUUUUAAGGUGUCCUAGGGAGUCUGACAAGCCGCGUUAAGUAGAGUCUUGAUCAUCGGUGUGUAGCGCGCCACAUCUAUGAGCAAGAGGCUACAAGACGUUUUAGGAAAAAGUGUAAUUCUUUCUUUCAGAAGCUUAUCAUGCUUAAAGUGUCUCUCUCUACUAUUGAUUCGUGCUUUCCUGUUUCAAAAAUAUGCCUCCACAUCGAGCAAAAAGAAGUAAUAAUGGUCAACAACCUCAACCCGCUGACCCAUUGAAUGAAAAUGUGUCUUAUGCUGAAUUUUGGGCAGCCUUUCAGGCGCUGGCCCAAGUUGUCGUUGCAAAUAUUCAGGACAACCAGGCCCCGACUCUACAGCAGCAGGGAGGUGAUUUAGCUGCUGCCAGGAUCCGUGACUUCAUGCGAAUGAAUCCGUCGGAAUUCUAUGGGUCCAAGUCUGAUGAGGAUCCACGACUAUAUUUAGAGAAGGUGCAGAAGAUUACUCAGGUGAUACAUGUAUCUGAGGAACAAAGUAUGGAGUUAGCUACGUAUAGGUUGAAAGACCUUGCUUAUGACUGGGUUUUUUCUUGGAGGAAAGGUAGAGGUUAGGGAGCUGUCCCUACAACUUGGCAAGAGUUCCAGGUUGCAUUCCUAGAUAAGUUUUUCCCUUUGGAGAUGAGGGAGGCGAAGGUGGAAGAGUUUAUGAACCUGCGAUAGGGCUCUAUGACUGUUAGGGAGUACUGUCUAAAGUUCAAUCAGUUGGCCAAGUAUGCUCUUGACUUAGUGGAUGAUAAUCGGGCUACUAUGAGUAAGUUUGUGACUGGAGUGACUAGUUAUGUGGUUAAGGAGUGUAGGUCUGCUNNNNNNNNNNNNNNNNNNNNNNNNNNNNNNNNNNNNNNNNNNNNNNNNNNNNNNNNNNNNNNNNNNNNNNNNNNNNNNNNNNNNNNNNNNNNNNNNNNNNNNNNNNNNNNNNNNNNNNNNNNNUGUUUGUGAGUUGAGUGACUAGUUAUGUUGUUAAGGAGUGUAGGUCUGCUUUACUGAAUAGUGAGAUGAAUCUUUCAGGGAUGAUGACUCAUGCCCAACAGAUUGAGGUAGACAAGAUUAAGGAGAGAGAUAUAAUGAGAGGGAAUAAGAGAGCUAGGUUCGAGCAGCACGGACAAGGUCAGACUAGAUCGUAGGGAAGGAGUCACCCUUAGUAUCAGGAUCGUUCGUCUAUGCCAGCACCGUCAUCUGCUAGUGCACCCAUGCCUAGAGGUAGGAAGGAUCAAGGUAGCAGGUCAUAUGCAUCCAAGUCCCAGUACAGUGCUGGCAGUAAGCCAAAUUAUCCCCUGUGUCCUAAGUGUGGUAGGGGUCAUUCGGGUGAGUUUUGGGGUGAGAAGAGGGGUUGUUUCUGGUGUGGUGACAUGGGUCACAGAGUUAGAGAUUGUCAACAAGAUGGACAAGGGCGUCGUGACUAUCGCCCUCAAACCCAGACUCAGAUUGUUAGUGCUCCAGUUCCAGCGACUUACCCAGCCCCAUCUCAGGGCGCCUCUCCUAGCAAUGCUGGCGGGCAGUGCCAGAAUAGAUUCUAUGCUUUACCAUCCCACCAGGAACAGGAGGACUCUCCCAAUGUUUUUUACUGGUAUACUUCGUAUAUUUCAGUUUGAUGUGUAUGCUUUGUUGGAUCCUGGAUCCAGUUUCUCAUAUGUUACACCUUUGAUUGCUGUGAAUUUUGAAAUGAGUCAUGAUUUUAUUCCUUAGCCUAUCCUAGUUUUUACCCCAGUGGGUGAUUUAAUUGUUGCCCAAAAUAUGUUUAAAAAGUGUCCUGUUACCGUUCUUCAUAGAGUCUUGUUGGCUGAUCUGAUUGAGUUAGACAUGGUAGAUUUUGAUAUGAUUCUGGGUAUGGACUGGCUAUAUUCUUCUUAUGCCUCUAUUGAUUGUCGGACCUGAGUGGUCAAGUUUCAUUUUUCGGGUGCAUCCGUCUUUGAGUGGUCUGGGAAUUCUGUGUCACCCAAGAGUCAUUUUAUCUCUUACCUCAAAGCUAGAAAGCUUAUUUUCAAGGGGUGUAUUUACCAUUUGGUUAGAGUCAAAGACACUAAGUCUAAGACUCCAACUCUCCAGUCUGUUAACGUCGUCAAUGAGUUUUCUGAUGUCUUUUCGGAUGUUCUCCCAGGGAUACCUCCUGAUAGAGAGAUAGAGUUCGGGAUUGACCUUCUUNNNNNNNNNNNNNNNNNNNNNNNNNNNNNNNNNNNNNNNNNNNNNNNNNNNNNNNNNNNNNNNNNNNNNNNNNNNNNNNNNNNNNNNNNNNNNNNNNNNNNNNNNNNNNNNNNNNNNNNNNNNNNNNNNNNNNNNNNNNNNNNNNNNNNNNNNNNNNNNNNNNNNNNNNNNNNNNNNNNNNNNNNNNNNNNNNNNNNNNGUAUGUGCAUUGAUUACCGCCAACUGAAUAAAGUCACCAUAAAAAAUAAGUACCCCCUUCCGAGAAUAGAUGAUUUGUUUGACCAAUUGCAAGGUGCAAGUUAUUUCUCAAAGAUAGACCUUCUUCCGGCUAUCAUCAACUCAAAGUUAGGGAGUGUGACAUCCCGAAAACUACUUUCCGAACUAGUUAUGGCCAUGUUGAGUUUCUUGUUAUGUCUUUUGGGUUAACUAAUGCCCCAAUAGCUUUCAUGGACCUCAUGAAUCAAGUGUUCAGACCAUAUCUGUAUAUGUUUGUCAUAGUGUUCAUCGAUGAUAUACUGUUGAACUCCCGUAAUGAGGAUGAACAUUCUGAUCACUCCAAACUGUCUUGCAAAACCUUAAAGAUCACAAGUUGUUUUCCAAGUUCAAUAAGUGUCAGUUUUGGCUAAGGUCAGUGCUUUUCUGGGUCAUAUCAUUUCUUCUGAGGGUAUUAGAGUUGAUCCCCAAAAAACCGAAGCUGUUAGAAAUUAGCCUAGACCUAUUUCUCCAACUGAUAUCCAAAGUUUCUUGGGUUUAACUGGCUAUUACCGCCGUUUUGUUGAGGUUUUCUCCUCUAUAGCGUCUCCUAUUACUCGGUUGACCCAAAAGAAAGUGAAGUUCUUGUGGUCUGAAUCUUGUGAGAAGAGUUUUUAGGAGUUGAAGACUCGACUCAUUUCAGCCCCUGUUUUGACUUUACCUGAUGGUAUUGAUGGUUUUGUGUAGUACUGUGAUGCUUCGAGAGUUGGGUUGGGUUACGUAUUAAUGCAGAAGGGUAAGGUGAUAGCUUAUGCUUCUAGACAGUUGAAAACCCAUGAGAAAAAUUACCCCACCCAUGACCUUGGGUUGACUGCUGUUGUGUUUGCUUUGAAAAUCCAUGUUGAUAUUUUCACUGAUCAUAAGAGUCUGCAGUAUGUGUUAACUCAGAGUGAAUUGAAUCUUAAGCAGAGACGAUGGUUACAAUUGUUAAAGGACUAUGAUAUGAGUGUGUUGUACCAUCCGGGCAAGGCCAAUGUUGUGGCGGAUGCCCUAAGUAAAGUGUCCAUGGGUAGUGUUUCGCAUGUGGUAGAAAGCAAGAAAGAGUUGGCUCGUGAUGUACAUCAUUUGACUAGAUUGGGGGUUAGGUUGUUUAACUCUGCUGAAGGUAGUAUAGGGGUUCAGAGUAGUUCCGAAUCCUCCUUGGUUUCGAAAGUGAAGGAAAAGCAAUACUUAGAUGCUAGUUUGGUCAGACGAGUCAGUCAAGGACUAAAAAGUAGAGGUUUUCUCCCAAGAGGGAGAUAGUGUGUUGAGAUUCCAGGGUGGUUGUGUGUCCUGAAUGUUGAUGAUCUGAGACAGAGGAUUAUGGCUAAAGCACACGGGGUAUGAUAUUCUAUUCAUCCUGGUGCCACCAAGAUGUACCGAGACUUGCGGGAAAUCUAUUGGUGGAGUGGCAUGAAGAAAGAUAUAGCAGCGUUUGUAGCUAAGUGUGAAACAUGCCAACAGGUUAAGGUUGAACACCAAAGACCUGGUGGUAUGAUGCAAGAGUUUAGUAUUCCCACCUGGAAGUGGGAAGAGAUAAAUAUGGACUUCGUGAUUGGUUUACCUCUUUCCCGACGCCAUCAUGAUUCCAUUUGGGUUGUGGUUGAUAGGUUGACUAAGUCUGCUCAUUUCUUGCCUGUUCAUACUUCAUAUACUGCUUAGGAUUACGCUAGAUUGUAUGUCCGAGAGCUAUUCAGACUGCAUGGAGUUCCCUUUUCUAUCAUUUCGGAUAGGGGUACUCAAUUCACAUCGUAAUUUUGGAAAGCUUUUCAGAAGGGUCUUGGUACCCAAGUGCUUUUGAGUUCUGCUUUUCAUCCGCAGAGUGAUGGUCAGGCUGAGCGGACCAUCCAGACCUUAGAGGAUAUGUUGAGAGCUUGUUCACUUGACUUUAAGGGAAGUUGGGAUGAUCGCUUACCGUUGAUAGAGUUUGCUUACAAUAACAGUUUUCACUCUAGUAUUGGCAUGGCUACGUUUGAAGCCUUAUAUGGGAGGAAGUGUAGAUCACCCAUAGGUUGGUUCGAGCUAGGUAAAGCGGCUGUGAGUGGUCCUAAUUUGGUAUUUGUGACUGUGGAAAGAGUUAAGUUGAUUAGGGAAAGGUUGAAAACUUCACAGAGUUGUCAGAAGUCAUAUGCGGAUGUUAGAAGGAGAGAACUUGAGUUUGAAGUUGGUGACCUAGUGUAUCAAAAAAUUUCACCCAUGAGGAGGGUGAAGAGAUUCAGAAAGAAGGGGAAGCUUAGUUCCCAUUAUGUUGGUCCUUACAAAAUUCGUAGCCGUGUUGGUAAGGUAGCUUAUGAGGUCGAGUUGCCUUCNNNNNNNNNNNNNNNNNNNNNNNNNNNNNNNNNNNNNNNNNNNNNNNNNNNNNNNNNNNNNNNNNNNNNNNNNNNNNNNNNNNNNNNNNNNNNNNNNNNNNNNNNNNNNNNNNNNNNNNNNNNNNNNNNNNNNNNNNNNNNNNNNNNNNNNNNNNNNNNNNNNNNNNNNNNNNNNNNNNNNNNNNNNNNNNNNNNNNNNNNNNNNNNNNNNNNNNNNNNNNNNNNNNNNNNNNNNNNNNNNNNNNNNNNNNNNNNNNNNNNNNNNNNNNNNNNNNNNNNNNNNNNNNNNNNNNNNNNNNNNNNNNNNNNNNNNNNNNNNNNNNNNNNNNNNNNNNNNNNNNNNNNNNNNNNNNNNNNNNNNNNNNNNNNNNNNNNNNNNNNNNNNNNNNNNNNNNNNNNNNNNNNNNNNNNNNNNNNNNNNNNNNNNNNNNNNNNNNNNNNNNNNNNNNNNNNNNNNNNNNNNNNNNNNNNNNNNNNNNNNNNNNNNNNNNNNNNNNNNNNNNNNNNNNNNNNNNNNNNNNNNNNNNNNNNNNNNNNNNNNNNNNNNNNNNNNNNNNNNNNNNNNNNNNNNNNNNNNNNNNNNNNNNNNNNNNNNNNNNNNNNNNNNNNNNNNNNNNNNNNNNNNNNNNNNNNNNNNNNNNNNNNNNNNNNNNNNNNNNNNNNNNNNNNNNNNNNNNNNNNNNNNNNNNNNNNNNNNNNNNNNNNNNNNNNNNNNNNNNNNNNNNNNNNNNNNNNUUGGCAUGUCUAGCAUCAUUCGAGGAUGAAUGUUUCCAAGGGGGGAUGAUGUAAUACCCCGGAAAAUUUUUCAUUGAAAUUUUGUGCGUAAACGUGUUGGGUUCUAUCAUCUUGAAUGAAUUAUAAAUUUUCCGUGCAUAAUGUCUUAGAUUAUGACCCACCAUUGCGUAGAGUAUCGAAUAAUCUUUCCAACGAUAUGUGGAUCAUCCAAAACGGACACCCGAGCGAUGAGUUAUGAACAUUCCGAUCGAACUGUGAAUAGUAGUGAACAGUAAAACGUGCAGGAAAAAAAUACUGAGGCCUGGCGUAUUUUUGCUCCAACUUUAACUGAUCAUAAAUCCUUGUACAUAAUGAUCUGGGUGAUCUACUAUAAAUCAACAGAAAGCUCUGCAAGUUCUCUUUCCAAUGAAAUUGGUUUCAUCCAAUUUGUCUAUUAGAGCAAAAAGUUAUGGUCGAUCUACUUCAGCCUAUCAAAAACGAAUUUUUGGGUCAACUUCAAACGAUCGUAACUCCUCAUACACAAUGAUAUGGGUGAGAUACUAUAUAUCAACGGAAAUACAUGAGAGUAUUCUUUCUAAUGAAAUUGGUUUCAUUCAAUUUGGAUAUCGGAUGAAUUAAAGGAUGAAUCUUGAACGAUAUUUAUCAUGAUUUUGAUAUUUGGGUCGUGAAUCCCCAUUGGAAAUUGUGUUUUUUUUGAGAAAGUGUGUGUUAUAAGCACGUUGAUAUUAAAUAUUUGAGAUAUUUUGAAUGAUUUGACCUUUUGGUCUUAAUGGAGUUGUUUUGAACUCGAGUGUGAAAGAAAUCCACAACGUGGUUGAUUUUGAUAGAUGGGAAGCAUGAUGGCUCCCGAUGUAUAUUUAUAUAUUACAGAAAUUGUUUUGUUAUGGAUUGUACUUGAAAUGAUCUGAGUUAAGUCCGGGAAGAAUCUUUAGCACCGAGUGGGAGGUAUAAAGCGACCUUACUUCCUUAGAAUUACGUGCCUCCGUAGGAGUGAGCAUGAGGCUGAUUUAUAUAGUAAUCACUAGUUUGUGUGGAUUUGAUAUCGAUAGUCCUACUCUGAUAGCAAAGAUAGGAUGGCUCUGCCCAACGUGCGUUGUACGUUGGACUCCAUGUAGCCCACAUGCUUUAUGUCGGUUAUAGGUUCUCUCAGUGUGUGUGUGUUUCCUUGUGUCUAUGGUGAAUGGUGAAGUGAUUUGAAAGUGGAAUUGUGAAAGUUAGUUUUUCAAAAGAUUUAAAUGAUAUUUAAAUUAUGAGAAUUGAUAUUCUUGAUGAACUGAAAGUGAUUGACAAAUUAUAUGAUGACUCACACGUGUUAUUGUACUUAUUUCAUCCUCUCAUAAUUACGAUGAUUUUUUUUGGGCUAUGUGAAUCUUUCAUACAUCCUGCAUAUUUCUUAUAAAUAUUUAUGAUGAUGAUGUUUAUACAAUUGCAUACACGCCCAUAUACUCGGUUCCUUUCCAUGGUAUUGACCCACAUCUUCGGAUGUGGGCUGGAUUUUCUUGAAAUGUAGGUUUAGGUGCUCAGUUCCAGGUUCGACAGUGAUUCUUCGGGCACACUGUUCUACAUCCUCUGUUGUGAUGAGUCCUCACGUUCCGAGGACGUGAUGUCUGAUGUUCGCUUCACAGAAUUGUUCACAUUUGAUAACUGAGUAUGAGUCAGUUGGAGCAUGUCUCAAUGGCUCGCUGGUUUUAUUGAUUUUCUUAGAGGCUUGUCAGACUAGUAUAGAUUUUGGGAGUUGACUAAUAAGUCGUAUUUUGUUGUCUUUCUUAAAUUCUUUUAUUCUUGGAUGAUGAUUACUCUGUUGAUAUUUGAGGGUUAUUUAUGAAAACCCCGUUGAUUUGUGUUGAAUUGAAUUAAAAUGGCUCAAAGGGUUAGCUUGGGGCUACUCGUAGCCUCAAGCAUCGUGUGAUGCUUCGGUACCCAUUUUCUGGGGCGUUACAUGACCUCUAUAAGUACUGAUACUGAAUAACUUAAUGAGAGACCAAGCCUAUAUUACGGGUGGUCUUUAAAUCUGUGGAACUAUCUGAGUUCCUUACUGAGAUCGAUGACUGUAUCUGACAGUCCUGAUUUCUGAUUUCUAUUCUGAAGACUGAUACUAAAACUGUAAUUGUGGGAGGUAGUCACCUAACCAACAUGCCCUGAUAUUGAACUGGUGGGGUGCAAUCUUUGCCCUGAUUGGAAGGGUGAUAAUGUCAUGCCAUGGGUAAAGCCACUGCUAACUGAACCUAGGAUGCCAUGCCUAAAUGACGGGUGACACUUGGUAGGAGUUAAGCCUAAUAUAAAGGGUGACUCCGGGUAGGUAGUCAAGCCUAAUCUAACGGGUGACUCCUGGUCCUGCACUGGCUAUGCAGUUCUGGAGUACAGGGAUUUCUGCUAAUGACUCUGCCUCUAUAGCGGGGAAGCCACCAUCUCCAUACUCGCUCGGUGCUAUUUCCAUCUCCCAAUUAAAAGACUCUAAACAGAUUAACUGAGCUGAACUGAUUGACUAAACUAAAUUGAUCAGCUGAACUGGACUGGGCUGAGUUAACUGAACUGAUACUAGCGGUAUUAUUUAGCCGAGUUAAACUAAAAUUACUUGGUUCCCUUGACUGAAGGAACUUACUGAGUUCCGACGACUGACUGAGAGUACUGAAACUACUGAGAUCGCUAGGAAUACUGUUGGUACUAAGAUCACUGAGAUUACUGAGUACUGAGAUUACUAAGAUUUUUGAGGUUUCCUGAGUCACAUGACUGAUUGAAUUCUAUAGAUCAUGACUUGACUGAGAGUAUCGUGAUAGCUUGACAUGGCUCUAGAAACACAACUGUAUUUUUGGUGUACAAGUACCCUCAGGACUCGAUGGAAGGAAACUGACACACAUGACUAACUUGAUCAUAAGAGUAGAGUCCACAAUUCACAAUAUUAUAAGUAGGGAUUUCAUACUAAGCAUGGUUCUCAACAAUCUAUCACUUGGACAGGAAUAUACAACGCGUAUAUACUUGCAUGGCUCCAAUAGCAUGGAAAUCACGUUGAACAUAAACUUAGAACAUGGAAUAGUCAUUCAGGAUCUAUUAUGUCAUAGAAGCAUGAUUUCUAGUCUCUUAGGUAUUUUCACAAACACCUUACAUGCACAUCUUAGGCAUAGGUGGAUUCAUCAAGAUUACAAGUAUUCGACCACAAAUUUCAUAUAUUUAUACAUCAUAUACCACCAUAGCUUCACAUAAACAUACAAAAAUCCCAUCUUGGGCAUCAUCAAACUCCAACAACAUGAUCAUCAACCAUCAACAACAUAAACAUCACAAUACAAAAUUUGAAGGAUGAUUCUUGAGAUUUAUGGAUGAAAGGAAUCCAUAAAUCAACAUUCGCAUACCUUAGUUAGAAGUUUCCUUGAAAUUCUACGGUGAAAUCUCUUGAUUCUUGGAGCUUCUAUGAAAACCCUAACUUGAGUUCUUGGUUGUUCUUGAGAGAAAAUCAACAAAAGGGAUGUAUUUUGGUGUUAUGGAGCUCAAAUCCCAUGUUUAAGGUGUCACGAACCGAACCGGGGCCCUGGCCAUGACGAGUAUCCCGAACCAUAAAGGCCCGAGACACCCCUAUCUGUCUGGUAUUCAUGCACAUAAUUCAUAUGAUAAUAAAAAUACGGAAUAUAAACAAUAUUACAGAAACAUGGUCAGGAAUCAUACGAAAGCAAUAAUGGGGAAUAAUGUCCCACAAUCCCAACACAUCUCUAUGACGUCUGCGAAAUCUCUACUACAUGACUGAAACAAAUAUCUAUCUGAAAACUGGGACAAGGCCCCCAGUAGACCCAAAACUAAUAAAUGAUAAAUGAAACUGCCAGAUAUCAGGCUUUCCAAAAUAUAGAAGGCUCACCAAGUGACUCUACGAAUCUGUCUGAGGAAAUCUACUAAUUUUCUAGACCCCUAGACUGUGCCUUCGAACCUGGGAGGGAAGGGGGUCAAUACAAAAGUACUGGUACGCAGAGAUAUCAAAAAAAAAUAUAAUAUUUUUACAAAAUAUAGUUGAGAGCCAUUAUAAAGCAGUUUCAUAUCAAAUCAUUUGAAAACACAUUGGCGUAAUGUAAUUGUUUUCAACAAUAAUGCAAUGCAACUGAGCUAGGUGGAAUACCCUACAUAUCACAUUUACACCAACUGUCAAACCUCGGUUGUCUUUUAGAUUAGAGUAUGAGUGAGGGGACGAAACACAAGAUGACAUAGCAAGGUGUCUCGACCCAAUGGUAGUGCACAAGAUCAGAAAGCAGGGUUCCUAACCAUAAUUCCAAUUUGGGAAUGACAUAAAGUCAGGUACGUAAGAUCACAAAGCAUGGUACCAAGUUCCCAUAUCGGCAAACACAAUUUCCAGCGAUGAGUCCUUACACUCAAACGCCUUCUUCGGGCAUCCACCUAUCUCAUGUAAAAUCGAUGCAUUCAAAUUUCAUCUGAUUCAAUCACAUACCAUAUUCUGUAGGGUAUCGUCAUCCCCGACUUGCAAGCCAUCAAUGUCACAUCAUUACUUCAUGCAGCCAUUAUAUUCAUCAUAUUUCAACAUAAUAACCCUCUCCUUGCAAGUCGAAAAUCAUAUGCACUUUCAAAAUAGUUCAUGUCAUGCUUUUCAAGAUGAUUUCAAACAAUUCACAUCAUAUAAAAAUUUCAAACAAUUUCAUAUCAAGAGAGGGGUUUCAUAUAAUUCAUGAUCUCAAGUUAACAUCUUUUGAAUCACAAGCAUAUGCAUAUAUAAUAUAUCAAAUCACUUCGGAAAUAGGCCUAAAGACCAAAAAAAUAUCAUAAAGAUGCUUGAAACAUGUUUAUAUUCAUAAUUUCAAAACCUCCAUUUUUAAAACAUGAAUUUUUAAGCCCAUGAGAUUUUUGAGAUAACCCCACGUACCUCUAUAUGCGAAUAUGAUAGGUGCUUCUUGAAGCCUACGUUGCGGGAAUUCCAAAUCUUCAAUUUGUUUUGAAAACCCAUUGUUGAAUCGUGAGUUAUUGGGGUUUUUAUUUUGAAACUUAUCCGAGAUGUACUAUGAGAUUUCCCGAUCGUAACACAACUUGAAAAUCUAAAAAUGGAUGUUGGAAAGGUUGAAAAGUUGUAUCCCGAAGAUUGCCAGCUAAAAUAACUCUAAGUCCUCAUUACACUUAGAAAAAUAUUCUAGUUGUUAGCCCCUCAAACAUAACACUAAAAAUGAAAUCGACUUGAGAAUUUUACGGGGAAUUCGAUAGGAGUGAUUACCAUACGUAUGUUAAUAAAGAAUAAUUCAGUUCAGGUCUAUAUACGUAGGAACGACGGUCUAAACUCUAGCCCAAAAAUACGGGUGUUACAUAGAGUAUAAAGAGGGUCGCAAAAGGACCAAAAUGCCCUUUGGGACACGGGGGUUGCAUUCAGAAAACUGGGUAAGCACCGAACUUAGCAGGCGACGCUUGCCCUAGUCCACCUCUAUAGACCAGGUGAUGCCUGGCUAAGAGCAGUGCUCUAGGCCGGGUGACGCAGGCCUAUCGCCUGGUGCUACAGUUUUGCAAAUCCAAACAUGCCCUUAUGCUAUCCAAAAAAUUCUGAAACUUACCCGAGAUGUACUAAGACCUUGCCCGAUCGCAACACAACUUGAAAAGACAAAAAUGAAGGCUGUGAAGUUCAUCAAAUAAAUCCUCGAAGUUCGGAGGUCUAAAAUGAGACCAAGUGUUGAAUCUUGAACACUUAGCAAAAAUUUCUAAGUCUUGGGAUCUUUCAUGGAGCUUUACGAGAUGAAUUUGACAUGCGAAUUUGCGAGGUCUUACAAUAUCUCCCCCUUGAAAACAUUCAUCCUCGAAUGAGAUAGACUGAGAGGGGAAACAAUAAGCUGAACUUGAACCGAGCAUGGAUGACUGAAACAUGAUCUUGUGACUGACGUGACAAAUAAACUGAUUCAUACUGAAUAUGCAUAUCUGAUACAUGGGUAACUAAUUCAUGAAUGAAGAACUGAGGAUUUUGAUAAACUGAGUUUUCUGAAAGAGGGGAAUGCAUAUCUAAUGCAUAACUAAAAGGCUGAAUCCAUGCAUAUCUGAUGCAUUAUUACAUAACUGAACUAACUAAUGAACAUAUGACUGAACAUGCAAUGGUAAAGGCACUAAGAUUGGACUGAAACAUGAGAACAUGACUGAAUCUGCUACAUGACAUAUGGACUGAACCUUAUGAACUGAACUGAACCUCUGAAUACUCGACUUACAACUGAGGUUUUUAACUUGAGGGUCAACUUAUGAGAACCCUCUAUUCUAGAUUGAGUUCGUUAUGCAAGAAGAAACUGAAGGAUCUAAGACAUGAGAGCAUCAAGGAACGGUGGGGUAUCUCCCCCUCUAGGAACGUUUACCUUGCUAAGAUACUGGGGUGAUGCAUAGGGCAACUACGAACUAGAUUAUAUCUGAACAUCGAAGAGCUGAAGCUAAUGAAAGAUGCAUGAAGAUAAAAGAUUUAUACAUACCCAAUUCUAUGUUAGGAAAACUUUUUAGAUCAUGGCGAGUCUGAAGUGAAUAGAGUUGGUUCUAACGCUGACCACUAUUGGUACUGGGAUUGGCGGCCUGCUAAUACGAAUCUCUACCUUUCUGAGCUAAUACUCUACACUCCCGCAUUCUGUAACCUGGAUUACCGCAUCUAAAACAUACCUGACUAUUAGCUCCGUACGCACCUAGAUGAUUCUUUCCAUAUUCUCCACAAAGAGGAUAAGUACUCUCACUUCUAACACUACUCUGGGCUUUGGAGCCUGGCGCCCCAUCAUGACUAACAUCUCUAAAAUUUGGUGUGGGCACACUAGCUGAGGAUGGAACUGGGACUGAAUUUUUCUGACUAUGGUGAGAGCGAUUACCACCCUAUGACCCAACUAGAGAAAAACUGUUACUACCUAUUCUGAAUCUCUUAUUAGAUCUCUCCCUCUUCUUAGACUUAUCUGCCUCUAUCUUCUGGGCAUGCAUCAUUAACCUAGUAAGAUCCAUGUCUCAAUUACACAUAGCUUUCCUACACUCUUUCAAUACCAACCCAAACACACCAGUCACAAACUUACUCAUACUCGCUCUGGGAUCAUCUAUCAAGUUAGGAGCAUACUUAGCUAAUUGGUUGAACUUAAGACAAUACUCCUUCACUGUCAUAGAGCCUUGUCUCAGGUUUAUAAACUCUUAUACCUUAGCUUCUCUCAUCUCUAGCGGAAAAAACCUAUCUAGAAAGGUAUCCUAAAAUAUCUGCCAAGUCAUGGGAGUUGCAUCUUCCCCUCUACUCUUAUUCCACAACACUACCCAAUCAUGAGCAAUAUCUUUCAGCCUAUAGGAUGCUAAUUCCACACUCUCUUCCUCUGACACAUUCAUAAUUUGGGUGAUCUUCUUUACCUCUUCUAGAUACAACUUUGGGUCCUCACCUGCUACUGACCCAAAGAAUUAUGGAGGGUUCAUUCUCAUAAAAUUUCUAAUUUUGGCUGCGGCUAAAUCCCCAUCUUGCUGAGGUGGGGCUGCAGUCUGUCGGUUGCCCUGAACGCUAGUGGUCACAGCUUAGGCUAUUACCUAAAAAACUACCCAAAAUUCUGCAUAUGACACACUUUCAUUCAAAGGAUCUGUGGGCUGAGGGGCUGAUUGAUUCCCUAUUCUCUUCUUAGGAGGCAUGUUCUGCAAACAGAAGAGAAACAAAGAUUAGACUGAAAGUUCAAGUUGAGCUUUUACUCACUGGCACGACAUGAAUACUGAAAGGAGAGAAACUAUUCCUAAAACAUCUUAUAGCCUCAUGUAUAUAAAUGUGGCGUGCAACACACCCAUGCACAAGACUCGACUAGAUGCGGCUUUCAUACUUCCUAGGAAUCUAUUGAACCUUAGGCUCUGAUACCAAGUUUGUAACGCCCUAAUUUUCUAAACCAAAAUACUACACGAUGCUCAUGACCUCGAAGGACCACAAACUAAUCCAUGACUGAUAUCUGUACCUAUAACUGCACAAUAUACAUAUAAAAAUGCAAAAAUAUGAACUAAAAGGCCGUAAGGUUCAAUCUUGAACAAUAAAACGUAUGAAUAAGGUGGUAUCACAGUACCAAAACAAAAUUAAAAAAAAUACUAAAGUCUGAAUCUGAAAACUCUGUAAUCGUUUGAAAGCCUCUAAACUGUCUGAAUAAAGAGUUGAAGGAACAUGUCUCCAACUAACUCCCUAAACUAAAAAUAAACUGAAACACUGGAAUGAUAAAUAUAAUGAUCAUGUUCUUGAAAGAUGAGGACUCACUGCUAACUGAACUGCUACUGUUUAUCUAGAACCUGCGCCUUAGAAUUUAUGGUGUAACAUAAAAAGAAAGAACCAUAGCACAAAUGCGUCAGUACAACUAAAGUAUUGAGUAUAUGUGGGGGUAGGCUAAACGCAUGGGGUUUAUAUGCAUGAACAUCCGACUAAUAUGAACGUGAGAAUACAUACAUACAUACAUAAUUUCUAUUGAACUCAUAGAGAUACUUACUACUGAGUCUGAAUACUGACAUCAUGACUUUACUAAUACUGAGAUACUGAAUAGAUGAAUGACUAUUUCUGACAGUUCAAAUUAUAAAGAACGGGUCUGAUUGAUCGUGUCUAAUAGUCCUGAAAAAUGAAUACUGAUAACAUAAGGUAUGACGACUGAUAUAACUGAUAUAACUAUGAUAUUGGCCUAACCGAUGUAACUAAUACUGAGUGACUAUAUCUGACAGUCUAAAUCUCCUAAUAAUUGUAAAGAGUGACUAAGCUUGAGAUCAGGCCUAAAUAACGGGUGAUCUCUGGAACUGAUAAUAUGAAUACUCAAAUAAAAUCUGAGAUUGAGAUCAAACCUAUUUGUUGGGUGACCUCUAUAAGUACUGAUAAUGAAUAACUUAAUGAGAGGCCAAGCCUACAUGACGGGCGGUCUUUAAGUCUGUGGAACAAUCUGAGUUCCUUACUGAGAUUGAUGACUGUAUCUGAAAGUCCUGAUUUGUGAUUUCUUCUUUGAAGACUGAUACUAAAACUGUAACUAUAGGAGGUAGUCACCUAACUGACAUGCCCCGAUACUGAACUGGUGGGGUCCAAUCUUUGCCCUGAUUGGAAGGGUGUUAAUGCCGUGCCACGGGUAAAGACACUAGUAACUGAAUCCAGGAUUCCAUGCCUAAUAUGACGGGUGAAACCUGGUGGAAGCCAAGCCUAAUAUGACGGGUGACUCCGGGGAGGUAUUCAAGCCUAAUCUAAUGGGUGUCUCCUGGUCUUGCGCUGGCUACGUAGUUCUGGAGUACAGGGAUUGCUGCUAACGACUCUGCCUCUAAGCAGGAAAGCCGCCAUCUCCAUACUCUCUCGGUGGUAGUUCCAUCUCCCAAUUGAAAGACUAUAAACAGAUUAACUGAGCUGUACUGAUUGACUAAAUUGAACUGAUCAGCUAAACUGAACUAGGUUGAGUUAACUGAACUGAUACUAGUGAUAUUAUUUAGCGGAAUUAAAACUAAGUUUACUAGGUUCCCUUGACUGAAGAAACAUACUGAGUUCCAAGGACUAAUUGAGAGUACUGAAACUACUAAGAUCGCUAGGAAUACUGCUGGUACUAAGAUCACUGAGAUUACUGAAUACUGAGAUUACUAAGAUUUCUGAGGUUUCCUGAGUCACAUGACUGACUGAAUUCUAUAGAUCAUGACAUGACUGAGAGUAUCAUGAUAACGUGACAUAGCUCUAGGCACACAACUAUAUUUUUCGGGUACAAGUACCCCCAGGACUCAUUGGAAGGAAACUGACACACAUGACUAACUUGAUCAUAAGAGUAGAGUCCUUAAUUCAUAAUAUUAUAAGUAGGGAUUUCAUACUAAGCAUGGUUCUCAACAAUUUAUCACUUGGAUGGGAAUGCAUACAACAUGCAUAUACUUGCAUGGCUCCAAUAUCAUGGUAAUUCCAUAUCACAACAAUAUCAUGAGCAUCUCAUACAACAUCUUCAAUUCAAGAUAAUAGCAUGGAAAUCACAUUCAACAUAAACUUAGAACAUGGAAUAGUCAUUUAGGACCUAUUAUGUCAUAAAAGCAUGAUUUCUAGUCUCUUAGGAAUUUUCACAAACACCUUACAUGCACAUAUUAGGCAUAGGUGGAUUCAUCAAGAUUACAAAUAUUCAACCAUAAAUUUCAUAUAUUUAUACGUCAUAUACCACCAUAGCUUCACAUAAACAUACAAAAAUCCUAUCUUGGACAUCAUCAAACUCCAACAACAUGAUCAUCAACCAUCAACAACAUAAACAUCAUAAUAAAAAAUUUGAAAGAUGAUUCUUGAGCUUUAUGGAUGAAAGGAAUCCAUAAAUCAACACAUGCAUACCUUAGUUAGAAGUUUCCUUGAAAUUCUACGGUGAAAUCUCUUGAUUCUUGGAGCUUCUAUGAAAACCCUAACUUGAGUUCUUGGUUGUUCUUGAGAGAAAAUCAACAAAAGGGAUGUAUUUUGGUGUUAUGGAGCUCAAAUCCCGUGUUAUAGAGUAUAAAUAAGGUGUCAAAAGGACCAAAAUUCCCUUAAGGACAUGAGGGUUGAGUGCAGAAAAUUGGGCAAGCACCGAACUUAGCAGGCGACGCCUGCCCUAGUCCACCGUUGUAGACCAGGCGAUCCCUGGCUAAGAGCAGUGCUCUAGGCCGGGCGACACAGGCCUAUCUCCUGGUGCUACUAUUUUGCAAAUCCAAAAAUUGCGUUACGCUAUCCGAAAAAUUCUGAAACUUACCCGAGAUGUACUGCGACCUUGCCCCAUCAUAACACAACUUUAAAAUCCAAAAACGAAGGUCGGGAAGGUCGUCAAAUAAAUCCUCAAAGUUUGGAGGUCUAAAAUGAGACUAAGUGUUGAAUCUUGAACACUUGGAAAAAAUUUCUAAGUCUUGGGAUAUUUCAUGGAGCUUUAUGAGCUGAAUUUGACAUGCGAAUUUGCGGGGUCUUACAGAAGGCUCACUAUUGCACGAAUCACUUCUCUAUGAACACUCUACUGCUUAGCUGGACCCCUAGAUUAAGUCUUAGAACCUGUGAGGUAGGGGAUCAAUACAGAUAUACUGGUACGUAGAGCAAAUUAAAAAUAAUAAUUUAUAUUUAACAUACAUGAGAUAAAUUUAAAACAGUGCAUAAACAUAUCAUAUAGUAAGAAAUCACACGGGCAUUUUAAAAGACUCUGUGAAAUCAUCUGAACUCUGUAACACUCUUUAUGUUACUUCUGCACUAGAUGGUAUACCCUACAGUUUGUAAUCCCAUGGGCUAUAUGGGAUCUGCCAUUAACUCGGCAGCCAAGCCCCCAACCCAAGUGUGCCACAAGGGUCGGAGUCUCUGUAUCUACUACGCCACACGGCUGUCGCCAGCGUACAAUAAUAAUCUACCCGUACCGGCAAAUACGGUUUUAGGAUAAGAGUUAUUUGAACUCAAGCCCUUUUAGAGUAACCACCUAACCCUCUUUAAGCCUAUUUUUAAUCCUUUAAAACAUGCAUUCUGUAACACCCUGUACUUUCGGGCUAGAAUCAAGACCAUCGUCCUUACGCGUAUAGACCCGAACUAGAUGAUUCCUUGUUAAUAUAUGUGUGGUUAUCAAUCUUAUAGUGUAAUAAUACCUUUGAAUAUGAAUUGAGUUCACAAAAAUUCCCUAACUCUAAGACGAGUUGAAAACAUUUUUACCAAAUAAGUUUUAGUGAAUGUUUAAAUUUGGGUCAAAUUCCAUUGACCAUAACUUCUAGUAUACGAUGAAUUAUAGAAACUAUUAUAUAUUAAAUGAAAGUUCUUCGAAUAAGCUUUCCAACGAUACCAAUUUUGCCUGAAUCCAAUACCCGAGUGAAAAGUUAUGGCCAUUUUAGUGAUUGAGACAGCUGCGAUAAGUGUAAGAUGCACGCCCUAUCGCGCGCCUCAAAUUUUCAGAUUCUAUUUCCGCAUUUUAAGGGCAAAAUGGGUAUUUUCAGCCCCCCUUCUUCAGCUUAAACAUGGAAUUUUAAUCCCAAAUGACCUCAUUAUUGAUAUUUUCAUCAAAUUACUCCAAGAACACUCUCUAGGGUUUUUAACUAAAACCCCAAAUAAAUCAAGAUUCAACCAUGGGUUUUCGAAAGUGAUUAAAGAUUUGGACUCCCCACACCAAAGGCUUCAAGAAUCAUCCACUUUUCUCCGUAAUCAAGGUACGCGGGGUUUUCCUCAAAAUCUCAUGGGCAUAGAAAUCAUGCUUUUAAGAAAAGGGUUUCGGAUUAUGAAUAUAAUCAUGUUUUAGAAGCUUUAAUGACAUUGCUUUGGUCUUUUGGCCUUUCCUCAAAGUGAUUUGAAAAUUUAUAUACAUAUAUGUAUGUGAUUUGAGUUGAUAUUUGAAAUUGAGAGCAUGACUCACAUAAAACCUCUCUUGAUGUGAUUGUUUCCAUGUCUUACAUGUCAUGAAUUGUUUUGAAAUGCAUCAUGAAAAGCUUGUUACGAAAAGCCUUGAUUUAUGAAUGAUUUGGUUAUGAAUCUUGAAUUCAAAAGAGAGGGGUGUUUGUAUUGAUAAAUGUUGAAAUUAUAUGUAAUGAAAGAGUGCAUGGUUUUUGCCAAAAGUACAUGACCACCACAUGUUUGAAUAAUCUCAAUAUAGUUUUGAUUUGUGUUUUCGAAACAUGAAAUCUUUUAUACUGUUGCAUGUUUGGGUGGUCUGAAAUGUGUUUUAAUGAAAGAAUUAUGUGUGAUGCAUUAUGGCUCAAAAAUAGGACUUGCAAGUCUUGGUGUGAUGACACAAAUUCAAAUUAUGCCAUGAUAAUUAGAAAAGAAUAGAAUGAUUGUUUGAAAUCAGACUUUUCAGAUGUUGAAACUAGAAAAAAAAAUGCAUGAUUCAGAACAGGAUAAAAUUGAGCAUAAAGAGAGCUUAGGUGGUUCACCGAAGAAGGCAUGAUUUCAGACAACUCAUUGCCCAAAAUCGUGAUUUUUCGAUCCGGGUAUAUUAUAUUACGCUUGCCUAGUGCCGUGUGGUGUAUUAGAAUAGAAACUCCAACCCUUGCGGCACACUUGGGUUGGGGACUUCCCCGCCGAGUCAAUGGCGGAUUUCAUACAUCCCGUGGGAUUUUAGAAUUGUAGGGGUGUACCACCUAGCUCAGAAUUAAUACGAAGAACAGAACUGCAUUGUCCAAAAUGAUUUAUGAUUUUACAGAAAAGUGCCCAUGUGUUUUAGAACUAUUUCAUGCAUGAUAUUUUGACAAAUUGCUCACCAACUAUUUUAUCUACAUAAAAGCUUUAUUUUGGAUUACUUUGCGUAUCAGUACAUCUGUAUUGACCCUCCCUCCUCCCUCUAGGUUCUGAGGUUCAAUCUAGGGGUCCAGAUAAGCAGUAGAUAAUUCAGACAUCUGAUCAGGUUGUGCAGUGGUGAGCCUUCUCUAUUCCAGAAGGCAUUUCUUUUCAGAUUAUGUCCCUUAUUACCGUUUUAUUCUACUGGGGGCCUUAUCCCAGUUUUAGACAGUUGUCAGAUUUUCAUGUAGUAGAGAUUUUGCAGACUGAGUCAGAUGUUAUUUAGUUAUAGUUGAUUUAUAGUUUCCAUACUUAUGUUGAAUUCAGAACUGACCAUGUUUCCGUAGCAGUUUAUGUUUCUGCAUCUUUUAUUAUUGGAAUGUUGUGCAUGAUUACUAGAUAGAGAAGGGCGUUUCGGGCCUUCAUGGUUCGGGAUGUCCGUCACUGCCAGGCCCUAUUUCGGGUCGUGACACAUUCUCUAAAAAUAUAUUCUGAAAACAUACUGUGUUAUGGCAUACAUACUUAUGGUAUCAUCAUACCAUUGACUUGUAAGUCACAUCUCUGAGCCAUUAUUAGCAUAUUACAAUUUCUGUUUUCAAAACAUAAAUUCGGGACCACCAUAUCAAUAAAUCAUUUCAAGAAACUCAUUCUUUAAAAGUCAUGUAAAACCAUGCAAGCAAUUCUCUUUAUCAACAAUUCAACAAACAAUGGUGGUCAUGUCAAAAGUCUCUAUCUCAUGCAAUUUCUUCUCUUUAACACAAAACAUAGUAAUAUCAAGAAGCACCCUCUCAACAAUUCUAAAUCAAUAUUCAAAUACUAUGACAUUGAGAAACAUCUUUCAAUUCACAAAACAUGCAUUUCAACUCUUUUCCAGCAAAACCAAAAUCUUCAAUUUAUCACAAGAGAGGGAGUCCAUAAUUUAUGCUCUCAAACAAUCUUCAAUCUCAAUUCCAUACAUAUACAUAUACAUGUAAAUCAAUUUAGUGGAGAAAGACCACAAGGACAAAGAAAUAAUAACAUUAAAACAUUUGGAAUACAUAAUCAAAAAUAUAGUUUCCAAAAUCCCUUUAAAAUAUAUGCGUCAAAACCUUUAAAUCAUGCUUUAAUAUUUUCAAGCCCAUGUAGUUUUUAGGAUAAAUCCCACAUACCUCUAUUUAGAAAAUUAAAGGAUGAUCCUUGACGCCCACGGCUUGGGGAUUCCAAAUCUUCAAUCAAUUUCUAAAACUUAUGGUUGAAUCUUGAGUUGCUUGGGUUUUCUUGUUUGAAACCCUAAGGAGUGUUCUUGAUGGUUUUUGAUGAAAAUAUCAAUAAUGAGGUCAUUUGGGAUAAAAAUUCCAUGUUUAAGAUGAAUAAGGGGGUGGAAAUAUCCAUUUUGCCCUUAAAAAUGCGGAAACCGAACCUGAAAAUUUGGAGCAUGUGACGGAGCUGGCGUCGCACGCUUGUCGCAUGACCUCACUAUCUCACUCACAAAAAUAACCAUAACUUUUCGCUCGGGUGUCAGAUUUAGGCGAAAUUGAUAUUGUUGGAAAGAUAAUUCGAAGAACUUUCAUUUGAUAUAUAGUAGACCCUCUAAUUCAUCAUAUACCAGAAGUUAUGGUCGAUGGAAGUUGACCUAAGUUUUAACAUCCACCAAAACUUAAUCAGUAUAAAUGUUUCCAACUUGUCUUGGAGUUGGGGGAUUUUUGUGACCUCAAUUCAUAUUCAAAGGUAUUAUUACACUAUAGGAUUGAUCACCACAAAUAUAUUAACAAGGAAUCAUCUACUUUGGGUCUAUAUGCGUAUGAACGACGCUUCAAUUUUUAACCCAAAAAAAAUGCGGGGUGUUACAUUAGAUGUGUUAUGGGAGAAUUGUAGGUUGGAAAUGAUGAAGUAUGUUGAUUAAUGUUUGAGGUUUAGAUAAGUUUAAGUCUAUUCGUAGUACUUUGUAAGGUAGAGAAUGCUUUUAAUCCUAUCUUCUCCGAAAUAUUAUUCAUGAUUAGUACCAAUAUAAAUCAGGUCUAUGAUCAUCAAAUAAACCCCUAUCACACGUGAUGAUAAUAAUAAUUCAUAGAACUCAUGUGCAAGAUCAUCCCUAUGCAAAAUCUCACUGCCUCAUGUUUCAUGCUUACACGUUUCGUUAGGGGUUAUCAAGAAGCUUGUUUGAUGUCUUUACAUAUUUUGUUAAGGAAACAUGUUCAAUGCGAGGUUUUGUUUCAUAUUCUACACUUUUAUAACUUCAAAAAGUCCCCACCCAUCAUUUUGGGAUGAAUGAUCCCAAGGGGGAGAUAAUGUAACACCCCGCAUUUUGGGCUAGAACGAAAACCGUCAUUUCUAGGCGUAGAUGUUCCAAAAGCCAUAAAUCCUAUGUAAAUUUAGCUUGUGAAUCAAUUAUGUAGUGUGGAAUCUAUUUGAUCAUGAAUUGAGAUCAUAGAGGUCACCUAACUCACGGACGAGUUGAAAGGUUUACUAUCGUUCGAGUUUUAGUGAGUGUCGAAACUUGGGUCAACUUCAAUCGACCAUAACUACCAAUACAUAACGAAUUAGACUUCUAAAAAUACUAAUUUUUCCAAAAUCCAAUAAUCAAGUGAAAAGUUAUGCCAUGCAAAGCAGUGAGAGGUCACGAUAGCCCCCCGACGUGGGGUCUGCUUGACCCAAAAGGGGGUCGCGUCGUGAGAGAUACUUAACCCGACUAGGGGUCGCGACGCGAUGGUAAUUCUCAUGUUAUUUCAGUUCCAUAAGGGUCAAAGGACACUUUGGUCCUUUCCCCUCAACCCCAAAUGUCCAAAGGACAAUUUAUAUCACCAAAAAGGGCGAUAUUUGCCCAUCUUCUUCAACACCAGCUCACCAAAAAUACUCCCUUCCCCAAGAACGAAAUCCAAAAUCCUUUUCUCCAAGAAUCCAAGGAAUUCAACUCUGAUCACAAGAAACGAAAUCAGAUCUGGAUUCCAUACUUGAACCUGAGUAAUCUACGGUCAAGAACUCAUCCCCAAGAUCAAGAAUUCCAUGAAAAAGAUAAAAAAAUCCAGGUUCCAUCUAUCAUGAUCUAGGUUCCAUUUUUCAAAUCUCGCAAUCUAAGGUACGUGGGGUUUAUCCUAAAACCUAUAUGGGCUUGUAAGCACUAGAACAUGAUUUAAAGAUUAUCAAGCAUGAAUUUUAAAGGGCAUUUGGAACUUAUGCUUUAAAUUUUGCAUUAUGGAUGUUUUGAUAAUAUUAUUGUUUUGGCCUUUAGGCCUUUCCCCCUUAACUUGAUUUACAUCUAUAUGUAUAUGUAUGGUAUUGAAGAUUUGAUUGAGAGCAUUAUCAUUAAAAUCCCUCUCUUUGAUGAUUUAGAGUUUAUGAAACUGUUGAGAAUGAUUUGAGAUGCAUGUUUAAUGGUUUGAAAGUGAUAUUUUCAAUAUUAAAGUAAUUAGCAUGAUUUUGAUGAUGAUGAGAGGGAGUUUCUUGAUAUGAUUUUUCUCUUGUGUUAAAGAGAAAGAAUUGCAUGUGAUUGAUAUCUUUGACAUGACCACCUUGAAUUCGUCCUGCUGACGCCACGAGUUUUGCACUACAGUUCUGUAGCUCAAUUAGUUGUAGCAUGGACGGAGCCACCUAUUUCAACGGGUAGUCAGCACACCCUUCGUUGAAAAAUUGUGUUGUGUUGUGUAGGUAUAAGUUCUAUACAAAGAAGGAAAGAAAGAAAACAGAAAAGAGUUUAAGAACUUUAUAAAAUUGGUUGACGACAGUGGCAGAUCUAGAAUUUUCACUUAGGAAGUCGAAGAACAAAAAUAUAGUUCCUAUGAUUUGAACUUGGAACUUCUACCAUGGUAUUUGGAAAAACAACAACAACAAAAUGCCCACUGAAAUCCAGCAAGUGAGGUCAGGAAAUGGUAGAGUGUACGCAGGAGUUAUCACUACCUCGUGGAGGCAGAGAGGCUGUUUUCGAAAGUAAUUGGAAAAACUAGAAAAUUUGUACAUGUCUAAAUCCCUGAUAAACAAGUUAUUUUUUCAGAAAAAUGUUGUAUUCCAUUCAUAUGAGUGAAGCUGAAAUUAGUUCUGAUGAUUGACAAACAACUACAAAAGUCUACAAUUCAAAAGUCUGAUGUAACAACUCGAAUUUCUCAACACAAUUCUAACGGAGAAUACAAGAUAAUAGUGAAUAAUACAAGGAAGAAUGUAACUAGAAGGAGAUGAGAGGAUAACAUACUAAGACAAAGAUUCAACAUAAUUGCAUAACCCCUUCAAUAAGCGACUGCCUCCAUUUAAUGUGCUUGCUUAACCCGGAUCCCAGUGGAAAUCCACACUAUUGUUGGGUUGUAACUUCACCUCAGGCCAAAGUCCAUCGUUCACUGUGUUAAUACUUGUGUGGUCAACAAAUCCCAGAAGUCGGUUCAUAACAUCUGAAGUCUUCAAUCCUUAGUAAACAUCAGUCGGAAUCAAAAUCACUUCGACUAAGUUCACGUUCAGCUGUAGCAAAACGAACAUAAAGAGUCAACUAUAAACUUCGAAAUUGUUUGAAAUUUCAAAGGCAAUUAUUGUACACACCUGGAUCGUUGUAAGAACGAACAUCCACAACUUUGCUUCCCAAGGAUUCUAGCUCUUCUUGAACUCGUCUAGCAGAAGCCACGAGUUUUACACUACAGUUCUGUAACUCAAUUAGUUGUAGUGAGUAAAUAUCUGUAAACUCAAUAGGGAUCUCUUCCAAAUGAAGGCAAUAUCUGAUCAUUUUGUUUCAGCUUCAGCUUUGGCGAAUCAGACGACAAUAGCAGUUCCAUUGUUCUUAUAAGAGAUGCUUUACUCGCAUACACCAUAUCUAUUCUCCGGCUUCCAAAAUGCAACUACGACUUGAAAGCUGCAAGUUGUAGGAGGACGAUAGUGUUAAAAUAACGCGAUUCACAAAGUUGCAAAAGCAGUGAGGUAAAAAUUAUGAAAUCAGGCAACUUCAAUCUGCACUAUUCACUAUCGUAUCUGCUACAGACGUUAUGUCUACUUCAUAUUCAUGUCAGUAUCACCUACUUUACUACACUUGAUUCGACAAUUCAGAAAUAUGAAGAAUCAACUUUAUCGGUCCAAGAAAACGUUGCAAAGAGGGAGGAAGAGGAGCUGUAUGAUGUUCGUAGGUUUCUAUUAGCUAGUUGCGAGGGCCAAUAUGACAAGGAGUUGGUUAAACGAUAGCUGGCUAAAAAAGAGUCACAGAAGUGGUCAAAGUUGCGGAGAACUCCUGGCGAUCUAUGAGUGGAUAGAUUGCAUAAGCUUGCACACGCCUCGACUAGUUCCACUAAGUACUUGCAACCUCCCACCAACACAGGUACCGGAUAACUCUGUCCCCAAAGGCUUUGCCAUAUAGGAAGAAAUCGCCUAGUGUUUUUUGCCUUUCAAUGGGAUUUAAAACUAGACCUUAGGGUUCUCGACUCACUUCAUUGACCACUGGGCAGCACCCUCGAGUGGGUUCCAAUGUUACUUCAAUGGACUUAGACUGACGUGAGAGACCAGGAUGUUACAUUUGGAGCUGUUGACAUUAAUAGGUACUGCAUAUUUUUAAAGGAUCCAAGCAACAUAGGUUAUAAAAGAAGUGCAUUGAUAAAUACCAACGGUAAUACGAUAAAUACUUUCAAGGAGAAAAUAUACUAAAGACACAUGAAUAUGAGUUUCAAACAUCAAAUUGAUGAAGCAUAAAAGAAAAGUGAAAUUGUGUCUGCUAUCAAGUUAUACAAAAUAAGUUGUAUAGACGAAAAAAAAAAAGUAGACUUUAAAGAAAUGGGAUGACAACUCCAACAAAUUGACCUUGGGAUUUGUGUCUAUCAAUGAAAAUAUAAUAUUAUAGCACAUCUGUUUUUUAACCUCUUCCCCUUGUAUUUUACCACAUAGCUACUGCCACAGGUAAAAAGCACCGGAGGCGUUGAAUUAAUUGAUGAGAUAUUCAAUUAAAAGAUUGGCAGUUCAAGUCACCAAAGAGGGAAAAGUAGAGAACCAUGGGUAGUAUUACUAACAAUUCUAUUAACUCAAAAAUAUGUUACAAUACAAAUCCAGCCACAUUAUUACAAUUUAGAGAAAUCACAUCUCCUUUGAAGCCACACAUUGCUUGAACUGAAAUGAAAUCCCAAAAGAGUCAGUAGAAGUUCGACGAGUCACAUUAUUCAGAUUUAGAGCGUGUUCAACCGAACUCACUUCUUUUAACUUUAACUUCAUGUGAAUAAACACAGAUAUAUGAAAAUCAUAUAAAAGUAUGACAAACAUUCUGAAUCUGACUCUACUAAAGCAUCUUGAGAGUAUCAUACAGGGAUAUAUGUGAUAUAAACAUACACAAUAAUUAUUAAACCAAUCAAACUAAAUCAUCAUCCAGUUCUCACAAUAUAAAUUGUUCCAUGAAGGAGAAAAAUUACAGCACAAUAAGAAUUAACAAGCUAGAAGACAUUACAACAUAAAUUUAUCGAAUCAAACUCCCCAUAUUGAAUAGAAACCGAUUGAAUGCUCUUGUUGCUUGUCCUUUCCUCGUCUUCUUUUUUCCAAAAGCUGCUCGAAGAAUCCACGAUACUUAGGACGAGCUCAAGUCCUCUUACUCGGGUAUUACUAUAACAAAAUAAAUUAGAAAUAUAAAAUCUUCCAUUUACAAUCAAAUCAACUCAAACUCCAAAAAAUUUUAGUUUUUAUGGCCAAAUUUAUUAGAUUCAAAAGCUAAUGUGGUAAAACUAUAGAUAUACUUACAUAGAUCUGUGAAAGAAUAUGGGGUAAAGCUAAAUAACUUUUGUGCAUGACUUGACCUGUGGAAAUGAGAAACAAUGUGUGACCUUGAUAAAUACUAUAGAUAUACUUACUUGGAUUGGAGAUACGAACAUCCACGGGGUUGUUUCCAAGGUCUUCUUGUUCUUGUUGAAUUCGUACAGCAGAGUCGCCAAGUUCGGGAAGACAGCUUGUAAACUCAAUCAGCUGUAGUGUAUGGAUUUCUGCAAACUCAAUGGGUAUCUCUUUCCAAUUAUGGCAUUCUUUAAGCACAAGGCGCUCAAGGACAGGAAAAUUGUCAUUUGUGGCUUUCCAGUACUUGAGAUAAUUCUCUUUCAUUAAUAAAAGUUUCAAUCGAGUAAAUCCCUUAACAUUUGGAUACCAUUCAUUGCCAAGACACGCAUAUGGCAUCAGCUUCAACACUUCAAGGUUAGGCAACUCAGCUAUGAUGUCCAAGUACGACCAACUUAAUGCAGUAAGUCUUAACUUCAGCUUCUUGAGUGUUGCUGGAAAAGCUUUUGCACUUGCUGGCAAAUAGUGAAGUUGAGAAGAUUGUUGAGAAGCCCAGAGUCCAGAAUUCUCUCAUAUCCACGUCCUCUGAUUCCUAAUUUUUUGACAUUCCGAAUCCCCAUUAUAACCUUCUUCGUGCAACAACGUGGAGACAAGUAAGAAAUAGUUUGUAUGUUUGGAAAACCCAUGUGACUCCCUUUGUCAGCAGAUCCACUUGGGCAAUCUGGCAAAUAAAAUCUGGGCAGUUUAAGAUGCCUUAAUUGCAUUAGUCCACAAAUUUCCUCAGGAAAAGUUAUUAAAACUGAUCGACCAAUGAAUUUCUGUGGCGCUUGAACAAUGAAUGUCUGCAGAUUCCAUAACCUACAAAUUUCUGGAGGUAUAUCAAAAUCCACAGGGCAGAGCAAUGAUAGGUACCUCAACCAGAUAAGGCUUAGUAUCUGUACAGGGAAAUUCUCAAUCUCUAUGUUUCUCAACUCCAAGACUUUGAGUAAUUUGAAAUGAAUAAGAUUUGAUUUGAGAGGAAAAUAGGAAUUCUUAAGACGAGAAGAGAAAAUAGAACUGGUUCGUUUCAAGAGAUCGUUGUUGUUAUCAUCUCUCAACUGACGAUGUACAGGGGUAAGAAGAGCCCUAUAAAGACCAUUGGGACAAUAAUCAAUUUUAUCACCAUUCACGCGUUUAAAGGGCUGCAUUUUUUGCAUAAUGAGAUAUUGACAUUCUGAAUAAUAAUCAAGCACAAUGUCGUUCAUGAUAAAAAUGUUCUCCCUUAGAAUUUCUCUCACACACAGGUCAUAUAUUAGAUCAUGAACCUUACAUGAUCUAAUUUUUGUUCCAUCUAAACUUUUCUUGCAGACGAGGACUAGACAUCGACAAGCUCUUGCAAACACUUCUCAGCCUCUCCUUCCAAAUCAUUUUCCAACUUUAGGAACCCCUCAGCUAUCCAUGAUCUCAUCAAAUUCUUAGCUGGUAUCUCACUGUCUUCUCUAAAAAUUCCAAAAUGCAGUAGACAAGUCUUUUGAUAGCUAGUCAAGUGAUUGUAACUCAACCCAAGCACACGUGAACAUUGUUCGUCAAGAUCAUUUGUGAGAAAUGACUUGACAUCUUUAGCUACACUUUCCCAAUCUUCUAUUGCCCUUUUAGAUUUGAGAAGUCCAGCAACCAUGACAAUAGUUAGUGGUAACCCGUGGCAUUCAUCUGCGAUUUGCUUCCCAACAGUCUCGAACUCAUAUGGUAAUGCUUCACCGGAAAAUGCUGCAGUUUUGAAAAGACUCCAACUCUCAUCUUGAUCCAUAAAGCUCAUACGCAAAGAAAGAUUCUCUAUACUAGCAUAACAAGCUACUUCAUCAUUACGGGUAGUCAACAGUAUUCGACUCCCUGCAUUGUCUUCAGUUGGAAAGCAUCAUCUCACGCCAUCCCACACUUCACAACUCCAGAUAUCAUCCAAGACAAUUAAGUUCCUCUUUCUCUUUAAACAUUUCGGCAGCAUGUCUGCUAGCUCUGCUUCCCCUCUCGUCUUAACCGUGUCAUCCAUUUUGAUCGUCGAUUGCAGAAGGCUCAGCAAAAUUUCUUUUAUGUUGUGCUGUUGAGAUACAGUAGCCCAGGCACGAACAUCAAAACGGCAUAGAAUUGAUUCAUGAUUGUAAACUUCUUUCGCUAAGGUUGUUUUACCUAUGCCUCCCAUCCCGACAAUCGGGAUGACUUUGGGUUCACCAGAGUAGCUUACAGUCAGAUCUUCUAACAAGCGUUUCUUUUGAUCAUCACGUCCAACCAUAUUAUUGCUAACAUUCAGAAUAUCGUUUGUUGAACUUGAAAAAUCAUGAACCAAUGAUUCCUUUGAUAUUAGUUUCCCUUUAUCCUGAAGCUCUGUCGACUCAUUCCAGAUACGAUCCAUGCCCUUUGCUACUUUUUGCAGGCUUUGACGAAACUUUGGACACACCUUUUUUAUCUGUCUUUUAUUUACUCCCAGUACAGUUUCUGUUAGUCUCAGUUGAAUUCUGUAUUCAACAGCACUUGCAACUUCUUUUACCUCUACUUCAAAAUCCGUCAUUUCUCCGAAAACUUUGUUUUUCUCAAAGUUCUUGACAAAUACUUCCAGGGAACUAACUUUUUCACGAAGAGCGCAAAGUUCUUCUCUGUGAUCACAGAUUACAGAUUGCAUCGGCGAAUUGGAUGUCAAGAGCGAUUCUAUUGUUCUCAUAAGAGAACCAUAUCUACUCUAUUCUCGUUUCUUUCCUUUGCGGUUAUGACCUGAAAGCUGCGGGUUGCAAGAGGUCAAUGGUAUUACAAAUAACAAGAUACGCAGAUUUGCUGAAAAGGCACACAUAAACUAAAUAAGAUCAGGUAAUGGUAACAGUGAGUUCAGUCCCAAACUCAGUAGCUUUAGCUCAUUUAACGCGUAAAAAUAAUUUAAUUCCCAGUAAGCUGUCACGACCCGAACCAGGGUCUGGCCAUGACGAGCAUUUCGAACCAUGAAGGCCCGAAACACCCCUAUGAUGCACCUAAUUCAUAUGAUCAAAGUAAUGCGGAAGAAAUGCAAUAAUUCAGAAACAUGGUCAUAAAUAUGAAAAGAAACAAUAACGGGGAAAUAAGGUUCCCCCAACAUCAAUCCACCUCUAAAUAACUACAACAACAACAACAACAAACCCAGUGUAUUCCCACCUAGUGGGGUCUGGGGGGGUAAGAUGUACGCAGUCCAUACCUCUACCUCUGAUGAAGUAGAAAGGCUGUUUCCGAUAGACCCCCGGCUCAAGACACGAGAUACCACACAAACACAUAGUAAAGCACAGAAGCAGAUUACAUAAAAUAAAUACGGCUCCCAUAAGUAAUAUAAAACAGAGGAAAGCAGAGGAAAGCACACAGAUUCGUAAUAAAACAUGGAACACGGAANNNNNNNNNNNNNNNNNNNNNNNNNNNNNNNNNNNNNNNNNNNNNNNNNNNNNNNNNNNNNNNNNNNNNNNNNNNNNNNNNNNNNNNNNNNNNNNNNNNNNNNNNNNNNNNNNNNNNNNNNNNNNNNNNNNNNNNNNNNNNNNNNNNNNNNNNNNNNNNNNNNNNNNNNNNNNNNNNNNNNNNNNNNNNNNNNNNNNNNNNNNNNNNNNNNNNNNNNNNNNNNNNNNNNNNNNNNNNNNNNNNNNNNNNNNNNNNNNNNNNNNNNNNNNNNNNNNNNNNNNNNNNNNNNNNNNNNNNNNNNNNNNNNNNNNNNNNNNNNNNNNNNNNNNNNNNNNNNNNNNNNNNNNNNNNNNNNNNNNNNNNNNNNNNNNNNNNNNNNNNNNNNNNNNNNNNNNNNNNNNNNNNNNNNNNNNNNNNNNNNNNNNNNNNNNNNNNNNNNNNNNNNNNNNNNNNNNNNNNNNNNNNNNNNNNNNNNNNNNNNNNNNNNNNNNNNNNNNNNNNNNNNNNNNNNNNNNNNNNNNNNNNNNNNNNNNNNNNNNNNNNNNNNNNNNNNNNNNNNNNNNNNNNNNNNNNNNNNNNNNNNNNNNNNNNNNNNNNNNNNNNNNNNNNNNNNNNNNNNNNNNNNNNNNNNNNNNNNNNNNNNNNNNNNNNNNNNNNNNNNNNNNNNNNNNNNNNNNNNNNNNNNNNNNNNNNNNNNNNNNNNNNNNNNNNNNNNNNNNNNNNNNNNNNNNNNNNNNNNNNNNNNNNNNNNNNNNNNNNNNNNNNNNNNNNNNNNNNNNNNNNNNNNNNNNNNNNNNNNNNNNNNNNNNNNNNNNNNNNNNNNNNNNNNNNNNNNNNNNNNNNNNNNNNNNNNNNNNNNNNNNNNNNNNNNNNNNNNNNNNNNNNNNNNNNNNNNNNNNNNNNNNNNNNNNNNNNNNNNNNNNNNNNNNNNNNNNNNNNNNNNNNNNNNNNNNNNNNNNNNNNNNNNNNNNNNNNNNNNNNNNNNNNNNNNNNNNNNNNNNNNNNNNNNNNNNNNNNNNNNNNNNNNNNNNNNNNNNNNNNNNNNNNNNNNNNNNNNNNNNNNNNNNNNNNNNNNNNNNNNNNNNNNNNNNNNNNNNNNNNNNNNNNNNNNNNNNNNNNNNNNNNNNNNNNNNNNNNNNNNNNNNNNNNNNNNNNNNNNNNNNNNNNNNNNNNNNNNNNNNNNNNNNNNNNNNNNNNNNNNNNNNNNNNNNNNNNNNNNNNNNNNNNNNNNNNNNNNNNNNNNNNNNNNNNNNNNNNNNNNNNNNNNNNNNNNNNNNNNNNNNNNNNNNNNNNNNNNNNNNNNNNNNNNNNNNNNNNNNNNNNNNNNNNNNNNNNNNNNNNNNNNNNNNNNNNNNNNNNNNNNNNNNNNNNNNNNNNNNNNNNNNNNNNNNNNNNNNNNNNNNNNNNNNNNNNNNNNNNNNNNNNNNNNNNNNNNNNNNNNNNNNNNNNNNNNNNNNNNNNNNNNNNNNNNNNNNNNNNNNNNNNNNNNNNNNNNNNNNNNNNNNNNNNNNNNNNNNNNNNNNNNNNNNNNNNNNNNNNNNNNNNNNNNNNNNNNNNNNNNNNNNNNNNNNNNNNNNNNNNNNNNNNNNNNNNNNNNNNNNNNNNNNNNNNNNNNNNNNNNNNNNNNNNNNNNNNNNNNNNNNNNNNNNNNNNNNNNNNNNNNNNNNNNNNNNNNNNNNNNNNNNNNNNNNNNNNNNNNNNNNNNNNNNNNNNNNNNNNNNNNNNNNNNNNNNNNNNNNNNNNNNNNNNNNNNNNNNNNNNNNNNNNNNNNNNNNNNNNNNNNNNNNNNNNNNNNNNNNNNNNNNNNNNNNNNNNNNNNNNNNNNNNNNNNNNNNNNNNNNNNNNNNNNNNNNNNNNNNNNNNNNNNNNNNNNNNNNNNNNNNNNNNNNNNNNNNNNNNNNNNNNNNNNNNNNNNNNNNNNNNNNNNNNNNNNNNNNNNNNNNNNNNNNNNNNNNNNNNNNNNNNNNNNNNNNNNNNNNNNNNNNNNNNNNNNNNNNNNNNNNNNNNNNNNNNNNNNNNNNNNNNNNNNNNNNNNNNNNNNNNNNNNNNNNNNNNNNNNNNNNNNNNNNNNNNNNNNNNNNNNNNNNNNNNNNNNNNNNNNNNNNNNNNNNNNNNNNNNNNNNNNNNNNNNNNNNNNNNNNNNNNNNNNNNNNNNNNNNNNNNNNNNNNNNNNNNNNNNNNNNNNNNNNNNNNNNNNNNNNNNNNNNNNNNNNNNNNNNNNNNNNNNNNNNNNNNNNNNNNNNNNNNNNNNNNNNNNNNNNNNNNNNNNNNNNNNNNNNNNNNNNNNNNNNNNNNNNNNNNNNNNNNNNNNNNNNNNNNNNNNNNNNNNNNNNNNNNNNNNNNNNNNNNNNNNNNNNNNNNNNNNNNNNNNNNNNNNNNNNNNNNNNNNNNNNNNNNNNNNNNNNNNNNNNNNNNNNNNNNNNNNNNNNNNNNNNNNNNNNNNNNNNNNNNNNNNNNNNNNNNNNNNNNNNNNNNNNNNNNNNNNNNNNNNNNNNNNNNNNNNNNNNNNNNNNNNNNNNNNNNNNNNNNNNNNNNNNNNNNNNNNNNNNNNNNNNNNNNNNNNNNNNNNNNNNNNNNNNNNNNNNNNNNNNNNNNNNNNNNNNNNNNNNNNNNNNNNNNNNNNNNNNNNNNNNNNNNNNNNNNNNNNNNNNNNNNNNNNNNNNNNNNNNNNNNNNNNNNNNNNNNNNNNNNNNNNNNNNNNNNNNNNNNNNNNNNNNNNNNNNNNNNNNNNNNNNNNNNNNNNNNNNNNNNNNNNNNNNNNNNNNNNNNNNNNNNNNNNNNNNNNNNNNNNNNNNNNNNNNNNNNNNNNNNNNNNNNNNNNNNNNNNNNNNNNNNNNNNNNNNNNNNNNNNNNNNNNNNNNNNNNNNNNNNNNNNNNNNNNNNNNNNNNNNNNNNNNNNNNNNNNNNNNNNNNNNNNNNNCUGAUAUAUGCCAGCGGUACCCCACUCACCUCCAAGCAUCUCCAAAGCACCUCCCUGGGGACUUUGUCGUAAGCCUUCUCCAGGUCGAUAAACACCAUGUGUAGAUCCUUCUUCCUCUCCCUAUACUGCUCCACCAACCUCCGUAACAGGUGGAUUGCCUCCAUCGUCGAGCGGCGGGCAUAAAUCCGAACUGGUUCUCCGAAAUAGAUACUAUCCGUCUCAGCCUCACCUCGACCACUCUCUCCUAGAUCUUCAUCGAGUGACUCAAUAACUUAAUCCCCCUAUAGUUAUCGCAACUCUGAAUGUCCCCCUUAUUNNNNNNNNNNNNNNNNNNNNNNNNNNNNNNNNNNNNNNNNNNNNNNNNNNNNNNNNNNNNNNNNNNNNNNNNNNNNNNNNNNNNNNNNNNNNNNNNNNNNNNNNNNNNNNNNNNNNNNNNNNNNNNNNNNNNNNNNNNNNNNNNNNNNNNNNNNNNNNNNNNNNNNNNNNNNNNNNNNNNNNNNNNNNNNNNNNNNNNNNNNNNNNNNNNNNNNNNNNNNNNNNNNNNNNNNNNNNNNNNNNNNNNNNNNNNNNNNNNNNNNNNNNNNNNNNNNNNNNNNNNNNNNNNNNNNNNNNNNNNNNNNNNNNNNNNNNNNNNNNNNNNNNNNNNNNNNNNNNNNNNNNNNNNNNNNNNNNNNNNNNNNNNNNNNNNNNNNNNNNNNNNNNNNNNNNNNNNNNNNNNNNNNNNNNNNNNNNNNNNNNNNNNNNNNNNNNNNNNNNNNNNNNNNNNNNNNNNNNNNNNNNNNNNNNNNNNNNNNNNNNNNNNNNNNNNNNNNNNNNNNNNNNNNNNNNNNNNNNNNNNNNNNNNNNNNNNNNNNNNNNNNNNNNNNNNNNNNNNNNNNNNNNNNNNNNNNNNNNNNNNNNNNNNNNNNNNNNNNNNNNNNNNNNNNNNNNNNNNNNNNNNNNNNNNNNNNNNNNNNNNNNNNNNNNNNNNNNNNNNNNNNNNNNNNNNNNNNNNNNNNNNNNNNNNNNNNNNNNNNNNNNNNNNNNNNNNNNNNNNNNNNNNNNNNNNNNNNNNNNNNNNNNNNNNNNNNNNNNNNNNNNNNNNNNNNNNNNNNNNNNNNNNNNNNNNNNNNNNNNNNNNNNNNNNNNNNNNNNNNNNNNNNNNNNNNNNNNNNNNNNNNNNNNNNNNNNNNNNNNNNNNNNNNNNNNNNNNNNNNNNNNNNNNNNNNNNNNNNNNNNNNNNNNNNNNNNNNNNNNNNNNNNNNNNNNNNNNNNNNNNNNNNNNNNNNNNNNNNNNNNNNNNNNNNNNNNNNNNNNNNNNNNNNNNNNNNNNNNNNNNNNNNNNNNNNNNNNNNNNNNNNNNNNNNNNNNNNNNNNNNNNNNNNNNNNNNNNNNNNNNNNNNNNNNNNNNNNNNNNNNNNNNNNNNNNNNNNNNNNNNNNNNNNNNNNNNNNNNNNNNNNNNNNNNNNNNNNNNNNNNNNNNNNNNNNNNNNNNNNNNNNNNNNNNNNNNNNNNNNNNNNNNNNNNNNNNNNNNNNNNNNNNNNNNNNNNNNNNNNNNNNNNNNNNNNNNNNNNNNNNNNNNNNNNNNNNNNNNNNNNNNNNNNNNNNNNNNNNNNNNNNNNNNNNNNNNNNNNNNNNNNNNNNNNNNNNNNNNNNNNNNNNNNNNNNNNNNNNNNNNNNNNNNNNNNNNNNNNNNNNNNNNNNNNNNNNNNNNNNNNNNNNNNNNNNNNNNNNNNNNNNNNNNNNNNNNNNNNNNNNNNNNNNNNNNNNNNNNNNNNNNNNNNNNNNNNNNNNNNNNNNNNNNNNNNNNNNNNNNNNNNNNNNNNNNNNNNNNNNNNNNNNNNNNNNNNNNNNNNNNNNNNNNNNNNNNNNNNNNNNNNNNNNNNNNNNNNNNNNNNNNNNNNNNNNNNNNNNNNNNNNNNNNNNNNNNNNNNNNNNNNNNNNNNNNNNNNNNNNNNNNNNNNNNNNNNNNNNNNNNNNNNNNNNNNNNNNNNNNNNNNNNNNNNNNNNNNNNNNNNNNNNNNNNNNNNNNNNNNNNNNNNNNNNNNNNNNNNNNNNNNNNNNNNNNNNNNNNNNNNNNNNNNNNNNNNNNNNNNNNNNNNNNNNNNNNNNNNNNNNNNNNNNNNNNNNNNNNNNNNNNNNNNNNNNNNNNNNNNNNNNNNNNNNNNNNNNNNNNNNNNNNNNNNNNNNNNNNNNNNNNNNNNNNNNNNNNNNNNNNNNNNNNNNNNNNNNNNNNNNNNNNNNNNNNNNNNNNNNNNNNNNNNNNNNNNNNNNNNNNNNNNNNNNNNNNNNNNNNNNNNNNNNNNNNNNNNNNNNNNNNNNNNNNNNNNNNNNNNNNNNNNNNNNNNNNNNNNNNNNNNNNNNNNNNNNNNNNNNNNNNNNNNNNNNNNNNNNNNNNNNNNNNNNNNNNNNNNNNNNNNNNNNNNNNNNNNNNNNNNNNNNNNNNNNNNNNNNNNNNNNNNNNNNNNNNNNNNNNNNNNNNNNNNNNNNNNNNNNNNNNNNNNNNNNNNNNNNNNNNNNNNNNNNNNNNNNNNNNNNNNNNNNNNNNNNNNNNNNNNNNNNNNNNNNNNNNNNNNNNNNNNNNNNNNNNNNNNNNNNNNNNNNNNNNNNNNNNNNNNNNNNNNNNNNNNNNNNNNNNNNNNNNNNNNNNNNNNNNNNNNNNNNNNNNNNNNNNNNNNNNNNNNNNNNNNNNNNNNNNNNNNNNNNNNNNNNNNNNNNNNNNNNNNNNNNNNNNNNNNNNNNNNNNNNNNNNNNNNNNNNNNNNNNNNNNNNNNNNNNNNNNNNNNNNNNNNNNNNNNNNNNNNNNNNNNNNNNNNNNNNNNNNNNNNNNNNNNNNNNNNNNNNNNNNNNNNNNNNNNNNNNNNNNNNNNNNNNNNNNNNNNNNNNNNNNNNNNNNNNNNNNNNNNNNNNNNNNNNNNNNNNNNNNNNNNNNNNNNNNNAGAGAGGGAGAGAGGGGCGACGCCAGAGCCGGAGGUCGGGCCCGGAGGUUGGGUCGGGUCGGCGCCGAUGGUCGGCGACGGCGACGGGGGCCGGUGAUCGAAGCUAGCAAGAGAGGGGGUAGGGAGGAAGAGAGAGAGCCGUUAGAGAGAGAUGAGAGAUGUUAGGUUACACUUUUUCUAAAACAACUACUGACUACACACAGAAAAAUCUACACACUAAAGCUUUUCUCAGUUAAAAUUUCAGCUGAAUGUGUAUGCUGAGGACAGUAAUUAUGCACCUCUAAAUAACUGUUUACGAAAAUCUCUAACAAAUGACUAAAUCAAGUAACUGUAUAUAAACUGGGACAAGGCCCCGAGUAGACCCCAAAACUAAAUAUAAGAAAAAAAAGGACUGCAGGACAUAAGACCUUCCGAAACAUAGAAGGCUCACCCCUUGUCUCUGCAACUCUGUUUGAGUGCUCUACUGAUUCUCUUGACCCCUAGACUGGGCCUCUAAACCUGAAAGGUUGGAGAGAGGAGGGGGUCAGCACAAAAGUACUGGCACACUGAGAUAUCAAAACAAAACAUAAUAUUUUUACAAAAUAUAGUUGAGAGCCAUUAUAAAGCAAUUUCGUAUCAAAUCAUUUGGAAACACAUGGGCGUAAUGAAAUAGUUUCUCAAUAACAAUGAAAUGCAACUGAGCUAGGUGGAAUACCCUACAUAAUUUACACCAACUGCCUAACCUCGGUUUCCACCGAGAUUAGAGAAUAGAUUAGAGUAUAAGUGAGGGAGAGACACACAAGACCACGAAGCAUGGUGUUUCAACCCAAUGGUAGUGUCCAAGAUCACUUAGCCCGGGCUCCUACCUAUAGUCCCAAUUUGGGAAUGACAUAAAGUAAAGUACACAAGAUCACUUAGCCUGGUAACAAAUUUCUGUGUCGGCAAACACGUUUUCCAGCGAUGAGCCCUUACACUCAAUCGCCUUCUUCGGGCAUCCACCUAUCUUAUGUAAAAUCAAUGCAUUCAAAUUUCAUCUAAUUCAAUCACAUAUCAUAUUAUGUAGGGUAUUGUCAUAACUGAAUUGCAAGUCAUCAAUAUCACUUCCACAUAUGCAUUAUCAUGUUAAAACCAAGGUGCUUCAUCAUUUACAAGUGGUGAACAAUAUUUAUUUCAGAUUCAUGCUCUCUUUUGUUGGUCACAAUAUGAUAUGGGGUAUCAAGACAUUAUCAUGGGAAUUUGAAAGCAAUUUAUCAUUCAUAUUUAUCAAACUUCCAUGGAAAAUCUCAAAUCACAUAUGCAUGGUUUCAACCAUUGAAGUAUAUAGGCAAACAAUUCCCAUGCCAUAAAGAAAAAUGACUUAGAAAUCAUAUUGAAAACAAGUUACUAGCAUUUGAUUGAAAAAAACCAUUUAAAAACAUGCAUGUUCAUAAAAACUACACCCAUGAUAUUUUUGGAUAACCCCACGUACCUUGAUUACUACGAAUAUUAGAUGCUUCUCGAAGCCUACGUUGAGAGGAUUCCAAAUAUGCAAUUUGUUCCUAAAACAUAAAAACUACACCCAUGAGAUUUUUGGAUAACCCCACGUACCUCUAUUUCCAAAGAUAAUAGAUGUUUCUUGAAGCUUGCGGAUUGGUGAUUUCAAAUAUGUAAUUAUCUUUGAAAACCUACGGUCGAAUCUAGAACUAUUUGGGUUUUUAUUUUGAAACCCUAAGGAGAAUCUUUGAGCACUUUUGAUGAAUGAAGGUGUAUUUUGGGGUCCUUGGAACUGAAUUUCGUGUUUUAGGGCUAAGUAAGGGUGGAAAAGGACCAUUUUGUCCCCAAAACAAAGUGUUUAAGUCACUUGAAUUCUUUACAUAGGCACCGCCCAUCCCAUUGCCUAUGUUUACAUAGGCGUCGCCUAAGCUAUCGCCUAUGUUUACAUAGGCGCCGCCUAGGCUAUCGCCUAUGCUUUCCAGUGGCCAUGGGCGAUUGGUUAGGUGACGCAUAUCACUUUGAAUGGCUAUAACUUCUUGCUCGGGUGUCGGAUUUUAGCAAAAUUGGUAUCGUUUGAAAGAUAACUCAAGGAUCUAUCAUUUGACACAUAGUAGGCUCCCUAAUUCGACAUAUACAGAGAGUUACGAUUGAUGGAAGCUAACACAAUUUACAACGUCCACUAAAACUUGGUCGAUCGAAAUAGUUUCAACUCGUCCACGAGUUGAAGGACCUCUAUGGUCUAAAUUCAAGCUUGAAUGGAUUCACAUGCUACACAAAUAAUUAACAUGACGUAUUGGCAUAGGAUUUUAUGGCUUCGGGGUUUAUCAACACAUUGGAAUCAUGGUCUAUAUUGUAUCCCAAAAUGAGGGGCGUUACAUUAUCCCCCCUUAGGAUCAUUCAUCCCCAAAUGAUGAUGUGAGACACAGACAGACACGAUUUCAAGCGUAAUAAAGGACUAGGAAAGAUAAGAUAGGAAUAGUACCUUCUGUCUCAUCCUCCAUCGAAGCAAAAAAAUUGGGAUAUCUAAUUCUCAUGAAAUCUUCUGACUCCCUUGUUGCUUCUUCGACUUUCUGAUUCCUCCACAGUACCUUUACUGAGGCUAUCUUUGCUCCUCAGCUUUCGAACUUGGCAAUCUAAAAUUUCAAUGGGCUCUUCUUCGUAAGAUAAAGAGUCUGUCACUUUGAUACCCUCUACUGGCAAUACCAUAGAAUGAUCUCCAAUGCAUUUCUUCAACGUGGAUACAUGGAAUACCGGAUGAACGGAACCUAAACUUGCAGGUAAUUCUAGCUCAUAAGAAACUGUACCAAUCUUUUUCAGAAUCUGAUAUGGCCCUAUAUAGCGAGGGCUCAAUUUACCCUUUUUUCCAAACCGCAUGACUCCUUUAAUCGGAGAAACCUUGCGAACCAACCAAUCACCAACUUCAAACUCUAGUUCUCUUCUCCGAACAUCGGCAUAGGACUUCUGACGACUCUGAGCAAUCUUAAGUCAUUCUCUAAUGAUCUUCACUUUCUCCAUCGCCUGAUGAACAAGAUCAGGCCCAUACAACUGAGUCUCACCCACUUCAUACCAUCCUAUCGGAGACCUACAUCUCCUCCCAUACAAAGCCUCAAAAAGAGCCAUCUUGAUGCUGGCAUAGUAACUAUUAUUGUAAGUAAAUUCAACCAGUGGCAGGUGAUCUGCCCAACUACCUUUGAAAUCAAUGACGCAUGCCCUCAACAUAUCCUCGAGGGUCUGAAUGGUAUGCUCAACUUGCCCAUCCGUCUGAGGGUGGAAAGUUGUGCUCAAAUUUACUUAUGUACCUAAACCCUUCUGAAAAGAUCUCCAGAGCUGAGAUGAAAACUGCGUACCUCUAUCGGAUAUAAUGGACACUGGUGCCCCAUGCAACCGAACUAUCUCGUUAAUGUAAAUCUUAGCAUAACCCUCUCCCGAAUAAUUAGUCCUCACAGGCAAAAAGUGGGCUGACUUUGUCAACCGAUCUACAAUCACCCAUAAGAAUCAUACUGGUUUUGGGACCUCGGAAGUCUUGUAAUAAAGUCCAUGUUUAUCAUCACCCACUUCCAUGAAGGAAGGGCUAUCUCUUAGGAAGUACCACCUGGCCUCAUGUGUUCUAACUUCACUUGUUGACAGUUUAAACACUUGGACAAAAAAUCAUCUACAUCACGUUUCAUGUUAUUCCACCAAUACAAGGUUUUCAAAUGAUGGUACAUCUUAGUAGAGCCUGGGAGAACGACAUACCUCAAAGUGUGCGCCUCAUUAAGGAUUGUUUCCCGCAGCCCAUCAACAUUUGGAAUGCACAACCUACCCUGAAAUCUUAGAAUACCAUCACCACCAAUUGCAAACGACAUAACCUUUUGUUGACCCACAUCUUUCUUGAUUUGAAUAAAUAUGGGAUCUUCAACCUGCUUCUCCUUAAUGUCAGCAAAAAGGGAUGACUUAGCUAACUCAUAAACGGUCACCCCUCCAUCUUUGGAAUCUAAGAGUCGCACUCCUAGAUUUGCAAGGCGGUGAAUAUCCUUCACCAUCUCUUCCUUUCCUUCUUCUACAUGGGAAAGGCUGCCCAUAGACAACCUGCUGAGGGCAUCGGCUAUAACAUUUGCCUUGCCCGGAUGGUAAUGCAGACUCAUAUCAUAGUCUUUUAAAAGCUCCAUCCAACACCUCUGCCUGAGAUUCAAUUCUUUCUGUGAGAAAACAUAUUGCAAACUCUUAUGGUCAGUAUAAAUAUCCGCAUGCACUCCAUAGAGAUAGUGCCUCCAGAUUCUAAGUGCAAACACCACGACUACUAACUCCAAGUCAUGAGUGGGGUAAUUGCGCUCAUGCACCUUUAAAUACCUAGAUGCAUAAGCUAUCAUCUUACCACGCUGCAUCAAUACACAACCAAGUCCUACACUGGAUGCAUCACAAUAAACCACAAAAUCAUCUACACCCUCGGGAAGGUUCAAAAUAGGAGCAGUAGUCACCUUGUCCUUGAACUUCUCAAAACUGUUUUCAAAUAAGUCAGACCACACAAACUUCAUCUUUUUCUGAGUUAGUUUAGUAAGCGGAGCAGCUAUGGAAGAAAAACUCUCUACGAACCUUCUGUAAUACCCCGCCAAACCCAAGAAGCUUCGAAUAUCGGUUGGAGUCAUAGGUCUGGGCCAUUUUCUCACUGCUUUAACUUUCUGGGGAUCCACUCUUAUCCCAUCACUGGACACAAUAUUCCCCAGGAAGGUAAUAGCAUCUAACCAGGAUUCACACUUAGAAAAUUUGGCAUACAGCUGAUGAUCCUUAAGGUUCUGAAGAAUAAUUCGGAGGUGACUGGCGUGAUCCUCUUUACUCUUAGAAUAGAUCAGAGUAUCAUCAAUAAAUACAAUGACGAACAAGUCAAGAAACUGAAGGAACACUCUAUUUAUAAGAUCCAUGAAGGCUGCAGGGGGUUAGUUAACCCGAAGGACAUGACUAAAAAUUUGUAGUGACCAUAUCAGGUUCGAAAGGCUUUCUUGGGUAUGUCUGACUCCCUAACUUUCAACUGAUGAUAACCCGAACGAAGGUCUAUUUUUGAAAAACACUUGGCACCAUGAAGCUGGUCAAAAAGGUCAUCAAUCCUAGGAAGAGGAUAUUUAUUUUUAAUCAUGACCUUAUUCAACUGGCGGUAUUCUAUGCACAUACGAAGAGACCCAUCCUUCUUUCGCAUAAAGAGCACGGGUGCACCCCAUGGGGAAACACUAGGACAAAUAAAACCUUUGUCUAUGAGGUCUGCAAGCUAUUCCUUUAACUCCUUUAGUUCCGUGGGAGCCAUUCUAUAUGGCGGAAUAGAAAUAGGACGAGUGUCUGGCAACACAUCAAUGCCAAAAUAUAUCUCCCUAUUAGGGGGUAUCCCUGGGAGAUCUUCGGGAAAGACUUCUGGGAAUUCAUUCACUAUAGGGACUGACUGCAGAGGAAGAUUUUCAACUUUUGAAUCUUUUACUCAAAUUAGAUGGUACAUACAACCUUUGGAGAUAAGCUUUCGGGAUCUAAGAUAAGAGAUAAAGUGACCUCUAGGUUCCACAGAACUUCCUACCCAUACAAUUGGUGUCUCAUUCGGGAAAGAAAAAGUGACCUUUCGGGUCCUACAAUCGAGUGUGGCAUAGCACAAAUGGAGCCAGUCCAUCCCAAGGAUGGUAUCAAAAUCAAUUAUAUCAAGUUCUAUAAGGUAUGCCACAGUUUCCCUACUAUGGAUAGACACGACACAAUUUUUAUACACCCUUUUAGAAACAACAGAAUCACCUAUAGGAGUAGAAACAGAGAAAGGUUCUACAAUAACUUCAGGUUCAAACCCAAAACCAACAGCCACAUAAGGGGUCACGUAAGAUAAAUUAGACCUGGGAUCAAGCAAUAGAUAAACAUCACGAGAAAAGAUUCAUAACAUACCGGUGACAAUAUCUGGUGAAGCUUCCGCCUCCUGGCGGUUAGUAAAAGAAUAUAACUGGUUGCAACCGCUCCCGGCAGCUAAAGGGCCACCCAUAGGAAGAGAAGCUGUGGAGGCGGCUUGGGACUUAGCCACCCCCCGCAUUUCCUCCAGUAGAAGGACAAUCUCUCUGAAGGUGACCCACUUUGCCACAAGUAUAGCAGUUUUUCCCCUCAAACAAGCACUUCCCUAGAUGAUUCCUUCCACAAACCUCGCACCGCAGAUAAGUACGAUGCUACUGGGCCACACUUCCCUGAGACUGUAUACCUAGAGCUUUCGAUCUAUGAGGAGUCUGAAAACUCUGAGUUUGUCUGUCUUUCGGUGGUCUGGGUGCUGGGGCGCUGGCUGUUAACUGUGCAUUAUUACAAAACUUCUUCUUCUUCGACCACUUAUUACCCCAGUUACCACUUUAUAGCUGACUCUGGUGAUGGUCCGUAGAUCUAGCUCUCUUAGCCUGUCUGUCUUUCUCUCUAGAUUCAGUAAUAUUUUUCUUCUGCUUUUCCACCUGCUGCAUAUGAACGGUCAGUCAAGCAAAGUCUAGCUCCUUAUUCAACAUAGCCACCUAGCACUCAAGUACUAGGUUAUCAGCAAGACUAGAUGCAAAUUUUCUUAUCCGGGUUCUCAUACUACUAGUCAACUCUGAUGCAUAGCGGGCUAGUUUAUUAAUCUUCAAAGUGUACUCCUGGACACUCAUACUGCCCUGCUUCAGAUUCAUAAACUCUUCCACUUUGGUCUCCCUCAACUCUAGAGGAAAGAAUCGAUCAAGGAAAGCUUCCAUAAAUUUACCCCAAAUUAUGGGCUCAGCACUCUCAACUUUUGCAUCUUUCCAGUCGGAAUACCACUGAUUCGCAACGUCCUUGACCUGAUAGGUUGCUAGUUCCACCCCUUCAACCUCAUCCAUAUGAAUCACCUUAAAGAUCUUUUCCAUCUCAUCCACGAACUCCUAUCGAUUUUCCUGCACCUUGGUGCCAGUGAACUUAGGUGGCUUCAUCUUCAUGAAAUGUCCGACUCUUGUAGCCUCAGAUGUAACAGAUACAGACCCAACAUCUUACAAUUGUUAAGCCUGAUUAGUUACCAACUGUGUCAGCAUAUAAAUAGACCAUCUGGUUUCUACAUUUAAAAUAUCUCCCUGAGCAGUUGGGGGACGAUUGACAUUAGACUGCGAAGUUCGAGGCGGACUGGUCGAGACUAGAGGGACUCCCGAAGUAGGGACAAGCUCUGGAGUAUGAGCUCUGUUAUGGGUUCGCAUCCCAUGGGUGGGAUGGACCUCAUCUGCCUGAGAAUUCUGAUCGAUGAUAUGACGUGGAGGCAUAACUGUGUUUCUGAAACACAAGUGAUAAUUGAUUAGGGGACAGUUCAAACUCUGAAACAAAGAAGGGAAACAUUUCCUAAACGCCUAGCAGCCUUCUACUUAUAAGUGUGGCGCACUACACACCCAUGAAUAGGACUCUACCCGAUGCGAUUUCACAGACACCCUGGGACCAUGAACCAUGCUUUGAUACCAAAUUUGUCACGAACCGAACUAAGGUCUAUCCAUGACGAGCAUUUCAAACCAUGAAGGCCCAAAACACCCCUAUCUAUCUAGUAAUCAUGCACCUAAUUCAUAUGAUCAAUGUAAUGCGGAAGAAACGCAAUAAUUCGGAAACAGGGUCAUAAAUAUGAAAAGAAACAAUAACGGGGAAAUAAGGUUUCCCCAAUAUCAAUCCACCUCUAAACAACUGUCUGCAAAAAUCUCUAACAAAUAACUGAGUUAAGUAACUGUAUAUAAACUGGGACAAGGCCCCCAGCAGACCCCAAAACUAAAUAUAAGAAAAAAAUGGACUGCAGGACAUAAGACCUUCCAAAAUAUAGAAGGCUCACCACUUGUCUCUGCAACCCUGUCUGAGUCUACUGAUUCUCUUGACCCCUAGACUGGGACUCUGAACCUGAGAGGUUGGAGAGGGAAGGGGGUCAGCCCAAAAGUACUGGCACGCUGAGAUAUCAAAACAAAACAUAAUAUUUUUACAAGAUAUAGUUGAGAGCCAUUAUAAAGCAAUUUUGUUUCAAAUCAUUUGAAAACACAUGGGUGUAAUGAAAUAGUUUCUCAAAAACAAUGAAAUGCAACUGAGCAAGGUGGAAUACCCUACAUAAUUUACACCAACUGCCUAACCUCGGUUGCCGCCGAGAUUAGAGUAUAAGUGAGGGAGAGACACACAAGGCCACGAAGCAUGGUGUUUCGACCCAAUGGUAGUGCCCAAGAUCACUUAGCCCGGGCUCCUACCUAUAGUCCCAAUUUGGGAAUGACUUAAAGUCAAGUACACAAGAUCAUUUAUCUUGGUACCAACUUUCCGUGUCGGCAAACACGUUUUCCAGCAAUGAGCCCUUACACUCAAACGCCUUCUUCGCGCAUCCACCUAUCUCAUGUAAAAUAAAUGUAUUCAAAUUUCAUCUGAUUCAAUAACAUAUCAUAUUCUAUAGGGUAUCGUCAUACCCGACUUGCAAGUCAUCAAUAUCACCUCCACAUAUGCAUUAUCAUGUAAAAACCAAGGUGCUUCAUCAUUUACAAGUGGUGAACAAUAUUUAUUUCAAAUUCAUGCUCUCUUUUGUUGGUCACAAUAUGAUAUGGGGUAUCAAGACAUUAUCAUGGGAAUUUGAAAGCAAUUUAUCAUUCAUAUUUAUCAAACUUCCAUGGAAAAUCUCAACAAGUUAUUAGCAUUUGAUUGAAAACCCCCAUUUAAAAACAUGCACGUUCAUAAAAACUACACCCAUGAGAUUUUUGGAUAACCCCACGUACCUCGAUUACUAUGAAUAUUAGAUGCUUCUCGAAGCCUACGUUGAGAGGAUUCCAAAUAUACAAUUUGUUCCUAAAACCCCCGGUUGAAUCUCGAAUUGGUUGGGUUUUUAUUUUGAAACCCUAAGGAGAAUUUUUGAGCACUUUUGAUGAAUGAAGGUGUACUUUGGGGUCCUUGGAACUAAAUUUCGUGUUUUAGGGCUAAGUAAGGGUGGAAAAGGACCAUUUUGUCCCCAAAACGGAGUGUUUAAGUCACUUGAAUUCUUUACAUAGGCACCGCCCAUCCCAUUGCUUAUGUUUACAUAGGCACUGCCUAGGCUAUCGCCUAUGUUGACAUAGGCACCGCCUAGGCUAUCGCCUAUGCUUUCCGGUGGCCAUGGGUGAUUGCUUAGGUGACGCAUAUCACUUUGAAUGGCCAUAACUUCUUGCUCGGGUGUCGGAUUUUAGCAAAAUUGGUAUCGUUGGAAAGAUAACUCAAAGAACUAUCAUUUGACAUAUAGUAGGCUCCCUAAUUCGACAUAUACAGAGAGUUAUGAUCGAUGGAAGCUGACAUAAUUUACAACGUCCACUAAAACUUAGUCGAUUGAAAUAGUUUCAACUCGUCCUUGAGUUGAAAGACCUCUAUGGUCUAAAUUCAAGCUUGAAUGGAUUCACAUGCUACACAAAUAAUUAACAUGCCGUAUUGGCAUAGGAUUUAUGGCUUCGGGGUUUAUCAACACAUCGGAAUCAUGGUCUAAAUUGUAGCCCGAAAUGCGGGGCGUUACAUAAGCAAUGAAGAUUGUGGUUCAAAACUCCGCUUCGCUUACUUAGGCAGUUCUUUCUAUGUUGCUGGAACGACUCUUUAAAAAAGUUGCGACAACCAUGUCAGAUCCUUAAAAAAAUGCACAACUUUUGAAGGAUCCAACACGUAAUCAACGUUAUUUUUGAGGAGCUCGAGCAACAUAACUAUAUACAUAGUACAAAGAGCCACUAACCUUUUAGCUUUAAAACUUUAAUUAAAUGAGAGAAUAAUUAAGGGAAACUAACCUUUCAAUGGCAGAUCAUACAGCUUCAAAAUCACUGAAAGAGAUAUUUGAGAAAAGGACAAAAGAAAUGACAAUAUUAUGAGUAACAGUAAACAAAUGUGUAAAGAACAAAAGAUAAGAGUACCUAACCAAGACAAAAUUUGAGUGGCUUAAAUGAUAUCUGCAGAAUUUAUCAUCCCAAACAGUCCCUUAACUUUACAUAGUAGGUUCACUUAGGUCCCUAUAAUAUAAUGCUGAGCAUAAAUGGUCCUUUAUCUCUUUAAAAAAAAAAAGAUGCACUUUGAAAAAAAUGUUGUGCUUUAUACACAUAGUGGGAUAUGGAGAGGGCAAAGUAUACGCAAAACCUUAUCGUUAUGUCAGAGAUAGAGACGAUGUUUCUGAUAGACCCUUUGCUAAAGAUAAAUAGCUCGAAGCAGUCGAGAAAUAGAUGCCCCUUAUUUAAAAUAUAGAGAAAUUACAUCUCCUUGAAAGCUAGAGAAUAAUGCUAAAACAUAGUAAUUAAAAUUUAAACAGUAAGAACUAUGAUGAAAUCCUUGAACUUCAAUCUUUAUUAGUAAUUGCUUUUAAAACUAAAACAAGAGAAUCACCAUAUAAAUGCACAUCUCCAUUCAUUUAAUAAAUAACGUUACCAAGUAAAUUGAGUGCGUGAUCGUGUUAACAAUUGUGAGCUCGUGAACUCAAAAAUUUAGUAAUGCCCAACUGAGUAAUAUUACUAAAAAUUCUAUCAACUCAAAAAUAAGUUACAAUACGAAAGAGAUCACAUUUCCUUGGAAGUCACACGUUGCUUGAAGCCGAUCAGGUAAUUUAUUAGUCUUUAUCAUGUUUAAGGAGAAUGUGGCCUCUUUAUAUGAUCUCCAUCAAUCCUCACCUCUUCAUCUAGCUUCUGGGUUGAGUUAGACCUAAGGUCCAUCAGUGUUGUUAAUCAGUGUCACAGAGCAGCUAACGAGUCGCACUGCAUUCCGCGUUGCUAUGCCGUUGCUAAAUGGUCCUUAACAACAGGGACAAAGCCAGACUUAAUGCUACCUAAAUGAUCGUUGAAAGGCUUAAGAGAGGUCAGGGAGGACAAAUCAAAGAGAAGGGUUGUUCAUAGAUCAGUAUAACCUUCAGCGUGAAGUGGUCGGGUGUUGAGCAAUUAGUGAAGUGUACAGCAGUACACUAAGUGAUGAGCUGUACACAGCGGUUAGUUAGGAGCAGUUAGUUAAGCUAACUUAAUUCAUCAACUAUUAGGAAGAUUCUAGAAGAGCUCUUGUCUAUAUAUAGAGGAUUAGGUAGUAGCAGUUAUUGAUCUCCUCCUCUGUAUUCAAUCUACUCUGCAGCUUAUGAUCAGAAAAUAUUUGCUUCAGUUUGAGCUCGUUAUUUGCCAGUUAACCUCUUGCAUUGCAGAAAUUUAACAUCGGGUUCACUCCUUCUCGAGGAAGGGAUUCGAUGUAUUUGGCAAAAUUCAGUAGCUUUUUCGUAUUUAGUGUGUGAAAAUAUUUAACUCCCAUAAAAUGAUUACGGUUUAGAACCAUAGACUAAAAAUCCUGGCUCCGCUUUGCUUACUUAGUAAUGUUUUCUUAGGAUGAUAUUUGGAUCUAUCCUAAAUACAGACUUGUACUAUAUAUCUAAGUUGCUGGAACUCUUUAAAAAGGUUGUCACACCUGUGUCUAAUUCUCAAAAAAUGCAGGUCUUUAUAGCCAUCAAGUACCUCUUACAAAAGGAAGCAAUAAUUCAUCGGAAAGGUGUAUCCCUUUAUGUUUAGUAAGGCUUUUCACUAAUGGUGUUUGCACCACGAAGUGAUUAAUUUUGACAUACAGCAAAGACAUUUGUGCGUUCCAAUUUUCAAGCACACAUUCUCCAAAGAGACGUAUAAAUAAAUGACUUGGUAGAAAAAUGCAAUCUUAGCAAAGGAUUUGGAAUGGUUUAGGAAGCAUGGUCAUGCCAUGCCGGUGUCAAGAAUUGAUCUUGGGCCUAACUCAAACUCCUCAAGAGGUGAGAAUUACCCAAGUCCAUAUAAGCAAACUACCAGUCCAUUCCCCAACCAAUGUGGGACUUUUUACCCACUUUAACACCCUCCUCACGCCCAAGCCCAACUGGCCUAACUCAAUCCCAAAAGCUAGCUCUUCCCAUUAGACAAAGAUAUUCAUCCCCAUGACUGCUGUGCUGAAAACGGCUAAAGACUAGGGCUGCAACAUUGACCCAGAGACGAAGGAGCCACCAAUCUCUGUACCGCCGCAAUACUCAAUUAUCGGUUUAUAUUUAGCAAACUACCAGUCCAUUCCCCUACCAAUGUUUGACUUUUUACCCACUCACACCCCACUCAUGCCCAGGCCCACCUGGCACUGGCGCAUGGACCAGGAACCCAAAACGGGGAUGGAACUGGCUCUGAUACCAUGUCAAGAAUGGACCUUGGGCCUAACUCAACCUCAAAAGCUAGCUCAAGAGGUGAGGAUUACCCAAGUCCAUAUAAGAAAACUACUAGUCCAUUCCCCAACCAAUGUGGGACUUUUUACCCACUCUAACAUCCGAAACCAUCAACUCCUGGCAUCAGCUAUGCUCGUUACUUAGAGGAGCUAUCAGAAAAGGAUCCUCAAGCAUUUAUUUUCCAUUUUUACAACACCUACUUUGCGCAUUCAGUUGGAGGUCGCAUGAUAGGGAGAAAGGUUAGUAAUGUCGUCUUUGAAUUUUUUAGUAUUAUUCUACAUUGUACUUCUGAUACUAUGAUAUAUAAAGCUAGAUUUUCAUCAUAGAAAUAUGGAAUGAGCAAAAUUCUAAGUUAUUUUUAAGUCAUAAUUUGUAGGGUAUCUGAGGACACCCAUGGGUGUGGUUUAGUAGUCAAUGUAGUGGGAGGAGAAAUAUGAUGAGGUUUAAAUCCGAGCAGUGGCAAAAAAAAAAAACACUAGGUGGUUCAUUCUGUUUACCUAAGCGUUGCUAGGUAGAGUUACCCCAUAUCUGUGCUGGUGAGAGUUAGCAGGUACUCGGUCGAAUAGGCAAAGUGAGCACAAGCUAGACUCCGUACCACCAUCGUAAAUCUUUUUCUUUUUGAAGGGUAUCCUAGGCAACUUAAUGUGGAGAACAUGGUUCAGUAAACUCAAUUAUUACGCCAUAGUUUCACAUGGGUGUGAGGAUGGAUAGUUUAGUUCAUACCACAACAUUAUGCUUCUGUCACAAACAACUUAGUUCAUAGGUCUUAGAAUUUUCUGAAUUACAUUUUUCUCCUUCUUACCAUAUUGCCGUUCGACCCCUUUUACUUGUUAGUACUUCAACUUUGAUGGUAGUUGAAAUAUUACUAGUUCCUGUCGUUAUGAUCACUUAGUUUGUUGAAAUUAUGAUAACAGUAGCAAGCAAACUAAACAACAUUGUAAAAAUGAAAAUUUCAGUAUUCAUCAGUUUUAAAAAUGUCCGGCAGACGAUAAAUUCAGAUUAGAAGAAAUGUAACAUGGAGUACUACUAAACUGUCAAUACAAAUUCCUUUGUUAAACUAGUGCUGUCGUAGAGGCCCUAUUGCAUUGUUUCUUUUCCUUCGUAGACCUACGAGUGUUAAAGGAAAAAAGGUAACCAUUUACUGUCCACAAUCUUUCUUAUUCUUGCUUUAUAGGUAGCUGAAAAGAUACUAGACAAGAAAGACAUGGAAUUCUACAAAUGGGACGGCGACCUUUCUACAAACGGGAGGUGUCCAAAAACAAAUCCAUGAGGGCUUGGCCCAAAGCGGACAAUAUCAUACUAGUGCUGAGUUACACGUGGUCCCAACAAGUGGUAUCAGAGACUAGGUUCGGGUGUGUCGGAGUGGUGGACUGUGGUUAGUGAGAAGUUCUCGGUGUAAUGACAAGACUAGAGAUCUGCAUGUUGUGCCUUGUGUCGAAAGUCUUCCUAGAGUGGUGGCCAGGUGGCGUGUCCCGUUGGGUGAUAACGACGGUACAAGAUGCUUGGCAGAUCAUGUGAAGUGACCGAGUAGUUGAGAUCUAUGGUUGAUGCCUCGUGUUGAAAGUCUUCUUGACAAGUGAUGGUCAAGCAGCGUGUCCCACUGGUUGGUAGUGGCGGUGUGGAGAGGUCACAAGUGAUGUGGUCUUGGUUUGAGGGGGGGAUUGUUGAGCAGCAAACACAAUCCCACAUCGAAAAAAUAGAGAGAAUAUUUCCAAUAUUUAAAGUGUCACCCAACUCCACUAGUAUGAGGCCUUUUGGGAAGUGUCCAAAAACAAAUCCGUGAGGGCUUGACCCAAAGCGGACAAUAUCAUACUAGUGCAGAGUUUGGGUGAAGUUGCACGCGGUCCCAACAACAUGGGUAUGUAUACUAGUUCUUGUUAAUCACUGUCGCAGAGCGGCUAACGAGUCGCACUGCAUUCUGCAUGAUACGGGUACGAUCAUGAUCGGGGUCCAAUGCGUCAAAACUCGAGCUCGGGGGGCUACCCAUCCAAGGAAUAAGCUUUGAAGUGUAGAGAACAAGUCCCACAAGCUCCAAAACUGUUAACUGUUCAUCCGCAUUCACUAUUCAUUCACCCUUUGCAAGGGUUUUUUAGUCAUUUGUAAUAAGUUAACCUAGGUAUAAAUAGAACCUCAUUAGGUCAUUUUUGGAGAAUAUAUUUUGUAGCCUCUUUGAGAGUCUUUAGCAAGGUGGAAUCCUUGUGUUGAUCAUUUGCUUAGAAACGGAGAUUACUUGAGAAUUUUGGUUCCCUUGAGGUCACGUAAGAGACAGGCUUAGGUUGUGUGUGAUAUUAAAGGUCCAAAAUUGGAAUAAGCUUUUGGGUUGUUAAUAUUAUACCAUCCCUUUGUCUAUCCAUCUAUCUUUACUUUUUUGUAAUCGUUUGUCUAUAUCUAGUGUAAUCUGUUUGUGUUCUUGUCUUGUAACCGUGUGUUGUUAUUGCAUCUUGUUCAUCAAGUGUUGUUGCUGUUUUUGUGUGUUUUACUCUUGAUAUCACUUCCCUUCUUGUUCUUCUUGCGAAUCCGAGAGAGGUCAUCAAAAGGGUCCAUAGUUCGUGAACUAGUGGACUGAUUUUGGUGUUUGUGUUGUUGUGUUCUUGGGGAGUUUGGUAUCUCUGCAGUUGCUAUGCCGGUGCUAAAUGGUCCUUACUGACAGGGACAAAGCCAUCCUUAAUGCUACCUAAACUAUUGUUGAAAGGUUUAAGAGAGAUCAGGAAGGACAAAUCAAAAACAAGGGUGGUUCGUAGAUCAGUAUGACCUUAGGCGUGAAGUGGUCGGGUUCACUCCUUCUCGAGGAAGGGAUUCAGUGUAUUCAGCAAAACUCAGUAGCUUUAUCUUAUAUAGUGUGUGAAAUAUUUAACUCACAAAAAAAGAUUACGGUUCAGAACCCAUAGACUAAAAAUCCUGGCUCCGCUUUGCUUGCUUAGUAAAGUUUUCUUAGGAUGAUGUUUGGAUCUAUCCUAAAUACAGACUUGUACUAUAUAUCUAUGUUGAGGGAACUCUUUAAAAAGGUUGUCACACCCGUGUCUAAUCCUCAAAAAAAUACACAACUUUUGAAGGAUCUGACACACAACUUUGGAUAGUAUGUUCACUUACAGAUAUUUAGGGAACUCCCUUGAACGAUGAAUCUUUGCAGAUUCCAGUUCGUAAAUUUAUUUUAAGUGUCUCUUUCCAUCAACCUAUUAAGUAAGAGAACUAUAUAUAUUUGUGCCUCCAAAAACGAACUGUGUCCUUGGAAUUUCGGUCAUAGGUUGAGGGAACUUAUACCUUUUGGUUAAAUUCUUUUUUCGAAUAAAUAGACCACAAAAAUCAAUUCAAGAACACGAGCUGCUCUAUUACUUCUAUCGAAUAUCAUUGAGUUGAUCCCAAAGAGUAUACCGUCAAACAUCAAAAAUAAAUAUGAAAUCAAGAAACUAAAGUCUAAAGUAAAUCAUCAUCCAGUUCCCACAAGAAGCUAAAAGACAUUACAACAUAAAUUUAUCGAAUCAAACUCCCAUUAUUAAAUGCUCUUGUUGCUCGUCCUCUCCUUGUCUUCUUUUUUCCAAAAGUACUAUAACAAAGCAACAUAAAUUAGAAAUAUAAAAUCUCCAAUUUACGAUCAUGUCAAUUAAAGUCGAGAUAGGAUAUAUGAAGAAUAUUUAGAUCAUGAGUACAUCAUUAUAUAUUUUUUAAAAAGAUACUAGAAGACCAUUAUAUAUAGAUAUCCCUGAAUUAUUUAUGUACUUAUACAAGAUUUCUAACACUAAUCUUGAAAGUAACAUAUAUCUUUUAAAACUCAAAGAGGAAGCCUCCAAAACAACACAAGUGAUAUAUAUGUUAGAGGAAUUGUUACAAAGAGAUCAAUGUUAUGAAGCAAAACAAGGUACACCAAAUUCCGCAACAAACAAGAAAAUAAAAAUGCCAAGAGAACACCUUGAAAUGUGAGUUCAUGUUAAAUUUUCUUUUUCACAAUUCUGUAAAAUUUACUCCACUAUAUCAAAAAUAAAUGUCAAUAAUACUUGUCCAUUUUGAAACCAGUGGAUAUAUUACCCAUUUUACCAUUAGCAUUAAAUACGAUUCAUUAUCCAAUGUAUUUUUCAAAGCAUUAGAUUUAUUGGAUUCAAAGGGUAAUAUGGCAAAACUAGCCCUAUCAUUUACUACUUCUUAACUUAUGCGUCAAGUUAAUAGUGGACAACUAUUGAUAGAUGGAGGUAGUAACAAUUAGAUCAAAUGUACUCAGAUUUAGCAAGCUUAAACUAAAGUACCAAAAUUGAUCAAAAAUAUAUUUAAGGGGACAUUUUGAACUACCCUCAAAUAUAAGAGAUAUUCUUGUUAAUUUCUCUUACAUUUUAAGUAGGGUUUUAACCAAAUUAUGUUAAAGUUAUUUUUGUGAAAGAAUAUGGGGAAAAGCUAAAUAACUGUUGUGUAUGACUUUACUUGUGCAAAUGAGAAACAGAGUACAACCUUGAUAAAUAUAUACUUACAUGGAUCGGAGAAACAAACAUCCACAGGGUUGUUUCCGACGACUUCUUGUUCUUUCUGAAUUCGUGCAGCAGAUUUCCUAAGUUCAGGAAGACACCAUUUUAACUGAAUCAGUUGUAGUGUGUUAAUAUCUGCAAACUCAAUGGGUACCUCUUUCAAAUGAGGGCAACUUCUAAUCAUGAGGCCCUCAAGGACAGGAAAAUUAUCAUUUGUGGCUUUCCAGUACUUGAGAUCAUUAAAUUCAAUUAGCAAAAGCUUCAAUUUAUUAAAUCCCCUAACACUAGGAUGCCAUUCUUCGCCAUCACAAGCAUCAUCGAUCAGCUUCAGCACCUCAAGGUUUGGCAAUGCAGCUAUGAUGUCCAAGUACGACCAGCUUAGAUAAGUUCUUUCCAAUUUCAGCUUCUUGAGCAUUGCUGGGAACAAUCGACUAAAACAAUAAGUAAGACUCAAUGUUUCAAGUUGCUGCAGAUAAAUAAGAUUGUUGAGAAGCCCGUUAGAGUCAAUCUCAUAUCUAAUGAUUCCUAAUUCUUUGACAUUCUGAAUCCCCAUAAUCACCUCCUUCGUGCAACAACCCGAAGACAAGUAAGAAAUAGUUUGUAAGUUUGAAAAAUCCAGUUGUCUCCCUUUGUCAACAGAUCCACUUGGGCAAUCUGGCAAAUAAAAUCUGGGCAGUUUGAGAUUCCUUAAUUUUAUUAGUCCCCAAAUUUCCUCAGGAAAAGUUCUUUCAACUAAUUGACAAGGCCCUUGAACAAUGAAUGUCUGCAGAUUCCAUAACCUGCAAAUUUCUGGAGGUAUGUUUAAAUUCUUAUGGCAGAACAAUGAUAGGUACCUCAACCAGAUGAGGCUUAGUACCUGUAGAGGAAAAUUAUCAAUCUCCUGUCUCAAGUCCAAGACUUUGAGUAAUUUGAAAUGAAUAAGCUCUGAUUUGAGACCACGAGAUAAAAAUGAAUCCUUAAGAUGAAAAGAGAAAAUAGAACGGGUUCGUUUCAAGAGAUCGUUGUUGUCAUGAUCUCUCAACUGACGAUGUACAGGGGUAAGAAGAGCCCUAUAAAGAACAUAGAGACAAUAAUCAAUUUCAUCACCAGUCACGCGCUUAAAGGGCUGCAUUUUAUGCACAAUGAGAUAUCGCCGUUCUGAAUCUGAUUCGUCAAGCACAAUGUCGUACAUGAUAAAAAUGUUCUCCCUUUGAAUUUCUCUCACGCACAGGUCAUGUAUUAGAUCAUGAACCUUACCUGAUCUAAUUUUUGUUCCAUCUAGACUUUUCUUGCAGACGAGGACUAGACAUCUAUUGACAAGAUCUUGCAAACGCUUCUCAGCCUCUCCUUCCAAAUCAUUUUCCAACUUUAGGAACCCCUCAGCCAUCCAUGUUCUCAUCAAUUUCUUCGCUGGUAUCUCACCGUCUUCUGGAAAAAUUCCGAAAUGCAGAAGACACGUUUUUAGAUUGCUAGUCAAGUGAUUGUAACUCAACCCAAGCACAUGUGAACAUUGUUCAUCAGGAUCAUUUGUGAUGAAUGACGUGACAUCUUCGGCAACACUUCCCCAAUCUUCUAUUGCCCUUUUAGAUUUGAGAAGCCCAGCAACCACGACAAUAGUUAGUGAUAACCCGUGAAAUUUCCCUGCAAUUUUCUUCCCAAUAGUCUAAAACUCAGAUGACAAUGCUUCAUUUGAAAAUGCCACACUUCUAAAAAGGUUCCAACUCUCAUCUUGAUCCAUGAAGUUCAUCUGCAAAGAAAGAUUCUCCGUGCUAGCAUAACAAGCUACUUCAUUGAUUCGUGUAGUCAACAAUAUUCGACUCCCUGCAUUGUCUUCAGUUGGAAAGCAUUGUCUCACGCCAUCCCACACUUCACAACUGUAGAUAUCAUCCAAGACAAUUAAGUACCUCUUUCUCUUUAAACUUUUCUGCAGCAUGUCUGCUAGCUCUGCUUCACCUCUCGUCUUAACCGGUCAUCCAUGUUGAUCGUCGAUCGCAGAAGGCCCAGCAAAGCUUCCUUUCUGUUGUGCUGUUGAGAUACAGUUGUCCAGGCAUGAACAUCAAAACGACAUAGAAUUGAUCCAUGAUUGUAAACUUCUUUCGUUAAGGUUGUUUUACCUAUGCCUCCCAUCCCAACAAUCGGAAUGACUUUGGGUUCACCAGAGUAGCUUGUAGUCAGACUUCUAACAAGCGUUCCUUUUGAUCAUCACGUCCGACCAUAUUAUUGUUAACAUUCAGAAUAUUGUUUGUUGAACUUGAAAAAUCUUGAACCAAUGAUUCCUUUGAUACUUGUUUGCCUUUAUCUUGAACCUUUGUUGACUCUUUCCAGACAUGAUCAAUGUCCUUUGCUGAUUGUUGAAGGCUUUUACGAAACUUUCGGCGUGUCCAUAUAUUCAAGACUCCUUUGAAAAAUCUUGAGCCAAUGAUUCCUAUGAUGCUUUUAUUUUCUCCCUGAACAGUUUCUGUUAGUCUCAGUUGAAUUGUGUAUUCAACAGCACUUGCAACUUCUUUUACCUCUACUUCAAAAUCCGUCAUUUCUCCAAAAACAUUCUUUCUCUCAAAGUUCUUGAGAAAUACUUCCAGGGAACUAACUUUUUCACGAAGAGCGCAAAGUUCUUCUCUGUGAUCACAGAUUAGAUAUUGCAUCAGCGAAUUGGAUGUCGAGCGAUUCUAUUGUUCGCAUAAGAGAAGUCACACUUGCAUGAGCCAUAUCUACUGUAUUCUCGUUUUUGUCCUAUGCGAUUAUGACCUGAAAGCUUCAGGGUUGAAAGAGAUCAAUGGUAUUACAAAUAACGAGAUACGCAGAUCAAAAGGAACGCAUAAACUAAAUAAGAUCAGGUAACGGUAACAGUGAGUAUAGUCCAAAAAACUCAGUAGCUUUAGCUCAUUUAACGCGUAAAAAUAAUUUAACUUUCAGUACGCAAAAUAGAUUGUGGUUCAAAACUCCGCUUCACUUACUUAGGUAUUGUUUUCUACGUUGCUGGAACUCUUUUAAAAUGUUGGCACACCCGUGUCAGAUCCUUAAAAAAAUGCACAACUUUUGAAGGAUCCAACACGUGAUCAACGUUAUUUUUGAGGAUUUCGAGCAACAUAACUAUACAUAGUACAAAGAGCUAAGUUACACAUUGACAAGCCACUACAAGUAUUGUUUUUGCUCUAAAACUUUAAUAAAAUGAGAGAAUAAUUAAUGAAAACUAACCUUUCAAUGGCAGAUCAGACAGCUUCAAAAUCACUGCAAGAAAUAUUUGAGAAAAGGAUAGAAGAAAUGACAGCAUUAUGAGUAACAAUAAACAAAUGUGUAAAGAACAAAAGAUACACAGUACCUAAACAAGAAAACAUUUGAGUGGCUGAAACGAUAUCUGAAGAAUUUAUCAGCCCAAACAGUCCCUUAACUUUACAUAAUAGGUUCAAUUAGGUCCCUAUAAUAUAAUGUUGAACGUAAAUGGUCCUUAAUCUCUGCAAAAAACAAGAUGCACUUUGAAAAAAAUGUUGUGCUGUAUACACAUAGUGGGAUCUGGAUAGAGUAUACGCAAAACCUUAUCGUUAUGUCAGAGGUAGAGACGAUGUUACCGAUAGAACCUUUGCUAAAGAUAAACAGUUUGAAGCAGUCGAGAAAUAGAUGCCCCUUAUUUAAAUUAUAGAGAAAUUACAUCUUCUUGAAAGCUAGAGAAUAAUGCUAAAACAUAGUAAUUAAAAUUUAAGAACUAUGAUGAAAUCCUUGAACUUCAAUCUUUAUUAGUAAUUGCUUUCAAAACUAAAACAAGAGAAUCAACAUAUAAAUGCACAUCUCCAUUCAUUUAAUAAAUAACGUUACCAAAUAAAAUGAGUGUGUGAUCGUGUUAACCAUUGUGAGCUCAUGAACUCAAAAAUUUAGUGAUGCCCAACUGUGUAAUAUUACUAAAAAUUCUAUCAACUCAAAAAUAUGUUACAAUACGAAAGAGAUCACAUCUCCUUGGAAGUCACACGUUGCUUGAAGUCGGUCAGGUAAUUUAUUAGUCUUUAUCAGCUUUAAGGAGCAUUUGGCCUCUUUAUAUGAUCUCCGUCAAUCCUCUCCUCUUCAGCUAGCUUCUUGGUUAAGCUCGACCUAAGGUCCUUCAGCCACAUCAGUGGGUUUAAAGGGUCCUUGGUCUCCUUAUAUGGUCUUGGGCAGUCUUCCCCUCUUGAGCUAGCUUUUGAGGUUGAGUUAGGCCUAAGGUCCAUUUCUUUAUCAUGGUAUCAGAGCCAGGCUCACCCAGUUCAUUGUUUCCGAUGUAGGGCACCCCGUCUUAUAUUGUCCACACUCCAGAGCGUGCGGGGGUUGUUGGAGUUCCACAUUGGUGGGUUUAAAGAGUCCUCCUUUUAUGGUCUUGGGCAAUCCUCCCCUCUUGAGCUAGCUUUUGAGGUUGAGUUAGGCCCAAGGUCCAUUUCAUUAUCAUGGUAUCAGAGCCAGGCCCACCCAGUUCAUUGUUUCUGAUGUUGGGCCCCCCCGUCUUAUAUUAUCCACACUCCAGAUGUCCAGCCCAGGUGUGCGGGGGGUGUUGGAGUCCCACAUUGGUGGGUAUAAAGGAUCCUUGGUCUCCUUAUAUGGUCUUGGAAAAUCCUCCCCUCUUGAGCUAGCUUUUGAGGUUGAGUUAGACCCAAGGUCCAUUUCUUUAUCAGUGUCACGGAGCGGCUAACGAGUCACACCGCAUUCUACAGUUGCUAUGCCAGUGCUAAAUGGUCAUUACUGAUAGGGACAGAGCCAUACCUAAACGAUCGUUGAAAGGCUUAAGAGAGGUCAGGAAGGACAAAUCAAAGAGAAGGGUGGUUCAUAGAUCAGUAUGACCUUUAGCGUGAAGUGGUCGGGUUCACUCCUCGAGGAAGGCAUUCAGUGUAUUCGGCAAAACUCAGUAGCUUUAUCUUAUUUAGUGUGUGAAAAUAUUUAACUCCCAAAAAAAUAUUACAGUGCGGAACCCAUUGACUAAAAAUCCUGGCUCCGCUUUACUUGCUUAGUAAUGUUUUCUUAGGAUAAUGUUUGGAUCUAUCCUAAAUACAGACUUAUACUAUAUAUCUAUGUUGCUGGAACUCUUUAAAAAGGUAGUCACACCUGUGUCUAAUCCUCAAAAAUUACACAAAUUUUGAAGGAUCUGUUGUUUCGGGUAUAGAAUCUACAUGUUUGCAAAACCACUUCAACACAUGUUCAAGAUUAUAGCAAGAACAAUCAUGAAGUUUUUCAACACCUUCAACACAAGUUUAAUAUGAAUUAUCAAAGAAGUGUGUUACUUUUUUUUUUUUUUAAGAAAUAAGAUGAAACAGAAUAAGAACCAAGUCCUCCUAAUUCAGGGAGUGUGCUUAAGGAAUUAAUUCCCCUCAAGUACCCGAGGUUGUGGAAUUUUUCCUCCCAAGAUAAAACGGUUCACAAUUCGACGGUAGCGGUACCUCAAACUAUCGAAUUUAUAAAACACACUCAACAACAGCUUGAUCAUAAUGAGUUUUUGGAAGUAGAAGAGUGUUUAUAAUUCUGAAAAAUUUUCGUUACUACCUGUGGAAAAAAUGCAGGUAUUCAUAGCCAUCAAGUGCCUCUUACAAAAGGAAGCAAUGGUUCAUCGGAAAGGUGUAUCCCUUUAUGUUUAGUAAUGCUUUUCACCAAUGGGGUUUACACCAUGAAGUGAUUGUGCCUUCAAAUUUUCAAGCACACAUUCUCCACAGACGUAUAAAUAAAUGACUUAGAGGCUCUUUCGUUUGACUGCAGAUACUGAGUUCAGGAACACAGGAUUAGAAAGGUCAGAGGUCUUAGCAAAGGAUUUGGAAUGGUUUAGACAGCAAGGUCAUGCCAUCCCGGAACCGUUAAAUCCUGGUGUCACCUAUGCUCGUUACUUAGAGGAGCUAUCAGAAAAGGAUCCUCAAGCAUUUAUUUGCCAUUUUUACAACACCUAUUUUGCGCAUUCAGCUGGAGGUCGCAUGAUUGGGAGAAAGGUCAGUAAUGUCUUCUUUGAAGUGUUCGUUUUAUUCUACGUUGUACUUGUGGUAUAUAAAGCUAGAUUUUCAUCAUAGAAAUAUGGAACGAGCUAAAUUCUAAGUUAUUUUAAGUCAUAAUUUGAAGGGUAUCCGAGGACACCCAUGGGUGUGGCUUAGUAGUCAAUGAAGUGGGAGGAUAAAUAUGACGAGGUUCAAAUCCGAGCAGUGGAAAAAAGAAACACUAGUCGGUUCAUUCUGUUUACCUAACCUUUGCUAGGUAGAGUUACCCCAUACCUGUGCUAGUGAGAGUUAGCAGGUACUCGGUGGAAUUACCAAAGUGAGCACAAUCUAGACUCCGCACCGCCAUCGUAAAUCUUUUUCUCUUUGAAGGGUAUCCUAGGCAACUUACGUGGAGAACAUGGUUUUAAACUUAAUUAUUACACCAUAGUUUGACACUGAGUUGCUCGGACUCUCCAAAAUGUUGCUGCUCCCAUGUCAAAUCCUUUAAAAAUACAGCAUUUUUGAAGGAUCGGACACGCAUCCAAGCAACAUGGGUUUCACAUGGAUGUGAGGGUGGAUAGUUUAGUUCAUACCAAAACAAUACGCCUCUGUCACAAACAACUUAGUUCAUUGGUCGUAGAAUUUUCUGAAUUACAUUUUUCUGCUUCUUACUAUAUUGCUGUUCGAUCCCUUUUACUCGUUAUUACUUCAACUUUGAUGGAUAGUUGAAAUAUUACUAGUUCCUUUCUUUAUCAUCACUUUGUCGUAACAUCAACAUUGUAAAAAUGAGAAUUUCAGUAUUCAUCCAUGUUAAAAAUGUCCGGCAGGCGAUGAAUUCAGAUUAGAAGAAAUGUAACAUUGGAGUAAUCCUAAACUGUCGAUACAACUUCCUUUGUUGAACUAGUGCUGUCGUACAAGUUGUCGCCCUAUUGCAUUGUUUCUUUUCCUUCUUAGACCUACAGACAUUAAAGGAAAAACGGUAACCAGUUACUGUCAACAAUCUUGCUUCUUCUUGCUUUAUAGGUAGCUGAAUAGAUACUCGACAAGAAAGAGCUGGAAUUCUACAAAUGGGACAGCGACCUUUCUCAGCUGCUGCAGAAUGUUAGAGCUAAGCUGAACAAAGUUGCAGAAGUAUAAUCCUAUCAACUUUUUAAAACUAUUGUCAUAUUCUUUUACAUAACUUGUUAUUAUCAACUUAACAUGAUCCAUUUUCAUCAAUGCUUUUGCGCAGAACUGGACUAGAGAGGAGAAGAACCAUUGUCUGGAAGAGACAGAGAAGUCAUUCAAGUUCUCCGGGGCCAUCGUCCGAUUGAUAUUCUCUUGAUGCACUACUUCACACUUUGUUUCCUUGUUAACUUGUACAUCACGGAUGUUCGAAACCUGCAAAUUUCUGUGAAUAGUCGUGUUUCUUUUCGCGUUUAAUUCUGUCAAUGGUGUAUAAUAACUUGAUUAUAAUUCAAGUGUUACAUCAUUACUCAAUUCUCAAUGUUGCUGAUACUUAAACUAUGGGCUAUCCAGCCUCAUAGAAACUUAAUUGAAGGUGUAAAAGUAGAAAACUGACGUGUUCUAUGUUGCUUGUACUCUCCAAAAUAGAUGCCGUACCCGUGUCAAAUCCUUCAAAAAUGAACAUUUUGAAGGAACUAACACACACACAUUGACAUUUUUGAAGAGCAACAUAGCCAGUUUGAACCUUCUAUUAGCAAAAACAUCAACAUACGAAAUCCUCCCUCAAUUGGACGCCAUUCUAGGCCACGACAAGCAUUUGGCUUCAGCUUCAGCACCUCGAGGUUAGGCCAAUGGCCUAUGAUGUUCAAGUCCUCCCAUGCUAGACAAGUUCCAACCAGCUUUAACUUCCUGAGCUUUGUUGGAAAUUGUGUUGCACUAGGUACACAAACGGUCAAUUUGUGUGAUCUUGAACUCCAGUGACUUACGUGAUAACGAUCAACUGUAAUACUCAAUGUUUCUAGCUGAGGCAGAUCAACAAUUUCGCGGAAGUCCAUAACUUCUUCACGCAUCUGAUAGUCAUAGACGUGCCCCCGAAUACAUAAUUUCUUAAUGUUUUGAAUCCUGGACAGGACUUUUUUAGUGCAACAAUAAGGAAGCAAGCCCGAAACAGGCUGUAUGUUUGACCAAACCAGGUUCCUCUCUCCAUCAAUGGAUGAACUCGGAGGAUCCGGCAAAUAAAAGCUUCUGAGUUUCAGGUGUCUCAGUUGCUUUAUUUCCCAAGUUAGUUCUGGAAACUUUAUAUAUGAGUGAACUGACCCUUGAACAAUGAAAGUUUGUAGAUUCAAUGAUUUGCGAAUUCCUCGAGCCGUGGCGGAGCCACCUUGUGGUUAGGGGGUUCAUCCAAAGCCCCUUCGAUGGAAAAUCAUACUAUUUAUACAUGAUUAAGAUUAUUUUUUAUGCAUAUAUAGGUGAUGUUGAACCCCCUUUGGCUAGUUCGUGUGCUUACUUUUUUGAUUUUGAACCCCCUUAGUAAAUAUUCUAGUUCCGCCAUUGCGGCUCGAGGUAUGCCAAAAGAUGUGUGAGUCGAAGAGGAUAGGUACCUCAACAAAAAGAGAGAAAGUAUCUGCAGCGGAAAACCGAGAAGUACAUGGAGCUCAUGUCGAAGACUCUAAUUAAAUUCAAAUGACCAAGCUCUAAAUUGGAAUUAGUACUGAGAGAAGGUGCUAGUCAAUCGACAGCCCACAAGAGGAACUGUUUCUGUUUUAUCAUUUCUGAUAAACAAAAAGUUUUGGGUUUGUGCUUCUCUCAAGCAUAACUCAUUGAUGAAGCAUAAAGAAAAUUGUAUUACCUUUAAUGGAGGUUGAAAAGUGAAAUUGUGUCUGCUAGCAAGUUGCACAAAAUAAGUUGUACAUAUGAAAAAAAGAGUUCGAGUUUAAAGAAAUGGAAUGACAACUCCAAUAAGUUGACCUUGGGAUGACAAAAUCCCCGGUUCUGAUUUCUAAUUUUUUAACAUUCUGAAUCCCCAAAAUAACCUCCUUCGUGCAACAACGUGGAGACAAGUAUGAAAUAGUUUGUAAGUUUGAAAAAUCCAAGUGUCUUUCUUUGUCAACAGAUCCACUUGGGCAAUCUGGCAAAUAAAAUCUGCCCCAAGAGUUCAAUCGCUCGGCUCUUGAUCUUCUUUACUGAUAUCCUUCUGAAUCAAAACCACAUGAAGAGGAAUUUUCUGCUCUUCAUGAAAAGAUUAGUCCCCUGGAAGUAGUUGCCAAGAACUUUGAGAAAAACAAUGUUUCGGGGGAAAUGACAGAUUUGGAACUACAGAUAAAAGAAGUUGCAAAUAUUGUUGAACAAACAAUUCAGCUAAGAGUAACUGAAGUUGUAUUGGCAAAUGAUGAAAAUCUGAGAGAAAAGGCACAUGAUAGGCUUUCUGAUAGCCUGCAACAAGUAGAAGAGGACAUUGAUCGUAUCUGGAAAGAGUCAACAAAGAUUCAAGAUAAAGUCAAACAUGCAUCAAAGGAAUCAACAGUUCAAGAGUUUCCAAGCUCGUCAAGAAAUAUUCUGAAUGUUGAGAACAGUAUGGUUGGACGUGAUGAUCGAAGGAAAUGGUUGGUAGAAGAUCUUACUAGAAGCUACUCUAGUGAACCCAAAGUCAUCCCGAUUGUCGGGAUGGGAGGCAUAGGUAAAACAACCUUAGCGAACGAAGUGUACAAUGAUGCGUCCAUUCGUUUUCAUUUUGAUGUUUGUGCCUGGGUUACUGUUUGUCAACAACACAUUGUAAAGGAAAUCUUGUUGAGCCUUCUGAGAUCUACUAAAGGUGGCACAUUUGACAUGAAUGAUGAGGCAGUGCUAGCAAACAUACUACAAAAGAGUUUAAAGGGUAAGAGAUAUUUAAUUGUAUUGGACGACAUGUGGAAAAGUGAAGCAUGGGAUGCCGUGAGACUAUGUUUUCCAAGUGAAAACAAGGGGAGUGGAAUAUUAUUGAUGACCCGUAACACUGAAGUAGCUCGCAAUGCAGGUACAGAGAAUCUUUCUUUGCAGAUGGAUUUAAUGGGUCCGGAUGAGAGUUGGAACCUUUUUAAAAGUAUAGCAUUUGCAAAUGAACCAUUACCAUCUGAGUUCUAGACUAUUGGGAAGCAAAUUGCAGAGAAGUAUCACGGGUUACCACUAACUAUUGCCGUGAUUGCUGGGCUUCUCAAAUCUAAAAGGGAUAUAGAAGACUCAGAAAAUGUUGCUAAAGAUGUCAAGGCAUUUUUCACAAAUGAUCCUGACAAACAAUGUUCACAUGUGCUUGGGUUGAGUUACGAUCACUUGACUAGCGAUCUAAAAGCACGUCUUCUGCAUUUCGGGAAGACAGUGAGAUACCAGUGAAGAAUUUUGAUGAGAUCAUGGAUGGCUGAGGGGUUCCUGAAGUUGGAAAAUGAUUUGGAAGGAGAAGCUGAGAAGUGUUUGCAAGAGCUUAUCAAUAGAUGUCUAGUCCUCGUUUGCAAGAAAAGUCUAGAUGGAACAAGAAUUAGAUCAUGUAAGGUUCAUGAUCUAAUAUAUGACCUGUGCGUGAGAGAAAUUCAAAAGGAGAACAUUUUUAUCAUGAACGACAUUGUGCUUGGCGUAUCCGAUUUGGAAUGUAGAUAUCUCAGUAUGCAAAAAAUGCAGCCCUUUAAACGCGUGACUGGUGAUGAAAUUGAUUAUCGUCGCUAUGGUCUUUAUAGGGCUGGUGAUGAAAUUGAUUAUUUAUCGCUAUGGUCUUUAUAGGUCUCUUCUUACCCCUGCACAUCGUCAAUUGAGAGAUCAUGACCACAACGAUCUUUGGAAACGAACCCGUUCUAUUUUCUCUUUUCUUCUUAGGGAUUCAUAUUUUAUUCUCAAAUCAGAGCUUAUUCAUUUCAAAUUACUCAAAGUCUUGGAGUUGAGACACAUAGAGAUUGAUAAUUUCCCUCUACAGAUACUAAACCUCAUCUGAUUGAGUUACCUAUCAUUGCAAUGCGAUGAAAAUUUAGACAUUCCUCAAGAAAUUUGCAGGUUAUGGAAUCUGCAGAUGUUCAUUGUUCAAGGUAGUCACAUGGGGGUUUCAGUUAUAACAAUAACUUUUCCUGAGGAAAUUUAGGGACUAAUGCAAUUAAGGCAUCUCAAAGCGAAGAGAGUUUAUCUGCCAAGUCCCUCAAGCGUAACUGCUGACAAAGGGAGUCGCAUGGCUUUUCCAAACAUACAAACUAUUUCUUACUUGUAUCCACGUUGUUGCACGAUCGAGGUUAUUUUGGGGAUUCAGAAUGUUAAAGAAUUAGGAAUCUGUGGAUAUGAGAUUGACUCUAAUGGGCUUCUCAACAAUCUUGUCCAUCUGCAGCAACUUUAAACAUUGAGUUUUAUACUUUGCUUUAACCUUUUGCCAGCAAGUGCAAAAGCUUUUCCAGCAACACUCAAGAAGCUGAAGUUAAGACUUACUUCAUUAAGGUGGUCGUACUUGGACAUCAUAGCUGAGUUGCCUAACCUUGAGGUGCUGAAGCUGAUAACUAGUGCUUGUGAUGGUGAAGAAUGGCAUCCAAAUGUUAGGGGAUUUGCUCGAUUGAAGCUUUUGUUAAUUGAAGAUAAUGAUCUCAAGUACUGGAAAGCCACAAAUGACAAUUUUCCUGUCCUUGAGCGCCUCAUGAUUAGAAGUUGCCAAAAAUUGAAAGAUAUACCUAUUGAGUUUGCAGAUAUACACACACUAAAGCUGAUUCAGUUAAGAAAGUGUCCUCCCGAACUUGGGGAAUCUGCUGCACGGAUUCAGAAAGAACAAGAAGACCUCGGAAACAACCUUGUGGAUGUCCGUAUCUCCGAUCCAUGUAAGUGUAUAUAUAUAUAUAGAUAGUAUUUAUCAAGUCUACACUCUGUUUCUCAUUUACACAAGUCACAUCAUAUGGUUGUUAGAAUUUAAGCUUUCUAAAUUUGAGCAUAUUUGGUAUCCAUCAAAUACUUAACAAACUCUAAUUGUUAAAUUUUACACAGUUGUGAAAAAGAAAAUUUAAUAUGAACUCACUUUUUGAGGUGUUCUUUUUGCAAUUUUCAUUUUUUUUUCUAUUUUGUUUAUUGCAAGAUAUGGUGUUACUUGUUAUGCGUAAAUAAUCUAAAUAAAAUGGCCGCUAAUUCCCUUAUUUUGAUCUGUAGCUGAUGUGUUGGUGUUUAAAGUAUCGUGGUCGCGUGCAAAAUGAUUUAUAUAUCAUAUUGCAUAAACUUUCCGAAACUGAAUGCAGAAUCCUCUGUUAAAACUUUUCUAAGUCAAAGAGGAAGAACUCAAGUCGAUUACAUCUCACAUAUCCCCGUAUGAUUUGCUCAAGAUGCUUUAUUGACGAUCCAUAAUUUAGAGUCAGCGGAUUCAAAAUAUUUGUCACACUUUUAAAUAUUGUCACAUGUGUGUUCCUGUGUGUGUCAGUGUUUGUGUGUGUGUUCUCACAUGAAGUUGAGUUGAAAGAUGUGAGUUUGGUUUAACACGCUCUAAAUUUGCAUCUGAAUAAUGUGACUUGUCAAACUUCUACUGACUCUUUUUGUUUCUUCUCAUUGAAGGAGAGUGAUUAUGAUAUAGAAUAAUAUUUUUGAGGAGUUCAAGGGCAGAAGGAUUGAACCCUUGGGAUUUCAUUUCGGUUCCUUGGUCGCAAAUUACCAGUUUCAAGCAAUGUGUGGCUUCCAAGGAGGUGUGAUUUCUUUUGUAUUGUAACAUAUUUUUGAGUUGAUAGAACUUUCAGUUGGGCGUUACUAAAGUUUUGAGUUCAUGAGCUCACAAUGUAAACACACGAUCACACACUCAUCUUAGGUGGUAAUGUUAUUUAUUAAAAGAACGGAAAUUGCAUUUAUAUGGUGAUUCUCUUGUUUUACUUUUUUAGUGUUGAUGUUCCGUUAGCGGCACAGCUAGCAGACAUGAUACCAAAAAGUUUAAAUGGUAAGUGUACUUCAUUGUUGACGGGUUCCAUGGAUCGAUCCAUGUGAGAGUUAGAACCUUUUUAAGAGUAAAGCAUUUGGUACCCCUGAAUUAUGACCAAAUUUGCUACAACACACUCCAACUUUACGGGGUCCCUACUGCCCCCUCCCCCCUCCCAAACUAAAUUUUAGCGUAUUUUUGUCAUCCCUUUUAGCUGACGUGGGGCCUUUGAAGUGGGCCCAGUGUUGUAGCAACUUUGGCCAUAGUUCGAGGGGGUACUGGAUGCUUAUCUCUUAAAUAGUGCGGUGUUUAUAAAUGAAGCAUUACCAUCUGAAUUUGAGACUAUCGGGAAGCAGAUUAUAGACAAAUGUCACCUCGGUUGUUGGGAUUUUGUUUAAUCUAAAGAUAUUGGAAGAUUUGAAACAUGUUGCUGAAGAUGUUAAGUCAUUUGCAGCGGAUGAUCCUGAUGAACGACGUUUACAUGUCUAAAUCUAUCUAGAAUUCAAUUAACAAAGUGGGAAAUAGUCUGAUAACUGAUGGAUCAUAAAAUGGUUCACUGUAACAUUGGUUUCAUUUGCCUUGUAGAUCACAGUUGGCUGUAACUUUGUUGGUUGGUUAGCUUCUCAGUUAGUAGGUUAGUGAGUGAGUGGAGUGAGCUCAAUGAGCUGGAAAAUAGAAUGUUCUAGGAGUUGGUUAUUAGAUAUUUUGUAUCACUUUCUCAUCCUAAGGCACAACAUGUCACAUAUCUCAGAUUGUAACUUUUACUCCAUAUUAAAAAUGGAAAAGUCCAAUCCGCAGGAAUAUGUUUAGUCAAUGUCAAUAUAGCUGGUGGUUUUCGCUGGGACCGCGCACCUGGAAGAAGCUUUAGUGUACCGAGCGACCCUUUUUAAUGACAACAUAGCUUUUACUCAAGUACUGUAAGAUAUUUCUAGAAUGAAUCGAUAGCAAAGAGUAUGUACUUACAAUGCACCAUAGGUUCUGUUUAGGUGGACACAUGCAGAAAUGAUAGUUGAAAAGAGAGUUACACUUAAAACUUCAGGUAGAAUAAAAUCUCCAAACAGUGCAAAAGCAUUGCAACAAAUAUUUUGAGAAAAGAAUACAAGAAACACAAAUGUGAAUAACAAUCCUUAUGGAGCUAUUUGAUGCUUAUUGUGCAUCUUCGCGUACACCGCAUGCUCCCCAGAGCCCAAUUGUGGGAUCGCACUGGUAUGUUGUGUUGCUGCUGUAAUACUCGUGACGACCUAUUAAAUGAAUUGUGUUGCUUUAGUGUUUGGGACAGAACAUAUAAGCGAAACAUAAACAUCUCAAAUUUGUCCAGUUUGAGAUACGUUAAUUGCAUAGUCCACAAAUUUUCUCAGUAAAGAGAACUAUACUCGUGCCACCAAAAAUAAAAUGUUGUUGAAGUAUUGAGUUAUUUGCUGUUAUUUUCUUUUUUAGUUUAGUAAUUUUAUUUCUGAAAUUCAGUUAUCUAAGUUGAUAUAGAAUAGGAUUUAUUAGUAUCCUAGUUGAAGUUAGAAUAGGAUUCUAUUAGUUUCCUUGUUAGAAAUAGAAUAGGAUUCUUUUGUCUAUUUAUAUUCUCAGAUGUGGAUGACUAAAUAAGAAGAAUAUUUUUUUAUCCUCAAAUAUUUUCUUCUUCUCUGUGUUCUAUAGAACAACAAUUGGUAUCAGAGCCAAUUUCUUGAGGGAUCCGUGAGAGAGAAGACCCCAAAAAUAACCGUGUAAAAGUCAAUAUUGUUAUGGCUUCCAAUAAUUUUUCAAUUCCCUCACCCCCAAUUUUUUCUGGUGAGAAUUAUCCAAUUUGGGCUAUCAAAAUGAGAAUAUACUUGCAAGCAUAUGAUCUGUGGCAAGUGGUAGAGGUUGGAGGAGAGGUAAAUCCUUUGCUAGAUAAUCCAACAAUGGCACAAAUUAAGAAUCACAGAGAAGAGGUUGCAAAAAACUUUAAAGCUCUCUCUUGCAUACAAUCAGCACUUUCGGAAGUAAUUUUCGCUAGAGUUAUGGUGAGUGAGACUGCAAAGGAGGCUUGGGACAAGUUGAAAGAAGAAUUUCACAGAAGUGAAAAGAUUAGGCAAAUAAAAGUGAUAAAUCUAAGAAGAGAGUUUGAAAUUCUCAAAAUGAAUGAUUCUGAAACUAUUGAAGAAUUCUCCAACAAGUUGAUGAAGGUUGUAAACCAAAUCAGACUUAUGGGAGAAGAGAUUACAGAUUCAGAAUCGUGAAAAAGGUUCUAGAGAGUUUGAUGGAAAGAUUUGAAGAAAAGAUCUACUCACUCGAAGAUUUAAAGGAUCUCACAAAACUGUCACCUUCAGAACUUAUACAUGCUCUUCAAGCUCAAGAGCAAAGAAGAUCCUUGAGGCUAGAAGAAGCUACUGCAAAUGCUCUUCAAGCCAAGUUCAAAGGAAAGAUGUAGAUGCCGAAGGAAGAUAAAAUCCCAGAAACUUCUACUAAUUCUAGUAGAAAUAAUCAAGGCGAUUCUCGCAAUGGAGUCAAGAAAAGAGAAAAUUUUCCACCAUUCAAGUAUUGCAGAAAAAUCAAUCAUAAAGAGGAUGGUUGUUGGUUCAAGGGAAAGAAACCAUCUCUUCUGUGUAGAUAUUGCAAUAAGCUUGGUCAUAUUGAAAGGUUUUGCAGAGUGAAGAAGGAGAACAACCAACAAACUCAAAAAGCCAACGUUUCAUAAGUUGAAGAACAGGAGGAGUUUGUGUUUACGGUGAUGGCAUCAACAAUAUCUAAUGAUGGAAAUACAUGGUUUUUGGACAUUGGUUGCACUCAACACAUGACCAGCAAACGAGAAUAAUUUACGAAAUUGAAAUCUGCCAAAGGUAGUGUCAAGUUGGCCGAUAAAACAACGCUGGAUAUUGUUGGUAAAGGAACUAUGGCAAUUGAAGCUCCCAAAGGUACUAAAUUUAUUCAAGAUGUUUUGUUGGUACCUGAUCUUGACCGAAAUCUUUUGAGUGUUGGUCAAAUGCUAGAAAAAGAUUAUAUGUUAUUGCUCAAAGACACAAAAUGUGUUGUUUCUGAUUCUAGCGUCCAAGAAGUGAUUAUGGUUGAAAUGAUAAAAAGAAGUUUUCCUUUGAGUUGGAACUCAGAUUCUGAGCAAGUUUGUCUAAGUAAUCAAUGUGAGCAGGUUAUUGUGACCACCAAGCAAAACGAUGACAAUUUUAUUUUUUAUUCUGGAAAAAUUGAAAAUUGUUGUGCGACAAUGAAUGUUGAAAUCGAACAAAUCACUUCUCAAGAAAAUCCUCAAAAGCUUCAAAACAAUAAUGAGGAUAUAACUAAGGAUAAUCCACAUACUGUAGCUGUGACCACAUCCGGAUCUCUAGACUAUGGAAAUAACAAUAAUUCCAAUUCAGACCUCACAUUUCAUGAAGAUCAGAAUGCGGAGAUGAUGUGAUGGAUGAUUGCGAUGAUGUGUCAAACUAUGAUGAUGUAGAUUACUAUUUAUCAGAAUCCCGUUGCAAGAAUGAUAGUGUUCCAGAAAUUAAUCUGUCUAAGGAACUAGUGUUGUUGGACAAGGACCAGCCACAAUGUGUUAAUGAGGACCAUAUUGCAUAUUUGGAACUUAAAAACAAGGGUAAAAGCUUUCUUGAACUACUAUCUGGUGGUGCGGAUUAUUGUAAUAGAAACAAUCAUGAGCGAUUUCAAGAGGCUCCUGUCAAAGCGAAUGGUCACUUGGAGCUAUAUACUUUUUCUCGAAUGCAAGAACCUGUGGUUCUUGACUUUACAAACGCGAACGCAGAAUUAAAUAUGCCUGACUUCUUGGAUCCGUUGGAUGAAUACAUGGGUGUCACAGUGAAAUCCAAUGAACCUUGAUGCAGACUCAGGAAGCUACUGGUGAAGUUAAUGGUCUGUUAGGGCUAACUGCGUCUUUUUCUCAAGAACCUGCUGUGCCAGAAAAUAACAUGCCUGAAAUGUUCGAUGUGGGCGAAACACUAUUGGAGAAGAACCAGAUACAACAUCAACCAUCACCACAAGAAGAAUCUGAGACACUUUGUGAAACAGAACAAUCCAGCUUUGAUGUUUCUGAUCUUGUGAAGGCCAUGUUAGAUUAUACAACUAUGGAGGAAAAAUUGGCUGCACUUAGGGCGAAUCAGAGUUCAUUAAUCUCCAACCAACAAUCUUGGCAUCUAGGGCGCAUUUACCAUAUAUGCUACUGUGAAGAAUCCAUACUUCCUGGACAGUCUUUGCUAACUUUGUGGACAGUACUAACUAGCUUAGUUCAAUUUUUUGAAACUCUUCGUGAACAACUUGGAGUUACCAGCAAACACCUCAAGGAGGAGUGUUGAAGUAUUGAGUUAUUUUCUGUUAUUUUCUUUUUUAGUUUAGUAAUUUUAUUUCUAAAAUUCAGUUAUCUAAGUUGAUAUGGAAUAGGAUUUAUUAGUAUCCUAGUUGAAGUUAGAAUAGGAUUUUAUUAGUUUCCUAGUUAAAAAUAGAAUAGGAUUCUUUUGUCUAUUUAUAUUCUCAAUGUGGAUGACUAAAUAAGAAGAAUAUUUUUUUAUCCUCAAACGUUUUCUUCUUCUCUAUGUUCUGUAGAACAACAAAUGUGUGUUCUUGGAACUUUAAUCAUAUGUUGAGGAACUUCUAUUGAAUAAAUAGAUCCUAGGAAUGAAUUUAAGAACACGAGCUACUCUAUUACUUCUCUCGAAUAUCAUUGAGUUGAUGCCAAAGAAUAUACCGUCAAACAUACACAAUAUAAAUUGCUCCAUGAAGGAGAAAAAGUACACAACAACAAGAAUUAACAAGCUAGAAGACAUUACAACAUAUAAAUUUAUCGAAUCAAACUCCCCAUAUAGGAUAGAAACCGAUUGAAUACUCUUGUUGCUCGUCCUCUCCUUGUCUUCUGUUUUCCAAAAGCUGCUCGAAGAAUCCAUGAUACUUAGUCGAGAUCAAAUCUUCUUUAAGAUGCGUGUUGCUAUAACAAAGCAAUAUAAAUUGGAAAUAUAAAAUCUCCCACUUACAAUCAAAUCAUGUUAAUUAAAGUAUAGAAAUAUCAAGAGGAAUCGUUUAAGUAUACAUUUUUACAUUAGUGAUAUAUAUGUUAGAGGAAUUGUUACCAAGAAAUCAAUGUUACAAAGCGAAAUAAGCUACACCAAAUUAUGCAAUAAACUAGAAAAUAAAAAUUCAAAGAGAACACCUUGAAAUGUGAGUUCAUAUUAAAUUUUCUUUUUUUCACAAUUCUGUAAAAUUUACUCCACUAAAUCAAAAAUAAAUGUCUAAUACUAGUCCAUUUUGAAACCAAUGAAUAAUUUACCCAUUUUACACUAAGCAAUAAAUACGAUUCAUUAUCAAAUGUGUUUUUCAAAGCAUUAGAUUUAUUAGAUUCAAAGGGUAAUAUGUAAAACUAGCCCUAUCAUUUACUAGUUUUUAACUUAUGUGUCAAGUUAAUAGUGGACAACUAUUGAUAGACGGAGGUAGCAAGAAUUAGACCAAAUGUGUUCACAUUUAUCAAGCUUAAACUAAAGUAGCAAAAUUGCUCAAAAAUAUAUUUAAGGGAACAUUUUGAACUAUCCUCAAAUAUAAGAAAUAUUUUAGGUUAGAUUUUAACCAAAUUUUGUCAAAGUUAUUUUUGUGAAAGAAUAUGGGGCAAAACUAAAUAACUUUUGUGUACGACUUGACUUGUGGAAAUGAGAAACGGAGUGUGACCCUGAUAAAUACUAUAUACUUACAUGGAUAGGAGAUACGAACAUCCACGGGGGUGUUUCCGAGAUCUUCUUGUUCUUGUUGAAUUCGUGCAGCAGAUUCCCCAAGUUCGGGAAGGCACCCUGUUAACUCAAUCAGUUGAAGUGAGUUGAUUUCUGCGAACUCAAUGGGUAUCUCUUUCAACCAACCAGAAUGUCUAAGCCCGAGGCUCUCAAGGAUAGGAAAAUUGUCAUAUGUGGCUUUCCAAUACUUGAGAUUAGUAAAUACAAUUAGCAAAAGCUUCAAUCAAGUAAAUCCCUUAACAUUUGGAUACCAUUCUUCUCCAUGACAUGCAUCAGCCAUCAGCUUCAGCACCUCAAGGUUAGUCAAUUCAGCUAUGAUGUCCAAGCACGACCAACUUAGAAAAGUUCUUUUCAACUUCAACUUCUUGAGCGUUGCUGGGAAAGCUUUUUCACUUGCUGGAAUAAGCCUAUUAUGCAAAUAUAGAAAACUUAAUGUUUCAAGUUGAUGCACAUUGUUGAAAAGUCCAGAGUCCCGAAAACAUCCAUAGUCAUUCUCAUCUUGUACGAUUCCUAAUUUUUUGACAUUUUGAAUCCCCAAAAUAACCUCCUUCGUGCAACAACGUGCAGACAAGUAAGCAAUAGUUUGUAAGUUUGAAAAAUCCAAGUGCCUUCUUUUGUCAACAGAUCCACUUGGGCAAUCUGGCAAAUAAAAUCUGGGCAGUUUGAGAUGCCUUAACUGCAUUAGUCCCCAAAUUUCCUCAGAAAAAGUUAUUUUAACUAUUCGACUAGGCCCAUGAACAAUGAAUGUCUGCACCUCUUGAACAAAUGUCUGCAGAUUCCAUAACCUACAAAUUUCUGGAGGUAUGUCUAAAUUCUCACAGCAUUGCAAUGAUAGGUACCUCAACCAGAUGAGGCUUAGUAUCUGUAGAGGGAAAUUAUAAAUCUCUAUGUGUCUCAACUCCAAGACUUUGAGUAAUUUGAAAUGAAUAAGCUCUGAUUUAAGAACACGAGAAAGAAAUGAAAGAUGAAACGAGAAAAUAGAACGGGUUCGUUUCGACAGAUUGUUGUUGUCAUGAUCUCUCAACUGACGAUGUACAGGGGUAAGAAGAGCACUAUAAAGACCAUAGGGACAAUAAUUAAUUUCAUCACCAGUAACGCGUUUAAAGGACUGCAUUUUUUGCAUACUGAGAUUUCCACGUUUUGAUACGCCAAGCACAAUGUCAUUCAUAAUAAAAAUGUUCUCCCUUUGAAGUUCUGUCACGCACAGGUCAUAUAUUAGAUCAUGAACCUUACAUGAUCUAAUUUUUGUUCCAUCUAGACUUUUCCUGCAGACGAGAACUAGACAUCUAUCGACAAGCUCUUGCAAACACUUCUCAGCCUCUCCUUCCAAAUCAUUUUCAACUUCAGGAACC